Molecule: long non-coding RNA, 265840 nt
Filed under: Populus tremula
Lineage: Eukaryota; Viridiplantae; Streptophyta; Magnoliopsida; Malpighiales; Salicaceae
Description: long non-coding RNA (PTRE_LNC001693)
Rfam family: MIR478 microRNA precursor family (bases 112514-112603)
Source: RNAcentral
AAAUCUUGAGACACGGUCACCCACCAAACAUUAUCACAAAUAUCUGGUCUUUGUAGAAGCUCAUUAUGGAUAUGUUGCAGUAUUGUGGAUUUACCAACUCCCCCCAUCCCAUAAAUGCCAAUGGUUGAGACUUUCCCAUCCAUUAACAAAGACCAUAUCACCUUCGUAUUCUCUUCGAAUGCUUGACCCACCGGCUUUGUAGAGCUAGUAGGUAAUGGAACUCCUCUAGUCUUGUUGUAUUUCAGACUUUCAGAAGAUCUAGCUCCAGCACCAACCUGCACUGAUCUUUGACUAUUCUCCACAUCCUCCUCCACUGGUUCUGUCCUCGCUCUAACCCGAUUAAUUCUCUCUUCCCCGGCACCUUGUUCCAGCACCCCCUGAACUCCAACUUGUAUCCUUCCAGCACCCCCCGCCAAAUUGCCAAGUACUGCAUUGCUUUGUUCCAACGAUCGAUCCACUGGUUCUGUCCUCGGUCUGCUCUCGAGUGCCCCUUCGGAAACUCCAUCUUCUUGUGCUCUCAUUCCGGUCAUGCUUACUGCGUCGUUUCCCGCUAUUGCAUGUGAAGUAAUCCUCUCUUCCCCUACUCCAGGUUCUACAACCUGAACUUCUCUUUGUACCCUUCCAAUUCCUCCUACCAUUCUUGAAAUUCCACAAUCAUUAACAUUGAUUGAACCUGCUGUGAUUUUAUGUCUUUUGUUGCCACCACACAUAGCUUUCCAGGCUGCUUCUUGAACUUCUUUAGGCACCCCAUGACAAAUGGCAACAUUAUGCCCUUCCUCUCCUGAUAAAUGCCAUUUGAUCCUUGAAAUGGAGGUUUUAUUGGCAAAUGUGUGUUGACAAAACUUACACUUCAUGCUACCAUCAGUCCUAUCUUCAAUAUAAUUCCAAAAUGAAUCCUUUGAUCGAACCAUUUCAACCUAUAUAAAAAAUGUAGAAAUGUAAAGAACUAUAAAGAGCUGCCCUGCAUUUACUGAUGAAGGAAAAGAACAGUGAACUUAGUUCACGAUUGAGAAGAACAAAUGCUUAAGUAAAACACAGAGCUUUGAUUAUCAAAUGUAAAGAACAAAGAGCAGAAUUGAGUUAGUUGGUUACUGCCAUCCCAAGUCUUUAUUUAUAAAGGGAAAGAAACAGAAUUUGAAUGGAAAACAAUAACUAGAAACGUGCCUGCCUUCUUCUCCUUUAUUUAAGGAGAUGAUUACAAGUUAAUUCAAUCCUAGAUAAUCUUAACAAAGAAAUCAAAAACAUAUCCUACACUAGAUAAUAGUCUCAGCUAAAAUAAAGAAAUAAUGCAGCAGUGAAUUACUGCUAAGUCUUCUGCUUCUGCUAGCUUAGGUACCAAGCUUCAACACUCCUCCUUGGUUCCAAAGCUAGUCAUUCCAAUUCUUGCCCUUAGAUCUUCAAACCUGGUUUUACCCAACGGUUUGGUGAAAAGAUCUGCUAGUUGAUCUUCAGAAGUGCAGUAGCACAGUUCCAGUUCUCCUUCUUGUUGAAACUGCCUGAGUGCAUGAAACUUGAUCUUCAUGUGCUUGGUUUUAUCAUGGAAGACAGAGUUUUUAGAAAUGGCUAUAGCUGAUGUAUUGUCACAAAACAAUGUUGUGGGAUUGUGUUGAUUGCAGUCUAAGUCACUUAGCAUCUUCCUCAGCCAUAUCAGUUGUUUUGCUGCUACAUAAGCAGCUAUAUAUUCGGCUUCUGCAGUAGAAUGUGCCACCACCGAUUGUUUCUUUGAAUUCCAGCAAAACAUACUCUUUCCCACAGCAAAACAGUAGCCUGAUGUGCUCAUCAUUCCUUCAUCACUUCCUCCCCAAUCACUGUCUGAAAAACCAACAAGAUUAAUUGAGCCGGACUUCACAAAGUGUAUGCCAAAACCUGCAGUCCCUCUUAGAUAUCUUAAUACUCUCUUAGCUGCCACAAAGUGAUUUUGACUUGGCUCUUGCAUGAACCUGGAAAGAUAAUUCACAGCAAAUUGAAUGUCAGGACGUGUGGCUGCUAAAUACAGCAAACUCCCAAUUAGACUCCUGUAGAUUUUCCCAUCAGCUUUUGGUGAGCCAUCCUCUUUCAUUAGCUUCUGCCCCUGUAUCAUAGGAGUGCUUACUGGCUUGCAAUUGUUCAUUGCAAAACUGUCCAGUAUUUUCAAAGAAAAACGUUGUUGACAAAGAAAAUAACCUUGAUCAGUUUGAGUUACUUCCAUUCCUAAAAAAUAAGUCAACAAACCAAGUUCAUUCAUCUCAAACAUGUCUUUCAUAUUGGUUUUGAAUUCCUCUACAAGCUGCUCCUUAUCCCCUGUGAUUAGUAAAUCAUCAACAUAAACUGAUACAAUUAGUUUAUGUCCAGCAGCAUGCUUCACAUAUAAAGUUACCUCAUUCAUGCUCCUGUUAAAUCCCAAGCUUAAGAGAUGAUUAUCCAACCUGCUAUACCAAGCUCUAGGAGCUUGUUUCAAUCCAUACAAUGCUUUCUUCAGUAAAUAAACCUUGUUUGUUGAAUUAGAUUUUUCAAAACCAGCAGGCUGCUCAACAUAAAUCUCUUCAUCUAGCACCCCAUUCAAAAAUGCAGAUUUAACAUCCAAUUGAAAUAUAUACCAACCGUUUUGUGCUGCUAGAGCAAGCAGGAGUUUCAUUGUUUCAUGUCUGGAAACUGGAGCAAAAGUUUCUGUGAAGUCGAUCCCUGCCUCUUGUGAAUAUCCUUUCACUACAAGUCUGGCCUUAUGCUUGUUGAUCUUUCCAUCUGCAUUUACUUUUGUUUUGAAAAUCCAUUUCACUCCAAUCACCUUCUUAUGAGCUGGUCUGUCAACUAGCAUCCAUGUUUGAUUCUUGUCUAUCAUUGCAAGCUCCUCCUUCAUUGCUGCUAUCCAAACUUGAGAGUUCAUGCUUCUUCAACAUUUACUGGUUCUGCCUCGCUACAUUGCACCUGCUAUAGAUAUCUGAUAGAGAUCUUGUCCCUCUUACUGGUUGAUCAUCACUGUUUUCUGCAGCAUCCAAGUCAGUUUGUUGCUCAAUAUUCCCAGCAACAUCUGUUUGUUGAUUAAUCAUGUUUGCAUCAUCCAACUCAUCUUGUUGCAUCGGUUUUGAUUCUUCAUUUGAUGAAUUUUUCCAGUUCCAAGCUGCAUUUUCUACAACUUUGACAUCUCUAGCAACCACCACUUUGUUAACAUUCAAAUCAUAGAUUUUAUAAGCUUAGAAUUUGUACUAUAGCCUAUAAGAAUCCCUAUAUCAGCCUUUUGAUCAAGUUUCCUUCUUCUGACUUCAGGUUUCAGAACAUAACAAAUACUUCCAAACACCUUUAAAUGAUCAAUACUGGGUUUAAAACCAUACCAGAGUUCAUAAGGAGUUUUAUCUGCCAAAACUCUUGAAGCCAUUCGGUUUAUAAGGUAUGCUGCUGUGUUUACUGCUUCUGCCCAGAAAUUCAAUGGCAACUUCUUCUCAUAGAGCAAGCAUCUAGCCAUCUCCAUCAAUGUUCGGUUUCUUCUUUCACUUACACCAUUCUGCUGUGGUGUGUAGGGAACAGUCAGCUGGUGUUUAAUCCCUUCUUUAGCAAGGUAUGCUUCAAAUUGUCGAGAGGUAUACUCUCCUCCAUUGUCAGAUCUCAAAGUCUUCAAUUUGUUUCCUGUUUCUAGUUCAACUGCUGCCUUGAACUUAACAAACUCAGCAAACACAUCAGCUUUGGAUUUUAGAAAAUAAACCCAGCAAUACCUGCUAAAAUCAUCAAUAAACAGAAGAAAGUACUUUGAACCAUUUAAUGAUUCAUUGUGCAUAGGUCCACACACAUCUGUGUGUACAAGCUGAAGUUUAGAUACUGCCCUGUAUGCAUUUUCUGGAAAAACAGUUCUGGUUUGUUUUCCCAGCUGACAAGCCUCACAUAUAGUUUGCUGCUCCUGAAUAUUUGGCAACCCGUGAGCCAUCUGCUGGUCAGCCAUUCUUUUUAAAGUAGCAUAAUUGAAGUGUCCCAGCCGUUUGUGCCAAAGAACAGAUUCCUUGCACUCAUAAGUAUUAGCACUUAAACACACUUCAUUCCAAUUAACAUUAAAGCUUCGGUUCAUCAUUUUUGCAGACAGUAAAAGCAUUCCAUUUCUAUCUUUAAUGUCACACACUCCAUCAUUAAAAACUAUUGAAUAUCCAGAUUCAAUCAAUUGACCCACACUAACUAGAUUUGGUUGAUCUUAGGCACAUAAAGAACAUUUUUAAGAAUUUUUGUACCUGACAGUGUUUCUACUGCAAUUGCUCCUUUUCCUUCAACUUUCACAAGUCUCCAUUGCCAAUUCUGACUUUAGACAGGUAGCUUCUAUCCAAGUCUCUGAAUAAGCUUAAGUCUGCUGUCAUAUGAUUAGUGCAGCCGCUAUCAAUGAGCCAUGAUGAGUCCUUUGUCUCUGCUGAAUUACAUAUGUCCUGAACUGUGACCAUGAAUAGAAGUUCUUCUUUGACUUCUGAACAAUCGGCUACUUGUGCUUGUUGUUCAGUUUCUGUUUUAUUUUUGCAGAAUCUUUGAUGUGACCAAAUUGCUUGCAUUUUCGGCAUUGAGCAUUCUUGAGCCAACACCAGGCUUCAAGAUGAUUGUUUUCUGACAGUAUUUGCAAGCAGGAAAAUGUUCUUUCUUCUCUUUCCCCCUCAUGAAACUGUUAUUGUUGUUCUGUUGCCAGUUAGCAGAUUUCCAGUCUCUCCCUUUUUCUCUUUUUCCUUCUUGAUUAUUUCUGAAGAUGUUCUUAGCCCGACCCUUAUCCUUGUAAACUGCAACAAGAGCUCCUUCACUUGAUCCUUCUUGUCUAUAUGCUUGCCUUUGCUCCACAGCUUGCAAUGCAUUCACCAAUUCUUGCAGCUUAUCUCAGAAAAAUCUUUAGAAUCUUCUAAAGAACAGAUUUUAUGUUCAAAUUUUCUGGCAAACUCACCAGGACUUUCUCUACAAUUCUAGAGUCUGGAAAAUCUUCUCCCAAGAGUCUUACUUGAUUCACAAGUUUUGAAAUUUGAGAAGAGAAAUCUUUGAUGCUCUCAUUUUCUUUCAUCUUCAGACCUUCGAAUUGUCUUCUCAGAUUCAGAAUCUGCAUCCUUCUUGAUUUCUCAUCACCAUGGAACUCUGCUUUUAAUUUAUCCCAUGUUUCCUUGGCAGAUUUGCAUGCCAUGAUCCUCGUGAAGAUGUCUUCACUUACAGCAUUAUGAAGACAAGAAAGAGCUUUGAAUCUCUUUGCCUUUUCUUCAUUAAAGAACUUCAUCUGUGCAAUUGUGGGAUUGUUACCUAGAGGAGUAGGUUGCCUAUCACUUUCCACUAUCUCCCAUAAAUCAAGAGCUUUGAGAUAGGUUUCCAUUUUUACAGCCCACACACCAAAAUUCUGCCCUGCAAACAAUGGUGUUUUUGCUGGAAAAUUUGCAGAAUCCAUUGCUUAAAAAAAAACUCACUCAAUCUCUCGUGUAUCACUCACCAGCCCUCAAAGUAAAACUUUGAUUUAUCCUCACAGUACUCUCGUGUUUCUCACUCACAAAGAAUCCCUUCAAAGAUCAAAAAAAGCUCUGAUACCAAUUGUAGAAAUGUAAAGAACUAUAAAGAACUGCCCUGCAUUUACUGAUGAAGGAAAAGAACAGUACUUAGUUCACGAUUGAGAAGAACAAAGGCUUAAGAAAACACAGAGCUUUGAUUAUUAAAUAUAAAGAACAAAGAGCAGAAUUGAGUUAUUGGUUACUGCCAUCCCAAGUCUUUAUUUAUAAAGGAAAGAAACAGAAUUUGAAUGGAAAACAAUAACUAGAAACGUGCCUGCCUUCUUCUCCUUUAUUUAAGGAGAUGAUUACAAGUUAAUUCAAUCCUAGAUAAUCUUAACAAAGAAAUCAAAAACAUAUCCUACACUAGAUAAUAGUCUCAGCUAAAAUAAAGAAAUAAUGCAGCAGUGAAUUACUGCUAAGUCUUCUGCUUCUGCUAGCUUAGGUACCAAGCUUCAACAAAAAAAAGGUAAGUCAAAAUAAAGAAUAAAAAUUGAUGCAAGUUACACCAUAUCCAGAUGGAUGAGAAACUACUUCUUCAGUGUUGUUACCCUUAUUUUGCUAUUAAAAUUGAUAGUUAGUUUAUUGCACAAUCAUAGGAGGGAAAAAGACGACGAUAAUUCAGUUAUACUUCUUACUUGUUGAGUAUUUAAACCCCUAUUUUGACUUUGCAGGGAAGUGCCAAGGCCAGGAUUUGAGGCAUUUGGCGUAGCAGUUUGAUUUUGCAAUCCUCGAACUUGGAGGUUAUCCAUCUGUGACCUAUAUAUAAAUGAAGUGAUCAUAUUAUAAAACCUUUCCAUAAUUGGUAGUCUCUCUUAAGCAGUAAAAGUUAAUGGUGUUAAAACACAACAGCUAGAAGUCAAUCAGUACCUAGGCACGAAGUUCUCUUGUUGGACAUUGUCUAUGUUAGGAAUUACAGGUCGAUCGACUUGUCCUUGAUUACAAAAAUAUUGACUCCUGAAUCCAAAACCAUUUGCAAACAAUAUGUUUAGCUUGUUGGGUUCAUGUUCAAGCCAUGAUGUUUCUUUCCUGAUUGAAAAACUAAUUUUUUUUUUAUAUAGAAAAUACUAAACGUGAAAAAUUGGAUACCAGGGAGCAGGAAAAGAAGGUCCAGGUUGAAUGAAGCCACCAUGUUCUGAAGUGGUUGCGUUCGGUGUCAUAUAGGCAUGUCCCGGCUGAGGUUGAUGAAUAUUGGAGUUCUGAUGCCUGAAGAAUAUUCAAAUAGUUAAACUUAGAACUGUUAUGCUGACUUGGUUGAUUUUCUAGUUCCAUUAUGUGCACAAAAAAAGAGAGAUAGAGAGCUCAAAAAGACUUGAAAGAUCCUCGUCAAUUUUGGUCAAGUUUAUUGUUUUCAUGAUUAAAAAAGCUUAAAUUCAUUCAUUGAUUUAAUCAUUGAUUCAUUGGAGGUUGAGGUCCAGGUAGCAUCACAGGCACUUCAUUCAUUGGAGGUUGAGGUCCAGGCACUUGAUUGCUCAUUAGUAACUGAUAAUCAGUCCAUUGUUGGUCCCUAAAUUAGCAACAUUUGUUAGUAAUUUCUUUAUACAUAUAGCAUGGGAUUGGCACAUCGAGGAUCAGAUAAAUUAGGAUGAGGCAGAUACCUAUAUUCAAAUAUAAUGAAUUCAUUUAGUGUAAUACAUUGGCAUCACUGAUAAGAAUAUUAGGCAGAUAAGUAGAACAACAACAAGAAGUUAAAUAAUUAUGAAUAUUAUGUACAAGAAGAAUUUAAAUAAUGAUUAUUCUCACUUAGUUGAUUUUCUAGUUUCAUUAUGUGAAGCAAAUCAGGAGACAGGGGAAACAUGGGGAAGGCAAGGACUCUUGAAAGCUGAUUAAAGCUUAUUAGCUGUAGUUAUUAUUUCCUAUUUAGCUGAUAGGUUCCUAGUCAGAUUAGUAUUAGAUUUCAAUUACGUAUUAGAUCGUAAUUCCUUAGCUGUAGGGUAUUUAAGAGGGGAACAGAACAAAAGAUGGGACAUUAUUUGUAUUCUUGGCAAUUACUUUCUUUAAAUACAAAUUGGAGUGAUUCAUCUACAUAGAUAUUCUGUAUUAAAUUAUUUAUUGUUCUUACUGGGAGCAACGAGAGGUUGUACCGGAGGGCAUUUACAUUAAUAUGUGCAUAAAAAAAAAACAGAGAGAGAGAGAAAGAGAUAGAGAGCUCAAAAGAAGUUAAAUAAUGAUGAAUACCUUGAUGGAGUUUGAGGCCAAUUUGGUUCAUUUUGGUUGAUCCGUGAUGAUAUCGAGCUUUGGUUGUCUGGAACCUCCGGUGGCAGCCUGCUUCCAUGGACAGUGACAUUAUUAGGAUAAACGGAAGAAUAACUAAAUUGCAAGCAAUCAUCUUCUGAUAAAAUAUGCUUAAGAAUGACGUACGAGAGAAACUCAGAAAUAUUGAAUGUAUCUUCAAUGGUGUAUCUAAUUAUAAAAAUGAAGUGAUCAUUGUUAAAUAAUAUUUAUGUAGUCUUAUUUAUUAAGGGUAGAAUAGUACUUUCAGUUUAACCUAUAUAUACUUUAUUUGUAUUUAGGUUAAGACUAUGCAUUCAUAAUAAACAGAUUAUUCAGAAUUGUAGCCUCCUUUUUGUGUUUGAUCUCAAUAAGUUUAACAUGGUAUCAGAGCUGGUUUUAUGAAACGAGGCUUAAUCCCAAAUACAGCUUCGCGGAUCCAAUUUUUUUUUGAAGUGAUAUUUUGUCUUCCGCUUCUACAAAAUUGGGUAUUUCGACAGUUUCUAUAAUUAUUUUGGUAUUUCGACAGUUUCUGCAAUUAUUUUGGUAUUUGCAUUCAGUUUUUGCAAAUUUAUUUUGUGUUUUGGAGUAAUCGUAUAAUUUCGAGAAGAUAUUUGUUUAGUUUUUUGCAAUCUCUAUUCAGUUUCUACAAAUUGGUAUUUAGUUUUCCGCUGCUUUUGCAUUCUGGUUCUUUGUGACUGUUGGUUAUGGCUACUGAAAGAGAUGAUUCGCUUCAAUUUGUGAGUGUGAGGUUGGAUGGGAAGAACUAUUCGUAUUGGAGUUAUGUAAUGCGAAAUUUCCUUAAGGGUAAGAAGAUGUGGGGGUAUGUUAGUGGAACUUAUAUAAUACCUAAGAAUAUUGAAGAGGGGGAUGUUGUUUUGAUAGAUACAUGGGAAGCAAAUAAUGCAAAGAUUAUUACUUGGAUCAACAAUUCUGUUGAGCAUUCGAUAGGUAUGCAGUUGGCGAAGUAUGAGACAACAAAAGAGGUUUGGGAUCAUCUGCAAAGGUUAUUCACACAAUCAAAUUUUACAAAACAAUAUCAAUUAGAGAAUGACAUACGAGCUCCUCAUCAAAAGAAUAUGAGUAUUCAAGAGUUUUAUUCUGCUAUGACAGAUCUUUGGGAUCAAUUAGCUCUUACAGAAUCGGCAAAAUUAAAGGCAUGUGGUGCCUAUAUUGAGCGUAGAGAGCAGCAGCAAUUGGUACAGUUUUUAACAGCACUUCACAGUGAUUUUGAAGGACUUAGAGGUUCAAUUCUGCAUCGUUCUCCACUGCCUUGUGUUGACUUUGUUGUUAGUGAGUUAUUGGCUGAAGAAAUACGUCUUUAGUUUUAUUCUGAAAAGGGAAUUCUUUCUGCUUCAAAUCCUUCAUUAUUAGCAGUGUCUUCUAAGCCAUUCUCUAAUCAUCAGAAUAAGUCUUACACAAGGGUUGGCUUUGAUGAGUGCAAUUUCUGUAAGCAGAAAGGUCAUUGGAAAGCUCAGUGUCCUAAGUUGAGACAGCAUAAUCAAGCUUGGAAGUCUGGCAAUCAAUCACAAUCUAAUGCUCAUAGACCACCUCAGGGUUAUAAACCACCACACCACAAUACUGCAGCAGUAGCUUCCUCAAGCUCUAUUACCGAUCCUAAUAUUUUGGUUGAGCAAUUUCAGAAGUUUCUCUCCUUGCAGCCACAAGCAAUGUCCGCUUCUUCUUCCAUAGGUCAGUUGCCUCAUAGUUCCUCAGGUAUGUCACACUCUAAAUGGGCCUUGGAUUCUGGUACUUCUCAUCAUAUGUCUCCAGAUUCCUCAUCUUUUACCUCUGUGCCCCUUUUGUCCUCCAUUCCUGUUAUGACUACUGAUGGCACUCCUAUGCCCUUAGCAGGUGUUGGUUCUGUUGUCACACCUCACUUGUCUCUCACUAAUAUUUAUCUUAUUCCAAAACUCAAAUUAAAUCUUGCGUCUGUUGGUCAAAUAUGUGAUUCUGGUGAUUAUUUAGUCAUGUUUUAUGGUUCGUUUUGUUGUAUACAGGAUAUGCAGUCUCAGAAGCUGAUUGGGACAGGCCGUAGAGAGAAUGGACUAUAUAUUUUGGAUGAGUUAAAAGUGCCAGUUGCUGCUGCCGCCGCUGCUACUACUACCGUUGAUUUGUCUUCCUUUCGUUUGAGUCUUUCAUCUUCUAGUUUUUAUUUAUGGCAUUCCUGUCUAAGUCAUGUUUCAUCCUCUUGUUUGAGAUUUUUGGCAUCCACAGGAGCUUUAGGAAAUUUGAAAACUUGUGACAUUUCUGAUUGUAGUGGAUGUAAAUUGGCAAAAUUUUCCGCCUUACCUUUUAAUCGAAGUAUUUCUGUUUCUUCUUCACCAUUUGAUUUGAUUCAUUCUGAUGUAUGGGGACCUUCUCUUGUUGCCACAAAAGGAGGGUCUCGAUAUUAUGUCUCUUUUAUUGAUGAUCAUACUCGUUAUUGUUGGGUUUAUUUAAUGAAACAUCAUUCUGAAUUCUUUGAGAUAUAUGUAGCUUUUCGAGCUCUUAUCAAAACUCAAUAUUCUACUAUGAUUAAAUGUUUUAGGUGUGAUUUGGGUGGGGAAUACACCUCUAAUAAAUUUUGCCAAUUGCUUGCCUUAGAUGGAACCACCCACCAAACUUCUUAUUGCUGAAAAAAAAACAUAGGCACAUUGUUGAAACUGCUCGUUCUCUCUUGUUGUCUGCCUUUAUUUCUAGUGAGUUUUCGGGAGAAGUUGUUCUUACUGUUGUAAGUUUAAUUAAUACAAUUUCAUCUUCUCAAGUUCGGGUCUGUCUCCUUUUGAAAAGUUAUAUGGGUAUGUUCCUGAUUAUUCCUCAUUUAGAGUCUUUGGUUGUACUUGUUUCGUUCUUCGUCCUCAUGUAGAACGAAGUAAGUUAUCCUCUCGAUCCGCUAUUUGUGUUUUUCUAGGCUAUGGUGAAGGUAAAAAGGGUUAUCGUUGUUUUGAUCCAAUAACUCAGAAACUUUAUGUGUCUCGUCAUGUUGUCUUCCUUGAGCAUAUACCUUUCUUUUCUAUUCCAUCCACUACUCAUAACCUGACUAAAUCUGAUGUUAUUAGUAUAGAUCCGUUUUCUGAGGAUUCUAAUAAUGAUAUCUCUCCCCAUGUUCGAUCAAUUGGUACUCAUAACUCUGUAGGUACUGGUACUUUACUUUCUGGCACACCUGAAGCUCCAUUCUCAUCUACAGCCCCUCAAGCUUUAUCUGAGAUUGUGGAUCCACCUCCAUGUCAGUCCAUCCAUAUUCGUAAGUCUACAAAACUACCAGAUUUUGCUUAUUCUUGUUAUUCUUCAUCAUUUACUUCCUUUUUAGCUUCUAUUCAUUUACUUCCUAUUCGAGCAAUUUUUUUUGUUUCAACUUAGGCUCUGAUUCUGACUUAGUUUCGUACGAUAUGACCAUCCUGGGUAUAUUCUGUCACUCAUUACAUAUUGAAAAAUUGACGUACACCUUUAAUAGGUCCUAUGGAUCAUUGUUCUUAGAGCAGUUUCUCAGUCAGAUUUGGAUGCUCAACAUUGUCGGAUCAAGAACCUUUUUGACCAACUAGAUUACUGCUAGAUUCUGUUCUCUAAAACAAUUUUAUCUCACUUCAACUCUUUCAUCAAAGAUGUAGUCCUGGACGUGUAGAUAAAUUUGGACUUUUGAAUCGCUUGAUUUCAAUAUCAUAAGCUCAAAAUAUUCUUGUUUGAAUAUCUAACGUGAAGGCAGAGAAUUCUGCCGCGAGAAGGAUAUUGACUCGAGUCUGCUCUAAAAAAACUCUAUUUUUGGCCUAGUUUUUGUGAUUUUUGUUCUUAUUUCAUACUCUCAGUCAUAUCAGGAUUCUCGGCAUUCGUCAGUUUUUGAGUUAGACCUGGAGAUCCCUUUUGACCAACUAAAUUACUGUUAGAUUCUGUUCUGUAAAACGAUUUUAUCUCACUUCGACUUCUUCAUUAAAGUUGUAGUCCUCGAUGUGUAGAUGAAUUUGGGCUUUUGAAUCACUUGAUUCCGAUACCAGAAGCUCAAGAUAUUCCCAUUUGAAUAUCUAACGUGAAGGCAGAAAAUUCUGCCGCGGGAAGGAUAUAGCCCAAGUUCGCGGGGCUGAUUCGAAGGAUUUUUUUUGGACCAAGGACUGAAUCAAAAAGUUUUAAAAUGAGGGAUUGAAUUGAAGAAGGAUAUUGAAAGCUGGAGAGGGAGGAUGGAUCAUCAUAAAUGAUAGGAUUUUUUCCACACCAAUAAGGAAAAUGAGACCUUGCAGCUGCACCAUCCAGCUGAUUUUCUUUCCUUUUUCGCUGCAAAUUCUUGCUGUUUUUCCUUUAUCAUCAUGUCUGAUUUUGGGAGCUGCAACCACGUUUUUUCUGGCCUCAUUUCAAAGGGAGCAGCUGACCCUAUGGAAGGAAAGAAAACAACCACACCCUCCUCUAAAACUAGAAAGAAAUCAGACGUAAAGAACCAGCAUAAAGUCAGAAUAUUGCAGCUUCCUUUUGCAUUUUUUUUUACUGCAAAUCAGUAGGGAUUUACGUCCUAGGAUUAAUGCAUUGAAUCCUUCUUAAAUGGAGACAUUUUUAGACUAUAUAUAAGCCCUCUAAUGACCUAACGGGGGCAGAAAAAGAGAGAGCCGAAAGAGAGUAAAAAAUAGCAGAAAGAGAGCAGAAAAAAUAAACGAAAAACGCAAGAGAGGCAGGGAUUGAAAAAACAUAGAUAACAGGGGAACAUUGAGAGUUUGUUUUUUUCUUUGAUCCUUUUCGUCAAAAAGAGAAAGGAGAAUAGGGAGGCAGGCGACAGUAAAACCAGAAAAGCCAAUAGAACAAAAGAGGAAGUCUUUCUUUGGUUUUUUAGAGGCAAAACGCAGGAGCUUUUCUAUCGGGUUGUGUCUCAUCUUUUGCAUUUGAAACGUGCAGGAUCUGCAGGUAUGAGUCCCGACUUCCUUCAUCUUUGUCAUAUUUAAAGCUUUGUUUGGUUUUUGUUUUUCUGUUUGUUGCUUUUUGUUUUGGGGACGUUUAUUUUCAUCUUAGCAACAAAGUGGCUUGCUUGCAUACUGUCCAUCCCAUGUCUUUGAGUUUAGUUUAUUAUCACUGUUAGAGCUGCGUUUUUUUUUUUGUUUUACUCCCUAGUGAUGAGAAACUGUAAGCUUUAAACAUCCCUUUCUCCCGUCGCUCAAUCGUUCUUUUGCAAUGGAACGCUAAUUAGAAGCAAGUGUUUAAUUAGGUGCAGAAGAGAGGGUUGAAAAAAAAACGUGAGGGAGAGUCCCUUUCUUCAGUUAAUGCCGAUUCUGGGUUCACACCGUUUUCUUUCUUUCUUUUCUUUUCUUUUGUUUUUUGAGUUUGCAGGGAGGGGUCAUGGUUCAUGUUGUAAUUUUAUUUAGCUUGAGGACCUCGUUUUUUUUAUAUGUUUUGUGCACACUGACUUGUGUUUUUUUUUAAUUGGUGUGCCGAAACUUGUUUAUUUGAGAUGAAUUGUUUUAAGCUUCUUGCAAAUUUUGGAAUAGGUGAAUAUUUUUUGUGAUGUUUGUUUAAUCAUGUUAUUCAUUUUUUUUUAAGAAAAAAAAUGGUUUUUUCUUGUGUGUUGCAUACGGCCAUUACCCUAACAUGCUUUGAAUUUUUUUUUAUAUAUAAAAAAAUAUUUGAAGUUUCGAAAAAGGUGUUUUCGCAUGGAUUUCGUAAACAUAACAAAAAUUAUUUUCUUGCAUUUCUGGAUUCUACAACAUGUUUGUAAAACUCCAAAGGGUAUUGGCCAAUAUUUCAAAAAAAAAAAUCCUUUUUUUUUGGGGGGGGAAUUCAUCUAUUAUUCACCGCUAAUGUUUGGAUAAAGAAAUUCUCAAAGGAUGAAUAUCCAAAAUAUUAUUGGGAGUAAUAAAUCCGCACACAUCCUUGAAAGAAGCCUUGAUUAUAAUCGAGGACAUUUCAAUUUUUUUACUCCAAGGUUUAUGAGCCGUGAGAGUAUAAAACAUUAAAAAAUAUAUCUAUAUAUAGGUUUUUUUUUAGCGCCCUAGAUUUCUAAGAUUUUUGUCCCUCCUCCUUGCGAUUUACGAGUGCAAACUUUUGAAAUACUAAGGGAAAAAUGAGCUUUCAAAGCACAUGGAAUCUCCUUGGAUUUCUAUCCUAAUAAAUUUAGUUUGAAUCAAAUCUAGAAAAACAGAUGGGAUUAGAAAACACCAACACUAUAGCAAUUAUAGCGCAAACCAAACACCAAGCAGCUUACCUUAGGUAGGGCGUACUAGGGGUGCUAAUACCUUCCCUUUACGCAACCAGUCCCUUACCUUAGAAUCUCUGAAAGACUAGUUAGGGUUCCUAGUGACCAAAAUACUAGGUGGCGACUCUCAUAUUCACAAUAAAACAAAAGACCCUGAAAUAAAUCGAAAGUCGUCGCUCCGCCACGAGGGUGCGACACUCCUAUUGAGGUUAAUGCAAGGUACUCUUCUUCUGAUGGUUUACCUUUGAUAGAUCCUACUUUAUACCGCACUAUUGUUGGGAGUUUGGUAUAUCUCAUCAUUACUCGUCCAGAUAUUGCAUAUGUUGUUCAUGUUGUUAGUCAGUUUGUUGCUUCUCCUACUAUUGUUCAUUGGGUAGCUAUUCUUCGUAUUUUGCGAUAUCUUCGAGGUACAGUUUUUCAGAGUCUUUUACUCUCAUCCACCUCUUCCUUGGAGUUGCGUGCAUACUCUGAUGCUGAUCAUAGUAGUGAUCCCACAGAUCGCAAGUCUGUUACCGGGGUUUUGUAUCUUUUUAGGUGAUUCUCUUAUUUCUUGGAAGAGCAAGAAACAAUCUAUUGUUUCUCAAUCAUCCACCGAAACAAAAUAUCGUGCCAUGGCAUCUACCACAAAAGAGAUUGUUUAGUUACGUUCGUUACUUGCUGAUAUGGGAGUUUCCUUUUCUCAUCCUACUCCUAUGUAUUGUGACAACCAGAGUUCUAUUCAGAUUGCUCACAACUCGGUUUUUCAUGAGUGAACUAAGCACAUUGAGAUCGAUUGUCAUCUUACUCGUCAUCAUCUCAAGCAUGGCACCAUUACUUUGCCUUUUGUUCCUUCUUCCUUGCGGAUUUCUUUACCAAGGCGCAUUCCAUCUCUCAUUUUCGUUUUCUGGUUGGCAAACUCUCGAUGCUUGUAGCUGCCGCAUCGUGAGUUUGAGGGGAGAUGUUAAAUAAUAUUUAUGUAAUCUUAUUUAUUAAGGGUAGAAUAGUACUUUCAGUUUAACCUAUAUAUACUUUAUUUAUAUUUAGGUUGAGAUUAUACAUUCAUAAUAAACAGAUUAUUCAAAAUUGUAGCCUCCUUUUUGUGUUUGAUCUCAAUAAGUUUAACAAUCAUAUUAUAAAACCUUUCAAUAUUUGGUAGCAUCUCUUAAGCAGUAAAUAUCAAUGGUGUAUCUAAUUAUCAAAAAGGUGUUAAUACCGUGUUAAAACACAACAGCUAGAAGUCAAUCAGUACCUCGUAGAGUUGCCAGAGUUUCGAGGCACGAAGUUCUCUUGUUGCAUAUUGUCUAUGUCAGGAAUUACAGCAGCUUGAUCGUCUUGUCCUUGAUUAGAAAGAAAUUGAAUCCUGAAUCCAAAAUCAUUCGCAAGCAUUAUGAAGCAUUACAAACUUAUGAUUAUCUAGCUGGGUUCAUGUUCAAGCUAUGAUGUUACUUUCCUCUUUGAAAAACUAUUUCUUUUUUUUUUUUACAGCAAAUACUAAAUAUGAAAAAUUGGAUACCGGGGAGCAGGAAAAGAAGGUCCAGAUUGAUUGAAGCCACCAUUUUGUGAAGUGGUUGCAUUCGGUGUCAUAUAGCCUUGUCCCGGAUGAGGUUCAGGAAUAUUGGAGUUCUGAUGCCUGAAUAAUAUUCAAAUAGUUAAACUUAGAACUGUUAUGCUCACUUGGUUGAUUUUCUAGUUCCAUUAUGUGCACACAAAAAAAAGAGAGAUAGAGAGCUCAAAAAUACUUGAAAGAUCCUCGUCAAUUUUGGUCAAGUUUAUUGUUUUCAUGAUUAAAAAAGUGUAUAUAUAUUCGAGGUUAAUACCAUUGAUUUAUUGGAGGUUGAGGUCCAGGUAACAUCGCAGGCACUUGAUUGCUCAUUGGUAACGGAUAAUUAGUCCAUUGUUGGUCCCUAAAUUAGCAACAUUUGUUAGUGAUUUCUUUAUACAUAUGCAUAAUUGUUAGCUAUUAAUCCACUAAGCAUUUGAUAUCAUUUUAGCUUACCUCAAAGGCAUUGAUGGUCCAGGUAGCAUGGGAUUGACACAUUGAGGAUCAAAUAAAUUAGGAUUAAGCUGAUACGGUGAUACCUACAUUCAAACAUAAUGAAUUCACUGAUAAGUACAACAACAAGAGGAAGAAAUGAAGAAGUCAAAUAAUGAUUGAAAAACUUCUUCUUCUUUUUUUUAACAGAAAAUACUAAAAAUGAAAAAUUGGAUACCGGGGAGCAGGAAAAAGAAGGUCCAGGUUGAUUGAAACCACCAUGUUGUGAAGUGGUUGCGUUCGGUGUCAUAUAGCUAUUUCCCGGCUGAGGUCGAUGGAUAAAGGAAUUAUGAUGCCUUGAUGGAGUUUGAGGCCAAUUUUAUAUAAAACUUAAUGAUAAAAAAAUAUCAUAAAAAAGUCUAAAUCUCCCAAUUGUUGUCUGUUUGUUUAACAAUAAACAUUUUGAAGAUGCUCGAGAUAAAUUGAUAAACGAAAACAUAAGACUUUUUGAUCCAAUGGGUGAUACAAACACUUGCUAAUUCAAUGGAAAUUGUAGCAAAUUGGAGUAGGCAUGAGCACUCACCAUGGUUUGAGGAAAUGAAGGUGGAAACUGAUCAGUUGUUUGCUGAAUACUAUCGUUGAUCACAUUGUUAUCCACCACCAUGUUCUGUCCAUCUUGAUCAUUGCAUAAUAUGGAGCUUUGGUUGCCUGAAAACUCCGGUGGCGACCUGCUUAAUUUGUUAUUAGGAACAUUAUUCUUUUUUGGGAAUAAUAAGAAAAACUGUAGAAUAACUAAAUUGCAAGUAAUCAUCUUCUGAUAAAAUAUGCUUAAGAAUGACGCACAAGAGAAACUCAGAUAUAUUGAAUGAAUCUUCUUGUGAUUGAAAAUCGAACUGAUUCGAUGUCAAGUUGACAUCAUCCUCAUUACAAGACGGUGGGACUCCUUCCAUCUGAGGUUUAAAAAAGAACAGAAAGCACAGAUUAGAUAAGAAUAUAUAUAUAGACACACACACACGACUUAUUUAUUUGUUAAAGAAAUUCGGAUGAAAAAUAGGAAAUAUAAAUGUUGCUGUUAAUUAUUUAAUUCUUUGUUUUAAUGCUAAAUUAUUUGUCACUUGUUGUGAACAAGUUUAAUGAAAGAUAAUUAAUACUGAUCAAGUUAAUUCAUGAAUCAGUAAAAAACAACUUCAUUGAAUCAUUAUGUCAGAAAAAUAUUGGAUAAAAAUAAUUAAUGGCAGUCCCACAGGGCAUGGAUUACAAAAUCUAGUAUUGGAAAAGAAAUCCCAUAUAUAAGGAGUUAAAAACAGCAAAGAAUUUUGAAAAGACAAAAACAAUGAAUUCAAGGUUUAGGGUUAAUUUGGUAUGAACACCACAAGGCAUAGAUUACAAAAUCUGAGAAAAAGAUCGAUUUAUUUAUCAUGGAUUACUUUAAAGAUUCAGACAAGAUGAAGUACAAUUAAUUUACCUGGAUUCAAGAUGUUCUUCAAGUGCUAGCUGGUUUGCUUAAGCAGUGAUCAGCCAAAAGAAAAGGAAGAGAAAUCACAGAUCAGAGAAUAAUAUAUGGUUUAGAAAAAUAAUAAAGAUGCAGUAUACAUAAAUCUAGUUCGCACUGAUCAUGAGAUGUAGAAAGGAAAAUAGGGAAUUGUACAAUGAGAUGAGAUGUGGAAGAGAAUGUUACAGCAGCUAGCUCUUUUACAUAAUAUUAUUUAUUAGUAAGGUCGCCUCAAUAAUAAUUAAUUAACGUAUUGUUUGAUAUAUUAUAAGAUAUAUAAAGUUAACGUGUGGACCAGCCCCAAUGUUGAAACUUCGAAGAAGCUGCCAAGAAAAUGUAAACAAAUUAAGGUUCCAUUUGUUUGCUGGAAAGUAUUAUUUUUUUUGAAGUAAAUUUCGAGUAAAGUGAAUUCCGGGAAAGUAUUUUCCGAUGUUUAGUGUAAUGAAAAAUGAGUUGGAAACACUUUCCAGUAUUUGGUUAUGUCAUAGAAAAUGUGUUGGAAAAUAAUUUAUUAAUAUUUUAUUUUUCUCAAGUUUAUUAAAAUAAUAAGAAACAAAUCUUACAAAUUAAAUGGUUGAAUGAUAAUGAAAUUGAAAAAAAAAUAUAAUUUCAUAAAUUAUCUCAAAUAAAAUAAAUAAUAAUCAAAAUAAUAGAGAUCAAAUCUAAAAAAUUAAAAAAUAAUAAAAGAUGAAGAAAUAAAAAUAAUAAUAAUCAACAUUUCAUAAAUUAUUUCAAAUAAAAUAAGUAACAAUCAAAAGAAUAAGGACCAAAUUUGAUAGAUAAAAAAUUUCAAUAAAAAUAUGAUAAGAAAAAAGCAAAUAGCAAUUAUAAAAAUAAGAACCAAAGUUAAUAUAAAAAUAAAAUUUUAAAAGAUGAAAUUGAAAAAUAAAUAUUCAAAACAAAAUAUAUAUAGCAAUCAAAAGUUUGAGGAUCAAAUUUGAUAUAAUCAGUAAAUAAUGACAUUUCUAAAUUUUUCACAACUCCCGGAAAGUGUUUUCCCCCCAAACUUUUCAGGAAAACACUUUCCUGAAAAGCAAGCCAAAUUUUUCUUUUACUGGAAAGUGUUUUCCAUUGACCAACUUUUCUACUGGCAAACAAACAAAAGAAAGUUUGGAAAGUGAUUUUUCCGGAAAUUACUUUCCGGAAAACAAACACAGCUAAAAAGAAAAUAUUUUCCUGAAAAUCAAGUCAAAUUUUUCUUUGACUGAAAAGUGUUUUCCGUUGACUAAAAAGUGUUUUCCAUUGACCAACUUUUCUAAUGAUAAACAAAUACAGGUGUAACUGGACGACAAAACAGAGUGACCAUUUCUUUUUCUAACAACAGGAAAGUUUGGAAAAUGGUUUCCCGGAAACUACUUUCCGGGAAACAAACAUGGCCUAAAUUUUCUAAAAAGAACAGCAUAUUUCUGCAUGCUGUGAAUUUUUUAAAAAAAUAUUUUUUAUUUAAAUAUAUAUUAAAAUAAUUUUUUAAUUUUUUUUUAUAUUGUCACAUAAAUACAAUUCAAAAAUAUUAAAUACAAACAGUCACUUGAUAUAAUUUUACAGAUUUUUAAUUAGUCUCCCUCAUUUGAGCCAUGUCAUGGUUAAUAGUUAUCAGAAGAACCAACACCCCGACAAAAAUAAUAAUAAUUUCACAGUUGAACAAUGUUUUUUAAAAAACUUGAUAUUUUUUUAUUUUAAAUUAAAAUUUUUAAUAUUUUUAGAUUGAUUUGACAUUUUAAUAUUCAAAAUAAAUUUUAAAAAAUAAUAAAAAUUAUUAUUAAUAUAUUUUUAAAUAAAAAAUAAUUUAAAAAAUAAUUAUUAUCACCAUCAAACAUUAUCUUAUUCCAUGAUAGCAUACCUGAACUUUUCCACAACAAUGGAAAUUAUUAUUUUUUCCAACACCCUUCUACAGAUUUAUAUUCUUAGCCCUCGACCUAUAAAGUAUGAUUUGCUAGCCAAUCUGCACACUAGUUUCUAAUUAAUACAAAGAUGAUCGUGUUUUUUUGUUGCCAAAAUUGUGGGCCAAUAAUUUUCCAUUUUUUUCCGAGUUUUUUAGUGAUUUUUUUUUAUCUCAAAUUCAUAAAUUAAAAAAUUAAUAAAAUAAAAUUUUGAAUUAAAAUUAAAAACCAAAAUUAAAAUGCAAAAUGCAAAAACUCCAGGGAACAGAAUUUUGAAAAACACACCAAGCUACUUUUUUAUUUCAGUAUCAUAUUUGGUGUUCAAAGUUUCAAUUAUUUUUAAUGAAUUAAAUUGAAUAAAAUUUUAUCAAAUCAAAUACCAACUUAAAUUAAUCGUUGAAGCUUUUUUUUUUUUUUUACCUUGAGAACUUCAUAAUUAAUUAAAAUAAAUUAUUAACCUCAAAUUCCCAUGAAUAUAAAAUUAAAAAUAAAAUAAUCAGCUCAAAUAAUAAUUAAUUAACGUAUUGCCUGAUAGUAAGGAAGUUGUCCGGAAGCAACCCACCGCUCACCUACCAAACAUGAGAGUGUUCGGAGAUUAUUUGGUUUUUUGUUUUUUAUGGCCAUAUAAAAAAUAUAUAUUUUUAAUUUUAAAAAAUAUAAUGUAUAUUUUAAAAAAUUAUUUUUUUAAUAAAAAAAUUAUCACAUCUCCGUACCAAAUACACAUAUUAUAUUAUAAGAUAUAAAAAGUUAACAUGUGGACCCCCACCAAUGUUUAAACUUCGAAGAAGCUGCCAAGAAAAUGUAAACACAUGAAAUUUUCAAAAAAGAAUAGUAUAUUUAUGCAUGCUGUAAAUGUUUUUUUAAAAAUAUUUUUUAUUUAGAAAUAUAUUAAAAUAAUAUUUUUAAAUUUUUUACAUUUUAUAUCAUAAUAUCAAAAUAAUUAAAAAUAUUUAAAAUAUAUUUUUAAAAAAUACAUUGGGAUUGUAAAGUUAAACCAGUUCUAACGUUUAAAUUGUUUUAAAAAUAUUUUAAAAAUAUAAAAAUAAACAGGGUUUAAGGUGCAUUUGAAUGUGUCUGCCUUUGAGUGUGUCUAUCAGAGCCGAGUGAUUUUACUUAACCAUGAAUUUUUUGUGAGACAAAUUAUAAUGAAUUUUUUUCUAUUUUACUAAUAUACCCAAGGUGUUUAUAACUAGAUGCUACUUGCUGAGGUGGAUAUUAGCAAUAUCAAAAUUAACUGUAAUGUUAAAACUUUGGAAAGCUAUUUGAGGCAACACCAUGCCCACCAACAUCACCCCAACAAAAAAAGAUGAAUUUUUGUACCUCCCAUAAAGAAAAUAGAUAGAGGUAUGAAAUUUUAUUCUAAAUAUAUUCUUAUAAAAAUUUUAAAAUUCCAAAUCAUGUACAUAUUCUGCACAUCACACAUAAUGACAUCUUUGUUUAGCGAUGGAGCACAGAGUUGAUCAUAAUAUAUAUCUUCCAUGGUCAAGACACAAUGGAUCUGUUGGUUGAGAUGGAUCUCCAUCACAGCCCAACAUCAUUAGCGCUUAUCAAAAGAAGAAGAUUUCGAAUCAGUCCAUUCAUUUCCAUCUGUAGGCAUCUUUCUCAAACAUCAAGGAGAAUUACUUCUAGAUUCUGAGUUGCCACUAAAAAACAAAAAACCCUUACGAACUAGUUCGUCUUCCAAUCCUUAAAUUAGUUUCCUCGUUGUUUUUCACAAUUUUUUAAGAAAAAAAAAUAAAAAAGGAAAAAUAAAAAUAUGAUCAUAAGCUAUAUAUCUAACACUCAUUUUAAAGAAAUUGAUAAUCCAAGAAUUUAAACCUAGCCAGUUAGCUAUAGGACACACAACUCGCUAGGGAUACGAUGAACCUUUUUUUGAUGGCCUUGUAACCCAGCAGAUUGGAAAAAAUAACAACGCUCCUAGGCCAAGCCCGCGAACAUCACCCCCAGCAUAUUGGAAAAAAUGCUCAUAACCAUUUCGGAAAAAACACACCUAGGCUACCAUGGUAUGCUAGAAAGUGGAAAUAAAUCGAUAAUAAUCAUGAAAUAAAUCGUAAGCAGAAAAGAAAAAUAAAUAAAAAUUGUUCAUACUACUCCAUCUUGAUUGAUGGGAAUGACUUCUGACUUGCAUACAUAUGUAAUAUGUAAGACUCCUGCUAAAAUUAUCUGAUAAAUUUUCGUGAAAAAAAAUAAUAAAGUCAGAGAACAACCAUGAAAUGCUUCUUAAAUUAAAUCAAAUGGAGAAGAAAACUCAGGUAAUAAAUGUUUAAUUCACUUUCAAGUGACAAUAAAGAAUGAAAGCAUUUCUAUUCAAUGAUAUUUCUUGGCUCACAAAUAAUCUAUCAACAAUUAUAUGAGAAUCAAAUCUCUCCAAUCACAUGCUCAACACUUAGAAAGCAAAUUUACAGAGUAAUAAGUCUAAUAAACUUCUUGAUGUAGUGCAACAGAUAAUUCUAAAUUUAUUAAAUAGACUCAUUAACAUUUUUUAUGUAUUUAUUGACAUAAAUAAUUCCAAAUUUAUCUAAUUAAAUAUAUACAAAACGUGGUUAGUAUAACUAAACACACUGACUUUUGGCUACCAAACUAGUUUUGGCAUUAAGUGGCUUGUCCCCAGAACCUGGGUCCCAAAUGCCAGCAACCGAACAUAAAAAGGUUUCAACCCCAUGGUGCCUUUUCCCUUGUUGUAAAUAUAAAAUAAAAUUUAAGUCAAGGAGGUCCAGUCUUAAAUGCUCCAAACAUUAUCCUUGUAUCAAGCUUAUGUGAUCCAAGAAUUCAUAUUUAUUAUAAAAUUAUAAUUUAAUAUGAGUUUUUAUCUUAUGAUUCAAGAAGUUUCUAUUGUAUAUUCAAGAAUUUUAAGUUUGUAGUCAAUUUUAUAAUUCAUAAAAAUAUUUGAUCCCUGAAUUAGUUUUCUAAAUGCCUUGCAUAAAUUCUUAAGAGUAAAAAUAUUUUAACAAUAGUUGUCGUGCUAAAAAUGAUACUCUAUUGAACUUUUAUUUCUAAUUCUAUUUUUUAAGUUUUUGAUUUUUGUAAAAUUGAUUGGAAAAAAAAAUCAGGUCAUGUGGGCGCUUAACUCGAAUCAGCAAAAUCAAAGAAUCAAGUGAAUAAUAAAUUUCAAUAUUCAGAGUUGAAGACCGGUGGAGCAAAAUCCGACUCUAGUCUAGAGCGUGUUUGGGAACGUCGUGCAAAUCGUAUUGCUUCAAAAUUAAAAUUUUAUUUGUUUAAAAUUAAUUUUUUUAUGUUUUGAAAUCGUUUUGAUGUGUUGAUAUCAAAAAUAAUUUUUUUAAAAAAAUAUUAUUUUGAUGUAUUUAUAAGGAAAAAACACUUUCAACCGCAAACCGCUCGUUUGAGAUUGUGGUAGUGAUUGUGGUUCAAAGUGUUUUUCGCUUAGAAAUACAACAAAAUUAUUUUUUUUUAUUUUAAAAAAUUAUUUUUGAUAUCAACACAUCAAAACGAUCUAAAAACAUAAAAAAAAAUUAACAAAAAAGAAAUUCAAAGUUUAAGUAAACAUGAUUUCCAUGGCAUUCCCCAAUAUGCCCGAAUCAAAGACAUUCUAAUCUCGUUACUUUUUAGAGAUCUCUUAAUUUUCAAGAGAACCUUAACCAUCCCUUUAUGCAAGUGUAUGCUUUGCCAAACAAUCCUUCAGGAGAAUGGGUUCUCAAACAUGCCAAAUUGUUUUUCAAAUAAUUCAAAAUUCCUAAAACAAACACUAUAUUAAAUUCAUCUAUAUCGGCAUGGGUUGAUCUAUCCAACCUAGUAAUAUGUCAUAGGAUUGGAAUCUGAUUAUGUAACAAUAGGGAAAAAAUGUCAGAUUUUUGUUUUUUUUAUUGGAUUUACUUUCUAUGUGGUCAAUCUUGCCAUUAUCAUGAGUUUCUAAAGUUAACAUAGGCUGAUUUUAAUAUUUUUCAGGUUUUUUUUUUAUUUUUUUAAUAUUAUUUUUUUAGAGUUGAUCUUUAUGAUUUUUUUAUGGAACAAUAGGGAAAUUUUUUUUAUAAAUUAUUUAUUUAAUUAUAUGAUAAAAAUAAAUGCUCCUCAAAUUGAGUAUCAUUUUUAAAAUAAUUCUAUAAAAAAUAAAUUAUAUUUAUUUAAGAUUAUAAUAAUUCUAUAAAAAAUAAAUAAAAAUAAAUCAUAUAGUUUAUUUACAAAGCAAUCUAAUAAUAUUAAAGAAUAACAUAAAAAAAUAAAAAAAAAUAUAUCAGAGAAAUCACAUAAGUUUGAUAGCAAGGAAGGAAGUUGCUGAGAAGGAACCCGCCGCUUACCUAACAAACAUUAUAUUAUAAGAUAUAGGAAGGUAACGUGUGGACCCCCUAAUGUUGAAACUUUGAAGAAGCUGCCUGUAAAAUGUAAACACGUGAAUAUGAGAAAGAAUAGCAUAUUAAGGUAGUAGAUAUCUCUUCCAUUUUUUUCCUCUUCAUAAUGCAUGGAUUUAAGUUGCUUGGAGAUUUCAUUAAUGAAAUUAUUAUUUUUUUAUUUUUAAUAUUAGUAUAUUAAAAAAUAUUUUUUCAAGAUAAAUAAUUUUUAAAAAUAUAUUCAAACACAAUUUUAAAUAUAAAAAUAAAUUAUGUCUUGAUUCUAUCGUAACAAUCUUCAUCUUCAAAGAUAAAUUAUUAAGAUCGUGACCUAUGUUCUCGAUUGAACUAGGAAGGUAUGGACUCUAAAUCCUAUAUAUAUAGAUAAAUUAGUAGAAAGGACAAAAACCCUAGUGCAAAAGUCCUAUAAACUAGCCAAACAAAUCAUACCCAGAAAAUCAAAAGCCAGAAACAUUCUAGCUCAAUUUUUGCUCCCCCUAGCUAAGAAAUGCAUAAUGCCCGCUUUGAAUUAUAGAUCAUCCAAAUUCCAGGGUAAAUAAUUGGAGAGUAAUUUGAUAGUGCUUAUAAAUUAAUUAAUGUCAUUUUAUUAAUUAUUAUUUUAUAUUUAUUUUAAAGAAAUAGAGAGAUAAACUAGAAGAAGAAAAAUCCAAGGUAAAAAUAUUCUUAUUAUUUUUUGUGUUUGUUUUUUUAAGUGAAUCCAAAAAAUAACCAAUAAUAAAUGACUAAUUACAUCCAAAGAAUAAUGCGGUGACGGUAGCACAGCAUUGAUUCUACAUGGGGACAAAUUAAAAGAAUAGAAGAAAAUAUUAAAUGAUUUAAUAGAGAAUAAAAUUUAAUUUUAAAUGCAAAUUAAAAUAAAGUAGAGUGACUAAUGGAGGAAGUACUGGAAUUCUACGAACAGUAGAGCGUCGGGAAUCCUUGCACACCUUUGGUAUUUUAAUUAUUCUUAUUUCGUUUAAUAACUCAAUAGGAUGAAAAAAAAAUAUUAAUCAAACUUCAAAUUAUAAUUAUUUAUCAUUUGAGUUAAAAAAAAAUAUGACAAUUCAGUAGUCUUUAAUGAAAUAAAAAAAAAUAAAAAAUGUUAUUUAUGUAAUUGUGCUUAACUUUACAAAGGGACGAAGGACAUUCUUUGCAUUAGGAUGCUCCCACUCCACUACCGUCUCCCACCAUUCUUUUGGAUAUACUAUGAUUUCUUCAAGAGAAGGGGGAGGAGAUGGCUGGCCAUUUUCAAGCAACGGAAGACAAAUUGGCAUCCUCUUCAGCUUCUGACAACGGAAUACAUUAAUUUCUUCAAGAGAAUUGCAAAUCAGUUUUGCACUACAAAUGCUUUUCAGUUCUGGUAAUUCAAAUAAAUUCAGAAUUCUUAACUUUGGGAGAAUGACUUCCGUGAUAGAAUUGGAGGUGCUGCUUUCUUCAUCUGUUGUUCCUAUUAUCUCCUCCAUUUUCUCACACUCAUUAACUUCAAUCACUUCCAGGUUUACCAGGUUUGGCAGCAACACAAGUGGGAACAGCUUCUUCAUACUUUUACAUCUAACAUAAUAAAACUCUUUAAGACCAGAAAACAUACCAUUAUAUGAUGGCAAUGGUGGCGGAUCAAAGCAGAAACAAGAAGAUGAAACCAAGCUCUCCAUGCUAUUGCAAUCCACAAUGUUGAUGUGCUCCAGUUCAGUUGCAUUCUCUAAUGACAAAACAUCACAUAAACUUCUUGCAUCGAUGCAUUCACAAACCAGUCCUUGAAUGCCAUUUAAGAACUUGACCUGAAAAUCUCCGUCUCCGUUGAUACUCAAAUUACCCAACCCAACUGUUUUACUUGGAAAAUUCAAUGCUUGCCAAAUACACCCACCUCUCCUACUAAAAUUUUGUAUGUGCUUAAUGAUUGGAUCCCAUCCCGAGAUCUGAGAUACUCCACGAAGUCAGGGAAACCUUCGAAAUGGCAUUCCAAAGUUUCUAAAUUUCUCAAGGAUCCUACUUCCUUUCCUUUAACUGUUAUCGGAGCAUUCGUAAAAUUUUCUAGUACAAAGACUUGCAGGUGAGAGAGUUUUGGUAAUAUCCCACUAGGAAACUCCUUUUCACCACAUCCAUGCAUUCUAAGAUACCUCAGGUUGGUUAGGCAUUCCAUUCCUUGCGGCAUCUUUGCAAGUGCCCGAGUAUCAGAGAGAUCCAACCUCUUCAGUGCCCUGAGCUUCUUUAAUGAUGGAACAUAUCUUAAGUUCUCACACAUUUUGAGCAAUAACGCAGUGAGACUCACCAAAUCAGAGACAGAGUCUGGCAAGUUUUCAAUACCUGUGCAAGACAGAUCGAGGACCUUGAGCCCAUGCAAUUGCUUGAAAAAUGAAUCCGCAAUCAAUGCAACUUUAUUUCACAUAGAAAUAGAGUUGAAAUGGACACUUGGUGAAUACUGGAAGGAAUUUCUUGAUCUUGUUUUUCAUUAGUGAAACUCGUCAGAUUCUCCGUCCACUCCUCUGCAUUUGGCAGCUCUUUUAAUUGCGCACCUGCUUUAACCAUAACUUGAGAGUUGUCUUGUAGUAUUUGGAUGGCCAUGUCCCUAAUCAAGUCAUGCAUCUUGACACAUCUACGACCAUCGUCCAUUUUAGCACUUUCCAAUAGGCAGACAUUUUCAAGUCUAUUAAGCAUCGUGUGGCCCUCAUCAAAUGCAUCUCCCCUGCUCCUCAUUCCUUUAAUUAUUCCCUCAUCAAUCAAAUAACCUAUCAACUCCUCCCUUUCAAUCUUACCAUCUUCAGGAAAUAAUGCACAGUACAAGAGACAUCGUUGUAGUGCUAAAUCACCUAACCGAUCAUAACUAAACCUCAAUAACUUGAAUACUUUCUCAUCUAUGUCCCUAAAUUCUGAUUCUCUCAAUUUGUUCAAUGUAUUUCUCCACUCAUGUAGGUCAUCCACUCCCCUCAAGCUUCUUGCUACUGUAAUAAUUCCCAAUGGCAAACCAUCACAUUCCUCUGCAAUAGCUUUUGCAAUCCCUUCCACUUCUCGCGAAAGUGCUUUGUCACGUCCAAGUUUCUCCAAGAACAAAUUCCAAGCUUCUCCAUCAGAAAGUGGCUUCACUUUGAUUUUGUGAUUGCAAGCAAUUCCAUGACAAACCGUUUCUAAUCGAGUUGUCAAAAUCAACUUGCAUCCUUCCAACUUCUCAGGAAUUCCCACUUUGUCUAGCUCAAAAUCAUUCCACAAAUCAUCUAGAAUGAGAAUCCAUUUUUGUUUCUUCAUUAGUUCUUCUGACAAUUUGGCAGCUCUAUGCAGAUCAUCAUCUUCGCUUGAAAGGUCUAGAUGAAGACGUUUAGCAAUAAGAUUCUGCAAUCUAUUAAUGCUGAAAUCUUGAGACACAGUCACCCACCAAACAUGAUCACAAAUAUCUGGUCUUUGUGGAAGCUCAUUAUGGAUAUGUUGCAGUACUGUGGAUUUACCAACUCCCCCCAUCCCAUAAAUGCCAAUGGUUGGGACUUCAUCAUCCAUUAACAAAGACCAUAUCACCUUCGUAUUCUCUUCGAAUGCUUGACCCACCGGCAUUGUAGAGCUAGUAGGUAAUGGAACUCCUCUAGUCUUGUUGUAUUUCAGACUUUCAGAAGAUCUAGCUACAGCACCAACCUGCACUGAUCUUCGACUAUUCUCCACAUCCUCCUCCACUGGUUCUGUCCUCACUCUAACCCGAUUAAUUCUCUCUUCCCCGGCACAUUGUUCCAGCACCCCCUGAACUCCCACUUGUAUCCUUCCAGCAGCCCCUGCCAAAUUGCCAAGUACUGCAUUGCUUUGUUCCAACGAUCGAUCCACUGGUUCUGUCCUCGGUCUGCUCUCGAGUGCCCCUUCGGAAACUCCAUCUUCUUGUGCUCUCAUUCCGGUCAUGCUUACUACGUCGUUUCCUGCUAUUGCAUGUGAAGUAAUCCUCUCUUCCCCUACUCCGGGUUCUACAUCCUGAACUUCUCUUUGUACCAUUCCAAUUCCUCCUGUGAUUUUAUGUCUUUUGUUGCCACCACACAUAGCUUUCCAGGCUGCUUCUUGAACUUCUUUAGGCACCCCACGACAAAUGGCAACAUUAUGCCCUUCCUCUCCUGAUAAAUGCCAUUUGAUCCUUGAAAUUGUGGUUUUAUUGGCAAAUGUAUGUGGACAAAACUUACACUUCAUGCUACCAUCAUCAGCCCUUUCAACAUAAUUCCAAAAUGAAUUCUUUGGUCCACCCAUUUCAACCUGUAGGAAAAAACAAAAGGGGAGGGGGGGGGUUUAAAAUAUAGAAUAAACAUAAGUCAAAAUAAAGAAUAAAAAUUGAUGCAAAUUACAGCAUAUCCGGAUGGAUGAGAAACUACUUCUUCAGUGUUGUUAUUUUGCUAUUAAGAUUGAUAGUUAGUUUAUUGCACAAUCAUAGAAGGGAAAUAUACGAGGAUAAUUCAGUUAGACUUCUUACUUGUUGAGUAUUUAAACCCCUAUUUUGACUUUGCAGGGAAGUGCCAAGGCCAGGAUUUGAGGCAUUUGGCCUAGCAGUUUGAUUUUGCAAUCCUCGGACUUGGAGGUUAUCCAUCUGUGACCUAUAUAUAAAUGAAGUGAUCAUAUUAUAAAACCUUUCCAUAAUUGGUAGUCUCUUUUAAGCACUAAAAGUUAAUGGUGUUAAAACACAACAGCUAGAAGUCAAUCAGUACCUAGGCACGAAGUUCUCUUGUUGUACGUUGUCUAUGUUAGGAAUUACAGCAGCUCGAUCGACUUGUCCUUGAUUAGAAAAAUAUUGACUCCUGAAUCCAAAAUCAUUUGCAAACAAUAUGUUUAGCUUGUUGGGUUCAUGUUCAAGCUAUGAUGUUUCUUUCCUGAUUGAAAAUCUAUAUUUUUUUUUUUGGAGAAAAUACUAAACAUGAAAAAUAGGAUACCGGGGAGCAGGAAAAGAAGGUCCAGGUUGAAUGAAGCCAUCGUGUUCUGAAGUGGUUGCGUUCGGUGUCAUAUAGCCAUGUCCCGGCUGUGGUUGAUGAAUAUUGGAGUACUGAUGCCUGAAUAAUAUUCAAAUAGUUAAACUUGGAACUGUUAUUCUAACUUGGUUGAUUUUCUAGUUCCAUUAUGUGCACAAAAAAAAACAGAGAGAUAGAGAACUCAAAAAGACUCGAAAGAUCCUCGUCAAUUCUGGUCAAGUUUAUUAUUUUCAUGAUUAAAAAAGUGUAUAUUCAAAGUUAAUACCAUUGAUUCAAUGGAGGUUGAGGUCCAGGUAGCAUCGCAGGCACUUGAUUCCUCAUUGGUAACUGAUAAUUAGUCCAUUGUUGGUCCCUAAAUUAGCAGCAUUUGUUAGUAAUUUCUUAUACAUAUACGCAUAAUUCUUUACUAUUAAUCCACUAAGCAUUUGAUAUCAUUUUAGCUUACCUCAAAGGCAUUGAUGGUCCAGGUAGCAUGGGAUUGGCACAUCGAGGAUCAGAUAAAUUAGGAUGAGGCAGAUACCUAUAUUCAAAUAUAAUGAAUUCAUUUAGUGUAAUAAAUUGGCAUCACUGAUAAGAAUAUUAGGCAGAUAAGUAGAACAACAACAAGAAGUUAAAUAAUUAUGAAUAUUAUGUACAAGAAGAAUUUAAAUAAUGAUUAUUCUCACUUAGUUGAUUUUCUAGUUUCAUUAUGUGAAGCAAAUCAGGAGACAGGGGAAACAGGGGACUCUUGAAAGCUGAUUAAAGCUUAUUAGCUGUGGUUAUUAUUUCCCAUUUAGCUGAUAGUUUCCUAGUCAGAUUAGUAUUAGAUUUCAAUUACGUAUUGGAUCGUAAGUCCUUAGCUGUAGGGUAUUUAAGAGGGGAACAGAACAAAAGAUGGGACAUUAUUUGUAUUCUUGGCAAUUACUUUCUUUAAAUACAAAUUUGAGUGAUUCCUCUACAUAAAAAUUCUGUAUUAAAUUAUUUAUUGUUCUUACUGGGAGCAACGAGAGGUUGUACCGGAGGGCAUUUACAUUAAUAUGUGCACAAAAAAAAAAGAGAAAGAGAGAGAGAUAGAGAGCUCAAAAGAAGUUAAAUAAUGAUGAAUACCUUGAUGGAGUUUGAGGCCAAUUUGGUUCAUUUUGGUUGAUCCGUGAUGAUAUGGAGCUUUGGUUGUCUGGAACCUCCGGUGGCCUGCUUCCAUGGACAGUGACAUUAUUAGGAUAAACGGAAGAAUAACUAAAUUGCGAGCAAUCAUCUUCUGAUAAAAUAUGCUUACGAAUGACGUACGAGAGAAACUCAGAAAUAUUGAAUGUAUCUUCAAUGGUGUAUCUAAUUAUAAAAAUGAAGUGAUCAUAUUAUAAAACCUUUCAAUAUUUGGUAGCCUCUCUUAAGCAGUAAAUAUCAAUGGUGUAUCUAAUUAUCAAAAAGGUGUUAAUACCGUGUUAAAACACAACAGCUAGAAGUCAAUCAGUACCUCGUAGAGUUGCCAGAGUUUCGAGGCACGAAGUUCUCUUGUUGCAUAUUGUCUAUGUCAGGAAUUACAGCAGCUUGAUCGUCUUGUCCUUGAUUAGAAAGAAAUUGAAUCCUGAAUCCAAAGUCAUUCGCAAGCAUUAUGAAGCAUUACAAACUUAUGAUUAUCUAGCUGGGUUCAUGUUCAAGCUAUGAUGUUACUUUCUUCUUUGAAAAACUAUUUCUUUUUUUUUUACAGCAAAUAGUAAAUAUGAAAAAUUGGAUACCGGGGAGCAGGAAAAGAAGGUCCAGAUUGAUUGAAGCCACCAUGUUGUGAAGUGGUUGCAUUCGGUGUCAUAGAGCCAUGUCCCUUCUGAGGUUGAUGAAUAAAGGAGUUCUGAUGCCUGAAUAAUAUUCAAAAUAGUUAAACACAGAACUGUUAUUCUCACAAAAAGAGAGAUAGAGAGCUCAAAAAGACUUGAAAGAUCCUCGACCUCGUCAAUUUUGGUCAAGUUCAUUGUUUUCAUGAUUAAAAAAGUGUAUCUUCGAGGUUAAUACCAUUGAUUCAAUGGAGGUUGAGGUCCAGGUAGCAUCGCAGGCACUUGAUUGCUCAUAAUUGGUAACUGAUAAUUAGUCCGUUGUUGGUCCCUAAAUUAGCAACAUUUGUUAGUGAUUUCUUUAUACAUAUGCAUAAUUCUUUGCUAUUAAUCCACUAAGCAUUUGAUAUCAUUUUAGCUUACCUCAAAGGCAUUGAUGGUCCAGGCACCAUGGGAUUGGCACAUUGAAUAUCAAAUAAAUUAGGAUUACGCUGAUACCUAUAUUCAAACAUAACGAAUUCACUGAUAAGUACAACAACAAGAGGAAGAAGAAGAAGGAAGUUAAAUAAUGAUUGAAAUUUUUUUUAUUUUUUUUUCAGAAAAUACUAAACAUGAAAAAUUGGAUACCAGGGAGCAGGAGAAGAAGGUCCAGAUUGAUUGAAUUCACCAUGUUGUGAUGUGGUUGCGUUCUGUGUCAUAUAGCGAUGUCCCGUCUGAGGUUGAUGAAUAAAGGAAUAAUGAUGCCUAAUUCAAUGUAGCAAAUUGGAGUAAGCAUGAGUACUCACCAUGGUUUCAGGAAAUGAAGGUGGAAACUGAGUUGUUUGUUGAAUGAUAUCGUUGAUCGCAUUGUUCUGUCCACCUUGAUCAUUGCAUGAUAUGGAGCCUUGGUUGACUGGAACCUCCGGUGCCGGCCUGCUUCCAUGGAAUAAUAUAGAGGAUAAACUAAAGUAACUAAAUUGCAAGCAAUCAUCUUCUGAUAAAAUAUGCUUAAGAAUGACGUACGAGAGAAGUGGUGAUUGAAGAUCGAAAAGAUCAUCAUCCAUAGAAGAUGGUUGGAACCCUUCCAUCUGACCAAAAGUACAAGAUGAUUAGUACAUGCUGAGGUGAAAAAAGAACAGAAAGCACAUAGCAAAGAAAAAGAAAAAGUAUUAAUUAAAUAACUCUAAAACGCGUGGUGUUUUCACUGUAGCCAUCAUUGUAUUUUUUUUUUUAACAGUUUUUCUGUAGCAUUUUUUUUUCUGCUUUUUUUUCCUACUUUUGUUUCUUCUUCAUUUUUUUUACAUUUUUUUUUUUUUUUUUUACCCAAAAUUUUCUUUUUUUUUUCUUUUUCAAAUUUUUUUUUCAAAAUUAUCUUUGCUAAUUUUUUUAAAUAUUGAGCUGGUUGAAAAUUUAACUAUAUAUCUUUUUUCAUUAAAACAUUCUGGAUUGCUAUAAUGUAUUCAUACAUUGUUUUUUUUUUCUUUCUGAUUUGUUUAUUCUUUUUUUAAAAUGGUCUUUGUAGAUUUUUUUUUAUAUUAAGUUGGUUGAGAAUUUAGCUUUGUAGUUUUUUUUUUUUUAAAAAAAAAACAAUAUGGAUUGCUACAGUGUUUCCCUACAUAGUUUUGUUUUGCUGUAGUGUUCCCCACAUAUUUUUUAAAAAAUUAUCUUUAUCGAAUUUAUUUUUUCAAUAUUGAGUUGUCUGAUAAUCUAGCUUUACCUUUCCCCACAUGGUUUUUUUUUAUGUUUUCAUUUCUUUUUCUUUUUUUCCUCAAUUGUCAUUUUUUACAUGUUUUUUUUUGUUUUUUUCAGAAUUAUUUUUGUUGAUUUUACUUUUUUUGCUAUUGAGCUGGUUGAAAUUUUAGUUUUUUUGGUUUUUUCUUUAAAACACUGUAGUUUUCCCCGUGUGUUUUUUUUCUCGCCUUUGUUUCCUUUUUUUUACAUGUUUUUUUUUCAUUUCUUUUACCCAAAAUUGACUCUUUUUUUUUUUUUAAAUAGUCUUUGUCAGGUUUUUUUAUAUAUUGAGCUGGUUGAGAACUUAGCUUUUUAGCUUUUUUUUUUAAAAAAAAAAAACACUAUGGAUUGCUACAGUGUUUCCCUUACAUGGUUUUUGUUUGGCUGCAGUGUUUCCCCCACGUGUUUUUUUUUUAAAUUAUCUUUGUCAAAUUUAUUUUUUCAAUAUUGAAUUGGUUGAGAAUUUAGCUUUAGCUUUCCCCAUGUUUUUUUUUUCAUUUUUUUAAAUUUUUCCCAAAAUUGUCUUUCUUCUUUAUAUUUUCUUUUUUUUUUCAUAGUUAUUUUUGUUGAUUUUUUUUUUUACUAUUGGGCUGAUGUAUAAUUUAGUUUUUUUUAUUUUUUUUCUUUAAAACACUAGAUUGCUGCAGUAUUUCUCUACAUGGUUUUUUUAUUAAAUAAUUUUUUUUUUAGAAUUAUCUUUGUCGAUUUUAUUUUUUUCAUAUUAAGCUGAUUAAGAAUUUAGCUUUGUAGUUAUUUAAAACACUGAAGAUUGCUACAGUGUUUUCCCACAUAAUUUUUGGCUUGCUACAGUGUUUCCCUAUACAUUUUUUUGUUGAUGUUUUUUUUUUUCAAAUAUGUUUUUGUCAAAUUUAUUUUUUUCAUACUGAACCGGUUAACAAUUUGGCUUUUUUUCCUUAAAACAUCGUUGAUUGCUACAGUGUUUUCCCAUAUGCUUUUUUUCCUUAUGUUUUUUUUUUUUAAAAAAAUUGUCUUUGUCGUUUUUAUUGUUUUUGAUAUUGAGCUGGUUAAAAAUUACAACUGUAGAUUUUCUCAUGAAACACUAUAGAUUGUUAUAGUGUUUCCCUGGAUGUUUUUUUUCCUUUUGUUUUUUUUUAUAUAUUUAUCAAAAUUAUCUUUAUUGAAUUUUUUUUUAAUAUUGAGCUGGUUAAGAAUUAUAGUUGUAUAUUUCCUCACAAAACACUACAGAUUGCUACAGUGUUUUUUUAAAUGAUUUUAACAUUUAGCUGGUUGAAAAUUUAGCUUUAACUUUCCCCACAUGUUUUUUUUUCUAUUUUUUUAUUAUUUUCUUUUUGCUUUUUGUUCUUCCAAAAUUGUCAUCUUCUUUUUUUCAUUGUUUUUUUUUCAUAAUUGUUUUUGUCGAUUUUUUUUUUAAUAUUGAGCUGGUUGAGAAUAUAGCUUUAUAGUUUUUUCCUUUAAAAUAUUGUGGAUGGUAACAGUUUUUUUUUAUAUGAUUUUUUUCACAAAUCCACAAUAAUGCACAAGCAUGCUACAAGCCCGCGGCAUUGCGCGAGCAUGUCACGCCUUUUAAUAAUAUAUUUACUUAUUAAUAUAUUAUAUUAUUAUAAUUAUAAAUAUAAAUAUUAUUAUAUUGUGUUAUAUUAUAUUGUAUUAUAUAACUAUUUUUUUUAAUGAAUUUUUUUUGUUUGAUUUAGUUUGUUAAUGUUAAAAAAAUUUUAUUUAGUUAUCAGAUUAUCAGAUUUAGUAUUAUAUAACAAGUUAUUUUUUUUAUUUAGUUUAGUUUGUUAAAGUUAAUUUUCUUUCUAUUUAAUUAUCAGACUUUCAUACUUUCAUGACAGGUGUCUUGGGCUUGACGGGUUAACUUGGUUUGAUGGGUUAACCCAGUUAAUUCUGAGUAAAUCCGUCAUUUGUUUUUCUAUUUAGUUAUCAAACUUUCAUGAUGUGAAUCCCAAGUUUUACGGGAUAACCUGGUUUAAAGAGUUAACCCAAUUAAUUCAUUUUUUUUUUCUUUUUCUUCAUUAGUUUUUUCCUUUAAGUUGAUUUUUUUUCUUUGUUUUUUUUUAAUUAAUCUAUUUAAUUAUCACACUUUUAUGACACGACUUUAUAGCUAGACCCACAUCCAAUAUUCUUGAGUCCGGUGUUGCAGUCAGGCUCACUUAAUCUUGGGUCAUGCAAGUUUAAUUUUAUUAUUAAUAUUAUAAAUAUUACUCAUAGGUCAGGCGUUGUAGUCAAACUCAAGAUUCUUGGAUAUAGCUUUGCAAAAAAACCCAAAAUUUUUAAAUUUUUAUUUGUUUUAAUAUUUUUUAUGCAAAAAAUAGACCCGCGGCAUCGCGCGCGGGUCAAGUAUCUAGUAUAUAUAUAUAAAAUGUUAAGAGUGAAGAAAGUUUGUUGGCGAUAUUAUUAAACCUCGUCAGGAGAGUUAAUAUUAAAAUCUUCUAACCUAACUUUUUAUUUAAUUUAAAUUUUUAAUUAAAUUAUAUGAGAAUUAACUCAGUUUAAAUCGAUCAAUAUCUAAAUACAACUUAGAAAACUAGUAAAACAUGGCUUAGCUUUUAAAAAAAUUUUCUAGACAAUAACUUUUAAAAAAACAAAUAUUGAAACAAUGACAGAUUUGAUCGAUCCCAGUCCCUCGCGACCUGGGUCAUGGAUUCUAUUGGGUUUGGUAAUUUUUUAUAAGCUUUUUUUAUUUAAUUAUAUGAUAAAAAUAGAUGCUAUCAUCCUAAAAUAAAUAUUUAUUUAAGAUUUUGAUAACCCUAUAGAAAGCAAACAAAAAUAAAUCAUUUAGUCUAUUUCCAAAUCAAUCUAAUAUUGAAAGACAAAAUUGAAAAACAAAAAUAAAAAAAAAUAAAAAAACAGAAACAAAAAAAAACAUAUUCGAUCAAUGGGUGAACCUGUCAAAUUUAUGAAUCAGGUAAUUUAGGCUAGCACAUCAAACCUAUGAACCAGGUUAUGGACUUAACUAGGAUUAUAAUUUUUUUUUUAAAUUAUUUUUAUUUAAUAAUAUCAUAACAAAAAUAAAUAACUGUAAAAUUAAAUACCAACCCAAUAUAUAUAUAUAUAUAUGCUAAUUUGGCUCAUAUAUGAAAUAGACAAAAAACGUUUUUUAAAAAAUGAUAAUAAAAAGGAAAGAAAAGGCAAAACAUUAUCGAUUACUAUUGUAAUCCAUAAUGAAAUGAGUGUGGGUGAAUAGUUAUUCUCUUACAUCUUUUAGUUAUAUAUAUGCUAAUUUGGCCCAUAUAUGAAAUAGACAAAAAAAGUUUUUUAAAAAAUGAUAAUAAAAAGGAAAGCAAAGGAAAAAUAAUAAAAAAGGCAAAACAUUAUCGAUUACUAUUGUAAUCCAUAAUGAAAUGAGUGUGGGUGAAUAGUUAUUCUCUUACAUCUUUUAGUUUUUCUUUUAAUUAAUAAACAAAAAAAUAUCCCACCAAACAAACUAGUGUAAUUUGAGUUAUUUUAACAAACUUGUAAAUCAAGUUAAUCUUAUAAAAAAAUAGAAUAAAAAUUAAUAAAUUAAAGCUGAAUUAUAACCAGCCUAUAAUUAAUAAAUUGUAAAUCCCGGCUGAGGUUGAUGAAUAAAGGAAUUAUGAUGCCUUGAUGGAGUUUGAGGCCAAUUUUAUAUAAAACUUAAUGAUAAAAAAAUAUCAUAAAAAUUGUGUAAAUAUCCCAAUUGUUGUCUGUUUGUUUAACAGUAAACAAUUUGAAGAUGCUCGAGAUCGAUACACUAAACAUAAAACUUUUUGAAUAAUACAAACACUUGCUAAUUCAAUGCACAUUGUAGCAAAUUGGAGCACUCACCAUUGUUUCAGGAAAGGAAGUUGGAAACGGAGUUGUUUGUUGAAUACUAUUGUUGAUCACAUUGUUCUGUCCACCUUGAUCAUUGCAUGAUAUGGAGCUUUGGUUGACUGGAACCUCCGGUGGCGGCCUGCUUCCAUGGACAGUGACGACAUUAUAUUGUUUUUUGGCAAUAAUUGGAUAAACCGAAGAAUAACUAAAUUGCAAGCAAUCAUCUUCUGAUAAAUAUGCUUAAAAAUGACGUACGAGAGAAACUCAAGCUCAGACAGUGGUGAUUCAAAGUUGUCAACCUCCUCCAUAAAAGAUGGUUGGAACCCUUCCAUCUGACCAGAAAAGAUCAGAAAAGACAAAAAAAAACUGAGGUCUAAAAGAACAGAAAGCACAGAUCAGAAAAGAAUAUAUAUAUAUAUAUGACUUUCUUGUUUGUUAAAGAAAUUCGGAUGAAAAAUAUGAAAUAUAAAUGUUGUUGUUAAUGAUUUAAUCCUUUGUCUUUUAAGAUAAAUUUUCAUACUCAAAUUCUUUUUAUGAUAGAUAGAAAGAUGCAGGAUAACUAUUGAAGGUAGAAGAGCUGAUUGUUUUGACGGGGUGAACAAAAACCUCUUUCAACUCCUCUUUAUUCAUAAUUUGGGGAGCAAAACAAAUGCAAGAUUCAUUGUUUACUGUUAAACAAACCUCUUUCAACUCCUAUUUAUUCUCUUUUAAUUAUUCUUAUUUUGUUUAUUGAAAGGUAAUUACCGAUCAAGUUAAUUCAUUGAAUCAUUGUAAGAAAAAAAAGUUGAAAAAUACUGAAUAAAAAUGAAUGGCAGUCCCAUUAAUUGGAAAAGAAAAGGGUGAAUCUAAAAUAAGGAGUUAAAAAAGGCAAAGAAUCUUGAAAAGACGAAAACAAUGAAUUCAGUAUUGAUUUAGUAUGAACUCUCUCCACAAGGCAUGGAUUAUAAAAUCCGAGAAAAAGAUCAAUUUAUUUACCAUGGAUUCCUUUAAAGAUUCAAACCAUACUUACAUAAUAAUUUACCAACAGGACUCAAGUGCUGGUUUGCUUGAGCAGUAUUCAGCCAAAAGAAAAGGAAGAGAAAUCACAGAUCACAGAAGAAUAUAUGGUUUAGAAAAAUAAUAAAGUUGCAGCAUACAUAAAUCUAGUUCGCACUGAUCAUGAAAUGUAGAAAGGAAAAUAGGGAGUUGUAUAAUGAGAUGAGAUGUGGAAGAGAAUGUUACAGCAGCAAGGUCGCCUCAAUAAUACUAUUUAUUAGUAAGGUCGCCUCAAUAAUAAUAAUUAAUUAACGUAUUGUUUGAUAGGAAGGAAGUUGCCACGAAGCAACCCAAACAUAUUACAUUAUAAGAUAUAGAAGCCCCCAUGUUCACACUUCGUAGAAGCUGCCAAGAAAAUGUAAACACAUGAAAAUGAGAAAGAAGCAUACCCCAUCUCGUGAAGUUCUACGUGUACGUAUUUAACUUUACAAUAUUCUUUGCUGUGAAAAUAUAUCAUGUAUAAUUAAUAAAUAAUAUAAGUGCUUAUACAUCUUCUUUUCUUUUCUUUUUUUAACUUUAAACAGAGAGGUGGCUGCCCCAAUACAUUCGGCCUGCCGACACUUAUUUUUUUGGGAGUAUUAAUUCCGUGAUGGAAUUGGAGGUGCUUCUUUCUUCAUCUGUUAAUCCUGUUAUCUCCUCCAUUAUCUCACAAUCACUAGCAUCAAUCAUUUCCAGGUUUAUGAGGUUUGACAGCAACACAAGUGGGAACAGCUUCUUCAUACUCUUACAUCCAUAACAAUAAAACUCUUUAAGACCAGAAAACAUACCGUCAAUGCUACGGGUUGUUGCAAAGUAAAUAGGAAACUUCAUCCAUAGACAAAUCUUUUCUGAUCGGGUUGCAAGAAUAUCUAGACCAUCUAAAAUCAGAACCAAUUUCUGUUUCUCCAUUAUUUCCUUUUUCAAUUCUACCACCCUAUGCAGCUCCUCAUCUUCAUUAGAAAUAUUCAGACCAAUACGUCUUUCAUUUCCACCAUGUUCUGCACAUCACACAUAAUGACAUCUUUGUUUAGCGAUGGAGCACAGAGUUGAUCAUAAUAUAUCUCUUCCAUGGUCAAGACACAAUGGAUCUGCUGGUUGAGAUGAAUCUCCAUCACAACCCAACAUCAUGAGUGCAAAUAAUGGUGGAGCCAGAAUAAAUAAAAAGCAAAGAUUUGCAUGUGGCUAGUGAAGGAGAAUGAUGCUGGCAAAGCAGGACCGACAAUGGAACUCCAUGAAGAACAGCAAAAAAAGCAUGGGAUUUUGACGGUGCCGCUCAAAAGUGUGGAUGCGGUUUACGAGGUUUGACAGCAACACAAGUGGGAACAGCUUCUUCAUACUCUUACAUCCAUAACAAUAAAACUCUUUAAGACCAGAAAACAUACCAUUAUAUGAUGGCAAUGAUGGUGGAGCAUUGCAGAACCAAGAAGAUGAAACCAAGCUCUCCAUGCUAUUGCAAUCUUGAAUGUUGAUGUCCUCCAGUUCAGUUGCAUUCUCUAAUGACAAAGCAUCGCAUAAACUUCUUGCAUCGAUGCAUUCACAAACCAGUCCUUGAAUGCCAUUUAAGUACUUGACCUGUAAAUCUCUCUCUGUUGAUACUCAAAUUACCCAACGCAACUGUUUUACUUAAAAAAACUCAAUCCUACCUAAUUUAUUUUAAAAAAAAAUUAUGUUUUUUUUAUUGCGGCAUAACAGUGUUGGCAGUACCGUUGUUGUUUGGAGUUUGGAGUUUGGACUUUGAGCAGCAGUAGAUAUCUCCAGCGUACUGUUACCUGCCGGCUAGAAAAGGUAUGUUGCUGUUUUUAAGUUUACUAGAGAGAGGGCAGAAAGCCUUGAGAAAAUAAUUUCACAUUCUGUGUGGUAGAAACCUGAUUCCACCCAAAAAAAAAAAAUAACACGGUAAUUGAAGCAAAUUAAAAGAAUAAAAGAAAAUAUAAAAUGAUUUAAUAGAGAACAAAAAUUAAUUUUCAAUGCAGAUUAAAAUAAAGCAAAGUGACUAAUGAAAAAGGUACUUAAAUCCUACAAGCAGCAGAUAGAUAGUCGGAAUCCCUUGCGCACACAUUUGAUAUAUAGAUAAUUAAAUCAACAUUAAACCAAAUUAAUGUAACCCUUUUGAAAAAUCAUCCACUCCUUUUUCAUCAGAGACUAACUUGUAGCCCUUUACGAUACCUUUCCAACGUAUCAAGAAUCAGAGCAAUUCGAUAUGUGUGUGGAAAGUUACGAUUAAAAUACUUUAAGUGUAUCUAGGUUAUUUCUAAGAAAAAAAACAUUACUUUAAGUUUAUCCAAGCUGCUGUUUAAAAAGUCAAGAAAAUAAAGUUUUCGAUUAAAAUAAAAUAAAAUAAAAACUUUGAGGGGAAAAAAAAGCACGCCUAUGAAGCUUGAUAGUAUAUCAAAUUAGAGGCUCGAUUAAAAAAUGCCCUUUAAUUUCUAUUAUUUCUAUUCACAUUUUAGCAUUUUAUUCCAAUGACAGAGCAUUUGGAAUGCACUUUCAUAGACUCAUCAAAACCCCAGGAACGCCAUCAAGCAUUAGCUUCAAACAACCAGAUCGGGAGCUUCAGUGCAGUAGAAAACUUUAACAUCUGCUAUGAAGCUUGAUUUGCUAUCCAAUCCACACACAAGUUUUCCAUUGAUACAAAGAUACUGUAUUUUUAACCAUCUAGUAAGUGAUCCAGUGGUAAGAGUUAAGGACCAAAAAGUUUGUUUUUUCUUGUGAUUUCAGGUUCAAGCCUUAUUGUUGCCAAUAUUAAUGGUCACGGGAGACUUACUUGGUCAUUAACUUUAAAAUCCGUGAGAAUUAUUCAAGGUGCGCGUAAGUUGGCCUGGAUACUGUAUUUUUAACCAUCUAGUAAGUGAUUUGCUAUCCAAUCCACACACAAGUUUUUCAUUGAUACAAAGAUACUGUAUUUUUAACCAUCUAGUAAGUGAUCAAGUAGUAAGAGUUAGGGACUAAGAGGUUUGUUUUUUCUUGUGAUCUCAGGUUCGAGCCUUAUUGUUGCCAAUAUUAAUGGUCACGGGAGACUUACUUGGUCAUUAACUUUAAAAUCCGUGAGAAUUAUUCAAGGUGCGCGCAAGUUGACCUGGAUACCCCCAAUAAAAAAAAAUAUUGUAUUUUUGUUGCUGGGAAAUUGUCAACCAAUAACUUUUUAUCUUGUUUCCAAGUUUUCUAGAUGACUUUUUUCUUUCAUCUCAAAAUCAUAAAUAAAAAGUAAAUAAAAUAAAAUUUUGAAUCAAAAAUAAAAAUAAAACAAUAAAACAUGCAAAAAGUCUAGGGAUCAAGAUUUUAAAAACCAAGCCUAUGCUACUUUCUUGUUUUAAAUAUUCAAAACAAGGCUCCAUUAUCAUAUAUUCAUAGAGACAUAUAUACCAAUGUAGCUUUUGAUGUUUACCGGUUUGGAUGUCUAUAUGCUUUUAAAUAUUUUUUAAAAUUUAUAUUUGUUUUUAAAAAAUAUUAAAUUAAUAAUUUUUUUAGUUGUUCUUAAUGAUUUUGAUGUAUUGAUAUUAAAAAAAAUCUAAAAAAUUAUUUUUAAAAAAUACUUAUAUAACAUUAUCAAACACAUGAUAACCUUGUCCAAAAGCUUUCUACCGAGCAUAAAAUGGUUUUCAACCCAAUCAUACUUUGUCCUCAUUAUAAAUAUAAAAUAAAGUUCAAGUGAAGUAGGGUCCAAUCUUAAAUGGUUCAAACAUUAUUGUUAGAACGUGACAGUGUCCCAUCAUUAGUAGUGUAGCACGUGCCAUGUCUUAAGCUUAUGUGAUCCGAAAACAAGGCAAUUGGUGUUUGAUGAAAUUAGCUCACUAAAAAUAAAAUAAAAUAAAAUCCUCUGUGAACUAAUUAAUUACUCAAUUAAUUCCUAAAUUAGUUUUUUUUAUUGUUUUUCACAAAAUUUAUAAAAAUAAAAAUAUUUUAUUAGAUAUUUUAGAUACUCCACUAUUAUAAUAUUUUAUUUAAGUUUAGAUUUUUAUUUCAAAAUUGAAUUUUAUUUAAUGUAACAAGUAUUAUGAUGUUUUAUUUUAUCUGAUAAAUUUUGAAGUAUUAUUUGAUUUUAUUAAUUUUUAAAAAAUAUAUUUUAAAAAAUUAUGAAAUGAUGUGCAAAAUUUAUAUGUUCCAAAACUUAACAUAAAUAUGAUGUUUUUAUAGCACUGCUUUUACAUUGUCGGUCAUGUACCCUAAAGUCGUUUCAUCACAAUAAUGAACAAUACAACAAACAUUGUUGCUAUGCCUAACUCUUGAUUGUCUCCGGUCCUCCAAGGCAUUCCUCCACUCCUUGGUUAACUAUCUCAUGGAGGUUAACUCCCUCCAACUCUCCUACCGAUAAAGUAAGGAAGCCAUUUACACUUCAUAAGAAACCCUAAUAUAACAAACAGAGGAUCUGUAAGUUUCAGAGAACGACAUCAAUUUAAUUACGCGAAGUUCAAUCUUUUUUCCUCUACAAAUUAAAUCAUGUACGUAAACCUGUUACCUACAUUUUGUAAUAUUUCUGGAUCUGCUCUUUGAUUCAUCAAGGACAGAGUUGAUUGCAGCUUCGUCAUAGAAAAGUUCGUCUUCUUCAUCUUCUUGGUUGGCGAGGAAAUAUAAGUGGACUCUUCUCCAGUUUAAGGAUUCCAACCUAGCACAUGAAUGAUAAAGGGCAGAGUCAUCAUUUAAAUAAUAAAGGGACGAAGGACAUCCUUAGCAUUAGGAUGCUUCCAUUCCACCACUGACUCUCACUAUUCUUUUGGAUGUACUCCAUCACUCUAAGAGAAGGGGGAUGAGAUAGCUGGCCAUUUUCAGCAUCUGACAAUUUGUUAUCCCAAUUUAUUGGAGAGAGUCGCAGAUCAAACUCUUUAAAAAUAGAAAUAUACCAUGAUAAGAUGGAGAUGAUGGUGGAGCGAAGCGGAGCAGAGCCAAGAAGACGAAAUCAAGCUCUCCAUGUUAUAGCACUUCCAAAUGUUGAUACUGGCAUUUAUUGAAAUGAAACUUAAAAUCAACUGUUUUGAAGCCAUUUGAUAGCUAAGAACUCAGAAUCCAUGAGAUGAAGUAUUUGGCAAAGCCUUCCCCGUGAUUGGAGCAACCUCACUAAUUUAUCGACGAAAUGGCUAAAAUUGUCUACCUCUUAACUAAUCUUUAGCAAAUUAUCUGAAUUAGGUUUUACCGAAACGAAAAUAAUAAAUUUGUUCUAUUACUAUCAACUGCCAGAACUCCUGACAAGUAAUUACGACCAGUUUUUUAACAUCCAAGCUCUUGUAAUCUCACAAACGCUUGAGACCCAAACCCAAUCAACAGAUCAGAGAACCUUCAUUUGUUAAGGCUCCAUGCACCAGAACCGGAGAAGGAGCUAGGCUGCGGGGUGUUCGAUGGUUGAAAAGGGAACGUGAAUUGUGCUGGAGAGCAUGCCGGUGGCGAUGUGUUUGGAGCUUAGCCUGGUGCUCUCCAAAUCCUUACUAAAUUAUUAGAAAGUAACAUUAUAACAUUUUUAAAUCUGUUUAAAUUUUUUGGUUUAAGAUAAUUUUUUAAUAUUAUAAGUCAUUUAUUAAGUUAAUUCAAAUUAAUUAUUUUUAUUAAAAUAAUAUCAUUUCAUUUUUUUAAUUAAUCUGGUCAGAUAUAAUAACUAGGUUUGAUUGAAUCGGUCAAAUUUUACAAAUCAAUAUCUUAUAUGGUUUAAUUAUAAACCCAAUCUAAGUUAAAUUUUGGCUAAAGAAUACAUUUUGGAGAGUUGAAUCAAUAAUAUUGCUUUAUAUCACAGCUAGGCAGAUAGCAGAAGGCUAGUGACUGCUGGGCAGAAAGCCUUAAUUAGGAAAUAACUUCAUAUUCUGGGGGUAGAAACCCCACGAACGCAAUCAAGCAUUUGCUUCAAACAAUAAGAGGGAGCUUCAUUGCGGUAGGAAACUUCAACAUCUAUUAUAAAAAUGCAAUCAAACAUAAUUCUGAGUACAAAAACAAAUUACGUUUUGAUUGCGAGCAUAACAAUCUUGGCAGUAAGUACCAUGAUCUUUUCCAAUUGAGUUAAUCCCACAUUGAAAAGAUACUAUGUUAUCUUUUUAAGUUGAAGUAUUUAAACCAAAAGGUUUUUUAUCCCACAUUGAAAAAACAUGAUGUUUUUCCUUGGAAACAUAGAGUUUAUAUGCUAAUGGGUUUCAAAUCCCACAUUGAAAAAACAUAACUUUUUUCAUGGGAAUAUAGAGUAUAUAUAUGAAAGUGCUUCAAAUCCGACAUUGAAAAGAUAUUAUGUUAUCAUUUUAAGUUGAAGUAUUUAAAUCAAAAGGUUUUUUUAUCCCACAUUGAAAAAACAUGAUUUUUUCCUUGGGAACAUAGAGUAUAUAUACUAAUGAGUUUCAAAUCCCACAUUGAAAAAACAUAACUUUUUUCAUGGAAACAUAGAGUAUAUAUAUGAAAGGGCUUCAAAUCCCACAUUGAAAAGAUACUAUGCUAUCCCUUUAAGUUGAAGUAUUUAAACCAAAAUGUUUUUUUAUCCCACAUUGAAAAAACAUGAUUUUUUCCUUGGGAACAUAGAGUAUAUAUACUAAUGGGUUUCAAAUCCCACAUUGAAAACAUAUAAGUUUUUUCAUGUGAACAUAGAGUAUAUAUAUGAAAGGGCUUCAAACCCCACAUUGAAAAGAUACUAUGUUAUCAUUUUAAUUUGAAAUAUUUAAACAAAACAUUUUUUAUCCCACAUUUAAAAAAAAAAACAAAAAACAAGUCUCGUCUGGGUUCGCCCGGGUUUGGCCGGGCUGUUGCCACAACCGGUCUUUUAUUAAACCCGGACAGGUCCAGCCACCGGGUCCCGGGUCGACCCGUCGGGCCGGGUUUAAUAACACUGCUUUUAAACCCUCUUUUUCAUCACGUCCCCAUGGUCCCCGUGUCCCACAUGUUUUCAUCAAAAACCAAAAUUUUAGGACUUCUUUGGCAGCCAUCUAAAAAUAUAUAAAAAUAAUAUUUUUAAUUUUAAAAAUUAUUUUUAAUCAAUACAUUAAAAUAAUCUAAAAAUAUUAAAAAAAAUCAAAAUUUUAAAAGCACAAGCAUUCCCAAACAAGGUAAUGCGUCAAGAAUCACAACAAUAUGACAUGUGAGUGGAAAGUUGUGAUUAAAAAGCAUUACUACUUUUAGAGUGAUUUUUGACAGCGUAGCAGGAAAUGUCAUUAUUGUUAUUUUUAAAAUAUUUUUUUUAUUUAUAAAUAUAUUAAAAUGAAAGUUGUUAAUUUCGUUUUGUUUUAUUUGUAAUGAUUUCAUACCAAUUCAACAAAUAAAAUAAAACAAAAUAAUUUUCAUCUCAUUUCAAAUCUCGGUCCCUUCCAAAUUUUUCGGCUAAAUUCCGUUCAGAAUGUUCCGGUUUCAUUCCACAUGUUCUGUUCCGGUUUUAAAAAGCCAUUGAAUCAAAUUGAACCUGGUUCAAUUAAUUAAUUAAACAUCAAAGUAUAAAAAGCUCUUUUUCAUUACUAUUUUCAUUAACUAUGAUAUUAAUUUUUUAAAAUUUGAUUUAUCACUAAUAUAUAUGGUUUAUAUUCAUGUUGUUUUUUUUUCAAGUUUAUACUUUGUAGGAAUUUAAGCAAAAAAAAUAGAUGUUUUAGAUCUCAUUAGCCUUGAUAACAUUGACCUAGUUUUAUAUUUAAAAUAUUAGUGUUAAAAUAUUUUAAUUUCAUAAUAUUUUGAUAUUUUAUUGAAGUUGAAUUGUUUUAAGUUAAAAAAUUAUUUAAUCUUAACUAUUUAAAAAUAUUUUAAAUUUUAAAAUUAUAUUUCAUCACGUCUCCAUGAUCCCCGUUGUGUCAAAAACAAAUUGCCUAAAUUUUAGGCUUUAGCAGUUCCUUUUUUAAAAUCCUCAUUAGUGAAAUUUCACGACUCCAGCUGGGCCUUGACUUGUCUGUUUAAUUUUUAUUAUUUUUAUUCCAUUUUAGCAUUUCAUACUCAUCAAAACCACAGGAACGCAAUCAAGCUUUAGCUUCAAACAACCAGAGGGAGAUUUUAUAGGGAUAAAAUUUUAAAAAUCACGCCUAUGCUACUUUCUAGUUUUAGUAUUAAAUUUAGUAUUUAAAAAAUGUGUUUAUGAAUAUGGCAGUUUCAGGUUUAGACAUUUUAAAAAUGUGUGUAGAAGAAUACUUUCACUGAUGAUUUAUAAUAUUAGGUUACUUUAAUGAUAAAUCAAUAUAGUAUUUUUUUUUUAUUUUUUGGAUUUUCAUCUUGGAGAAAUUCAAUAGGAUGAAAAUAUAAUAUUAAUCAAACUUCAAAUUAUGAUUGUUUAUCUAUCGAGUUAAAAAAAAAUAUGACAAUUUAAUAUUCUUUAAUGAAAUAAAAAAAUGAAAAAUGUUAUUUAUGUAAUUGUAAGCAUACUAUAUUAUAUUACUUUAUAAAGGGACGAAGGACAUCCUUUGCGUUAGGUUGCUCCCACUCCACUACUGACUCCUACCAUUCUUUUGGAUAUGCGUCGAUUUCUUUAAGAGAAGGGGGAGGAGAUGGCUGGCCAUUUUCAAGCAACGGAAGACAAAUUGACAUCCUCUUCAGCUUCUCACAAGCCAUUACACUAAUUUCUUCAAGAGAAUUGCAAAUCAGCUUUGCACUGCAAAUGCUUUUCAGUUCUGGUAAACCAAACUUUGGGAGAAUGACUUCCGUGAUGGAAUGAGAGGUGCUGCUUUCUUCAUCUGUUGUUCCUAUUAUCUCCUCCAUUUUCUCACAAUCAUUAACUUCAAUCCUUUCCAGGUUUACGAGGUUUGGCAGCAACAUAAGCGGGAAUAGCUUCUUCAUACUUUUACAUCCAUAACAAAAAAAAUCUUUAAGACCAGAAAACGUACCAUUACAUAAUGGCAAUCGUGGUGGAGCAGAGCAGAACCAAGAAGAUGAAACCAAGCUCUCCAUGUUAUGGCAUUUCCGAAUGCUGAUGCGCUCCAGUUCAGUUGCAUUCUCUAAUAACAAAACAUCACAUAAACUUCUUGCAUCGAUGCAUUCACAAAACAAUCCUUGAAUGCCAUUUACGAACUUGACCUGAAAAUCUCCAUCUUUGUUGAUACUCAAAUUACCCAACCCAACUGUUUUACUUGGAAAACUUCAAUGCAUUGCUCUAUAUCUACCCACCUCUCCUACGAAAAUCUUGCAUGUGCUUAAUGAUAGGAUCCCAUCCCGAGAUCUGAGAUACUCCACGAAGUCAGAAAAACCUUCGAAAUGGCACUCCAAAGUUUCCAAAUUUCUCAAGGAUCCUACUUCCUUUCCUUUAACUGUUAUCGGAGCAUCAUCUCCAUAAACUUUCUAGUACAAAGACUUGCAGGUGAGAGAGUUUUGGUAAUAUCCCACUAGGAAACUCCUUUUCACCACAUCCAUUCAUUCUAAGAUACCUCAGGUUGGUUAGGCAUUCCAUUCCUUGCGGCAUCUUUUCAAGUCGAGUACGAGAGAGAUCCAACCUCUUCAGUGCCCUGAGCUUCUUUAAUGAUGGAACAUAUCUUAAGUUGUCACACUUACGGAGCAAUAACGCAGUGAGACUCACCAAAUCAGAGACAGAGUCUGGCAAGUUUUCAAUACCUGUCCAAGACAGAUCGAGGACCUUGAGCCCAUGCAAUUGCUUGAAAAAUGAAUCCGCAAUAAAUCGCAACAUAUGAUUUUUACAUAGCAAUAGAGUUGAUAGAAAGGGACACCUUGGUGAAUAGCUGGAAGGAAUUUCUUCGAUCUCGUUUCUCAUUAGUGAAACCAUCGUCAGAUUCUCCGUCCACUGCUCUGCAUCUGGCAACUCUUUUAAUUGCGCACCUGCUUUAACCAUGACUUGAUAUUCGUCUUGCAGUAUAUGGAUGGCCAUGUCCCUAAUCAAGUCAUGCAUCUUGACACGUCUAAUAUCAUCAUAAUCCAUUUUAGCACUUUCCAAUAGGCAGACAUAUUCAAGUCUAUUAAGCAUCGUGUGGCCCUCAUCAAAUGCAUCUCCCCUGCUCCUCUUUCCUUUAAUUAUUCCCUCAUCGAUCAAAUAACCUAUCAACUCCUCCCUUUCAAUCUCAUCAUCUUCAGGAAAUAAUGCACAGUACAAGAGACAUUGUUGUAGUGCUAAAUCACCUAACCGAUCAUAACUAAACCUCAAUAACUUGAAUACCUUCUCAUCUAUGUCCCUAAAUUCUGAUUCUCUCAAUUUGUUCAAUGUAUUUCUCCACUCAUGUGGGUCAUCCACUCCCCUCAAGCUUCCUGCCACUGCAAUAAUUCCCAACGGCAAACCAGCACAUUCUCUAGCAAUAGCUUUUGCAAUUCCUUCCACUUUUGGUAAAAGUGUUAUGUCACGUUCAAGUUUUUCCAUGAACAAAGUCCAAGCUUCUCCCUCCGAAAGUAGCUUCACUUUGAUCUUGUGGUGGCAAGCCAUCCGAUGACAAACCGUUUCUGAUCUAGUUGUCAUAAUCAGCUUGCAUCCUUUCAAUAGCAUAGGAAUUCCCACUUCAUCAAGCUCAAAAUUGUGCCACAAAUCAUCUAAAAUGAGAAUCCAUUUUUGUUUCGUCCUUAAUUCUUCUGACAAUUUGGCAGCUCUAUGCACAUCAUCAUCUUCGUUUGCAAGGUCUAGAUGAAGACAUUUAGCUAUGAGAUUCUGCAAUCUAGUAAUGCUAAAAUCUUGAGACACUAUCACCCACCAAACAUGAUCACAAAUAUCUGGUCUUUGUAGAAGCUCAUUGUAGAUAUGUUUGAGUAUUGUCGUUUUACCAAUCCCCCCCAUCCCAUAAAUGCCAAUGGUUGAGACUUCAUCAUCCAUUAACAAAGACCAUAUCACCUUUGUAUUCUCUUCAAAUGCUUGACCCACUGGCUUUGUGGAGCUAGUAGGUAAUGGAACUCCUCUAGUCUCACAAGAGCUACCUCUCUCCAGAUGCUGCACUUGUUCUGUUCUCGGUAUAGUUUCAGAUCCAUCAUGCAGACGCUCCACAUCCUCAUCUUCCUGCAUUAAAUACGUAGAGAUUUCAUUCAGCUGCUGCUCCUUUGAAAGGGCAGAGUGUAUCUGAACCCAAGUGCCAUCAGCAAAUUGAUCCACUACAUCUGUUCCUGGUGUUGCUUCUCCUCUAUUCUCAUAAGGAGAGACACUUCUGUCAACAUGCUGAAAAGAUUCUUCACCAGUGUACUCCAUGCCUUGAACUCCCGCUUGCAUCCUUCCAGCAUCCCCUGCCAAAUUAACAAGUACUGCAUUGUCUUGUUCUUGAGGACAGGUGGAAAUGGCAUAAUCAUUAACAUUGCUUGAACUUGCUAUGCUUUUAUGUCUUUUGUUGCCACCAUUCAUAGCUAGAAAGGCUGCUUCUUGAACUUCUUUAGGCACCCGACCACAAAUGCCAACACCAUGCCUUCUCUCUCCUGAUAAAUGCCAUUUGAUCCUCGAAAUGGAAGUACCAUUGGCAAAUACAUGCCUACAAAACUUACACUUCAUGCUUCCAUCAUUCAUAUCUUCAACAUGAUUCCAAAACGGAUCAUUUGGUCUAACCAUUUUGUCCUAUAGAUAAAAAGGGUCAAAAUAUUGAAUAAAAAUUAAUGGAAGUACAUUAAUUGGAAAAGGAAGGUUGAAACUAAAAUAAUAAGUUACAAACGGCAAAGAAACUAAGAAGGAAAAAAAAUGAAUUCAAGGUUAACUUGGGGUCAAUUUAGUAUGAACUCCAUAAGGCAUGGAUUGUUACAACUGAGAAAGAUCAAAUUAUUUAUUUUUGGAAGCUUUUGAUGAUCCUAACUCCAAAGUUUCUCAUUAGAAUUUCUACAACUUGUGUUUUACUUGAAAGAUUCAAACCAGAGUUACAUGUGAAAAACAAAAUGAAGAAGAUGGAGUAUAAAUAAUUUACCUGGAUUCAAGUAGUUCUUCAAGUGCUGGUUUGCUUAAGUAGUAUUCAGGAAGAAAAACAAGAUCAGAGAAGAAUAUAUGGUUUAAAAAUAACAAGGAAGUUGCAAGAUGAUGAGCUCCAGAUGAUCAUCGGAAAGGUUUAAGAAAUUUGAUGAGGGAAAUUGGAAAUCAAUGGUAUAAUGAGAUGAGAUUUGGAAGAGAAUGUUACAGUAGCAAAGAUUCUUUUAUUGUUUGACAAGAAGUUGCUAGGAAAAAAGCCAUAACUUUCCUACCAAAGAUUAUAUUACAAGAGACAACAAGUUGCUGUACACCUCUAUUUCGCUUUUCAUUUGUCUACCGCUGCAUAUAAUUAAAAUCUUCAACAAAAGAAUCAGAAGAUAAAAAUUAUUUAAAAAAAAAACAUUUCUGACAAUAAUGCCAAACACUUUAACUCGUGGACCCACCCCAUUGUUGAAACUUUGAAAAAGCUGACCAAAGUCUAGGACUUCGAUGAUACUUAAAUAAUGUUCCUACCGUUACAUAACUUAAAGAAUAUAUAUAUACAUAACUUAAAGAAUACACACACACAAAGCAGCACAAACAAUAAUAAUAAUUUUGGAUGCAAAACAAGGUUUUUUUAAAAUUUUAAUCAAUUUUUUUUAUAAUUUAAUUUUUUCAAUUAUUUUUUAUUUCAAUUUUCUCGAUUUUUGUCUCAUCCCUACCCAUCAGUGUAUUAAUUAGCCAUUCCUUUCCUUGCAUGUUCUCCUUUUUUUUUUUUCUUUUUUUUUUUCUAUGGCGCAAUUGCCAAAAAAUACCUCUUUUUGUAAAGGAGACAGCCCUCCUUUUUCAUCGCGUCUCCAUGAUCCCACAUGUUUUCAUCAAAAACCUAAAUUAUAAGAAUUCUUAGGCAGCCACGUACAUGCUUCAGGAGUUCUUUUUUCAAAAUCCUCAUUAGAGAUUAAUUUAAAACAAAUUAAAAUAAUUAUGAUUAAAAUUAUUAAAAUAAUUUAAAAAUAUAAAAAAUUAUUUAAAACAAAUUAAAUAUUUUAAAAACACAACAUUCUCAAACAAGAUAACACGUCAAGAAUCACAACAAUCCGUUAUAUGAGUGGAAAGUUGUGAUUAAAAUACUAGAGUGAUCACUUUUAGAAUGAUUUUGACUAUGUGAAAGUGAAUGUGAUUGUUGUUAUUUUUUUAAAAUUUUUAAAUAUUUUUAUUUAAAAAUAUAUUAAAAUAAUAUAUUGUAUUAUAGAAUAACUCAAAAAUUAAUUCUAUGUAUUCAAUCUUCACAAACUUUAAUAUGUAUUAAGUUAGAUUUGUGUAAUUGAUUUAUCAAGUUUGCUUAAUCAAGAUGGAAUAUUUAUGAUUAUUUUAAUCUUUAGUGUCUUCUCUCCUGGUACAUGGUAAAAGCCUGGGCAUUUUUUUCUUUUUUAAUUUUAAUAAUAGUUCUGUUCUUUCUAUCCCAAGAAAUCAAGAAUGCUAGUUUCAUUCAUCAAGAUUCUAAAUACUAUAUACAGAUAAACUCAAGAAUGUAUCUUCUCUCUCUCUCUCUUUAUUUUUAAUCCAUAUUAUAUAUAUAUAUAUAGUUAAAUAAUUUAUUUAUAAUUAAUGAUAUAAGAUGAUUUAUAAUAGUGAAUAGAUCUAUUAUUUUUUUAGGUUACUUUAAUGGUAAAUCAAUAUAGUAUUUUUUUGGAUUUUCAUCUUGGAGAAGCUGAAUAGGAUGAAAAUAUAAUAUUAAUCAAACUUUAAAUGAUAAUUAUUUAUCUAUCGAAUAAGAAUAUCCUUGUUGAUUUAAAGGACUAUUUUCAUAUCAAAAAUAAUUAUGUUUUGCACCUGAUUUUUAACAAAAAUGAUUGAAAAAAUGAUAUAUUAUUGAAUAUGAGCAAAUUUAAGAUUACAAAAAUGAUUAGUAUUUUUACAGAUGCAUAAAAUUGAUAAAUGAUGCAACAAAUUAAGAAGGAUACGUAUUAUUACAUUUAACGCAGUAAUUAACCAUUCUACAUAUUAAUUGUUUCAAGAAAAAAAGGUCCUUUGGACAAUACCUUGGAAAUACAAUUCAAAAAUACCCUUUAAUUUCUAUUUUUUUUAUUUAGCAUUUUAUCCCAAUGAUAGGACAUUUAGAAUGCACUUUCAUACAACCAGAGGGAGCUUCAGUCAGUAGAAAACUUCAACAUCUACUGUGAAGCUUGAUUUGUUAUCCAAUCUGCACACCAGUUUUUAUCCCACUGCAGUAGAACUUUUUAUCUUUUUCCAAGUUUUUUUUUGGGUGAAUUUUUUUCUUUCAUCUCAAAUUAACUUGUGAAUAAAAAAAAUAAAAUUUUAAACCAAAAUAAAAAAUAAAAAAUAUAAGAUGCAAAAAAUUAUAGGGAUCGAAAUUUUAAAAAUCACGCAUAUGCUUCUUUCUAGUUUUAGUAUUAAAUUUGUUCGUAGAAGUUUCAUUUAUUUUUAAUCAAUUAAAUUGAACAAAAUCUUGUCAAGUCAAACAUAAACUCUUUAUUGAAUCGUCUUUUCUUUUUGGAUAAUAAGAGCUUCAUAAAAAGCUUAUUAAAAUAAAUUAUUAAAUGAAAUUAAAAACAAAAAUGCUUUUUUUAUUUAAAAAAAAAACAAAACAGAGAGACAUCUACCGUGUUUUCUCUAUUGGUACAUGAUAAAAGUCUGAAAAGAUUUUUUAUUAUUAUUUUAAUUUUAAUAAUAGUACUGUUAUUUCUACCGCCAAGAAAUCAAGAAAGCUAGCUAAUUUUAAUACAAUGCUAGAGUUCUUAACUUUGGGAGAAUGAAUUCCGUGAUGGAAUUGGAGGUGCUGCUUUCUAUUAUGCACUGAUCAUGAGAUGUGGAAGAGAAUGUUACAGUCGCUAUCUCUUUUACAUAAUAUUAUUUAUUAGUAAGGUCGCCUCAAUAAUAAUUAAUUAACGUAUUGUUUGAUAUAUUAUAAGAUAUAUAAAGUUAACGUGUGGACCCGCCCCAAUGUUGAAACUUGGAAGAAGCUGCCAAGAAAAUGUAAACACAUGAAAUUUUCUAAAAAGAAUAGCAUAAUUAAAAAAUAUAUUUUUUAUUUAAAAAUACAUUAAAAUUAUUUUUUUUAUCAGCACAUCAAAAUAAUUUAAAAAUAUUAAAAAAUAUAUUUUUAAAAAAAUCAAAAAUUUUAAAAAAAACAUUAUGACUGUAAAGAUAAACCAGUCAAUAUUCUCAAGGUAGCAAUUACUAAUUGGGAUAAAAAGAAAUUAAAAGAAAAAUUAAAGGUUUUGAGUCAACGCCAUUACCAAUAUUCGCUUGCAGGUGUGUAUGGUAGUUCUUAUGCUUCUGCCUUUGAGUGUGUAUAUUAGAGCAGAGUGAUUUUAUUUAACCAUGAAAUUUUGUGAGACAAAUUAUAGUGAAUGUUUUUCUAUUUUACCAAUAUACCCAAGGUCUUUAUAACAGAGUGAUGCUACAUGCUGAGGUGGAUAUUAGCAACAGAGGAAAGCAUACAAAAGUAACAAAAAAAAAACAUCAAAUGAAAAAAAAAAAAACAACCUUUAGAAACACGCGUCUUUGGAUUAACAUUCUUUUAGUUUAUUUUUUAUGUUGUUCAUAAAGACAGAAAAAACUUUAAAAUACAAAUUAAAAAAUCUUGAGGAAUUGAUUAACCAAUCCUGUUAGUUUUUUUUUUUUCUAUGAAGACAGAAAAAACUUAAAAACACAGAUUAAAAUAAAGAUUUAAUAGAGAAUGAAAUUUAAUUUUAAAUGCAAAUUAAAAUAAAGCAGAGUGACUAAUGGAGAAAGUACUUGGAAUUCUACAAAGAGUACAGCGUCGGGAAUCCUUGCACACGUUUGGUAUUUUAAUUAUUCUUAUUUCGUUUAAUAACUCAAUUGGAAGUUCAAUUCCCAGAAUUUCUGCUUUUGAAAAAUCAUUCAUCACUUUUAAAUAACGCAAAUGAUUAUUAAGAAAAUUCAACGACAACAAUAUACUCAAUAGCAAUAUUACAGUAAAGAAAUCAAAUCAAUACAGAUAAAUAAAUGAUCCAAAUAUAAUCAAAGAAUUAGUCCAUUUAAUAAAAAAAACAUUACUGAAUCCAUAAACUACAUAAUUCCCUUUUCUUUUUUCUUUUUUCUUCUUCUUCUCUGGUGCAUUUCCCACACGAAAUACUCAUUUCAAAUUAGGCACCCCCCUUUUUCUAAAGGAGGCAGCCCCCAAUUUUCAACCUCGUUUUCCAUCACGUCUCCAUGAUCCCCGUUGUGUCACAAACAAAUUUUCUAAAUUUUAGGCUUUAGGAGUUCCUUUUUUGAAAUCCUCAUUAGAUGCUAAUAUCUAGCCCUUCAAGAUACCUUUCCAACGCAUCAAGAAUCACAGCAAUCUUAUAUGUGAGUGGAAAGUUAUGAUUAAAAUACUAAAGUGUGUGGAGGCUGUUUCCAAAAAAAAAAAAGAACAUUACUACUACUUUAAGUGUAUCUUUUGAUGUUUCCGGUUUAUAUUGAUAUAUUAUUCAUGUGAAUAAUAUAAGAGAAUUGCACUUAAAAAAUAAUGAACAAUUUUUUUUUUUAGUAUGUUAAUUUUUUCAAUAUUUUUUUUUAAAAAACACUAGUUUAGAGUGAAUUAAAUUCACCCGCAUUGUAACAUCAAUUUUAUACUUGAUAAUAUUUUAUCUAAUUUUAUUACAUGUUCAAAAAAUUAUGAAAACUGUAGUUCUUGUCGGAUGUAUUUCGUACAUAAUGGAAUUGUAGAUGGUUUCAUAGAAUAAUAAAAAAUAUUUUAUAUAAAGUAUAAUUUAUUUCAUGAUUUAAUAGCAAUAGUUAAAUCUACAAUAUUUAAAUUAAAAAUCAUCAAUAUUAAUAUAUAUUUUUUAAAAUUAUUUUAUAAUUUCAAUUUCAAAAACAUUCUUAACCAAACACAUUAAAUUACUUUUUUUUCAACUUCAAUUUCAAUCACAAUACUAAACACACUAAAAGUUUUAGUUAUAAACUAGCCCAACAAAUCAUACCCAGGGAAGCAAAAGCCAGAAACAAGCUACCUCGAUUCUUGCUCCACCGGGGUAAGAAAUGCAGCAUGCCCACUUGGAAUUAUAGAGCGUCCAAAUUCCAUGGCAAAUAAUUGGUUGGAAUUGUUUUCUGAGGGGUCUUUUCAAAAUCUGAAAAUAAAAACAGAAAAUAGAUCCAGCAAAUGAUUCCAAAUAUCUUCUAAAAAGAACGAUGAAAUAUGUUUUUUUAUUUACCGUAAGGAAAGAUAUUAAUGAAAUUUUUUUAUAAAAAAAAUCAAUUUAAAAAAUAUAUAACAAGUCAAAAUCUAUACUUAAAAUCUUUCUCGUAUUAAAUUCUUAAUUCAAUCAAAUAAAAUAUUAAUUUAAUAAAACAUAGUUAAGUUUUUGAUAGUUGAAUAUUUAGUAUAACGGUGACGUACUACUUAUUAUUUCUAUUAUUUUUAUUCCAUUUUAGCAUUUUAGCAUUUCAUACUCAUCAAAACCAUUGGAACACAAUCAAGCUUUAUCUUCAAACAACCAGGGAGAUUUUAUAGGGAUAAAAUUUUAAAAAUCACGCCUAUACUACUUUCUAGUUUUAAUAUUAAAUUUAGUAUUUAAAAAAUGUGUUUAUGAAUAUGGCAGUUUCAGGUUUAGAAACCAAAACUGCCAUAUUCAUACUCUUUUAGACAUUUUAAAAAUAUGUGUAGAAGAAUACUUUCACUGAUGAGUUAUAAUAUUAGGUUACUUUAAUGAUAAAUCAAUAUAGUAUUUUUUUUUAUUUUUUGGAUUUUCAUCUUGGAGAAAUUCAAUAGGAUGAAAAUAUAAUAUUAAUCAAACUUCAAAUUAUAAUUGUUUAUCUAUCGAGUUAAAAAAAAAAUGACAAUUCAGUAGUCUUUAAUGAAAAAGAAAAAAAAAAUGUUAUUUAUGUAAUUGUAAGCACGCUAUAUUAUAUUACUUUACAAAGGGACGAAGGACACCCUUUGCAUUAGGAUGCUCCCACUGCACUAUUGUCUCCCACCAUUCUUUUGGAUAUGCAUUGAUUGUUUUAAGAGAAGGGGGAGGAGAUGGCUGGCCAUUUUCAAGCAACGAAAAACAAAUUGGCAUCCUCUUCAGCUUCUCACAACCCAUUACAGUAAUAUCUUCAAGAGAAUUGCAAAUCAGUUUUGCACUGCAAAUGCUUUUCAGUUCUGGUAAGUCUACCAAUUCCAGAGUUAUUAACUUUGGGAGAAUGACUUCCGUGAUGGUAUUGGAGGUGCUGCUUUCUUCAUCUGUUGUUCCUAUUAUCUCCUCCAUUUUGUAACAGAACCUCACAUCAAUCCUUUCCAGGUUUACGAGGUUUGGCAGCAACACAAGCGGGAACAGCUUCUUCAUACUUUUACAGCCAUGACAAAAAAACUUUUUAAGACCAGAAAACGUACCGUUACAUGAUGGCAAUCGUGGUGGAGCAGAGCAGAACCGAGAAGAUGAAACCAAGCUCUCCAUGUUAUUGCAAUCCCGAAUGGUGAUGCGCUCCAGUUCAGUUGCAUUCUCUAAUGACAAAACAUCACAUAAACUUCUUGCAUCGAUGCAUUGAAAAAUCAGUCCUUGAAUGCCAUUUAAGAACUUGACCUGAAAAUCUCUAUCUCCGUUGAUACUCAAAUUACUCAACACAACUGUUUUACUUGGAAAAUCUUCAAUGCAUUCAUAGAAAUGUCUACCCAACUCUCCUACUAAAAUCUUGCAUGUGCUUAAUGAUAGGAUCCCAUCCUGAGAUCUGAGAUACUUCACGAAGUCAGAAAAACCUUCGAACUGGCACUCCAAAGUUUCCAAAUUUCUCAAGGAUCCUACUUCAUUUCCUUUAACUGUUAUAGGAGCACCAUCUUGCCUAAACUCUUCUAGUACAAAGACUUGCAGGUGAGAGAGUUUUGGUAAUAUACCACUAGGAAACUCCUUUUUACCAAAUCCAUUCAUUAUAAGAUACCUCAGGUUGGUUAGGCAUUCCAUUCCUUGCGGUAUCUUUUCAAGUGCAGUAUGAGAGAGACUCAACCUCUUCAGUGCCUGGAGCUUCUCUAAUGAUGGAACACGUCUUAAUUUCUCACAAUUAUUGAGCAAUAAUGCUGUGAGGCUCACCAAAUCAGAGACAGAGUCUGGCAAAUUUCCAAUAUCUGUCCGAGACAGAUCGAGGACCUUAAGCCCAUGCAAUUGCUUGAAAAAUGAAUCCGCAAUAAAUCCCAACCAACGAUUUUCACAUAGCAAUAGAGUUGAUAGAUAGGGACACCUAGGUGAAUGGCUGGAAGGAAUUUCUUCGAUCAUGUUUUCCAUUAGUGAAACUCUCGUCAGAUUCUCCGUCCACUCCUUUGCAUCUGGCAACUCUUUUAAUUGUGCACCUGCUUUGACCAUGCCUUGAGAGUUCUCUAGCAGUAUUCGGAUGGCCAUGUCCCUAAUCAAGUCAUGCAUCUUGACAUGACUAAUAUCACUUUCCAAUAGGCAGACAUAUUCAAGUCGAUUAAGCAUCGUGUGGCCCUCAUCAAAUGCAUCUCCCCUGCUCCUCUUUCCUUUAAUUAUUCCCUCAUCGAUCAAAUAACCUAUCAACUCCUCCCUUACAAUCUCAUCAUCUUCAGGAAAUAAUGCACAGUACAAGAGACAUUGUUGUAGUGCUAAAUCACCUAACCGAUCAUAACUAGACCUCAAUAACUUGAAUACCUUCUCAUCCAUGUCCCUAAAUUCUGAUUCUCUCAAUUUGUUCAAUGUAUUUCUCCACUCACGUAGGUCAUCUACUCCGCUCAAGCUUCCUGCCACUGUAAUAAUUCCUAAUGGCAAACCAGCACAUUCCCUUGCAACAGCUUUCGCAAUUCCUUCCACUUCUGGUGAAAGUGCUACAUCACGUUGAAGCUUCUCCAUGAACAAAGUCCAAGCUUCUCCAUUAGAAAGUGGCUUCACUUUGAUUUUGUGCUGGCGCUGGCAAGCCAUCUGAUGACAAACCUUUUCUGAUCGAGUUGUCAUAAUCAGCUUGCAUCCUUCCAACUUUUCAGGAAUUCCCACUUUGUGUAGCUCAAAAUUGUUCCACAAAUCAUCUAAAAUGAGAAUCCAUUUUUGUUUCUUCCUUAGUUCUUCUGACAAUUUAGCAGCUCUAUGCAAUUCAUCAUUUUUUCUUGAAAGAUCUAGAUCAAGAUGUUCAGCAAUAAGAUUCUGCAAUCUAUUAAUGCUGAAAUCUUGAGACACAGUCACCCACCAAACAUCAUCACAAAUAUCUGGUCUUUGUAAAAGCUCAUUAUGGAUAUGUUGCAGUAUUGUGGAUUUACCAACUCCCCCCAUCCCAUAAAUGCCAAUGGUUGAGACAUCCCCAUCCAUUAACAAAGACCAUAUCACCUUCGUAUUCUCUUCGAAUGCCUGACCCACUGGCUUUGUAGAGCUAAGAGGUAAUAGAAGUCCUCUAGUCUUGUUGUAUUUCAAACUUUCAGAAGAUCUAGCUCCAGCACCAACCUGCACUGAUCUUCGACUAUUCUCCACAUCCUCCUCCACUGGUUCUGUCCUCACUCUAACCCGAUUAAUUCUCUCUUCCCCGGCACCUUGUUCCAGCACCCCCUGAACUCCCACUUGUAUCCUUCCAGCACCCCCUGCCAAAUUGCCAAGUACUACAUUGCUUUGUUCCAAUGAUCGAUCCACUGGUUCUGUCCUCGGUCUGCUCUCGAGUGCCCCUUCGGAAACUCCAUCUUCUUGUGCUCUCAUUCCGGUCAUGCUUACUCGUCGUUUCCUGCUAUUGCAUGUGAAGUAAUCCUCUCUUCCCCUACUCCGGGUUCUACAACCUGAACUUCUCUUGUACCCUUCCAAUUCCUCCUCCCAAAUUUUCAAUCUCAUUGUUUUGUUCUUGUGGACAAGUUGAAAUUCCACAGUCAUUAACAUUGACUGCACUUGCUGUGAUUUUUUGUCUUUUGUUGCCACCACAGUACAUAGCUAGAAAGGCUGCUUCUUGAACUUCUUUAGUCACCCCACGACAAAUGGCAACACCAUUCCCUUCUUCUCCUGAUAAAUGCCAUUUGAUCCUUGUAAUGGCAGUUUUAAUGGUAAAUGUAUGUGGACAAAACUUACACUUCAGUACUUUAUUGAUUAAUGAUCCAACCAUUUUAUCCCUCUUUUCAACAUAAUUCCAAAACCGAUCAUUUGAUUCAACCUAUAGAAAAAAAAGGGGGGGGGUCAAAAUAUAGAAUAAAAAUCACAUCUGGAUGGAUGAGAAACUACUUCAGUGCUAUUACCCUUAUUUUGCUAUUAAAAUUGACAGUCAGUUUAUUGGAAAAAGACGACGAUAAUUCAGUUAGAAUUCUUACUUGUUGAGUAUUUAAACCCCUAAUUUGACUUUGCAAGGAAGUGUCAAGGCCAGGAUUUGAGGCAUUUGACCUAGCAGUUUGAUUUUGCAAUUCUUGGACUUGGACGUUAUCCAUCUGUGACCUGUAUAAAAAUGAAGUGAUCAUAUUAUAAAACCAAAAAUCAAUGGUGUUAUUAUAAAACCAUUCAAUAUUUGGUAGUCUCUCUUAAACAGUCAAAAUCAAUGGUGUAUCUAAUUAUCAAAAAGGUUUUAAUACCGUGUUAGAACACAACAGCUAGAAGUCAAUCAGUACCUCGUAGAGUUGCCAGAGUUUCGAAGCAGGAAGUUCUCUUGUUGCAUAUUGUCUAUGUCAGGAAUUACAGCAGCUUGAUCGACUUGUCCUUGAUUAGAAGGAAAUUGAAUCCUGAAUCAAAAACCAUUCGUAAGCAAUAUGAAGCAUUACAUACUUAUGAUUAUCUUGUUUGGUUUAUGUUCAAGCUAUGAUGUUACGGAAAAUACUAAAAAUGAAAAAUUGGAUACCGGGGAGCAGGAAAAGAAGGUCCAGGUUGAUUGAAGCCACCAUGUUGAGAAGUGGUUGCGUUCGGUGUCAUAUAGCCAUGUCCCGGCCGAGGUUGAUGAGUAUUGGAGUACUGAAGCCUGAAUAAUAUUCAAAUAGUUAAACUUAGAACUGUUAUUCUCACAAAAAAGAGAGAUAGAGAGCUCAAAAAGACUUGAAAGAUCCUCGUCAAUUUUGGUCAAGUUCAUUGUUUUCAUGAUUAAAAAAGUGUAUAUUCGAGGUUAAUACCUUUGAUUCAUUGGAGGUUGAGGUCCAGGUAGCAUCGCAGGCACUUGAUUCCUCAUUGGUAACUGAUAAUUAGUCAAUUGUUGGUCCCUGAAUUAGCAACACUUGUUAGUAAUUUCUUUAUACAUAUGCAUAAUUCUUUGCUAUUAAUCCACUAAGUAUUUGAUAUCAUUUUAGCUUACCUCAAAGGAUUGGCACAUUGAGGAUCAAAUAAAUUAUGAUUAGGCUGAUACCUAUAUUCAAACAUAAUGAAUUCACUGAUAAGUACAACAACAAGAGGAAGAAGAAGAAGAAGUUAAAUAAUGAUUGAAAAACAUUUUUUUUUUUUUUCAGAAAAUACUAAACAUGAAAAAUUGGAUACCAGGGAGCAUGAGAAGAAGGUCCAGGUAGAUUGAAUUCACCAUGUUGUGAUGUGGUUGCGUUCGGUGUCAUAUAGCCAUGUCCCGUCUGAGGUUGAUGAAUAAAGGAAUAAUGAUGCCUAAUUCAAUGGAAAUUGUAGCAAAUUGGAGUAAGCAUGAGUACUCACCAUGGUUUCAGGAAAUGAAGUUGGAAACUGAGUUGUUUGUUGAAUACUAUCGUUGAUCACAUUGUUCUGUCCACCUUGAUCAUUGCAUAAUAUGGAGCCUUGGUUGUCUGCCGGCCUGCUUCCAUGGAAUAAUAUAUAGGAUAAACUGAAGUAACUAAAUUGCAAGCAAUCAUCUUCUGAUAAAAUAUGUUUAAGAAUGACGUACAAGAGAAAUAGUGAUUCAAGAUCGAACUCUGUCAAGUCAUCCAUAGAUGGUUGGAACCCUUCCAUCUGACCAAAAGUACAAGAUGAUUAGUACAUACUGAGGUGAAAAAAGAACAGAAAGCACAUCUGAGUGGAUUACUGGGUACACACGUUACAUAAGUCAAAAUAAAAGAAAAACAAAUAAAUGGUGAAACGCAUAUUUUAAUGGCAGUCCCAUUAAUUGGAAAAGAAAAGGGUGAAUCUAAGAAAAGAAAAGCCUUUUUUAUUAUUUUUAAUACUAAUAUAUCAAAAAAUAUUAAUUUAAUAUAUUUUUUUAAAUAAACAGAUUUUAAAAAACAAAUUAUAUUUUGAUUGCGGGCAUAACAAUCCUGGCAGUACCGUUGCCGUUUUUUAGUUUACACAUUCUCUGGAGCGUCGAUUCCACAUUGAAGCAAAUUAAAAGAAUAAAAGCAAAUAUUAAAUGAUUUAAUAAAAGUGACUAAUGAAAAAAGUGCUUAAAUUCUACAAACAGCUGAUAGAUAGUCGGAAUCCCUUGAACACAUUUGAUAUUUUAAUUAUUCUUAUUUUGUUUAUUGAAAGGUAAUUACCGAUCAAGUUAAUUCAUUGAAUCAUUGUAAGAAAAAAAAAAGUAGAAAAAUACUGAAUAAAAAAGAAUGGCAGUCCCAUUAAUUGGAAAAGAAAAGGGUGAAUAAAAAAUGAGUUAAAAACACUACUUUACCUACCCAAUUAUGAAGCUUAGAAGAAGAUGCCUAGAAAAUGUAAACACAUGAAUAUGAGAAACAAUAAUAUACUUUUCUUUUUAAAAUAUUUUUUAUUUAAAAAAAUCAAAGUUUUUGAAAAGCAUGUGCUCUAACAAUAACAGAUUAAAUAUGUGAUUAAUAGCAUGUGAUUAAAGGUUUUCAGUCGAUGCCAUUACAUGCAGUCAAAGACUCCAUCCUUACUUUAAAUAAACAAAACCUACACUCAAUAAUAUGUCCUAGUUUUUUUGGCCAGUGUUUUUCCGUGGUUGGAUUAAUUUUUUUAAAAUAUAAAAAUAAAAUAUUAAGAGUGAAGAAAGUUUGUUGGGCGAUAUUAUUAAACUUGUUCAGGGGAGUUAAUAUUAAAAUCUUCUAAUCUAAUUUUUUAUUUAAUUUAAAUUUUUAAUUAAAUUAUAUGAGAAUUAACUCAGUUUAAAUCGAUCAAUAUCCAAAUACAACUUAGAAAACUAGAAAAACAUGGCCUAGCUUUUAAAAAAACUUCUAGAUAACUUUUUUUUUUAUAUAUAUAUAUGCUAAUUCGGCCCAAAUAUGAAAUAGACAAAAAAAAAAUUAAUGAUAAAAAAAAGGAAAGAAAAGGAAAAAAAACAGAAAAAGCAAAACACUAUCGGUUACUAUUGUAAUCCAUAAUGAAAUGAGUAUGGGUGAAUAGUGAUUCUCUUACACAUUUUAGUUUUUCUUUUAAUUAAUAAAAAAAAAUAUCCCACAAAACCUGAAAACUAAUAUAAUUUGAAUUAUUUUAACAAACUUAUAAAUCACGUUAAUCUUAUAAAAAAAUAAAAUAAAAAUUAAUAAAUUAAAGCUGAAUUAUAACCAGCCUAUUAUUAAAUAAACAAAAAAGGCAAAACACCUUGAAUUACAUACUAUUGUAAUUUACAAUGAAAUAGGUGUGGAUAUAUAGUGAUUCUCCCAAGUCUCUUAGCUUUUCUUUUAAUGAAAAUUAAUAACCGUAUAAUAUCUUUCUUGUGGAUGCUCUAUCGUUGCUAAAUUAAAACAUCUUUUUUUUCUUUAUCUACAAUUAUGUGAAACAUUUAAAAAAAAAAAACAUUGUUAUUUUAGUUUUUUUUUUAAUAAAUACCAUCAUAAUAUGAUGUGGUUUUGUUAUUUACUCAAGUUAUUCAGUUAAUAUGUGAGUCAACCAGUAAACUAAACUUUGGAUUACGUUUCUUAACUAUUCGUAAGCUUCCUAUUUAUUCUUAGUAAUCAAAAUAUUUUUUUUAUUUUUAAUAUUAAUAUAUUAAAAAAUAUUAAUUUAAUAUUUUUUUAAAAUAACCAGAUUUUUUAAUAAACAUAACUCUGAGUACAAAAACAAUCAUGUUUAGAUUGCGAGCAUAAGCAUAACAAUCUUGACAGUACCGUUGUUGUUUGGACUUUGAGAAGGAUAAAACGAAAGAGUUAGAAUACAUUUAAAAUAAAAAAUUAAUUUUUUAAAAAUACUUUUAAAAUACAAAAACGAACUAAUAAUAAAAUAAACUUUCAUACACUUAUCAAAAUCCCAGGAACGCAACAAUCAGGCAUUAGCUUCAAGCAACCAGAGGGAGCUUCACUGCAGUAGAACACUUCAACAUAGCUUGAUUUGCUAUCCAAUCUGCACACCAGUUGGAUAGCAAUUUCUUUUCAUAACAUUUACCUUUGUAAAAACUUUCUAUUUAUUUUUAGUUUUAAUAUCAAAUUCAGUCUUUAAUAUUUAUCUUCAAAAUUUUAAUAUAAAAUUUGACGGUCAAAAUUUCACUUAUUUUUAAUCAAUUAAAUUGAACAAAAUCUUGUUAAGUCAAACAUCAACUCUACAUUGAAUUGUUUUUUCUUCUUAGACCACAAGAGCUCCAUAACAAGUUUAUUGAAAUAAAUUAUCAAAUGAAAUUAAAGGAAUUAUGAUGCCUUGAUGGAGUUUGAGGCCAAUUUUAUAUAAAACUUAAUGAUAAAAAAAUAUCAUAAAAUUUCUAAAUCUCCCAAUUGUUGUCUGUUUGUUUAACAGUAAACAAUUUGAAGAAGCUCGAGAUCGAUACACUAAACAUAAAACUUUUUGCAUAAUACAAGCACUUGCUAAUUCAAUGGACAUUGUAGCAAAUUGGAGCACUCACCAUUGUUUCAGGAAAGGAAAUUGGAAACGGAGUUGUUUGUUGAAUACUAUUGUUGAUCACAUUGUUCUGUCCACCUUGAUCAUUGCAUGAUAUGGAGCUUUGGUUGACUGGAACCUCCGGUGGCGACCUGCUUCCAUGGACAGUGACGACAUUAAUUGGAAAAGAAAAGGGUGAAUCUAAAAUAAGGAGUUAAAACAGCAAAGAAUCUUGAAAAGACGAAAACAAUGAAUUCAACGUUUAGGGUUAAUUUAAUCAGUAUGAACACCACAGGGCAUGGAUUAUAAAAUCUGAGAAAAAGAUCUAUCUAUUUAUCAUGGAUUACUUUAAAGAUUCAGACAAGAUGAAUGACAAAUAAUUUACCUGGAUUCAAGAUGUUCUUCAAGUGCUAGCUGGUUUGCUUGAGCAGUGAUCAGCCAAAAGAAAAGGAAGAGAAAUCACAGAUCACAGAAGAAUUUAUGGCUUAGAAAAAUAAUAAAGUUGCAGUAUACAUAAAUCUAGUUCGCACUGAUCAUGAGAUGUGGAAAGGAAAAUAGGGAAUUCUAUAAUGAGAUGAGAUGUGGAAAAGAAUGUUACUGCCGCUAGCUCCCUUAAAUAAUACUAUUUAUUAGUAAGGUAUUGUUUGAUAGGAAGGAAGUUGCCAGGAAGCAACCCAAACAUUACAUUAUAUGAUAUAGAAAGUUAACGUGUGGAACCGCCCCCUUUGAAGAAGCUGCCAAGAAAAUGUAAACACAUGAAUAUGAGAAAGAAUAGCAUAUUUCUGCAUUGUGUGAAUUUUUUUUUUUUAAUUAUUUUUAUAUUGCAAUGUAAAAACAAUUCAAAAAUAUUAAUUACAAACGGUCACUUGAUAUAAUUUUACAGACUUUUAAUUAGCCUCACUCAUUUGACCCAUGUCAUGGGUUAAUGGUUCUCAGCAACUCUCCAUUCCGUGACCUUUCUGGCCCUACCUAGAACAACCAACACCCCGACAAAAAUAAUAAUAAUUUUACAGUCGAAUCAUGUUUUUUAAAAACUUGAUAUUUUUUUAUUUUAAAUUAAUUUUUUUAAUAUAUUUAGAUUAUUUUAACAUUUUAAUGUUAAAAAUAAAUUUUAAAAAAUAAUAAAAAUAUUAUUUUAUUAUAUUUUUAAAUUAAAAAAAAAACAAUUAUUAUCUCAAUAUCAAACAUUAUCUUAUUCUAUGAUACUAUCCUUGGAACUUUUCCACACCAAUGGAAAUUUGUUUUUCCCAAACACCCUUCUACAAAUUUAUAUUUUUAGCCCUCAGACCUAUAAAGUAUGAUUUGCUAGCCAAUCUGCACACUAGUUUCCCAUUAAUACAAAGAUGAUCGUGUUUUUUUGGUGCCAAAAUUGUCGGCCAAUAAUUUUCCAUUUUUAUCCGAGUUUUUAAUGAUUUUUUUAUCUCAAAUUUAUAAAUUAAAAAAUUAAUAAAAUAAAAUUUUGAAUCAAAAUUAAAAAUCAAAAUUAAAAUGAAAAUGCAAAAACUUAGGGAACAGAAUUUUGAAAAACACGCCAGGCUACUUUUUGAUUUCAGUAUCAUAUUUGGUGUUCACAGUUUCAAUUAUUUUUAAUGAAUUAAAUUGAAUAAAAUUUUAUCACAUCAAAUACCAAUUUAAAUUAAUCUUCUUCUUUUUUACCUUUUUACCUUGAAAACUUUAUAAUUAAUUAAAAUAAAUUAUCAACCUCAAAUUCCCAUGAAUAUAAAAUUAAAAAUAAAAUAAUCAGCUCAAAUAAUAAUUAAUUAACAUCUUGCCUGAUAGCAAGGAAGUUGUCAGGAAGCAACCCACCGCUCACCUACCAAACAUGAGAGUGUUUGGAGAUUAUUUUGGUUUUUUUUUUUAUGGCCAUAUAAAAAAUAUAUAUUUUUAAUUUUAAAAAAUAUAAUGUAUAUUGAAAAAAAUUAUUUUUUAAUAAAAAAAAUUAUCACAUCUCCAUACCAAACACCCAUAUUAUAUUAUAAGAUAUAAAAGUUAACGUGUGGACCCCACAAAUGUUGAAACUUCGAAGAAGCUGCCAAGAAAAUGUAAACACAUGAAAUUUUCAAAAAAGAAUAGUAUAUUUAUGCAUGCUGUAAAUGUUUUUUAAAAAUAUUUUUUAUUUAUAAAUAUAUUAAAAUAAUAUUUUUAAAUUUUUUACUUUUUAUAUCAUAAUAUCAAAAUAAUUAAAAAAUAGUAAAAAUAUAUUUUUAAAAAACACAUUAGGAUUGUAAAGAUAAACCAGUUCUAACAUUUAAAUUGUUUUAAAAGUAUUUUUAAAAUAUAAAAAUAAACAGUGUUUAAGGUGUAUUUGGUAGUUUUUAUCCUUCUGCCUUUGAGUGUGUCUAUCAGAGCAGAGUGAUUUUACUUAACCAUGAAAUUUUUGUGAGAUAAAUUAUAAUGAUUUUUUUUUCUAUUUUACUAAUAUACCCAAGGUGUUUAUAACUAGAUGCUACUUGCUGAGGUGUAUAUUAGCAACAGAGGAAAGCAUACAAAAGUAACAAAAAAAAAAAUGGAUAGUAAAGACGAAAGCAUAUCAAGCUAACAAAAUCAACCCCACCAAUUCUCAAAUAUUCAGAUUUUAAAAAACAGAAGGAAAUAAUAAUUUAAGAAGAAACAUGUUUUCAAGCUGUGUCAAAUGCAGAAUGCUUUAAUUAAUACGAGGAAAAUCUUGUUGAUAAUAUAGUUCGGUAUAGCGCACUGCCAGUUUAAAAUUACAAUCAUUAUUGAUUUUUAAAGUAUUUUUUAUUUAAAAAUAUAUAAUAAUUUCAGAAUCAUGUUUUUUAAAAAAUUAAAAUUUUUAAUAAUUUUAUAUUAUUUUAACAUUUUAAUGUUAAAAAUAAAAUUUAAAAAAUAAUAAAAAUAUUAUUUUAAUAUAUUUUUAAAUAAAAAAAAUAAUUUUAAAAAAAUUAUUAUCACAUUAUCAAACAAUAUCUUAUUUUAUGAUAGUAUACAUGAACUUUUCCCCACCAAUGGAAAUUUUUUUUCCCAACACUCUUCUACAUAUUUAUAUUUUUAGCCCUCGAUCUAUAAAGUAUGAUUUGCUAUCUAAUCUGCACACUAGUUUCUUAUUAAAAAAGUUGGUAUUCCGCUAAUUGUUGUGGUUGUGAUUUGAAAAAAAUUAUUUUAUAAAAAUUAUUUUUAAUUGAGGUUGGUUUAAAAAAAAUAAAUGUUUGGUUAAAAUUAUGGUUGAAAUUAAGGUUGAACAAAAAAUAGUUAGUGUUUGGUUAAAAAUGCUUUUGAAAUUGAGGUUAUAAAAUAAUUUAAAAAUAUAUAUAUUAAUAUUGAUGCCUUUUAAUUUAAAUAUUAUAGAUUUAACUAUUUCUAUUACAUCAUGAAAUAAAUAAUAUUUUAUAUAAAAAUAUUUUUUAUUGUUCCAUUAAACUAUCUAUAAUUCCAUCAUGUAUGAAAUACGUCUAACAAGUACUACAAUUUUCAUAAAUUUUUUAAGAGCGUAACAACAUCAGAUAAAAUAAAAUCAGGAACAAAAUUGAGAUUGCGAUCAAUUUCUGUAAAUGCGGCAUCAUAAAGCGAUCUCCGUUUAAUUUAUGUAGUCAUUGAAUAAUGUUUAACACUAGUUUUCUGAAUAAAAUACAAUUAAAAAUUAAAUUUUUUUUUAUUUUUUUUUAUUUUGUUGGGUCAGACUUGAUUUAAUAUAUUUUUAACGUUGAACUGGAUUGGUCCAAUCGAAACAGUGGAACAUGCUCCACUGUUCCAUGCAUAAAACCCAUGACCAGGGAUUACAAGAAGCAACAACGAGCUGCUUUUUGCAACUUAUAGCUGUGCCACAAUUAAUAGUGGAACCCACUGGCAUAACUGUGGCAGGAGAAUUACCAAAUAAUAAAAAUUGUGGUUGCGGGUCAACUUUAUCUACAGCUACAAUACCAAAAUUAAGAACCAAUAAUAUUUAGUAAUUUUUUCUAUCUUAAAUUUAUAAAUUAACAAAAUAAAGUUUUAAAUUAAAAUUAAAAACCUCCAGUAAACAGAAUUUUGAAAAACACACCAGACUACUUUCGAUUUCAAAGUUUCAAUAAUGAUAGGAAGGAAGUUGCCAGGAAGCAACCCACCGCUCACCUACCAAUGAGAGUUAACGUGUGACCCGCCCCAAUGUUCAAACUUCGAAGAAGCUGCCAAGAAAAUGUAAACACAUGAAAUUUUCAAAAAAGAAUGGUAUAUUUAUGCAUGCUGUGAAUUUUUUUUAAAAAAAAUAUUUUGGCAUUUUAAUGUUAAAAAUAAUUUUUUAAAAAUUUUUUAGAUUAUUUUUACAUUUUAAUGUUAAAAAUAAAUUUUAAAAAAUAAAAAAUUAUUAUUUUAAUAUAUUUUUAAAUAAAAAAAUUAUUAUCACACCAUCAACCAUUAUCUUAUUCUAUGAUAGUAUACCUGAACUUUUCCACACCAAUGGAAUUUUUUUUUUUCCAACACCCUUCUACAGAUUUAUAUUUUUAGCCCUCGACCUAUAAAGUAUAAUUUGCUAUCCAAUCUGCACACUAGUUUUCCAUUAAAAAAUUACUAUUUUAAGUGCGUCCAGACUGGUUCAAAGUGAAUUUCACAACUUUUCUGUGAGAGCUUCAACUCUACAUUGAAAUGUUUUUUCUUAAACUGUGAGAGCUUCAUAAUAAGCUUAUUGAAAUAAAUUAUUAUAAUGAAAUUAAAAACAAAAAUGCUUAAAAAAAAACAGAGAGACGCCGUGUUUUCUCUAUUGCUACAUGGUAAAAGUCUGAGCAUAUUUAUUUAUUUAUUUUUAUUUUUAUUUUAAUAAUAUUACUGUUAUAUCUACCGCCUGCAAAUCAAGAACGGUAGUUUCAUUUAAAAGAUUCUAAAGUUCAUAUUUAGAAAAAUUAGCAGAAAGGACGAAAACACAACAAAUCAUACCCAGAGAAGCAAUAGCCAGAAACAAGCUACCUCAAGUCUUGCUCCACCUGGCUAAGAAAUGCAGCGUGCCCACUUGGAAUUACACAUCAUCCAAAUUCCAGGGCAAAUAAUUGGUUGGAUUUGUUUUUCGAGGAGUCAUCUCAAAUUUGAAAAUAAAAACAGAAAAUAGAUCCAGCAAAUGAUUCCAAAUAUCUUCUAAAAAGAACAAUGAAAUAUGUUUUUUUAUUUACGGUAAGGAAAGAUAUUAAUGGAAAAAAUAAAAAAAAUCAAUUUAAAAAAUAUAUAAUAAGUCAAAAUCUAGACUUAAAAUCUAACUCGUAUCAGGUUUCUAGUUGAAUUGAAUAAUUGAAUAAGAAGGUGGGAAUGGGAGACAGCAAAAGGUGUCAAACAGAAAAAAAGAAAAGAAAAAAAAGAUCCAUAUUCCAAAGGAGAGGGUCAAAGAUUGCGGCCGAUUCAAAGGACGAGCUUAAUCUCAUGAAUCAUUUUUUAACUUUAUGUAAGACUUGACACGUGUCCUCUAAACCCUCCUGCCCUCCGAUCCUUGCUAAACCCUUGUUCUGGUCGUAAUCAUCCAUUAGCGUAAACCUAUGCUUCUCUGACUUUGAUCCCAAUAAACCAACCAUGGAGUUGGUGGUAAUGUAAUUGAUAUUACUUUUUUAAAUUAUUUUUAUUUAAAAAAUAUCAAAUAAUUUUAAUGUGUUGGUAUUAAAAAAAUUAAAAAAUUAUUAAUAUAUUUUUAUUUGAAAAAUAUUUUUUAAAAACCAUAUGUAGAAUUACUAAACACCCUUAAGCCAGUGGACAAAGACACAAACGAAAAAUACAAAGGAAAAGGGAUAAAAGCAUAUAUUUGGAGAUGAUAAAGGGCAUUGAGAUCAAAGAGGAUAAGUUUUCCAGUGAUGGGAUUGGAUGUUGAUGAAAGAUUGUGUGGAUAAGAGCAUAGUAAUUAAUUUUACUAAAAAGUUCUUCAGUGACCUAAUUCUGGCCCAACAAAAUUAUCAUUAUCCAAUAACAAUUUGAUUAAUUCAGUGUUGCUUAAUCCCAGUUUGCUAUUGCGUUUUAAAUGGUAUUGGUUAAAUUUUAUUUUUUUAUAUAUUAUUUUGAUGGGUUGAUAUAAAAAUAAUUUUAAAAAAAUAAAAUAAUUUUAAAAAUAUUAUUAUAACACCAACUUAUGAAAUUUUCUUUAUUGAUUAGUGAAUUUGAUUAGACUAAGAAUCUCCAUCACAGCCCAACAUCAUUAGCUUAUCUGCCAUCCCUUUCAAGAGAAGAAGAUUUCGAAUCAGUCCAUUCAUUCCCAUCUGUAGCAUCUUUCUCAAGCGUCAAUGGAGAAUUACUUCUGGAUUCUGAGUUGCCAAUAAAAAACAAAAAACCCUUAUAAACUAGUUCGUCUCCCAGUUCUUAAAUUAGUUUCCACAUUGUUUUUCACAAUUUUUAAGAAAAGAAAAAAAAAAUAAAAAAUGAUCAUAAGCUAUAUAUCUAACACUCACUUGAAAGAAACUGAUAACCAUGCAAGCAUUUUACAUGGCAGUAUUUGAUAUGGGGUAAGAUUUUGGAGACAAAUUAGAGUACUCAAAUUGAAUGUACUAGGUGAAUUGCCUGCGCGGUGCUGCGGGUUAUAACAUGAACUGAGCAAAAUCUAAAGGCACUGAGAUCAAACUGAGCAACCACACAGAGUAAAUCUGAAAACAUUGUAACCAUUGAGAUCGAAACUGAGCAACCAUUUUGGAAAAAAUAAAAUUUAAAUUAUUUUUUUAAAUGUUUUUUAAUCAUUUUAAUAUUAAUUAAAUAAAAUUUUAAAAAAAAUUAUUUUAAUAUAUUUUUAAAUAAAAAAUAUUUUGCAACGCAACUUUUACCUCACUUAAAUAAAUCCUUAUUCUAUUGCACAUAAACAUAUGUUUUCAUGUAUAGUGGAUUAACCAAUCUUUUUAGUUUUCUUAUAUUAUUCAUAAAGAUCGAAACGCUUAAAAAUAAAAUUUUAAUAAUCAAGAGAAAAAAAAAUAGUUGAAUUUUUGUACCUUCCACAAGAAAAAUAGAUAGAUGUGUGAAAUUUUAUUCUAAAUAUAUUCUUAUAAAAAUUUCAAAAUUCCAAUUCAUGUUACUCGAUUAUUAUUCUUUUUUUAAGUUUCUUCUCUCUCUCUUUUUUUUUCUUUUUAAUCUGUAUUAUGCAUUUUUAAAAUAUAAUUUAUUGCUAGUUAAUGAUAUAAGAUGAUUUGUACUAGUGAAUAGAUCUAUUAUUUUAUUAGGUUACUUUAAUGAUAAAUCAAUAUAGUAUUAAUUUGUUUUUGGGAUUUUCAUCUUGGAAAUACUCAAUAGGAUGAAAAUAUAAUAUUAAUUAAACUUUAAAUUAUAAUUAUUUAUCUAUCCAGUUAAACAACUAUGACAGUUCAAUAGUCUUAAAAGAUAAUGAAAUAUAUAAAAAAAUGAAAAAUAGUAUUUAUGUUAAUUGUAAGCACACGAUAUAAAUAAGGAAUAUUUCAUAUUAAUAAACGCUUUACGAGUCCAAUCAAUCAGAUGUUAAUUAACAUAAAGAAAUUAACAUGGUGUUUGCAGAGAAUGAAUUGUAGAAAGAGAGAUUGAGAGUGUGAGCAAUAAAAGAUGAUGCUUACCCUUUAUUCUAUAUUAUAUUAUAAUAUAGAUCGAGAAGAUAACCUUACAGGAAAAAGACAUCCUUUGCGUGAGGAUGCUCCCCUCCAUUACUGUCUCCCACCAUUCUUUUGAACUUACAUAGAUGUUUUUAAGAGAAGAAUAAAAGAAUAAAAGAAAAUAUAAAAUGAUUUAAUACAGUACAAAAAUUAGUUUUCAAUACAGAUUAAAAUAAAGCAAAGUGACUAAUGAAAAAAGUACUUGAAUCCUACAAACAGCAGAUAGAUAGUCGGAAUCCCUUGCGCACACAUUUGAUAUAUAGAUAAUUAAAUCAACAUUAAACCAAAUUAAUAUAACCCUUUUGAAAAAUCAUCCACUACUUUUAAAUAAUUAAUUAUCCCUAUUAAGAAAAUCCAAUGACGACAAUGUAUUUAAGGAGCAAUAUUAAAGCAAAGAAAUUAAAUCAAUACAGGUAAAUAAAUGAUCCAAAGAUUAAUCCAUUCAAUAGAAAAAAACGUAACUGAAUCCAUAAACUGCAUAAAUUCGGAGAAGAAUACUUCUCAACAACAAAUUGAGAAUGAUAAAACAAAAGAGUUAGAAUAAUUAGAAAUCUGAUCAAUUUAGUUACCCAUCACUGUAUUAGUCAUUCCUUUCCUCAUCUGUGCUCUCUUUUUUUCCCUCUCUCUAGUGCAAUUCCCACACGUCUUCUUUAUGCCAAAUAGCCCUCUUUACAGAGGAGGCAGCUCCCUUUCUCAAAAGCAGGCAGCCCUCUUUUUUAAUCAGAGACUAACUUGUAGCACUUUACGAUACCUUUCCAACGCAUCAAGAAUCAGAGCAAUCCGAUAUGUGUGGAAAGUUAUGAUUAAAAUACUUUAAGUGUAUCAAGGCUGUUUCUAAGAAAAAGAACAUUACUUUAAGUUUAUACAGGCUGCUGUUUAAAAAGUCAAGAAAAUAAAGUUUUGGAUUAAAAUAAAAUAAAAUAAAAACUUUAAGGAAAAAAAAAAAGCACGCCUAUGAAGCUUGAUAGUAUAUCAAAUUAAAUAGAAGCUCGAUUAAAAAAUGCCCUUUAAUUUCUAUUAUUUCUAUUCACAUUUUAGCAUUUUAUUCCAAUGACAGAGCAUUUGGAAUGCACUUUCAUAGACUCAUCAAAACCCCAGGAACGCCAUCAAGCUUUAGCUUCAAACAACCAGAGGGAGCUUCAGUGCAGUAGAAAACUUCAACAUCUACUAUGAAGCUUGAUUUGCUAUCCAAUCCACACAUCAGUUUUCCAUUGAUACAAAGAUACCGUAUUUUUAACCAUCUAAUAGUAAAAGUUUGUAAUCAAGGGGUUUGCUCCCUCUGUGACCUUAGGUUCGAGCCUUGUGGUUAUUAAUAUUGAUGAUCAUUAACUUCAAGAUCUAUAAGAACUGGAAGCUUACUUGGUCAUUAACUUCAAAAUCCGUGAGAAUUAGUUAAGAUGCGUGCAAGUUGGCCCGGAUACCCUCAAUUAAUAAAUUAAAAAAAGCUGUAUUUUUGUUGCCGGAAAAUUAUCCACCAAUAACUUUUUAUCUUUUUCCAAGUUUUAUAGGUGACUUUUUUCUUUCAUCUCAAAAUCAUGGAUCAAAAGUGAAUAAAAUAAAAUUUCGAAUCAAAACUAAAAAUAAAAAAAUAAAACAUGCAAAAAGUCCAGGGAUCAAGAUUUUAAAAAUCACGCCUAUACUACUUUCUAGUUUUAAUUAUGCGAAGUUCAAUCUUUUUUCCUCUACAAAUUAAAUCAUGUACGUAAACCUGUUACCUACAUUUUGUAAUAUUUCUGGAUCUGCUCUUUGAUUCAUCAAGGACAGAGUUGAUUGCAGCUUCGUCAUAGAAAAGUUCGUCUUCUUCAUCUUCUUGGUUGGCGAGGAAAUAUAAGUGGACUCUUCUCCAGUUUAAGGAUUCCAACCUAGCACAUGAAUGAUAAAGGGCACAGUCAUCAUUUAAAUAAUAAAGGACAUCCUUAGCAUUAGGAUGCUCCCAUUCCAUCACUACUCUCGCUGUUGUAACCCAUUUUUGGGUCCCCACAUAUAAAAUAAUAAAAUAUAAAAAAAUUCAAAAAAAUAUAUUACAAAAAAAAUAUAACAGUGAAAAAUGCCAGAGCGUCAUAAACAUGCUAAAAAAAUUGUUUGAAGAUUUUCAAAAAUAUAAAAAUUAUUUUUUGAUAGUAUAUCAUUAACUGAUGAGAGCCCCGAUGAUAAAGAAAAUUCAAUUUGUGGAAGAAAAAUGCAAAAUCAGAAGUUUAUGGACUCAAUUAAAUUUUAUUGAAGGUUUAAUUGAAUUUAUGGAGAUUUUAAUUGCAAGAAAAAUUGAUUUGGAGUUAAUUUGGGCUUUAAUUAGGAAGAAAUUAAUUUUCUGGGGUCAAAUUAUAAUUUUGGAAGUUAAUUUGGUCAAAUCAGGGGCUUAAUUGCAUAAAUUAUUGAAGUUUAUGGCCAAUUAGGGACUUAAUUGAAGAAAUCCGAGACCAAGGACUACAUUGUAAAAACGCGCGAAAAUGGAGGGCCGAAAUUUGAAUCUGAUGCUUUUGGCGCCUUUUCCUAUUAAAUGAAACGGCGCCGUUUCAUUCACUGUUGCAAAAAAAAAAAAAAACAGAAGCCCAAAACGGUGCCGUUUUGACGGCACUGUAGCUCUUCUUCUUCCCCUGGACACACGAGGCAGGGGAAGAAGAAGAUUUUUUUCUUCCCCUUUUCGCCUAAUUACUUUCCUUCUGCUCAAAAAGACGCCGAAACAAGGACACCACUUGCCGACCACUUUCCACGUGUUGGACGGGCGUUGGACGGGCGGCAGCACACCGGCCACCACCAUGACGUCCCCCCCCUGUUUUUCGCCUAUAAAACAGGGGAGGAAGAGAAGAAAAAAAAAAAAAACAGAGGGAGAAGGAGAGAGAGGAGAGAAGAGAUAGAAGAGAGAGAAGAGAAGAGGAGAGAAGAAGAAGAAGAAGAGAAGCAGCAGAAGAAAACGAAGAAAACAGAAGAGAGAGAGAGAGAGAGAGAGAGAGAACCACCGCCGGCCUCCGCCACCAUCGCCACCGUGCCUACGCCGCCAGCAGCACCGCCACGACGCACCGCAGGUAAUCUCUCGCCGCCCUGUCGCCUUCUCCUUUGCUGCCUCCCCGUUUGCAUGCAGAACGUGAAUUAAUUCACGUUCUGCAGCUGAAGAGGCUGGUUACUGUGCUUAGCACAGUAACCAGCCCAUUUGGUAAUGGGCCGGUUGGCCCAGCCCACUGAUAUGGGCCGGACCCGGCCCAUUUCAAAUUUUUUUUUCCAGAAGUUUUACAAUUUUUCCAGCACAUUUUUUUUUAAUCAAUUUUGCUUAAUAUCGGUAUGUAUUUUACAUUGUGAAAAUAUAAAUUCGGUAUUAAAAUACCCGGUUUUCGUCCCGCGGUACUGUUCACACGUCACUAUUCAUACGGUACUGUUCAUACGGUACUGUUCACACAUGCAUAAAAAAAAAAAAUCAUGAAAUAAUAUUUUACACUAGUUUUCUGAAACACAAUUAAAAAUAAAAAAAUAUUUUUUUUAUUUUAUUAGAUUUAAUAUAUUUUUAGCGUUGAACCGGAUUGGUCCAGCCAAUACCGUGGAGCCAUCAAUGCAUAAAACCCAUGAACAAGGAACCAAUUCUCUAUUGUUCAUGUGAAGAGUGAAUCAUGACUUCACUGUUCAUGGGUUGUCUCGUUACAAGAAGCAGCAAAGAGUUGCUUCUUGUAACCCAUGGCUAUACCACAAUUAAUGGAGGAAUCCACUAGCAUAAAACUAUGCCAAGAGUAUUAUCAAACAAGAAAAAUUGUGGUUACGGGUAAACCUCGUCCACAGUCACAAUAUCAAAAUUAUCGGCCAAUAAUUUUUCGAGUUUUUAGUAAUUUUUUAAUUUUAAAUUUAUAAAUUAAUAAAAUAAAAUUUUAAAUCAAAAUUAAAAAAACUCCUUGAAACAGAAUACACCAGACUACUUUUUGAUUUCAAAGUUUCAAUAAUGAUAGGAAGGAAGUUGCCAGGAAGCAACCCACCGCUCACCAACCAAUGAGAGUUAACGUGUGGACCAGCCCCAACGUUCAAAUUUCGAAGAAGCUGCCAAGAAAAUGUAAACACAUGAAAUUUUCAAAAAAGAAUAGUAUAUUUAUGCAUGCUGUGAAUAUUUUUUUAAUAUUUUUUAUUUAAAAGUAUAUUAAAAUAAUUUUUUAAAUUAUUAUUUUUUUAUCCACCCAUCAAAAUAAUUUAAAAUAUUAAAAAAUUAUUUAAAAAAAAAUCAAAAUUUUUAAAAAACACAUUGUGUGUGGUAAAGAUAAACCUGUUCUAGAUUAAAAGAGUGUUUGGUUGUGCGUUUCAACCUGCGUUUCACCAAAUUUUGAAUUUUUUUUUUGCUAAAAUUGAGUGCGGUUUGUACUUUUUGGAUCGUUUUGAUGUGCUGAUGUUAAAAAUGUUUUUUAAAAAAUAAAAAAACAUCAUUGGCAUGUAUUUCAGCACAAAAAACUAUUUGAAAAGUAACCGCUACCACAUUACCAAACACACUCUAAAUGUGCAAAUGAGAGUGAGACUCAAAUCUAAUUACGUAACAAUUAUUAAUUGGGAUGAAAAGAAAUUAAAAGACAAAUAACCAAUAUUCUCAAGGUGUAUUUCGUAGUUCUUAUGCUUCUGCCUUUGAGUGUGUAUAUUAGAGCAGACUAGCAGAGUGAUUUUACUUAACCAUGAAAUUUUAGCGAGACAAAUUAUAGUGAAUGUUUUUCUAUUUUACCAAUAUACCCAAGGUGUCUAUAACAGAGUGAUGCUACAUACUGAGGUGGAUAUUAGCAAUAGAGGAAAGCAGUGUUGUAAAAUCUAGACCGGGCUAGCAGGUCAACUAGAGAACUAGACUAGUCCGGGUAGGAUAAAAAACCGGCCAAAAAAAAGAGGUAUAUAUAUUAAUUUUAUUGAACGAUCACCCGAGUAGGAACAUACAAAUGUAACUAAACAAAAUAAUAGCAAAGACGAAAGCAUAUCAAGCUAGCAAAAUCAACCCGCCAUUUCUCAAAUAUUCAGAUUUUAAAAAACACAGGCAUAAUAAUUUAAGAAAAAACAUGUUUUUCAAGCUGUGUCAAAUGCAGAAUGCUUUAAUUCAUGCGAGGAAAAUCUUGUUGAUAAUAUAGUCUGGUAUAGUACAAUGACAAUUUGAGAUUAGAAAGGAUUUUUUAUUUAAAAAUAUAAAUAAUAUUUUUUUAUUUUUUUAAAAUUUAUUUUUAAUAUUAACACAUCAAAAUAAUCUAAAAACACUAAAAAAUAAUAAUUUAAAAUAAAAAAAUAAAAAAAUUAACUUUUUUUUUAAAUACAUUUACAAUAUAAAAUAAAAAAUGAUCGUAGUAUUUGCCUGGUGGCCUCCCUCGGGACACAACGCUGCACUUCCUUAAAUGAAAAUAUUUAAGUCGGUAGCUGCAUGAGGUUUUACCUCAGGGUUUAAAGCAUCAGACCUCAUCCUCAAUGAACAUGAACCCACUCUGUAGAUUAUUAGUUUUUAUUUUUAUUUUAUUUUUCAAUCCAAGUACUCCAUGGCUGGACCUUAUCGUCUUGAUCCAGAAAUUGAUUGCCAAGAAUCACUUCGUACAGUAAACAGACUUUGUACAGUAAAUAUAAUUUUAUCUUUAAUUAAUUGGUUGGAAUUGUUUUCUGAGGAGUCAAUUCAAAAUUUGAAAAUAAAAACAGAAAAUAGAUCCAGCAAAUGAUUCCAAAUAUCUUCUAAAAGAACAAUGAAAUAUGUUUUUUUUAUUUACUGUAAGGAAAGAUAUUAAUGGAAAAAAUAAAAAAAUCAAUUUAAAAAAUAUAUAAUAAGUCAAAAUCUAACUCGUAUCAGGUUCCUAGUUGAAUUGAAUAAUUGAGAGCGAAACGUGUCAAGACUGACACGAGUUCAAAAUAGACUCCACAACAGGAAAAAAAAAAAAAAAAAGAUCCAUAUUGUGGCCCGUAGUAGUAUUCCGGAGGAGAGGGUCGAAGAUGGCGGCUGGUUCAAAGGAUGAGCUUAAUCUCAUGAAUCAUUUUUUAACCUUUAUCGUAAGACUUGACACGUGUCCUCUAAACCCUCAUGUCCCUCUUCCGAUCCUUGCUAAACCCUUGUUUUGGUCGUAAUCAUCCAUUAGCGUAAAGCUAUGCUUCUCUUGACUUAAUUUGAUCCCAAUAAACCAAUCCAUGGAGUUGGUGGUAAUGUAAUUGAUAUUACUUUUUAAAUUAUUUUUAUUUAAAAAAAUAUCAACAUAAUUUUAAUGUGUUGGUAUUAAAAAAAAUUAAAAAUAUUCUAUUAAUAUAUUUUUAUUUGAAAAAUAUUUUUUAAAAAACCGUAUGUAGAAUUACUAAACACCCUUAAGCCGGUGGACAAAGACACAAACGACAAAAUACAAAGGAAAAGGGAUAAAAGCAUAUAUUUGGAGAUGAUAAAAGGGCAUUGAGAUCAAAGAGGAUAAGUUUUUCAGUGAUGGGAUUGGAUGGUGAUGAAGGAUUGUGUGGAUAAGAGCAUAGUAAUUAAUUAUUUACUAAAAAGUUCUUCAGUGACCUAAUUCCGUGGCCCCACAAAAUUAUCAUUAUCCAAUAAACUAUUUGAUUAAUUCAGUGUUGCUUAAUCCCAGUUUGCUAUUGCGUUUUAAAUGGUUACUGGUUAUUAUAACACCAACUUAACUUAUGGUAAUUUUCUUUAUUGAUGAGUGAAUUUGAUUAGAUUUAAGAAUCUCCAUCACAGCCCAACAUCAUUAGCUUAUCUGCCAUCCCUUUCAAGAGAAGAAGAUUUCGAAUCAGUCCAUUUAUUCCCAUCUGUAGGCAUCUUUCUCAAGCAUCAAGGAGAAUUACUUCUGGAUUCUGAGUUGCCAAUAAAAAACAUAAAACCCUUAUAAAGUAGUUCGUCUCCCAGUCCUUAAAUUAGUUUCCUCAUUGUUUUUCACAAUUUUUAAAGAAAUUUUACGACUGCUGGGCCUUGACUUGUCUGUUUAAUUUCUAUUAGUCUUAUUCACAUUUUAGUAUUUUAUGCCAAUGAUAGAAUGCACUUUCAUAGACUCAUCAAAACCACAGGAACGCAAUCAAGCUUUAGCUUCAAAACAACCAGAGGGAGAUUUAGUGCAGUGGAGAACUUCAACAUCUACUAUGAAGCUUGAUUUGCUAUCCAAUCUUCACGUUAGUUUUCCAUUGAUACAAAGAUACUGUAUGUGUUUUUGUUGCCAGAAAGUUGUUCGAUCAAUAACUUUUUAUCUUCUUCCAAGUUUUUUUUUUUGUGUGAUUCUUUUUUCCUUUCAUCUCAAACUCAUGAACUAAAAGUUAAACAAAAUAAAAUUUUAGAUAAAAAAAAAAAAUAAAAAAUAUAAGAUGCAAAAAAUUAUAAGGUAAACAAUAAACUAAAUUUAGAAUAUGUCUCUUACUAUUCGUAAGCUUCCUAUUCCUUUUUAGUUUUUCUUAAAGUUAUUCUAUUUGAUGUCAUGAGUGUUCCAUUGAGAGAUAAAAAAGAAGACAAAUUCCCAUCCUCUUCACCUUCUUACAAUGCAUUACAGUAAUAUCUCUAAGAGAAUUGUAAAUCAAUUUUUGCAUUGCAAAUACUUUUCAGUUCCGGUAAAUCAAACAAUUUCAGAAUUUUCCAAGAUAAACAGAUUUUUAAAUACACUCAAACAUAAUUUUAAAUAUAAAAACAAAUUAUGUUUUUUUGAUUGCGGCAUAACAGUGAUGGCAGUACCGUUGUUGUUUGGACUUUGAGCAGCAGUAGAUAUCUCCAGCGUACUGUUACCUGCCGGCUAGAAAAUGUAUGAUGCCGUUUUUUAGUUUAAUAGAGAGAGGGCAGAAAGCCUUAAGAAAAUAAUUUCACAUUCUGUGUGGUAGAAACCUGAUUCCACCCAAAAAAAAAAAAUAACACGGUAAUUGAAGCAAAUUAAAAGAAUAAAAGAAAAUAUAAAAUGAUUUAAAAGAGAACAAAAAUUAAUUUUAAAUGCAGAUUAAAAUAAAGCAAAGUGACUAAUGAAAAAAGUACUUCAAUCCUACAAACAGCAGAUAGAUAGUCGGAAUCCCUUGCGCACACAUUUGAUAUAUAGAUAAUUAAAUCAACAUUAAACCAAAUUAAUAUAACCCUUUUGAAAAAUCAUCCACUACUUUUAAAUAAUUAAUUAUCCCUAUUAAGAAAAUCCAAUGACGACAAUGUAUUUAAGGAGCAAUAUUAAAGCAAAGAAAUUAAAUCAAUACAGGUAAAUAAAUGAUCCAAAGAUUAAUCCAUUCAAUAGAAAAAACAUGAAUGAAUCCAUAAACUGCUUAAAUUCGGAGAAGAAUACUUCUCAACAACAAAUUGAGAAUGAUAAAACAAAAGAGUUAGAAUAAUUAGAAAUCUGAACAAUUUAGUUACCCAUCACUGUAUUAGUCAUUCCUUUCCUCAUCUGUGCUCUCUUUUUUUCCCUCUCUCUAGUGCAAUUCUCUCACGUCUUCUUUAUGCCAAAUAGCCCUCUUUACAGAGGAGGCAGCACCCUUUUUCAUCAGAGACUAACUUGUAGCCCUUUACGAUACCUUUCCAACGCAUCAAGAAUCACAGCAAUCCGAUAUGUGUGUGGAAAGUUACGAUUAAAAUACUUUAAGUGUAUCUAGGCUGUUUCUAAAAAAAAGAACAUUACUUUAAGUUUAUCCAGGCUGCUAUUUAAAAAGUCAAGAAAAUAAAGUUUUAGAUUAAAAUAAAAUAAAAUAAAAACUUUAAGGAAAAAAAAAAAGCACGCCUAUGAAGCUUGAUAGUAUAUCAAAUUAAAUAGAAGCUCGAUUAAAAAAUGCCCUUUAAUUUCUAUUAUUUCUAUUCACAUUUUAGCAUUUUAUUCCAAUGAUAGAGCAUUUGGAAUGCACUUUCAUAGACUCAUCAAAACCCCAGGAACGCCAUCAAGCAUUAGCUUCAAACAACCAGAUCCGGAGCUUCAGUGCAGUAGAAAACUUUAACAUCUACUAUGAAGCUUGAUUUGCUAUCCAAUCCACACAUCAGUUUUCCAUUGAUACAAAGAUACCGUAUUUUUAACCAUCUAAUAUUAAGAGCGUGUGAUAAAGGGGUUUGCUUCCCCUAAUAUUAAGAGCGUGUGAUAAAGGGGUUUGCUUCCCCUGUAGUUUCAGGUUCGAGCCCUGUGGUUAUUAAUAUUGAUGACCAUUGAAGGCUUACCUGGUCGUUAAUUUCAAGAUCCAAGAAAAUUAAUCGAGGUAUGGACAAACUGGCUUAAACACUCAAGUGAAUAAAAAUAAAAUAUUUUAUUUUUGUUACCGGAAAAUUGUCAACCAAUAACUUUUUAUCCUUUUCCAAGUUUUUUAGGUGACUUUUUUCUUUUAUCUCAAAAUCAUGGAUAAAAAAUGAAUAGAAUAAAAUUUCGAAUCAAAACUAAAACUAAAAAAAUAAAAAAUGCUAAAAGUCUAGGGAUUAAGAUUUUAAAAAUCAUGCCUACGCUAACUUCUAGUUUUAAAUAUUUAAAACAAGGCUCCAUAUAUUAUCAUAUAUUCAUAGAGACAUACCAAUGUAGCUUUUGAUGUUUACCGGUUUGGGUAUGUCCAUAUGCUUUUAAAUAUUUUUUAAAAUUUAUAUUUGUUUUAAAAAAAUAUUAAAUUAAUAAUUUUUUAGUUGUUUUUAAUGAUUUUGAUGUAUUGAUAUUAAAAAAAAUCUAAAAAUAUAUUUUUAAAAAAUAUUUUAUAUAACAGUAUCAAACACAUGAUAACCUUGUCCAAAAGCUUUCGACCGAGCAUAAAAUGGUUUUCAACCCAAUCAUACUUUUUCCUCAUUAUAAAUAUAAAAUAAAGUUCAAGUGAAGUAGGGUCCAAUCUUAACUGGUUCAAACAUUAUUGUUAGAACGUGACAGUGUCCCAGCAUUAGUAGUGUAGCACGUGCCAUGUCUUAAGCUUAUGUGAUCCGAAAACAAGGCAAUUGGUGUUUGAUGGAAUUAGCUGUCACUAAAAAUAAAAUAAAAUAAAAUCCUCCGUGAACUAAUUAAUUACUCAAUUAAUUCCUAAAUUAGUUUUUUUAUUGUUUUACACAAAAUUUAUAUAAAUAAAAAUAUUUUAUUAGAUAUUUUAGAUACUCCACUAUUAUAAUAUUUUAUUUAAGUUUAGAUUUUUAUUUCAAAAUUGAAUUUUAUUUAAUGUAACAAGUAUUACGAUGUUUUUUUUAUCUGAAAAUUUUUGAAAUAUUAUUUGAUUUUAUUAAUUUAAAAACAAAUAAUAUUUUAAAAGAGUACGAAAUGUUGUAUAAAAUUUAUAUGUAUUUAUUUUCUGAUAUACGUGUUCCAAGAAUUAGCAGGGAUACGAUGUUUUUACAGCAGUGCUUUUAUGUUAUCGGUCAUGGACCCGAAACACGGUUCAUGACAAUAACGCAAAACACAACAAACAUUGAUGCUAUGCUGAAUCCUUGAAGUGCGUCUAACAAAAUCUCAAUAUCCGGAAUGCCUCUUCUUCCAUGGCAUCUUGCCUAACUCUUGAUUGUCUCAGGUCCUCCAAGGCAUUACUCCACUCUUUUUUUUUUUUUUUUUUUAUUAAUGUGGAUGUCUGGACCAGCUUGCACACACCUCGACUAAUCACACGGGCCUUGAAGUUAACAACCAUGUAAGCCUCUAGUGGCUAUUAUAUGAAUAUCCAUAGAGCUCGAACCUGAGACCACAAAAAAAAAAAAACUCUUAAUUUCAAACUCUUAUCACUAGACCACUUUCUAGAUGGUUGCAUUCCUCCACUCCUUGGUUAACUAUCUCAUGGAGGUUAACUCCCCCCAACUCUCUUACGGAUAAAGUAAGGAAGCCAUUUACACUUCAUAAGAAACCGUAAUAUAACAAACAGAGGAUCUGUAAGUUUCAGAGAACGACAUCAAUUUAAUUAUGCGAAGUUCAAUCUUUUUUCCUCUACAAAUUAAAUCAUUUACGUAAACCUGUUACCUACAUUUUGUAAUAUUUCUGGAUCUGCUCUUUGAUUCAUCAAGGACAGAGUUGAUUGCAGCUUCGUCAUAGAAAAGUUCGUCUUCUUCAUCUUCUUGGUUGGCGAGGAAAUAUAAGUGGACUCUUCUCCAGUUUAAGGAUUCCAAUCAAGCACAUGAAUGAUAAAGGGCAGAGUCAUCAUUUAAAUAAUAAAGGAUCGAACAUCCUUAGCAUUAGGAUGCUCCCAUUCCACCACUGACUCUCACCAUUCUUUUGGAUGUACUCCAUCACUCUAAGAGAAGGGGGAUGAGAUAGCUGGCCAUUUUCAAGCAACGGAAGAUGAAUUGCCAGCCUUUUCAGCAUCUGACAAUUUGUUAUCCCAAUUUGUUGGAGAGAAUCGCAGAUCGAACUCUUUAAAAAUAGAAAUAUACCAUGAUAAGAUGGAGAUGAUGGUGGAGCGGAGCGGAGCAGAGCCAAGAAGACGAAACCAAGCUCUCCAUGUUAUAGCACUUCCAAAUGUCGGUACUGGCAUUUAUUGAAAUGAAACUUAAAAUCAACUGUUUUGAAAGCCAUUUGAUAGCUAGGAACUCAGAAUCCAUGAGAUUAAGUAUUUGGCAAAGCCUUCCCCGUGAUCGGAGCAAUCUCACUAAUUUAUCGACGGAAUGGCUAGAAUUGUCUUCCUCUUAACUAAUCUUUAGCAAAUUGUCUUAAUAUGGUUUUACCAAAAAGAAAAUAAUAAAUUUGUUCUAUUACUAUCAACUGCCAGAACUCCUGACAAGUAAUUACGACCAGUUUUUUAACAUCCAAGCUCUUGUAAUCUCACAAACGCUUGAGACCCAAACCCAAUCAACAGAUCAGAGAACCUUUAUUUGUCAAGGCUCCAUACACUUUCUCGACAAGAACCGGAGGAGGAGGCUGUGGGGAAUUCGAUGGUUGAAAAAGGAACGUGAAUUAUGCUGGAGAGCAUGCAGGUGGCGAUGUGUUUGGAGCUUAGCCUGGUGUUCCUCCAAAUCCUUACUAAAUUAUUACAAAGUAACAUUAUAAUAUUUUUAAAUCUGUUUAAUUUUUUUGGUUUAAGAUCGUGUUUUUUUGUUGUUGAAAAAUUAUCCUUACAAAGUAACUUUUUAUCCUUUUCCAAGCUUUAUGGUGAUUUUUUUAAUCUCAAAUUCAUGAACAAAAAAAGGUAGCAGCGUGAAGCCUCGCCAAAAGCCCAAGAUUAAAAUAACCAUGCUCCUAGCCCAAGCCCGCCAACAUCACCCCCAGCAGAUUGGAAAAAUGCUCAUAACCAUUCCGGAAAAACACACCUAGGCUACUAUGGUAUACUAGAAAGUGGAAAUAAAUCGAUAUUAAUCAUCAAAUAAAUCGUUAGCAGAAACCAAAAAUAAAUAAAUAAAUUGUUCAUGCUACUCCAUCUUAUUGAUGGGAAUGGCUUUUGACCAGCAUACAUACGACUCUGCUAAAAUUAUCUGACAAAUUAUCAGGCUUAUAAAAAAACUUAAUAAAAUUAGAAAAAAAAUUAUCAUUUUUAUUUAAUAAAAGAAUAUUAAAAAUAUUAAUUUAAUAUUUUUUUUAAAAUAAACAGAUUUUUAAAUGCAAUCAAACAUAAUUUUGAGUACAAAAACAAAUUACGUUUUGAUUGCAAGCAUAACAAUCUUGGCAGUAAGUACUUUUAUGAUUUUAUUUUUGCAGCCACGUACAUGCUUUAGGAGUUCUUUUUAUUAAAUCAAUAUUAAAGUAAAAAAAAUUAAAUCAAUACAGAUAAAUAAAUUAACUAAAUAUAAUCAAACAAUUAAUCCAUUUAACAGAAAAAACAUUACUGAAUCCAUAAACUACAUUAAUCCCCUUUCUUUUCUUUUCUUGUUUUUUUUUUCUCUGGUGGAAUUCCCACACAUCUUCUUUUUUUUUUCUCUGGUGAAAUUCAAUAGGAUGAAAAUAUAAUAUUAAUCAAACUUCAAAUUAUAAUUGUUUAUCUAUCGAGUUUAAAAAAAUAUGACAAUUCAGUAGUCUUUAAUGAAAUAAAAAAAAAUAAAAAAUGUUAUUUAUGUAAUUGUAAGCACACUAUAUUAUAUUACUUUACAAAGGGACGAAGGACAUCCUUUGCAUUAGGGUGCUCCCACUCCACUACUGACUUCCACCAUUCAUCUGGAUAUGCCUCGAUUGUUUUAAGAGAAGGGGGAGGAGAUGGCUGGCCAUUUUCAAGCAACGGAAGACAAAUUGGCAUCCUCUUCAGCUUCUUACAAAAAAAUACCUUAAUAUUUUUAAGAGAAUUGCAAAUCAGCUUUGCACUGCAAAUGCUUUUCAGUUCUGGUAACCUAUCCAGUUGCAGAGUUGUUAACUUUGGGAGAAUGACUUCCGUGAUGGAAUUGGAGGUGCUGCUUUCUUCAUCUGUUGUUCCUAUUAUCUCCUCCAUUUUCUCACAAUUGGAAACUUCAAUCCUUCUCAGGUUUACGAGGUUUGGCAGCAACACAAGCGGGAACAGCUUCUUUAUACUUUUACAGUAAUAACAAAAAAACUCUUUAAGACCAGAAAAUGUACCGUUACAUGAUGGCAAUCGUGGUGGAGCAGAGCAGAACCAAGAAGAUGAAACCAAGCUCUCCAUGUUAUGGCAUUCCUGAAUGCGGAUGUGCUCCAGUUCAGUUGCAUUCUCUAAUGACAAAACAUCACAUAAACUUCUUGCAUCGAUGCAUUCACAAAUCAGUCCUUGAAUGCCAUUUAAGAACUUAACCUGAAAAUCUCUAUCUCCGUUGAUACUCAAAUUACCCAACCCAACUGUUUUACUUAAAUUUCCAAACAAUUUCUCUUUCAAACUAAGCACCUCUCCUACUAAAAUUUUGUAUGUGCUUAAUGAUUGAAUCCCAUCCCGAGAUCUGAGAUACUCCACUAAGUCAGAAAAACCUUUGAAAUGGCACUCCAAAGUUUCCAAAUUUCUCAAGGAUCCUACUUCCUUUCCUUUAACUGUUAUCGGAGCAUCUUCGAUAAACUUUUUCUUCAGUACAAAGACUUGCAGGUGAGAGAGUUUUGGUAAUAUCCCACUAGGAAACUCCUUUUCACCACAUCCAUUCAUUCUAAGAUACCUCAGGUUGGUUAGGCAUUCCAUUCCUUGCGGCAUCUUUUCAAGUCGAGUACGAGCGAGAUCCAACCUCUUCAGUGCCCUGAGCUUCUUUAAUGAUGGAACAUAUCUUAAGUUCUCACACAUUUUGAGCAAUAACGCAGUGAGACUCACCAAAUCAGAGACAGAGUCUGGCAAGUUUUCAAUACCUGUGCAAGACAGAUCGAGGACCUUGAGCCCAUGCAAUUGCUUGAAAAAUGAAUCAGCAAUAAAUCGCAACCAAGGAUUUUUACAUAGCAAUAGAGUUGAUAGAUUGGGACACCUUGGUGAAUAGCUGGAAGGAAUUUCUUCGAUCUCGUUUCUCAUUAGUGAAAGCAUCGUCAGAUUCUCCGUCCACUCCUCUGCAUCUGGCAACUCUUUUAACUGCACACCUGCUUUAACCAUGACUUGAUAUUCGUCUUGCAGUAUAUGGAUGGCCAUGUCCCUAAUCAAGUCAUGCAUCUUGAUAUAUCUAGUAUCAUCAUAAACCAUUUGAGCACUUUCCAAUAGGCAGACAUAUUCAAGUCUAUUAAGCAUCGUGUGGCCCUCAUCAAAUGCAUCUCCCCUGCUCCUCAUUCCUUUAAUAAUUCCCUCAUCGAUCAAAUAACCUAUCAACUGCUCCCUUUGAAUCACACCAUCUUCAGGAAAUAAUGCACAGUAUAAGAGACAUUGUUGUAGUGCUAAAUCACCUAACCGAUCAUAACUAAACCUCAAUAACUUGAAUACCUUCUCAUCCAUGUCCCUAAAUUCUGAUUCUCUCAAUUUCUUCAAUGUAUUCCUCCACUCAUGUAGAUCAUCCACUCCCCUCAAGCUUCUUGCCACUGUAAUAAUUCCUAGUGGCAAACCAGCACAUUCCUUUGCAAUAGCUUUCGCAAUUCGUUCCACUUCUGGUGAAAGUGCUACAGCACGUCCAAGUUUCUCCAUGAACAAAGUCCAAGCUUCUCCAUCAGAAAGUGGAUUCACUUUGAUUUUACGGUGGCAAGCCAUCCGAUGACAAACCGUUUCUGAUCGAGUUGUCAUAAUCAGCUUGCAUCCUUUCAACUUUUCAGGAAUUCCCACUUCGUGUAGCUCAAAAUUAUUCCACAAAUCAUCUAAAAUGAGAAUCCAUUUUUGUUUCUUCCUUAGUUCUUCUGACAACUUGGCAGCUCUAUGCAGUUCAUCAUUUUUUCUUGAAAGAUCUAGAUCAAGAUGUUCAGCAAUAAGAAUCUGCAAUCUAUUAAUGCUGAAAUCUUGAGACACAGUCACCCACCAAACAUUAUCACAAAUAUCUGGUCUUUGUAGAAGCUCAUUAUGGAUAUGUUGCAGUAUUGUGGAUUUACCAACUCCCCCCAUCCCAUAAAUGCCAAUGGUUGGGACUUUAUCAUCCAUUAAGAAAGACCAUAUCAUAUUUGUAUUCCAUUGGAAUGCUCGACCCACUAGCUUUGUUGAGCUAGUAGGUAAUGGAACUCCUCUAGUCUUGUUGCAUUUCAGACUUUCAGAAGAUCUAGCUCCUGCGCCAGCCUCCUCCAUUGGUUCUGUCCUCACUCUAACCAUGUCCAACAACGCAUCAUGCCUAUUUACAUCAUUGUUUACUGAUGGAGCACAAGGUUGAUCAUAACAUCUUCCAAUGUCAAGACAAAAUUGGGAUGAAUCUCCUCGAGGCUCCAGAAGCUGCACUUGCUCUGUUCUUGGAAUAGUCUCAAAUGCAUCAUGCUGAAAAGAUCCUUCACCAGUGUUUUCCAUGUCAUUUUCUGCUUGUAAAUGCGACUGAAUUCUCUCUUCUCCGGGACCUUGUUCCACGCCUUGAACUCCCACUUGUACUGCUUUGCUCUGUUCCAACACUCGAUCCACGGGUUCUGUCCUCGUUCUGCUCUCGAGUGCCCCUUCGGAAACUCCAUCUUCUUGUGCUCUCAUUCCGGUCAUGCUUACUACGUCGUUUCCUGCUAUUGCAUGAGAAGAAAUCCUCUCUUCCCCUACCCCGGGGUUCUACAACCUGAACUUCUCUUUGUACCCUUCCAAUACCUCCUACCAUUGUUGAGAUUGAACUUGCUGUGAUUUUAUGUCUUUUGUUGCCACCACGCAUAGCUAGAAAGGCUGCUUCUUGAACUUCUUUAGGCACCCCAAGACAAAUGGCAACAUUAUGCCCUUCCUCUCCUGAUAAAUGCCAUUUGAUCCUUGAAAUGGAGGUUUUAUUGGCAAAUGUAUGUGGACAAAACUUACACUUCAUCCUACCCUUAUCACUUUCUUCAACAGAAUUCCAAAACGGAUCAUUUGAUCCAACCUUUUCGACCUAUAGAAAAAAGAAGUCAAAGUAUAGAACAAAAAUCAGUCAAAAUAUGGAAUAAAAAUUGACGGAUCAAGUUACAGAACAGAAGUUUCCGGAUUGAGAAACUAUUUUGCUAUCAAAAUUGAUAGUUAGUUUAUAGCACAAUCAUAGGGGAAAAAAGACUACGAUAAUUCAGUUAGACUUCUUACUUGUUGAGUAUUUAAACCCCUAUUUUGACUUUGGAAGGAAGUGUCAGGGCCAGGAUUAGAGGCAUUUGGCAUAGCAGUUUGAUUUUGCAAUCCUCGGACUUGGAAGUUAUCCAUCUGUGACCUAUAUAUAAAUGAAAUGAUCAUAUUAUAAAAAAUUUCGAUAAUUGUUAGUCACUCUUAAGCACUAAAAAUCAAUGGUGUAUCUAAUUAUCGAAAAGGUAUUAAUACUAUGCAGAAAAACUAAUUGUUUUUUUUACAGAAAAUACUAAAAAUGAAAAAUUGGAUACCGGGGAGCAGGAGAAGAAGGUCCAGGUUGAUUGAAGCCACCAUGUUGAGAAGUGGUUGCGUUCGGUGUCAUAUAGCCAUGUCCCGGCUGAGGUUGAUGAAUAAAGGAGUUCUGAUGCCUGAAUAAUAUUCAAAAAGUUAAACAUAGAACUGUUAUUCUCACAAAAAAGAAAGAUAGAGAGCUCAAAAAGACUUGAAAGAUCCACGUCAAUUUUGGUCAAGUUCAUUGUUUUCAUGAUUAAAAAAGUGUAUAUUCGAGGUUAAUACCUUUGAUUCAUUGGAGGUUGAGGUCCAGGUAGCAUCGUAGGCACUUGAUUGCUCAUUGGUAACUGAUAAUCAGUCCAUUGUUGGUCCCUAAAUGAGCAACAUUUGUUGGUGAUUUCUUUAUACAUAUGCAUAAUUCUUUGCUAUUAAUCCACUAAGCAUUUGAUAUCAUUUUAGCUUACCUCAAAGGCAUUGAUGGUCCAGGUAACAUGGGAUUGGCACAUUGAGGAUCAAAUAAAUUGGGAUUAGACUGAUACCUAUAUUCAAACAUAAUGAAUUCACUGAUAAGUACAACAACAAGAGGAAGAAGAAGAAGAAGAAGUUAAAUAAUGAUUGAAAAACUUUUUUUUUUUUUUCAGAAAAUACUAAACAUGAAAAAUUGGAUACCAGGGAGCAGGAAAAGAAGGUCCAGGUUGAUUGAAUUCACCAUGUUGUGAUGUGGUUGCGUUCGGUGUCAUAUAGCGAUGUCCCGUCUGUGGUUGAUGAAUAAAGGAAUUAUGAUGCCUAAUUCAAUGGACAUUGUAGCAAAUUGGAGUAAGCAUGAGUUCUCACCAUGGUUUCAGGAAAUGAAGUUGGAAACUGAGUUGUUUGUUGAAUACUAUCGUUGAUCACAAUGUUCUGUCCACCUUGAUCAUUGCAUAAUAUGGAGCCUUGGUUGACGUCAGCCGGCCUGCUUCCAUGGAAUAAUAUAGAGGAUAAACAGAAGAAUAACUAAAUUGCAAGCAAUCAUCUUCUGAUAAAAUAUGCUUAAGAAUGACGUACGGUGUCAUAUAGAGAAGUGGUGAUUGAAGACCGAAAAGAUCAUCAUCCAUAGAAGAUGGUGGGAACCCUUCCAUCUGACCAAAAGUACAAAAUGAUUAGUACAUACUGAGGUGAACAAAGAACAGAAAGCACGUAGCAAAGAAAAAAAAAAAGUAUAUAUAUAUGAGUGGAUUACUGGGUACACACGUUACGUAAGUCAAAAUAAAAGAAAAACAAAUAAAUGGUGAAAAGCAUAUUUUAAUGACAGUCCCAUUAAUUGGAAAAGAAAAGGGUGAAUCUAAGAAAAGAAAAGCCUUUUUUUUAUUAUUUUUAAUACUAAUAUAUCAAAAAAUAUUAAUUUAAUAUUUUUUUUUCAAAAUAAACAGAUUUUAAAAAACAAAUUAUAUUUUGAUUGCGGGCAUAACAAUCCUGGCAGUACCGUUGCCGUUUUUUAGUUUACACAUUCUCUGGAGUGUCGAUUCCACAUUGAAGCAAAUUAAAAGAAUAAAAGCAAAUAUUAAAUGAUUUAAUAAAAGUGACUAAUGAAAAAGGUGCUUAAAUUCUACAAACAGCAGAUGGAUAGUCGGAAUCCCUUGAACACAUUUGAUAUUUUAAUUAUUCUUAUUUUGUUUAAUGUAAGGUAAUUACCAAUCAAGUUAAUUCAUUGAAUCAUUGUAAGGAAAAAAAAAAGUUGAAAAAUACUGAAUAAAAAUGAAUUGCAGUCCCAUUAAUUGGAAAAGAAAAGGGUGAAUCUAAAAUAAGGUGUUAAAAACACUACUUUACCUACCCCAAUUAUGAAGCUUAGAAGAAGAUGCCUAGAAAAUGUAAACACGUGAAUAUGAGAAUCAAUAAUAUACUUUUCUUUUUAAAAAUUUUUUAUUUAAAAAAAUUAAAAUAAUAAUUUUUUUUUAAAAAAAUAAUAAUUAAAAAAGAAAUAAAAUUCAAAGUUUUUGAAAAGCAUGUGCUCUAACAAUAACAUAUUAAAUAUGUGAUUAAUAGCAUGUGAUUAAAGGUUUUCAGUCGAUGCCAUUACAUGCAGUCAAAGACUCCAUCCUUACUUUUAAUAAACAAAACCUACACUCAAUAACAUGUCCUAGUUUUUUUGGCCAGUGUUUUUCCGUGGUGGGAUUAAUUUUUUUAAAAUAUAAAAAUAAAAUGUUAAGAGUGAAGAAAGUUUGUUAGCGAUAUUAUUAAACCUAGUCAUGGAGUUAAUAUUAAAAUCUUCUAACCUAAUUUUUUAUUUAAUUUAAAUUUUUAAUUAAAUUAUAUGGAAAUUAACUCAGUUUAAAUCGAUCAAUAUCCAAAUACAACUUAAAAAACUAGAAAAACAUUAAAAAAACUUAUAGAAAACAACGUUUUUUAAAAAAAAAAUAUUGAAACAAUGAAAGAUUUGAUUGAUCCCAGUCCCUCACGACUGGAGUCAUAGAUUCUAUUGAGUUUAGUAAUUUUUUAUAAGUUUUUUUUAUUUAAUUAUAUGAUAAAAAUAGAUGCUUAAAAAAUUGAGUAUCAUCCCUAAAAUAAAUAUUUAUUUAAGAUUUUAAUAACCCUAUAGAAAGCAAACAAAAAUAAAUUAUUUAGUCUAUUUCCAAAUCAAUCUACUAUUGAAGGAUGAAAUUAAAAAAAAAAUCAAUUAAAAAAAUUAAAAGACUAAAAAAAAAAAAAACAUAUUCGAUCAAUGGGUAAACCUGUCAAACUUGUGGCUAGUACAUAAAACCUAUGAACCAGGUUAUGGACUUAACUAAGAUUAUAAUUAUUUUGGCUAGUACUGUCAAAAUUAUUUUUUUUUAUAAUUAUAAUCUUAGUUAAGUCCAUAACCUGGUUCAUGGGUUUGAUGUACUAGCCACAAGUUUGACAGGUUUACCCAUUGAUCGAAUAUGUUUUUUUUUUUUUUAGUCUUUUAAUUUUUUUAAUUGAUUUUUUUUUAAUUUCAUCCUUCAAUAGUAGAUGAUAAAAAAAAUAUAAAAUAAAUAAUUGUAAAAUUAAACAUCAACCAUACACACACACACUAAUUCGACCAAAAUAUGAAAUAGGCAAAAAAAAAAAAAAUAAUUAAAAAAAAGGAAAGGAAAGGGAAAAAAAAACAGAAAAGGCAAAACACUAUCAAUUACUAUUAUAAUCUAUAAUGAAAUGAGUGUGGGUGAAUAGUGAUUCUCUUACACCUUUUAGUUUUUCUUUUAAUUAAUAAAUAAAAAAAAUAUCCCACCAAACCUGAAAACUAGUAUAAUUUGAAUUAUUUUAACAAACCUGUAAAUCACGUUAAUCUUAUAAAAAAAUAGAAUAAAAAUUAAUAAAUUAAAGCUGAAUUAUAACCCGCCUAUAAUAAAAUAAACAAAAACAAAUUUUUAAAAACAAAAAAAAAGGGCAAAACACCUUGAAUUACGUACUAUUGAAAUUUACAAUGAAAUAGGUGUGGAUAUAUAGUGAUUCUCCCAAGUCUCUUAGCUUUUCUUUUAAUGAAAAUUAAUAACCGUAUAAUAUACUUUCUUGUGUUUGCUCUAUCGUUGCUAAAUUAAAACAUAUAUUUUUUUUUUAUCUACAUCUAUGUGAAACUUUUUUAAAAUAAAAAUAUUUAAAAAGAUAAAUGUUAAAACAAAAACAUUGUUAUUUUAAUUUUUUUUUUAAUAAAUACCAUCAUAAUAUGAUAUGGUUUUCUUUUUUACUCAGGUUAUUCAGUUAAUAUGUAAGUCAACCAGUAAACUAAACUUUGGAAUACGCUUCUUGACUAUUCGUAAGCUUCCUAUUUAUUCUUAGUAAUCAAAAUAUAUUUUUAUUUUUAAUAUUAAUAUAUUAAAAAAUAUUAAUUUAAUAUUUUUUUAGAAUAAUCAGAUUUUUUAAUAAACAUAACUCUGAGUACAAAAACAAAUUAUGUUUAGAUUGCGGGCAUAAGCAUAACAAUCUUGACAGUACGGUUGUUGUUUGGACUUUGAGAAUGAUAAAAUAAAAGAGUUAGAAUAAAUUUAAAAUAAAAAAUUAAUUUUUUAAAAAUAUUUUUAAAAUACAAAAACAAACUAAUAAUGAUAAAUAGACUUUCAUACACUUGUCAAAAUCACAGGAACGCAACAAUCAGGCAGGCAUUAGCUUCACUGCAGUAGAAAACUUCAACAUAGCUUGAUUUGCUAUCCAAUCUGCACACCAGUUGGAUAGCAAUUUCUUUUCAUAACAUUUACCUUUGUAAAAACUUUCUACUUAUUUUUAGUUUUAAUAUCAAAUUCAGUCUUGAAUAUUUAUCUUCAAAAUUUUAAUAUCAAAUUUGACGGUCAAAAUUUCACUUAUUUUUAAUCAAUUAAAUUGAACAAAAUCUUGUUAAGUCAAACAUCAACUCUACAUUGAAUUGUUUUUUCUUCUUAGACCACAAGAGCUCCAUAACAAGUUUAUUGAAAUAAAUUAGCCAUGUCCCGGCUGAGGUUGAUGAAUAAAGGAAUUAUGAUGGCUUGAUGGAGUUUGAGGCCAAUUUUAUAUAAAACUUAAUGAUAAAAAAAUGUCUAAAUCUCCCAAUUGUUGUCUGUUUGUUUAACAGUAAACAAUUUGAAGAUGCUCGAGAUCGAUACACUAAACAUAAAACUUUUUGCAUAAUACAAACACUUGCUAAUUCAAUGGACAUUGUAGCAAAUUGGAGCACUCACCAUUGUUUCAGGAAAGGACAUUGGAAACGGAGUUGUUUGUUGAAUACUAUUGUUGAUCACAUUGCUCUGUCCACCUUGAUCAUUGCAUGAUAUGGAGCUUUGGUUGACUGGAACCUCCGGUGGCGACCUGCUUCCAUGGACAGUGACGACAUUAUAUUGUUUUUUGCGAAUAAUAGGAUAAACUGAAGAAUAACUAAACUGCAAGCAAUGAUUUUCUGAUAAAAUAUGCUUAAGAAUGACGUACGAGAGAAGCUCAGAAAUAUCUUCUAGUGAUUGAAUACCCAGCUGAUCCCAUGUCAUGUUGUCAACCUCCAUAAAAGAUGGUUGGAACCCUUCCAUCUGACCAGAAAAGAUCAGAAAAGACAAAAAAAAACUGAGGUCUAAAAAGAACAGAAAGCACAGAUCAGAAAAGAAUAUAUAUAUAUAUAUAUAUAUAUAUGACUACUUGUUUGUUAAAGAAAUUCGGAUGAAAAAUAUGAAAUAUAAAUGUUGUUGUUAAUGAUUUAAUCCUUUGUCUUUUAAGAUAAAUUAUCAUACUCAAAUUCUUUUUAUGAUAGAUAGAAAGAUGCAGUAUAACUGUUGAAGGUAGAAGAGCUGAUUGUUUUGACGGGGUGAACAAAAACCUCUUUCAACUCCUCUUUAUUCAUAAUUUGGGGAGCAAAACAAAUGCAAGAUUCAUUGUUUACUGUUAAACAAACCUCUUUCAACUCCUAUUUAUUCUUUUUUAAUUAUUCUUAUUUUGUUUAUUGAAAGGUAAUUACCGAUCAAGUUAAUUCAUUGAAUCAUUGUAAGAAACAAAAGUUGAAAAAUAUUGAAUAAAAAUAAAUGGCAGUCCCAUUAAUUGGAAAAGAAAAGGGUGAAUCUAAAAUAAGGAGUUAAAAACAGCAAAGAAUCUUGAAAAGACGAAAACAAUGAAUUCAACGUUUAGGGUUAAUUUAAUCAGUAUGAACACCACAGGGCAUGGAUUAUAAAAUCUGAGAAAAAGAUCUAUCUAUUUAUCAUGGAUUACUUUAAAGAUUCAGACAAGAUGAAUGACAAAUAAUUUACCUGGAUUCAAGAUGUUCUUCAAGUGCUAGCUGGUUUGCUUGAGCAGUGAUCAGCCAAAAGAAAAGGAAGAGAAAUCACAGAUCAGAGAAGAAUAUAUGGUUUAGAAAAAUAAUAAAGUUGCAGCAUACAUAAAUCUAGUUCGCACUGAUCAUGAGAUGGGGAAAGGAAAAUAGGGAAUUCUACAAUGAGAUGAGAUGUGGGAGAGAAUGUUACAGCAGCAAGGUCGCCUCAAUAAUAAUAAUUAAUUAACGUAUUGUUUGAUAGGAAGGAAGUUGCCCGGAAGCAACCCAAACAUAUUACAUUAUAAGAUAUAGAAAGUUAACGUGUGGACCCGCCCCAUGUUCACACUUCGAAGAAGCUGCCAAGAAAAUGUAAACACAUGAAAAUGAGAAAGAAUAGCAUAUUUCUGCAUUGAGUGAAUUUUUUUUUUUAAAAAUUAUUUUAUAUUUAAAAAUAUAUUAAUUUUUUUUUUAUAUUGCCACGUAAAAACAAUUCAAAAAUAUUAAUUACAAACGAUCACUUGAUAUAAUUUUACAGACUUUUAAUUAGCCUCACUCAUUUGAACCAUGUCAUGGGUUAAUGGUUCUCAACAACUCUCCAUUCCAUGACCUUUCCGGCCCUACCUAGAACAACCACCAUCCCGACAUAAAUAAUAAUAAUUUCACAGUUGAAUUAUGUUUUUUAAAAAACUUAAUAUUUUUUUAUUUUAAAUUAAUUUUUUAAAUAUUUUUAGAUUAUUUUGACAUUUUAAUGUUAAAAAUAAAUUUUAAAAAAUAAUUAUUUUAAUAUAUUUUAAAUAAAAAAAUAUUAUCACACCAUCAAACAUUAUCUUAUUCUAUAAUAGUAUACCUGAACUUUUCCACACCAAUGGAAUUUUUUUUUUCCAACACUCUUCUACAGAUUUUAUAUUCCUAGCCCUCGACCUAUAAAGUAUGAUUUGCUAUCCAAUCUGCACACUAGUUUUCCAUUAAUACAAAGAUGAUCGUGUUUUUUUGUUGCUAAAAUUGCCGGCCAAUAAUUUAAGAGGUGCGUUUAUUUAAGAGGUACAUCAGUUAAUGAGUUUGGAGUACAAAUUUAUAUUUUCCAUUUCUAUAAAGAGAUAGUGUUUUUUUUUUCUGCCAAAAAUUAUCAACCAAUAAUUUUCCAUCAUUUUCCGAGUUUUUCAGUGACUUUUUGUCAGUUAAAAAUAUAAAGAUUUUUGUGGUGAUUUUAGCCCAACUUUGGGGUAUCGAGUCUCCACUGAGAAAUUAAAAGAAUAGAAAAAAAUAUUACAUGGAGACAAAUUAAGAGAAUAGAAGAAAAUAUUAAAUGGUUUAAUAGAGAAUAAAAUUUAAUUUUAAAUGCAAAUUAAAAUAAAGCAAGGUGACUAAUGGAGAAAGUAGUGGAAUUCUACAAAGAGUAGAGCGUCGGAAUCCUUGCACACAUUUGAUAUUUUAAUUAUUCUUAUUUCGUUUAAUAACUCAAUUGGAAGUUCAAUUCCCAGAAUUUCCGCUUUCGAAAAAUCAUUCAUCACUUUUAAAUACGCAAAUGAUUAUUAAGAAAAUUCAACGACAACAAUAUACUGAAGAGCAAUAUUACAGUAAAGAAAUCAAAUCAAUACAAAUAAAUAUAUGAUCCAAAUAUAAUAAAGAAUUAAUCCAUUUAAUCGAAAAAAACAUGACUGAAUCCAUAAACUACAUGACCCCUUUUUCUAAAGGAGGCAGCCCCACUUUUUCAUCACGUCGCCGUGGUCCCACACAUUUUUAAGUGCGUCCAAGCUGGUUCAAAGUGAAUUUUACGACUCCUGAGCCUUGACUUGUCUGUGAGAGCUUCAACUCUACAUUGAAAUGUUUUUUCCUAAACUGUGAGAGCCUCAUAAUAAGCUUAUUGAAAUAAAUUAUUAUAAUGAAAUUAAAAACAAAAAUACUUAAAAAAAAAACAGAGAGACGCCGUGUUUUCUCUAUUGCUACAAGGUAAAAGUCUGAGCAUAUUUAUUUAUUUAUUUUUAUUUUUAUUUUAAUAAUAUUACUGUUAUAUCUACCGCCUAGAAAUCAAGAACGCUAGUUUCAUUUAAAAGAUUCUAAAGUUCAUAUUUAGAUAAAUUAGCAGAAAGGACGAAAACACAACAAAUCAUACCCAGAGAAGCAAAAGCCAGAAACAAGCUACCUCAAUUCCUGCUCCACCUGGCUAAGAAAUGCAGCGUGCCCACUUGGAAGUACACAUCAUCCAAAUUCCAGGGCAAAUAAUUGGUUGGAAUUGUUUUCUGAGGAGUCAUCUCAAAUUUGAAAAAUAAAAACAGAAAAUAGAUCCAGCAAAUGAUUCCAAAUAUCUUCUAAAAAGAACAAUGAAAUAUGUUUUUUUAUUUACUGUAAGGAAAGAUAUCAAUGGAAAAAAAAAAUCAAUUUAAAAAAUAUAUAAUAAGUCAAAACCUAGACUUAAAAUCUGACCCAUAUCAGGUUCCUAGUUGAAUUGAAUAAUUGAGAGCGAAACGUGUCAAGACUGACAAGAGUUCAGAAUAGACUCAUGAAUCAUUUUUUAACCUUUAUGGUAAGACUUGACACGUGUCCUCUAAACCCUCCUGUCCCUCUUCCGAUCCUUGCUAAACCCUUGUUCUGGUCGUAAUCAUCCAUUAGCGUAAACCUAUGCUUCUCUUGACUUUGAUCCCAAUAAACCAACCCAUAGAGUUGGUGGUAAUGUAAUUUGUAUUACUUUUUAAAUUAUUUUUAUUUAAAAAAUAUAAAAUUAAUUUUAAUGUGUUGGUAUUAAAAAAAAUUAAAAAUAUUUUAUUAAUAUAAUUUUAUUUGAAAAAUAUUUUAAAAAAACCGUAUGUAGAAUUACUAAACAUCCUUAAGCCAGUGGACAAAGACACAAACGACAAAAUACAAAUUAAAAGGGAUAAAACUUAAAAGCAUAUAUUUGGAGAUGAUAAAAGGGCAUUGAGAUCAAAGAGGAUAAGUUUUCCAGUGAUGGGAUUGGAUGGUGACGAAGGAUUGUGUGGAUAAGAGCACAGUAAUUAAUCAUUUACUAAAAAGUUCUUCAGUGACCUAAUUCUGUGGCCCAACCAAAUUAUCAUUAUCCAAUAAACUAUUUGAUUAAUUCAGUGUUGCUUAAUCCCAGUUUGCUAUUGCGUUUUAAAUGGGUAUUGGUUAAAUUUUAUUUUUUUAUAUUUAUAUAUUAUUUUGAUGUGUUGAUAUAAAAAUAAAUUUAAAAAAAUAAAAAUAAUUUUAAAAAAUAUUAUUAUAACACCAACUUAUGAUAAUUUUCUUUAUUGAUUAGUGAAUUUGAUUAGACUUAAGAAUCUCCAUCACAGCCAACAUCAUUAGCUUAUCUGCUAUGUUAGAGAAUAAUAUAAAUCAUAUUCUGGGACCUCAUCUAACAGCUUAAGCUAUUAGGUUGAGAUGGUUCUUUGACAUGGUAUUAGAGCCUUGAUGACCAAGCGGUCACGAGUUUGAAUCUCACCAUCCCCAUUUAUUUGAUAAAAAUUAAGCACAAGACAAUGUAGACCUGUGCAAGUUUUAAGCCCAAAGAGCUUUCACUUGAGGGGGUUUGUUAGAGAAUAAUAUAAAUCAUAUCCUGUAACCUCACCUAACAACUUAAGCUAUUGGGAUGAGAUGAUUCUUUACAUGCCAUCCCUUUCAAGAGAGAAGAUUUCAAAUCAGUCCAUUCAUUCCCAUAUGUAGGCAUCUUUCUCAAGCAUCAAGGAGAAUUACUUCUGGAUUCUGAGUUGCCAAUAAAAAACAAAAAACCCUUAUAAACUAGUUCGUCUCCCAGUCCUUAAAUUAGUUUCCUCAUUGUUUUUCACAAUUUUUUAAGAAAAAAAAUAAAAAAAGGAAAAAUAAAAAAAUGAUCAUAAGCUAUAUAUCUAACACUCAUUUUAAAGAAAUUGAUAACCAUGCAAGCAGUUUACAUGUCAGUAUUUGAUAAGGGGUAAGAUUUUGGAGACAAAUUAGAGUACUCAAAUAGAAUGUACUAGGUGAAUUGCCCGCGCGGUGCUGCGGGUUAUAACAUGAACUGAGCAAAAUCUAAAAGUACUGAGAUAGAACUGAGCAACCACAGAGAGUAAAUCUGAAAACAUGGUAAGCAUUGAGAUCGAACAGGGCAACCAUUUGGAGUAGGCUGUUAGCACGCUGCCAGAACAAUUCAAAAAGGGCCUAAGAUUAAACAUCCUGAGUGCAAAUAAUGGUUGAGCCAGAUGAAAUAAAAAGCAAAGAUGCUGGCAAAGCAGGACCGACAAUGGAACUCCAUGAAGAACAGCAAAAAAAGCAUGGGAUUUUGACGGUGCUGCUCAAAAGUGUGGAUGCGCGGUCUAAGCCCAGAAGGUCUCCUGUUGCGAGGAAAUAGUGUUAGCUUUCAUCUAAAAGAUGAUAGGUAUUGCCAGGCCAACGCUUAGGGAAAGCAAGGUAAUGUGCAAAAGAAUUGGAGCAAUUAACUGUAAUGUUUAAAACUUUGGAAAGCUACCUGAGGCAACACCAAGCCCACCAACAGAUUGUAAAAAUGCUCAUUACCAUUUUGGAAAAAAUAAAAGUUAAAUGAUUUUUUGUUUUUGUUUUUCAAUCAUUUAAAUAAGAUGAUAUUAAAAAGAAAUUUUAAAAAAUAAAAAACAUUAUUUGAAUAUAUUUCUAAAUAAAAAAUAUUUUCCAAUACAACUUCUAUCACUCUUAAACAAACCCUUAGUCUAAUGCAGAGAACAUGUCUUCAUAUACAUUAUACAGUGGAUUAAUCAAUCUUUUUAGUUUUUUUAUAUUGUUCAUAAAGAUAAAAAAAAAUAGUAUCUAUUAUUUUAUUAGUGAUGAUAUAAGAUAUAAGAUGAUUUGUAUAUAUAUAUUUUUUCCAAUACAUGUCUUCCUUUUUUUUCUUUUUAAUAUAUAUUUUUAAAAUAUAAUUUAUUGCUAGUUAAUGAUAUAAGAUGAUUUGUAUUCGUCAAUAUCAAUAGAUCUAUUAUUUUAUUAGGUUACUUUAAUAAUAAAUCAAAAUAGUAUAUAUAUAUAUAUUUGUUUUUUUUUUCUGGGGGGGAGAUUUUCAUCUUGGUGAUACUCAAUAGAUGAAAAUAUAAUAUUAAUUAAACUUCAAAUUAUAAUUAUUUAUCUAUUCAGUUAAAACAAAUAUGACAGUUCAAUAGUCUUAAAUAAUAAAUAUUUCAUAUUAAUAAACGCUUAACGAGUCGAAUCAAUCAGAUGUUAAUUAACAUAAAGAAGUUAACAUGGUGUGUGCAGAGAAUGAAUUGUGGAAAGAGAGAUUGGGAGAGUGUGAGAACUAAAAGAUGAUCCUUACCCUUUAUGGCUUUAUUCUAUAUUAUACUAAGGGACGACUGACCAUAACAUUACAAGGGGACGAAGGACAUCCAUUGUUUUGGGAUUCUCCCACUCCACCAGUGUCUCCCACCGUUCUUUUGGAUAUGCUCGGAUGUAUUUAAGAGACGGGGGAGGGGAUGGUAGGCUAUUUUCAAGCAACGGAAGAUAAAUUGGCAUUCUCUUUAACUUCUCACAAUACUUUACAUUAGGGGUGUUCAAAAAAAUCGAUUAACCAAAAAAACCGAGAAAACCGAUAAAAAAUUAACCAAGAAAACCGAACCGAGAUAGAAAACCGAUUAAACUGAUUGUUAAAACCAUAAAAUCUUGCCAGGUUCGGUUCGGUUCCGGUUUGACCUCUUAAACCGAUGAACCGAACUGGUAGUAUAAAUACCACGCACACAGUCACACACAAACACAGUCACUUGACACUCAGUAACCCUAAAUCUAAUUAACAUUCUGAACUGAAGAAUGAAGCCGCUGCCCACACCAAAAACUCAAAGAGCAAAGAGCCAAAGACUCUUCCUUCUGCCCACAGAGCCCCACACCAAAGACGAUUUAUCGUCUUCUCCCUUCUGCUGUUCUGCAUCUGUCUUGCCCUUCACCAUCAAAUUUCAUCCUUCCUCUUCUCCCUUCCGCAUCUGUCUCUUCCAUCGAUUUGCAUCCUUCCUUUGUCUUCCCUUCUGCAUCUGUCUUGCCCCCUGCUUCUCUCUUCACUUGCAGGUUGCAGCAGAACGACAGGGCUCCUCCAUUGGUAAGAUUAUCUUCGUGUGCUUAACUGCUUAUAAGUCCAACAUAAUUAUUUUCAAACUUUGAUGCUUCUCAGUUCUCUGACCUUUGCUUCUCUUUUUUUUAUCCUCAGGUUCACCCCCUUUUCCAUUUAAUCAAGAACUAGGGUUUUUGCUUCUUUCUUCAGGUUAGUCCCUCCUUCCCUGCCCUAUCUUCUUUUUGUUAAUUUAUGUUGGUAUUGAAAUAUGCUUGUUCAUUUAUGUUGGUAUUGAAAUAUGCUUGUUAAUUGUUAUAGUUUUUUUGUUAGUUUAUCAAUUAGUCAAAUACUCAAAUGUGUUUGUCACCUGUUACAACAUUUUUUUUUUCAUGUUUGUCGCCUGUCGGGUGAAUGAGUGAAUAACUAAAUAUGUUUUUUCAUGAUUAUCGGGGAAUCGGGGAUUGGGUUUUUUCUAAACCGAAAAGAAUUGGGUUUUUUCAUGACUGUUCCUUCAUUUUUGGUUCCCAUAGCAUGAAUGUCAGACCGAUUAGUAGGGAGAAACAUAUUCACUCAUUCCCAUAGCAUAAAUACUAAUCUGACAUUCAUGCUUAUUUAUUUUAAAAAAGAAUUAUGAUUCUCAGACCGAUUAAAGUCCAAUUUGCUGGUUCAAACAAUUUUCUCCCUACUGCCACUGCCAGCUUCUCAUAUGAAGUUAUUGAUGGUUAUUUUGAGGAUUCAGGUGUAUCAUCUACUUGAAGUAUUUUAAUCUAGAAUCCCAAACUAUUCACAUUUUUCUAGGGGAUGGUAAAUGAGAGUUGGCAUUAUACAUAAUACUAAACUCCUCCAAUGCUACAGUACAGCUAAAAAAGUAGAAUUUGUUGCAGCAGUGAUAAAUUUUAAAUUCUACACAUAAUUUUAAAGAGACUAACAAACAAAACUAGUUCAUUAAUAGCUGCACAGACAAAUAUACAAGGCAUCUUUCUCAAUUAAUUUUUUUAGAUCACAAAACACACUUUCAGUUUCAGUUCCAGUUCAAUUAAUAGCUGCAAAUAAUGUUUUUUUUCAUUAUUUUAUAAUCUGUUUUAAUUUCAGAUGGAUAAUCGGGAAGAUCAUACACCAAUUGAAUCAAAUCCUUCAAGUUCAGAACCCCAUUCUUUUCCUAUUCCAGCUCCAGUCCUAGUUGCUACUUCUAGUACAAAUAGCAACGCUGAAAGUGAAGGUAAUCCAGCUUCUAGAUCUAAUAAAGAAAACACAUCUCAGAUUUGGGAUCACUUUAAAAAAAUUAGAUGGUAAUGUUAAGCGCUCCUAGGGCUGCAUGUAUGUAUUGUGGAAAAGAUUAUGCAUGCCAUACUAUACUUAAUGGGACUAGUAACAUGUGGAGUCAUCUAGGUGUAUGCAAAAAAGUUUCCUUUUGUGAUUGACCGAAAACAAAAACUUUUAGUCUUACAACCUAGCCUAUAAUAAAAGGGGGUAAUAUGGAGAGGAAAAUCUGGUGACUAUUAAGGCGGUGGGUUAUAGUUAUGAAGAGUGUAGGAAAGCCCUAGGAAAAAUGAUUAUACUUGAUGAGCUACCUUUUAACUUUGUUGAAAACCAAGGAUUUAAAUCAUUUUGUCAAGUAAUGCAACCUAGAUUUGAUGUUCCUUCUCGUUUGACGAUUUGGAGAGAUUGUUUAAAAAUUUAUGUAGUUGAGAAGGAAAAAUUAAAGAAAGCUCUUAAGGAUCAACGUGUAUGUUUAACAACCGAUACUUGGACAUCAAUCCAAAAUAUUAAUUAUAUGUGUUUGACUGCCCAUUGGAUUGAUGAAGGUUGGAACUUGAAUAAAAGAAUUCUAAACUUUUGUCAAGUUUCUAAUCAUAAAGGUGAAACAAUUGGCCAAACAAUUGAGAGUUGUUUGUUAGAAUGGGGAAUUGAUAACAUUUUAACAGUUACAGUAGACAAUACAAGUUCAAAUAAUUUGACAAUAAAAUAUUUGAAGAGAGUAACAAGUAAUUGGGCAACUAAUAUAUUGUCAAAUGACUUCAUGCAUGUUAGAUGUUGUGCACAUAUUGUUAAUCUUAUUGUAUGUGCGGGAUUGAAAGAUAUUGAUGAUUCAGUUGUUAAGAUUAGGAAUGCAGUGAGGUUUGUUAGAUCUUCUCCUUCUAGACAACUUGUUUUUAACCAAUGUGCGGAGAGGUUGAAAAUUGGGAGUAAAAAAUCUGUUUGCUUGGAUGUUGCAACUAGAUGGAACUCUACAUAUAUGAUGCUAGAUGGCUGUAAAUUUGAUGUGGUUUUUAUGAGGUUAGAAGAAACGAUCCUAGGUAUUUGAGUUACUUUGAGGUUGAUUCAAAAGGAAAACAAAAAAACUUAGGUCCUCCUGCUUUAGAAGAUUGGGAAAAGGCUAGAUCUUUUGUCAAGUUCUUGAAACUAUUUUACACGGUUACAUUGAAAUUUUCUGGCUCAUUGUAUGUGACAUCUAAUUCUUUCUUCAUGAAUUGAUUUCCAUGCACACAAGCAUAUCUCAACUUUGUAGAAGUGAAGAUGUUUAUGUAAGUAAAAUGGCCAAGAAUAUGAUGGCAAAGUAUAAAAAAUAUUGGGGGGAUCAAGAUACACAAAACUUUUUGUUGUAUGUGGCGUUGUGUUAGAUCCACGUUUCAAAUUGAAGUAUGUGAGAUUUUGUUUUGGAAGAUUGUAUGAUGUUGAAGAGGCUGAAAAUUUUACAAUUAAGGUUAAAGAUACUUUGCUAAGGUUGUUUGAGCAUUAUAUGAAUGUUGAUGAGAAUGUUGAGGUGUUCAGUGUUGGAACUAGUAUAAAUGAAAAUGUUAAUGUUGAUUUAAUGGUGGUAAAUGAUGAUAUGUUGGAUGACUUUCUCAAUUCAAAAAACAUUUAGAGGAAGAAGGGGUGUCAAAAAAAAAAUGAGGUUGAGAGGUAUUUGGGUGAUGAUUGUGAGGAUCCUAAUGAUUUUAAAUUAGAUAUUUUGGGUUGGUGGAGGUGUAAUGCUACAAAAUACAAGAUUCUUUCUAAGGUGGCACAACACGUGUUAGCUAUUCCGGUAUCUACAGUUGUUUCUGAAGUAGCUUUCAGUACUGGUGGUCGUAUUUUAGAUCCAUUUCGAAGCUCUUUAUCUCCAUCGACAGUGCAAGCACUGGUUUGUUGUCAGAAUUGGUUGAGUUUAGCAUCAAUUCCAAUCAACAUCAGCAAUUACAUGGAUUAUAUUGAAAAUUCUGAGAUGAUUGAGUCAGGUAAUUUCUUUUACAAAUUUAAAUGUAGUUAUUUUAUAAUAUCAUUUAUUUACAUAUGUUUAAUCUAACUUUUUAAUUUAUGUUUUUGUAGAAUUUGGUGAAAGUUUAAAAAUCUCAACUGAUUGUUUGUAAGCAGUAUUGGUGGCUUGGUGCAAUUUUGGAAUAUAAUUAUUCUGGGUAAUUAAUUUACUUUACCUUGUUAAUUCCCUUUAACAUUUUUCAUACUUAAAUUAAUUCUUUCAAUAGUUGAACUCUAAUAUGUUGCUGAUUUGCUAGUGUUUUUUUUUAUAUAUAGCAUUAUCCUUACUAGAAUUUUUGGAUACCCAUGCUGCUGUUGCUGGAAUUUUUGGAUGCUAGUCUUGUGUUUUUUUUUUUCAAUUUAUGCCGGAUGUUUAUGAUAAUUUAUUGAUGGUUACUAAUGUAUUCGCUUGUUAAUGUUAACUUUUCUAGUGCGAACAAACUUUUAAUUUGAGGUGUUCAAAUUUGAUCAUGCAUCUUGCAUAUUGAAAUUGAUUUAUUGCAUUGCAUACAUAUUGAAAUUGAUUUAUUGCAUUGUAUCUGUCAAAUUAAAUUCAUGUCUAAAUUCAUGUGAAGAAUUAAAUGGUUUACAUUCCUUGGAUAUAUGAUUUUCUCAGCAUAGCUCAUUGCCUGCCUGUAAAGUGUAAAUCAUUUGAACAACUUCAGGCUUAUAAACCAGGAAACAAAACAUGAAAAAUAAAUUUAUUUGUCAUCAGUCUUGGGAUGCCCCUUGAAUUUGAAGUUGUCUGCAUAAGUGCAUAUGCAUUAACCUGAAAGGAGAAGAAAAUUCGGAGUGACCAGGAGAAGAAGAGCCUUGCAGAUGGCACUUCCACAUUGCAUGCAUAUUGAAAGAUAAGUGUUCACUGUUCAGUAGGGAAUUCCUGUUUAUGGCAGCCAAGCUGUGAAUUAAUUCAGGUUUCUGUAACUUUUAAAACUCAAUUUACUGUAAGGCUAAGUGAAUUUUAAAAAAACUGAAAAAAAACCCGGAUUUAAUGAAGGGAUUAGGUUUCCCGGUUUUUUCCAAAAAAAACCGGAUUCAACCGAACCAGACCGGCUCGGUUUGAACCGGUUUCCGGUCCGGUUCGGUUAAAAUUUAUCUAAAAUAUUGAAAUUCGGUUCGGUUGGUUUUUUAAGUCUAAACCGAACCGAAUCGAACCGUGAACACCCCUACUUUACAUCAAUAUCUUUAAGAGAAUUGCAAAUCAAUUUUGCACUGCAAUUGCUUUUCAGUUCUGGUAAAUAUCUCAAUCUUAGAGCUCUUAACUUUGGGAGUUUUAAUUUUGUGAUGGGACUCGAGGUGCUGCUUUCUUCAUCUGUUGUUCCUAUUAUCUCCUCCAUUUUAUCAUAGUACCUCACUUCAAUCCUUUCUAGGUUUACGAGGUUUGGCAGCACCACAAGUGGGAACAACCUCUUCAUACUUUUACAUCCAACACAAUAAAACUCUUUAAGCCCAGAAAACAUACCAUUAUAUGAUGACAAUGGUGGUGGAGCAGACCAGAACCAAGAAGAUGAAACCAAGCUCUCCAUGCUAUUGCAAUCCUCAAUGAUGAUUUCCUCUAGUUCAGUUGCAUUCUCUAAUGACAAAACAUCACAUAAACUUCUUGCAUCGAUGCGUUCACAAUCCGGAACUUGAAUGUCAUUUAAGAACUUGACCUGAAAAUCUCCAUCUUUGUUGAUACUCAAAUUACCAAACCCAACUGUUUUAUUUGGAAAAUCAUCCAUGUCUACCCAACAAUCCACCAUUCCUACUAAAAUUUUAUAUGUGCUUAAUGAAAUGGCAUUUCAAAUUUUCCAAAUUUCUCAACUGUUAUCGGAGCAUAACUAGUCCCCAUAAACUCUUCUAGUGCAAAGACUUGCAGGUGAGAGAGUUUUGGUAAUAUCCCACUAGAAAACUCCUUUUCACCACAUCCAUUCAUUCUAAGAUACCUCAGGUUGGUUAGGCAUUCCAUCCCUUGCGGCAUCUUUUCAAGUGCAGUACAAGAGAGAUUCAACCUCUUCAGUGCCUUGAGCUUCUUUAAUGAUGGAACAUGUCUUAAGUCCUCACACUUUCUGAGCAAUAAGGCAGCGAGACUCACCAAAUCAGAGAUAGAGUCUGGCAAUUUUCAAUACCUGUGCAAGACAGAUUGAGCCCAUGCAAUUGAUUGAAAAAUGUAGUGAUUGUCAAUUAUUUUAUCUUGACCACUGGCAAAAAUUUGUUAGUACAUGAUUUCUUGUAACAAAUUGCCACGUAUCACCAUACUCCCUGUUUUUUUCCUGCUGAAAUAAGUCUUUGGAUCUGUUUUGGUGGGACUAAUAUCAACAUAAAAUGAGUAUCCCUAUUUUUCAGGCAUCAGAAUAUUAUGCUCACUUGGUUGAUUUUAUAAAGGAGUUCUGAUGCCUGAAAAAUAUUAUGCUCACUUGGUUGAUUUUCUAGUUCCAUUAGGUGCAUAAAAAAGAGAUAGAGAGCUCAAAAAGACUUGAAAGAUCCUCGUCAAUUUUGGCCAAGUUCAUUGUUUUCAUGAUUAAAAAAGUGUAUAUUCGAGGUUAAUACCAUUGAUUCAAUGGAGGUUGAGGUCCAGGUAGCAUCGCAGGCACUUGAUUCCUCAUUGGUAACUGGUAAUUAGUCCAUUGUUGGUCCCUAAAUUAGCAACACUUGUUAGUAAUUUCUUUAUACAUAUGCAUAAUUCUUUACUAUUAAUCCACUAAGCAUUUGAUAUCAUUUUAGCUUACCUCAAAGGCAUUGAUGGUCCAGGUAGCAUGGGAUUGGCACAUCGAGGAUCAAAUAAAUUAGGAUGAGGCAGAUACCUAUAUUCAAAUAUAAUGAUAUUAGGCAGAUAAAUAGAACAACAACAAGAAGAAGUUAAAUAAUGAUGAAUAUUAUGUACAAGAAGAAUUUAAAUAAUGAUUAUUCUCACUUAGUUGAUUUUCUAGUUUCAUUAGGUGAUGCAAAUCAGGAGACUCUUGAAAGCUGAUUAAAGCUUAUUAGCUGUAGUUAUUAUUUUCCUAGUUAGCUGAUAGUUUCCGAGUCAGAUUAGUAUUAGAUCGUAACUCCUUAGCUGUAGGGUAUUUAAGAGGGGAACAGAACAGAAGAUGGGGCAUUAUUUGUAUUCUUGGCAAUUGCUUUCUUUAAAUACAAAUUGGAGUGAUUCCAUAGAGAUUCUGUAUUAAAUUAUUUAUUGUUCUUACAGAGAGCAACGAGAGGUUGUACCGGAGGGCAUUUAGAUUAAUAUGUGCACAAAAAAAGAGAGAGAGAGAGACGGAGAGCUCAAAAGAAGUUAAAUAAUGAUGAAUACCUUGUUGGAGUUUGAGGCCAAUUUGGUUCAUUUUGGUUGAUCCAUGAUGAUGAUGUUCCAUCUGAACCUCCCAUUGUUGUCUGUUUGUUUUAUAAUAAACAAUUAGAAGAUGCUCGAGAUAAAUAUUAUGUAGCAAAUUGGAGCACUCACAUUGUUCUGUCCACCUUGAUCAUUGCAUAAUAUGGAGCUUUGGUUGUCUGGAACCUCCGGUGGCGACCUGUUCUGUCCACCUUGAUUAUUGUUUUGUUGGGGAAUAAUAGAAAAAACUGAAGAAUAACUAAAUUGCAAGGAAUCAUUUUUUGAUAAAAUAUGCUUAAGAAUGACGUACGAGAGAGGCACAGGUAUAUUGAAUAUAUCUUCUAGUGAUUGAAGAUCGAACUCAUUUGAUGUCCAGUUGAUCAUGACAUCAUCCUCCGCAGAAGAUGGUGGGAACCCUUCCAUCUGAGGUUUAAAGAAGAACAGAUAAAACAGAUAAUAAAUAUAUAAGUGGGUACACCUUGUUAUAUCUAAGUCAAAAUAAAAGAAAAACAAAUAAAUGGUGAAAAGCACCUUGUUCUAUCUUAUAAUAUAAUAUUUGAUGGGGGUAUAUAUUAUAUUAUUACAAAUUACAAAUAUAACGAUCAUAACUAAGCCUCAAUAACUUGAAUACUUCCUUGUCCCUAAAUUCUGAUUCUCUCAAUUUGUUCAAUGUAUUUCUCCACUCAUAGGUCAUCCACUCCCCUCAAGUUUCCUGCCACUGUAAUAAUUCCCAAUGGCAAACCAGCACAUUCCCUUGCAACGUCUUUCGCAAUUCCUUCCAUUUCUGGUGAAAGUGCUAUAUCACGUCCAAGUUUCUCCAUGAACCAAGUCCAAGCUUCUCCUUUAGAAAGUGGCUUCACUUUGAUUUUGUGCUGGCAAGCCAUCCGAUGACAAACCGUUUCUGAUCGAGUUGUCAUAAUCAGCUUGCAUCCUUCUAACUUUUCAGGAAUUUCCACUUUGUGUAGCUCAAAAUUAUUCCACAAAUCAUCUAAAAUGAGAAGCUAUUUUUGUUUCUUCCUUAGUUCUUCUAACAAUUUGAGAGGUCUGAGAUGAACAUCAUCUUCACUUGAAAGGUCUAGAUCAAGAUGUUUAGCAAUAACAUUCUGCAAUCUAUUAAUGCUGAAAUCUUGAGACUUAGUCACCCACCAAACAUGAUCACAAAUAUCUGGUCUUUGUAGAAGCUCAUUAUGGAUAUGUUGCAGUAUGGUUGUUUUACCAACUCCCCCCAUCCCGUAAAUGCCAAUGGUUGGGACUUCAUCAUCCAUUAACAAAGACCAUAUCACCUUCUUAUUCUCUUCAAAUGCUUGACCCACUGGCUUUAUAGAGCUAUUAGGUAAUGGAACUCCUCUAGUCUUGUUGUUUUUCAGACUUUCAGAAGAUCUAGCUCCUGGGCCAGCCUGCACUACUGAUCUUCCACUAUUCUCAACGUACUCUUCCUCCACUGGUUGUGUCCUCACUCUAACCAUGUCCUGUGCAUCAUGCCUAUUUACAUCAUUGUUUACUAAUGGAGCACAAGGUUGAUCAUAACAUAUUCCAAAGUCAAGACAAAAUUGGGAUGCAUCUCCUUGAGGCUCCAAAAGCUGCACUUGCUCUGUUCUUGGUACAGUCUCAAAUGCAUCAUGCCAAAAAGAUCCUUCACCAGUGUUUUCCAUGCCAUUUUCCGCUUGUAGAUGCGAUUGAAUUCUCUGUUCUCCUGGAUCUUGUUCCAUGCCCUGAACUCCCACUUGUAUCCUUCCAAUACCUCCUCGCCAAAUUGCCGAGUACUGCAUUGCUUUGUUCCAACGAUCGAUCCACUGGUUCUGUCCUCAGUCUGCUCUCGAGUGCCCCUUCAGAAACUCUCUCUUCUUGUGCUCUCACUCCGGUCAUGCUUACUAUACGUCGUUUCCUGCUAUUGCAUGUGAAGAAAUCCUCUGUUCCCCUACUUCGGGUUCUAAAACCUGAACUUCUCUUUGUACCCUUCCAAUACCUCCUCCCAAAUUCCACAGUCAUUAAAAUUGAUUGAACUUGCUGUGAUUUUAUGUCCUUUUUUGCCAUCAUUCAUAGCUUUCCAGGCUGCUUCUUGAACUUCUGUAGUCACUGUUGCUACCCAAUUUUUGACCCAUGUUUUGAUAAUUUUUCAGAAAAAUCCAAAAAUAGAGAAAAACAUCGAAAAGCCAAAAAAAUACUUUUUUAAUAUAUUUGCGUUGUUUUUAGCUGUUGCUACCCAAUUUUUGACUCAUGUUUUGAUAAUUUUUCAGAAAAAUCCAAAAAUAGAGAAAAACAUCGAAAAGCCAAAAAAAUACUUUUUUAAUAUAUUUGCGUUGUUUUUAGCAUUUUCAGCGUCGUAAAAAAAAAUUUAAAUUUUCAAAGGUUUUUCGAACGCGUGCAACUUUUCACGCGUCAUUUUUAAUCAUUGAUUUUCCUCAUUGAGUCGACGUUGAUAUUGCUCAUUUUAAAAAAAUACAAACAAAUUAAGAAAAAUCAAAUUUACAAAAAGAAAGAAGUUGAGGGACCAAUUUUGAAAACCUAGCAAUAUUUUUGCCUAUAAAUACUGGUCUUCAACACACACAAAAGAGGGGGGGACAAUUUUGCACAUUCAGAAAAAACACAAAAAAACCUAACCCUAAACCUAAACCUAUCUCUAACCAAAAAAAAAAGAAGCCGCCGGCCCCCCAGGCUUUUGAUUUUUCCUUCCCCACAACAGCUAACCGAAAUCUCUAGCCUUCCACCAACUCCUCCUCCCUUGCCCUCUGCCAAACGGACAAACUCUCAGCCCCUCACCCCACACAAACCAGCCGCCCCACCCAUUCAGUUGGCCACUCUCUUUUCUCCAGCCAAAGCCAUCGCCCCCUUCUUCCUCUGGUCUCCCGACAAACCCAACAAUACCCUUUCUUCUCCGGACGACCGACCGCAACAACCCACACCGCCUCUCCGUCCGAUCUAUUCACUUCACAACCCGGAAGAAACCCACUAUCAGGCCCAAUCUUCCCCUCAAUAGCGUCUUCUUCGCCUUCGGUCUCUUCAACAGCAAUGGCCACAGACCAGCCAAGACCGAACAUCUAUUUCAACCGGUCGGUCGCAGAUCCACCCAUCAUCAACGACCUAGCAACGGCCACAGAAGACCAUCACUGCUAGAUCGGCCAUCAACAGAAGCCUAGUCGUCGGUGACCCCUUGGUCUUGCCGCCGCUGAAAUAGAGAAGGGAGAAGGUAGAGAAAUUGGAGUGAGCUAAAAAAGGAAAACUUAAACAGAUAGAAAAAAGAAAGAAAAUUAAAAUCGAUUGCCUUUUGUGUUUUUUUUUUUUGCAGAUAACGGUGGUUGUCACCACUGGCGAGGAAAAGAAGAGGGGAAGAAUUCGAUCCAGAUCCCCCCUGUUGCUGGGUUUUUCUCGUGGCAGUGGCACGUGGAGCAACGCGCCGCCACUGUUCCGGCCCUGCACUGUUCCUGAUUUUGUUUGAGAGGUUGUUUUUUUGUAACUUUAAGUUUGUUUAAUGUAAUAUAUUUUUAUUUUUUAGUUUUUUAUAAUUUGUACUUUGUAAAUGUGGAUUAAAAGAAAAGGAAAAGAAAAGAAACGAAACAAAAAAUAUAUAGUAAAAGUGAGUGUGUGUUUGGAUUUUCAUUUAUUUAUGUAUGUAUGUAUGUAUGUAUGUUUUUUUUUUAUGAUAAAAUCGCAAAGAUUAAAUAAGAAUUUAAUAUUUUGAUUUGCUCACAGUCUAGAAUUAUUAACUUAUACGUAAGUUGUAUUUCUAAUAUCUGAUGAAAAGACAAAAUUUUAAAACUUCUUUAACACGUCAAAGCCACGAAGCAACUUACCUCAGGUAGGGUGUGUGUUAGGGGUGCUAAUACCUUCCUUAACCACAACCAGUCCCUUACCCGUGAAUCUCUGACAAGACCAUUACACCCGGGUUUCCUAGUAGCCCUCAAUUAAAUACAAGGUGGCGACUCCAACGAACCAAAUCAAAGCAAACGCAUAACGAGAAAAAAUUGCCAGCCGACGCCGUGCGGGUGACGUGUGGCAGUCACCCCAAGACAAAUGUCAACACCACGCCUUCUCUCUCCUGAUAAAUGCCAUUUGAACCUUGAAAUGCAAAUUUUACUGGACCAUGUACGCUGACAAAACUUACACGUCAUGCUACCAUCAACCCUAUCUUCAACAUAAUUCCAAAAUGGAUCCUUCGAUCCACCCAUAGAAAAAGAAGGGGGGGGGGAGGGUCAAGGCUAGGAUGGAUGAGAAACUACUUCAUUGCUGUUACCUUAUUUUGCUAUUAAAAUUGAUAGUUAGUUUAUUGCAUAAUUAUAGGGGGGGAAAGACGAUGAAAAUUCAGUUAGACUUCUUACUUGUUGAGUAUUUAAAUCCCUAAUUUGACUUUGCAGGGAAUUGUCAAGGCUAGGAGUUGAUGCAUUUGGCAUAGCAGUUUGAUUUUGCAAUCCUGGGACUUGGAGGUUAUCCAUCUGUGACCUGUAUAAAAAUGAAGUGAUCAUAUUAUAAAACCUUUCGAUAAUUGGUAGUAUCUAAUUAUCAAAAGGGUCUUAAUACGUACUGUAUUAAAACACAACAGCUAGAAGUCACCUAGUAGAGUUGCCAAAGUGCCGAGGCCCGAAGUUCUGUUGUUGCAUAUUAUCUAUGUUAGGAAUUACUGCAGCUUGAUCGUCUUGUCCUUGAUUAGAAAGAAAUUGACUCCUGUAUCCAAAAUAAUUCGCAAGUAAUACAAUACGAGAUUUAAUAGUUUUACUGACGGAAUUUUUUCAUCGGCGUAAGACACAUAUUCCGUCGGUAAUUAAUUUACCAACGAAAUCACCAACAGAGAAUCUUUCAUCGGUAAUUUUUUGUCCGUCGGUAAAUCUAUUGGUAAUGAAAAAAAUUUAUUACUGAUGGAUUUACUAAUGGAACAUAAGCGUCGGUAAUAAUAUUUUUUUAUUACCAACGAAUUUACCAACGGACAAAUUAUAAAAUAUUUAAAAACAUUUUAAAAAAAAUCAUUUUAUAAAAUUAUACUCAAAAUGCUUGGAAAAAAAAACAAGAAAAUCAACUCAAACAAAUUUGCAACAAAUAAAUAAAAUGAAAAAAAAAAUUCAACUAAAAAAAUUCAUAUGAAAAAAAUGAAGUUGCAAUUGCUAAAAAUUUAAAAAUCCUAUAAAUAUAUCAACAAAAAUUGAUCUCAUAUGAAAAAAUAAAAUCUCACAACAACAUUUAUACAAUUAUUAAGAACAAAAACAAUUAAAAAUAAAAUAAAAGGCAAAUAUAGUGAAAACAAUCAUGAAAAAAGAAGAAAAAAGAAAAAUCUUACCUUAAUGUAGUUGCAAGUGAAGCUAAGGAGAGAUUUUUUUUUCGUAAAGCAUAUUAAUUAAAAAAAAAACUAAGAGGAUAAAAGAAGAAAGAAGAAGAAGACAUACCUGAGCAUGGAGGAAAAGAGAAGGAGAUGAGGAGAGAAAAGAAGACAAAGAAAUAGAUAUUGAUGUUUUUUACAUAUAGUGAAGAAGAAGAAGAAAUGAGUUUCUUUUUUGUGAAAUAAGGGGAUUCAGAUUUUUUAUUGGGGCACAUUAGCGACGGAUUUAUUGACGAAUAAUUGAAUAUUAAUAUUUUUUAAUUAUUUCGUCAGUAAUUCCAUCGGUAAUAUUUAAUAUAAAUUUUUAAUUUCGUAAAAAGCUUUCAGAAACCGCCAACAAUUAUCGAUGAUUUUUCAAUCCUUCGGUGAUUCCGUCUGUAAUAUUUAAAUGAAAAUUUUGAAUUACUUGAAUUUUUUCAGAAAACCGCCAAAUAAGACCGACGACUUUUCAAUUCGUCGGUGAUUUUGUCUGUAAAGAACAAGAAUUAACAGUGCAAUUGAAAAAGUGAACAGUUCUGGAGCUCUCUGGAAAAUACUGACGAAAAAUUCUGUUAGUGAUUUCCUUCGUAAUUGACAUGAUGAACAGUGUUCACAGUUUACCAAAGAAUUUACCGACGGAAUAAAUUCUGUCGGUAAUUACGUUGGUAAAAAUGACAUAUCAUCAUUUAUUGUUUUACUUUGUUUUAAUUUUUUUCCCCACUGUAAUUCCCUCGAUAUAUACCGAGGGAAUAUUUCCGUCAGUAAAAUCCCUCGAAAAUAUUUCCUUUGUAUUUAUCGAUUUUCUGGUAGUGAUAUUAAGCAUUACAAACUUAUGAUUAUCUUGCUGGGUUGCUGGGUUGAUGUCCAAGCUAUGAUGUUGCUUUCGUAAUUGAAAAACAAAUUUUUUUUAAUAGAAAAUACUAAAUAUGAAAAAUUGGAUACCGUGGAGCAGGAAAAGAAGGUACAGGUUGAAUGAAGCCACCAUGUUGUGAAGUGGUUGCGUUCGGUGUCAUAUAGCCAUGUCCCGGCUGAGGUUGAUGAAUAAAGGAAUUAUGAUGCCUUGAUGGAGUUGGGGGCCAAUUUAGUUCAUUUUGGUUGAUCCAUGAUGAUGAUGUUCCAUCAAAACCUCCCAUUGUUGUCUUUUUGUUUAACAAUAAACAAUUAGAUAAAUAUUUUUGUAUAAUACAAACACUUGCCAAUUCAAUGGACAUUGUAUCACAUUGGAGUAAGCAUGAGUACUCACCAUGGUUUCAGGAAAUGAAGUUAGAAACUUAGCUGUGUCACACGUGUGCGACAUCGUGGUGAAAACAUUCACUCUCGAAUUCUAUUUUUUAUGGAAAAUGUGUGGAGACAAGGAAUUCUUGCUCAAAACUGUCAUUUUUUAUCAAAACCGAGUCCCCCGGGUCAAUACGGGUCAAACCAUAUUGACCAGGGUAAAAAAUGAGUUUCCAUGACGUUUCGGGUCAAAACCGUCAUUUUCGAUCAAAAUCGUCAUUUUGGAUCAAAACCGAGUCCAUCGGGUCAAUAUGGGUCAAACCAUGUCAACCGGGAUAAAAAAUGAGUUUUCAGGUUGUUUCGGGUCAAAACUAUUAUUUUUCGGUCAAAACCCGGUUCACCGGGUUGAUACCCCUCAAAUGUUGUUUUCUGUGUUUCAAUAUAUAUUUUUUUUUUUUGCGGUUGAAAUGGGCUUUUUCUAAUACUGAUUUAAGUUUUUCAGUUUUAUUUAUAUAAUUAUUUAUUAUUAUAUAUAAUAAAACAAAAUUAAUAAUACAAAAAUUUAUUAUAGCGUCAGUUGCUGCGGUGCAUUAUUUUCCUUCGAAAUGAAUUCAUUGUCCCCUGCUCAUUGGCUAUAAAUAGCCACGACAUCAGAGGGAAAAAAAAAGAAAAAAAAAAGAAAGAAAGAAAAGAGAGUAUUACUAUUUGAAUUGUUUUUAGUUUUUCUUCACGAUAGUAAGAUAUUGUUUUUUAUUAAAAACAAGUUGAAAAAUAUCAAAAAUAUCCUAACCAUUUGAUCUAAUAGUGUUAAUUCUGGACCUUUGAUUUAAUAGGAUACAAUAGGGUUUACCAUACUAGAUUAAAACCCAAAUCCAUCUAAGCCUUUGAAAUAAUCUGCCUAUUGAUUCUAUCGUGCCAUGUCACCCGGUGUACCGAGCUUUCAGUGCAUCGCGCCACAACAGAUCAACGCUCAGCUCAUCCAGACCGUCUGAUCAACUUGCAGAUAAAGCCAAUCACAGCUGAAGGAUCAGUUCAUCCGCGAUCCAAUGGCUCACAACCUUCAGCUGCACCGGUGUCCCAUACUCGCGUUCACACCGAGCACAAUCUCGGAGCCUCUCUCUCCUCUCGACGGUGAUUCUCUCUCUCUCAUCCGAUCUCCCAUUUCCGGUCGUGUGAAGCUUUCAAACCACCACAGAAAGGUUGCUACCUUGCUAUAAAGCAAAACCCCGGCGGUUUUCAGCGUUUUCUCCGCCUCAUCUAGCCGGAAAACGACCGCGAUUUCGUCAACCACCCGAAACUUUAAACCGACGAUUCUCCCUCGUCAGCCAUCAACAGCCGUCGAAACCACCUUCAUCAGAAUACUCUCCAUCAGAUCUACUAGAAUCAACCAUUCGUUGGUUGGAAAUCUUGCCGGAAAAUUUCGCCGCCUCCAACAGUAACCGCGCGUGAGCCACACGCGCCACCAGGGGUAUUUUCAUAAUUUUCCAAGAAAUCCAAGGGUAUUUCAGUCUUUUACCUAUACAGUGGCACUCAAGUAAUUUUUUGAAAUUCCUAACAGUUUUUAUUUUAUUUUUAUAUAUAAGUAUUUGUAAAUUCUCUUGCAUGUAAAAAAAACCAAAAAAACCAAAAAUAAAUAUAAAAGGAAUAACGACGCGGGUCCAACACCCAUCUUAUCAUGUCAUCGUUCAUGGGUCCAAAGCCCAAUUAUCAAGUAUGGUUAUACCCAUUUCUCAACGAUAUCAAAAUAUUUUUUGUUUUAUAAAUGAAUAUUGUUUGUCGGCAUGUCUCUUUUUACAGAAAAGGACUGAUGUCAAGGAUAUUUAUACCAAAUAUGGAUUAUGUCCAUUAUUUCCUUUUGAUAAUCCAGACGUAACUCUCCUUUUUAGGGUCAAAUGUCAAUAUUUUAGACAAAUCUCCUAUUUUUAGGGACUAAUGUCAUUUUUAACGUGUCUCCUAUUUUUAGGGACCGACGUUAACCAUUUAAAAAAAAAACAAAAUUGCAAAUAAGCUCAAAAUAUAAUAGCAUUUGAAUCAAAUAAAAAACACACAAGUAAGGGUAACCUUUCUUUUGAAAGGAUGUUUUAAGGGUGGUGUCUACCUUCCCUUAAUCAUAACUAACCCAGUACCUGAAUCUCUGGGACCAGUGUCUAAUUUGGGAUUUCUAGUUCCCUCAUAUUACUAGAUGGCGACUCCAAUAAAAUAUUCAUUUCCCCCAAUCAAAAAAAAAAAUCUUUUUGUUAAAUAAACAAAAAAGCGGAGCCGUCGCCCGACGUCGUGUAUCGAUAGAAUGGCGACUCCGCUGGGGACCUAGGGUUGAACCAACUACUUGUGUGUGCUUUUCAUUUGUUUUUUUAUUAUUGUUAUUUAUUUUUUGAGCAUUUAUUUUAUUUGCACUAUUUAUUUUAUGCAAUAUCAAUUGUAAAUCAUUUCAUUUUUUAAUUACACAUGCAUGCAUGUUAUUUAUUUGUGUAUUCACACACUUCAGUGAACCCAUAAAAGCUCUGGACCCGAGCUCGUCCUUUUUAAGAUUAGAAAAGAAAGAUUCAGGUGGCAAGUGUGACUUAUGUCCACUGAUGCUCAUUUGGACUUUCGCUUGGAUUGUAACUCACCCUAUACAACGGGUAUUGUGGAAUUUUCUUCCCAUACUCAUGUUGUAUAAGGUUAAGAGGCCGACUACCCCAUGGGUAAUUCGGGCAAUCUAAGAACCAAAAAAUAUCUUUAGGGAUAGACUAAAUUGAGCCAAAUCUUAUGAGCUAGAUCCUAUCAAUUAGAUAUACCUUUUAGGACACAAACAAAUGUCAAUGCAUUAACAUACAUGUUUAUAUACAUUUCAUAUUCUCAUUAAAUCUCCACCGAUCCUUAUAGGAAGUGUGAGAAAAAAAACAUUACUAUUGAGGAAUUUUUGACCAGAUCAGAAUUGAACCAACAUGAUGAAGGGGAUUGUUUGCCAUCAGAAUAUAGCAUCAUAUUUCUCCCCUAAAUCGGUUCAAGUCCCUGUAGGUUUGGAGUCCUCAGUGAGAACUUUCUUAAGAGAAUCUGAUCUGGUCUGUUCCUCGUCAUAAGUUUAAAAAAAAAAAAAAUUUGAAACCAAUAACACACAUGCAUAAACCAUAUGGCAUUUUUGCAUCCAUUUGUGCAUUUCAUUUAGUUUACUUGCAUUCACUCAGGUUGAAAUAUAGGUCCCCCAAAAGGCCGUAAAAUUCAUUACACUCGACAACGAAGGAAGAUAAUGGAGAACGAAGAAAGGGCACACCUAGAGGCUCAUUAUCAAAGAGAGUUGGAGAACAUGAAAAAUGAUAUAGCACGACUUACAAGUCUACUCGAGCAGACCCUAGUAUCCAAGUCUGGGGAAGGUACCUCUACUCAGCCGGCAGUUGCAACUCCAUCUAUAUCUAUGCCAUCAGCUCCCUUUGUAUUCCCGCCUCAAAAUUUAGGGGCAAAUCCCUCUUCAUUUGAACAACAGUUCACUGCCAAUGUUCCACCAGCACAAGUGCCAGUUACUAUAAACCUGGCAACUGAUGACCCACAAAGGAUGAAAUUCUCUGAAAAUGUCGAUUAUGAUAAAUUGACCGCUCUAGAAGAGAGAUUGAAGGCAGUAGAAGGGGCAGACUUAUAUGAUCCUGUUUAUGCUGCAGAAAUGUGUUUAGUUCCAAAUGUAGUUGUACCCAGAAAAUUUAGGGUACCAGAAUUCAUCAAGUAUACUGGAACUGAAUGCCCAGUCACUCAUCUUAAAUCUUAUUGCAAUAAGAUGGCAGAAGUAGUGAAUGAUGAGAAACUUCUCAUCCAUUUCUUUCAAGACAGUCUUUCUGGAUCGGCAUUAAGCUGGUAUACAAGGCUGGAUAACACCAAGAUCAGAAAGUGGAAAGAUUUGGUAAAAGCCUUUGUGGAGCAGUAUAAAUUCAACAUGGAGGUAGCCCCGGACAGGUCAAGCUUGUUAGUCAUGGAAAAGGGCAGCAAAGAGACUGUAAGAGAAUACGCUUUGAGAUGGCGUGAAAAAGCAUCUCAUGUACAACCCUCUUUGUUAGAAAAAGAAAUGGUCACUCUUUUUUCUAACACUUUUAAAUCUCCCUACUUUGAACACCUGGUGGGUAGUUCGCUCAGCAUUUCUAUGAUGCUGUAACUAUCGCUGAGAGAAUAGAACAAGCGAUAAGAGCGGGGAGAAUGUCAGAGCCUACUGAGAAGAAAGGCUUUAUUGGGAAAAAGAAGGAUUCUGAGGUGAACAAUGUGGAAGGAGUGUAUAAGGGUAAGAAAACAAAUUACCACCAUUAUAACUUCCAAAUGCCUACCCAACAAGUUGCAAGUGUAAACUUCACUAAACCUUUCCCUACCAACCAACAAAACCAACCACUGACCAACAAAGUAACCAGAUCGUUAAUCCUCCAAGAAGGAAUUUUCAAAGAACCCAAGAACGACUGCCACCAUUACCACUUCCUUUGGGAAAUGUACUCAAAGUUGUUGAGUAUUGGGCAAGUAGCUCCCGUUCCCUUAACCCCACUGCAACCUCCAUACCCAAAUUGGUAUAAGCCAGAUCUGAAAUGCGAGUAUCAUGCUGGCGUGGCAGGGCAUAACAUUGAAAGUUGUAAUGCAUUUAAAAACAAGCUUCUACAAUUGAUAAAAGCUGGAUGGAUAACUUUUGAUGAUUCACCGAAUGUAAAUUCCAAUCCUUUGCCCAAUCAUGCCACAAGCAGUGGAGGAGUGAAUGCUGUAGGAAUGGAGGGUAAGAAGGAAAGAGUUUUGAAGGUUUCCAUGGAAAGACUGUAUGGUAUGUUGGUACAGUCUGGUUAUUUAUCUGAGUUUGAACCAGUGAUGAAUGAAAAUAACUACUGUAAGUUUCAUGGCAAGGUGGGACAUCACAUUGAUGAUUGUGAAGAAUUUCACCAAGAAGUGAAAAGGAUGCUGACUUUCGGCAUGUUAAGGAUAGAGAGUGAAGAAGAGAGUAGUGAAGUUGGGAUGAUAGGCCGUCAGGAGACAAAAAUGGAAGUUUGUAGACUCCAACCAACUGUGGGUGGUCCACCAAAACUAAUCCUGACCAAGCCUGUAUGCACAAAUAGUGAAAGUUAUGGCUCAAUGCCUUACAAUUAUGGGUAUUCUUUCAACAUUAAGAACCCUACUCCCAUCUUUCAUCCUGAAAUCGGUGGUUUAACUCGAAGUGGUCGGUGUUUUACACCAGAAGAAUUAGAAAGGCAGAGGAAAGCCAAAGGAAAAGAGAUAGUUGAUGCUUUUAAAGGCAUGGAAGUGAACAAGCCUAUAAGUGAAGACGAGUCUAAUGAGUUUCUGAAGUUGAUGAAGCAUAGUGAGUAUAGUGUGGUGGAUCAAUUGAAGAAAACUCCUGCUAGAAUCUCUUUAAUGUCACUUAUCUUGAGUUCUGAGUUACACCGUAAAGCAUUGCAAAAGGUGUUGAAUGAAGCAUAUGUGCCACAGGAUAUUACUCAAGAUACAAUGGAACAUUUGGUGGGAAGAAUUCAAGCCUCUAAUUACUUAUACUUCACAGAAGAUGAGCUAGACUCGGAAGGGACUGGGCAUAACAAGCCUUUGUACAUCACCGUGAAAUGUAAAGACUAUUUGAUCGGCAAAGUGCUUGUGGAUAAUGGUUCAGCGUUGAAUGUGCUACCAAGGCAUAUAUAGAUGAGAUGCCAAUUGAUGCUACUUACAUGAGACCAAGCACAAUAACAGCUAGAGCAUAUGAUGGUUCUCCUAGAAGGUGAUAGGGGCCAUUGACAUUGAAUUGUUUAUAGGGCCUCAGAUGUUUUUAUAACCUUACAAGUGAUGGACAUCCAUCCUUCGUAUAGUAUGUUAUUGGAAGGCCAUGGAUACAUGCCGCUGGGGCUGUGACAUCAUCUCUACACCAAUGUUUGAAGUACAUUAUCAAUGGUACUCUAGUGAAAGUUAAGGCAGAAGAAACCUUAUCCACGAUAAGGAAUGUGUCGGUCCCUUAUAUUGAAGCAGAAGAUUGCAAAGAUGGAAAUCUCCAUGCUUUCGAGAUUGUGAACACUGAAUGGGUACCAGAGAAUACAUGGUGUUAAGAAGACCAAUUAUUUCUGAUACUGCCAGAAUGAUAGCUAAAUACCUUUUGAAAUAUGGGCUACCAUUCUAGAAUGAUCCAAUUGCUGGAAAUCUUAAGAGAGUCAACAUAAUGAAAAUUAAGGCUGCUGAUCAGAAUUUUGGGCUUGGCUUCAAGCCUAAGAAAGAGGAUUGUUGCUACCCAAUUUUUGACCCAUGUUUUGAUAAAUUUUCAAAAAAAAAAAAAUAAUAAAAAAAUAAGGGUUUACAUGUGGCGAUAACAUAGAGCAUCAGGGCUAAUAUUAAGGGAGCAAUAUGUUUAGGAGAUAAUUACUGAAUCAUAUAUAAUUACUGCAAUAUAAAAUACCAUAGAUAUAUGAUUUGAUUUGUGCUUGUUAGGGAAAAUAAUCACUGCAAUAUAAAAUACCAUAUAUAUGGGAUUUGUUGGUGCUGAUUAUAGAAGACAAUCUCUGCAAUAAGUAUUGCAAUAUUUCCUUAAAUAACACGUGUAGAGAUUUUCUGUAUAAAUGAACAUCCAGUCAUAAUAAAAGAGAGGAGGAGAAAAUUUAGAAGGGGAGCAAUUUUAAAAAACAAAAAAAAAGGGGCAAGCCACAAAAGAGAAAACCUAUUUUUUUUCCUCCUGGCCGAAGCCAAGCCGUGCCUCCACCUUUGGCCUUGCGAUUUUGUUUUUUUUUUUACACAGAGACCAACCCCUCUCCCUUGGAAACCGACCAAAACCAGAUCCCCCUUAGCUGCCACUUUCUCCCCUUGGCCAUUUCAUUUUCCCUCUUCAGCCGACCAUUAGAGCAGCAGCCCCUCUCCUUUUGCAACCAAAACCAAAUCUCCUCCCUCACUUCUUCUUCUUCUCCCAGACCCACAGACACUCGGACACAAGCCUCUUUUCCCCUGUCUCAGCCGACUUAGAGCAUCCGGCCACCACCUCCUCAUCUCUCUCUAUCAGUUGCAGCCCCUUCGCUAGACCUUAAUACCCCAGCCUGCAACCACCGUAAACACCAUUUACAAGCCUUCCCUCUCUGUCAACACAGCCCACAUAGCCCCCAGAAACGACUCUCCACUCAUCUUUUUUUUUCCCCUCAGUUCAACCCCGCUUGAUAACAUUCACUACCAGAAAAUCGCUAAAUACCAACGGACAUACCGACGGAAUUUUUUCUGUCGGUAUUUUUCGGCCGAAAUCACCGACGGACAAUAUUCGUCGGUAAUUCAGUCGGUCAUUACCGACGAACUCCGUCCGUCGGUAAUUACCGACCGAAUUACCGACCGAAAAUUCAGAAUUAAUGAAAAAAGGGCGGGCAGUGGCGCGGAGGUUUUGGCGGGUGAUGUUUCCGACGGAAUCACCGACGGAAUUAAAAACUGGGGCCCGUACGCGUGAUGGGACCUAUUCACCGUCAAAAAAUACCGACGGAAUCACCGACGGAUUUGAAAUGCCAGAUCCGUACCGGUGAUGUGACGGGUGCACCGUUAAAAAUACCGACGGAAUCACCGAGGGAUUUGAAUAGCAGGUCCGUGCGGUGACGUGUCGAUUGCCCGUUAGAAUUACCGACGGUUUGCCGACGGAUUCACCGACGGAAUCCGUCGGUAAGUCCGUCGGCAAAAGUGAAUAUAUGGCACUCUGCCGACACUCUCCUCCCCCAUUUCUCCUUCUUCUUCCUAAUCCUAACCCUCCCCAUCUGCAAAAUAACCAGCCCCCCCUCGCCCCAAAACAAAAAUUUCCUCAUCUCAGCACAACAAGUUGUUUUGUUUUGUGGUCACAGCAUCCGUGUUCUGAUUUACCGACGGAUUUUAUCAUUUUUUGUAAGUAAUUCUAUCUUUUAAAAUUUUAACAUUUAAAUGUCAAUUUUAUUGUUUUUUUAGUAUAUGUAUUAUUUUUUUUUAGUAGAUGUACAUGUUUUAUUGUUAUUUCUCAAACAAACUUGUAGUAUAUGAAUGUAUAAUUUUAUACUUGUUAUGGUUUGUUUUAGAUUUUGUAAGAUUGUAUUUGUUUGAAAAUUGUUAAAACUUAAUUUGUAGAAUUACCGAAUUACAUGUUAUGUUUUGAAAUAAUUAAGAGCUUGCUUAAUUAAUGGGUCCUUUUUAUAGAGGUUCGAUAGAAGUCAUGGAUGAUCGUUCAUGGAUGUAUCUAGAUUCACCCCAAGGAUUGCGGAGGAUGGAUUAUUGUAACGGGGUUCAGGGUUUUAUUAAUUUCGCAACAUCUAUUCCCAGAAAUUUUACUGGAGGCGGUAUUAGGUGUCCAUGCAGGAAGUGUCAAAAUAAAAAGUAUCUGCAUCCAGAUGUUGUAAUGAUGCAUCUUCUACACAAAGGGUUUGUGGAGGAUUACGAGUGUUGGUAUGCACAUGGAGAGGUAUUUGUUAGUAAUAGGAGAAUGGGAGAAACGGUGGUUGGGUCAACUUCUAGUGCUAGCAACGUGCAUGAAGCGGCAAAUGACAACACUAAUCCUUACAGAAACAUGGUUAUGGAUGCAAUGAGAAUGAAUCAAGAUAAUGUCAAUCAAUGUCCAAUCGUAGAAGAAGAACCUAAUGCAGAGGCAGCUAGGUUUUUUGAUUUGUUGAAAGAUUCUGACGAACCAUUAUGGGAUGGCUGCACAAACCACAGUAAAUUAUCGGCUGUGGCACAGGUGUUCACCAUCAAGUCAGAUCACGGGUUGAGUGAGGCCGGGUAUGACAAAAUUAUUGAUUGGGCAAGAAGCAUUUUACCAGAAGGGAACAGGCUCAAAGAGAACUUCUAUGCUGCGAAGUCCAUGAUGAAACCCCUCGGUUUAGGAUACCAGAAAAUUGACAUGUGCCCUAACUUCUGCAUGUUAUACUACCUUGAAAAUGCUGUGAUGACCGAGUGCAUGACAUGCGGGCAUUCCCGUUACAAACCCAGAACUGGCAGGGGGAAGACUCUAGUGGCAUAUAAAAAACUUAGAUAUUUCCCGAUCACACCUAGACUGCAGAGGUUAUUUAUGUCACCAAGGACUGCUGAGCACAUGACAUGGCACCAAACACACGAUGUCGUUGAUGGUGUGAUGGUGCAUCCUUCUGACGGCGAAGCGUGGAAACGCUUUAACAGUGUUCAUCCUGACUUUUCUGCUGAAUCAAGGAAUGUUCGACUUGGGUUGUGUACAGACGGGUUCAACCCAUUUGGGUCAUUUGCUGCUCCCUAUUCUUGUUGGCCGGUCAUUCUCACAGUUUAUAACUUGCCACCGGGAAUGUGUAUGAGGCCGGAGUUCAUGUUUCUAUCUACUGUCAUACCCGGUCCAAGCAGCCCGGGGCGGAAUAUAGAUGUUUGUCUUCGACCGUUGAUAGAUGAGCUGGCGCAGUUGUGGUCCUCCGGAUCUCUGACUUAUGAUAUAUCGAGGAAACAAAAUUUCCUUAUGAGGGCGGCUUUGAUGUGGACUAUCAGUGAUUUUCCAGCUUAUGGAAUGCUUUCUGGUUGGAGCACGCAUGGGAAACUCGCAUGUCCAUACUGCAUGGAAAACAACAAGGCAUUCACGCUAGCAAACGGAGGUAAAGCUUCUUUUUUUACUGUCACCGUCGCUUCUUGCCACUUAAUCACAGGUUCAGAAAGAACAGAAAAGAUUUCUUUGUUGGUAGAGUUGAAAAAGAUGUUGCAUCCCCGCGUCUUUCUGGUGAAGAAUUGCAUCAUGUUGUAUCAGAGUACGGUGACAUUGUGUUUGGCCUUCAAUCAGGUAAGCAAAAGUUUCCUGGUUUUGGUUUGACCCAUAAUUGGGUAAAGCGAAGUAUCUUUUGGGAGCUUCCGUAUUGGAAGACUAAUCUUCUCCGCCAUAACCUUGACGUCAUGCACAUCGAAAAGAACGUGUUUGAGAAUAUUUUCAACACCGUCAUGGAUGUGAAGGGGAAGACAAAGGACAACAUGAAGGCUAGAUUGGAUAUAGCUUUAUACUGUAACCGUAAAAAUAUGGAGUUGGUUUAUGACGAGUCACGGGUUGCAAAACCAAGGGCAAGCUUCGUGUUAGAGAAAAACGCACAACUGCUAGUCUACAAAUGGCUUAAGAGUCUGCGUUUCCCGGAUGGACAUGCAUCGAACAUAUCAAGGCUUGUUAACAUAGAGGACUGCAGAUUGUAUGGAAUGAAGAGCCAUGACUGCCACGUGUUUAUGCAAACACUCAUCCCAUUAGCUUUUCGUGAUUUGUUGCCAAAGGGAAUAUGGGAUGCACUAACGGAGAUCAGUCAUUUCUUCAGAGAUAUAUGCUCCAGCAAGAUGAAUGUUGAGCACAUUGAGAUGCUUCAAACGAAUAUCAUCGAGACACUAUGCAAACUUGAGAUGAUAUUCCCUCCUUCAUUUUUUGACUCAAUGGAGCAUCUCCCUAUACAUCUACCGUUCGAGGCAAAAGCUGGAGGACCGGUCCAGUAUAGAUGGAUGUACCCAUUCGAACGGUGAGAUAUUACAGUUGCAAUGGAAUUCAUAUCUUAAAGUAUUUUCUAUGUUUUUCUUAUUUGAAAAUACUUGAAUUGUACUUCAAUGCAGGUACUUGUUUAAUCUAAAAAAAAAGGUUAAGAACAAGGCGCAUGUUGAGGCUUCGAUAUCUGAGGCCUAUAUUGUUGAAGAGAUAUCAACAUUUAUCUCGUACUAUUUCGAACCUCAUCUGAGAACAAGAAUCAAUCGCGUUCCACGGCAUGACGAUGGCGGUGAAGUGCCUUCCAGUGGGAACUUGUCAAUAUUCUCCAAUACUGGACGACCCACACCUAAAAAUGCCGUAAGAGGAAGAUAUUUGUCGGAAAUAGAAUUCAAACAAGCACACAACUAUGUUCUAUUUAACUGUGAUGAGCUGAGACCAUUUAUUCAGUAAGUCUAUAUAUGUGUAAUAGUAAUUAAACUUUGUCAGUAAUAUACUGUUAAUUAUAUAUUGUAAUAUCAUACACUCAUUAUCACUUGCAGGCAACAUCGACAAUAUUUGCUCUCCAAUAACUCGCAGCUGACCGAAUCCCAGAUCUUUCAAUUACAAGAUGAACAAUUUGCCACAUGGUUCAGAACACAUGUAAGCACUAUCACAAACUCAUUCUAACGUAUGCAUGUCAUUACGAGAUUCUCGUUCAUUUACCGUGUAUUGAUGUACAUUUAAUUACAUAUAUUUACAAGGUUUAUCAAAUGGGAAGGAGUGCGCCCAAGUCAUUGUCUUCACUAAGCCUCGGCCCUGAAAGAAAAGUUAAGUGCUACAACGGGUAUUUUGUCAAUGGAUAUGUUUUCCAUACUGAAGAAUACGGGCAAGGAAGAAAGACAUACAACUGCGGUGUUUGUGUUAAGGGAUCCACAAGUAGCCAGUUAGAAGUUGACUACUAUGGUAGAUUAGAAGAGGUCGUCGAACUGCAAUAUCAUAGCGAGCAGAAUAAAGUGUUUUUAUUCAAAUGCUAUUGGUAUGACACGACGGACAGAGGAAUCAGAGUUGAUCCGCACCAUGGUCUGGUCGAAAUCAACUCAAAAGCUAGACUCCGCAACAUAAACGAUGUCUUUGUUUUCGCAAAGCAAUGUCAACAAGUUUAUUACACAUACACCCCUUCAUUUAGAAAGGAUCGUUCAAGAGUUGAUUGGUUGUCCGUUUUAAAAACGAAACCACGGGGUCGUGUCGAGGUUGUUCAGGAUGAGAACGAAGACACAAGUGUGCGAGAUGAAGUCUUUCAAGUUCGUGAGUUGGUUGAACCAUAUCGAGUUGCUCCUUCGAUUGAAUUGGAAGAAAAUUCAAAUUUUCGAGUUCUCGAUGAUAGUCUUGUUGAUAUUGACGGAGAGGAGUUGAAUGUUGUUCUCAGCUCUAGCGGACAAGCAAAUGUCGAUGAAGAAGAUGAUAUCCAUAUUGAAGAUUGCGAUGAAGAUGAUGACAAUUCAAUUGAGGAAGAAGAAGAAAAUUCCGACUAAUUAUGAAAAUGAAGCCCUAUGUAAAAACAUUUGUCUCAUGUAAUUUAGAUUAUUGAUGAUGUAUUUUGUAAAACAAAAUAUUUUGUUUAAGCAAUGUGGUUUUGUUUUAUGUGAUGGACAGUUUAUCAGUUAAGUUUUGCAGGAAGGUAAACAGGCAAUACAAAGACAACCUUUCCUGCAUAAUGCAAUACCGACGUCCAUGCCGACGGACUCACCGUCCGUCGGUAUCUCACAGAGAGUUCGAAAAUAUUUACAACAAAAUGCCACAAUGACCGACGGCCAUGCCGACGGAAUAACAUCCGUCGGCAUCUCACAGUAAGCUCGAAAACAUAAAACCACCAUCGACGGUAUUACCGACGGCGUAGCUCCGUCGGUAAUUUGUCGGUUACCCAUUUUACCGACAGAAUUACCGACGGACCGCGCGUUUCCCAAAGUGCGUUAAUUAAUGCGCCCCUGAACUUGUCAGAUUACCGACGGAAUCACCGACGGACUUCGAAAAUUUUGGAGGGCUUUUAAAAAUUCGGGGCGAAAUUCGAAAAAUACCGACGGAAUUUUGACCUUUUACCGACGGAUUUGUAACCUGUUACCGACGGAUGUUAAUUCCGUCGGGGAGUCCGUCUGUAAAAUUGACCUAUAAGUUCCACCCCCGCCACUUCGCCUCAUUUUUUCUUCUUCUCCCCGCCGCUUCUUCUCUUCUCCUGCGUUUUUCAGCCUAGAUUUUUCAUUUUUUCCCCCUCAAUCCUUAAACACUUUCACCUUUAAUCUCUAGCAAGAUUUGGUGUUGUAAAUCUUCAUUAUAUUAAAAGGUAUGUGUUUUUUUUCUAAUUUAUUUUAUUUUAUUUUUAGUUGUUUUUAUUUUUGUUGUGUUGGUGUUUUUUGUUGCAAUGUAGAUAAAGUUUUGAAUUUGACACAUUAUUAAGGUAUGUAUAUUUCGUUCCUUUUUUUUUUGAAUAUUUUUUGAAUUUGUUGAAUAUUUGUUAAUUUAAUUGUUGAAUAAUUGAAUUUAAUUGUUGAAUUUCUUGAAUAUUUUUUGUUGUUGUGUUGUUAGAAUUUUUAUUAGGUAAUUUAACUUAGAAUUAGUUAAAGUUGAAUUUUUUGAAUAUUUUUUGAAUUUUUUGAAUUUGUUGAAUAUUUGUUAAUUUAAUUGUUGAAUAAUUGAAUUUAAUUGUUGGAUUUAUUGAAUAUUUUUUGUUGUUGUGUUGUUAGAAUUGUUAUUAGUUAAUUUAACUUAGAAUUAGUUAAAGUUGAAUUUUUUGAAUAUUUUUUGAAUUUGUUGAAUAUUUGUUAAUUUAAUUGUUGAAUAAUUGAAUUUAAUUGUUGGAUUUAAUUGAAUAUUUUUUGUUGUUGUGUUGUUAGAAAUGUUAUUAGGUAAUUUAACUUAGAAUUAGUUAAAGUUGAAUUUUUUGAAUAUUUUUUGAAUUUGUUGAAUAUUUGUUAAUUUAAUUGUUGAAUAAUUGAAUUUAAUUGUUGGAUUUAUUGAAUAUUUUUUGUUGUUGUGUUGUUAGAAUUGUUAUUAGGUAAUUUAACUUAGAAUUAGUUAAAGUUGAAUUUUUUGAAUAUUUUUUGAAUUUGUUGAAUAUUUGUUAAUUUAAUUGUUGAUAAUGAAUUUAAUUGUUGGAUUUAUUGAAUAUUUUUUGUUGUUGUGUUGUUAGAAUUGUUAUUAGGUAAUUUAACUUAGAAUUAGUUAAAGUUGAAUUUUUUGAAUAUUUUUUGAAUUUGUUGAAUUUGUUAAUUUAAUUGUUGAAUAAUUGAAUUUAAUUGUUGGAUUUAUUGAAUAUUUUUUUUGUUUGUGUUGUUAGAAUUGUUAUUAGUUAAUUUAACUUAGAAUUAGUUAAAGUUGAAUUUUUGAAUUUUUUGAAUUUUUUGAAUUUGUUGAAUUGUAAUUGUUAAUUUGUUGAAGUAUAAUUUGUUGAAUUUAUUGAAUUUAUUUUUUGUUAUAUUUUUUAUUGUUUUGAAUAUAAUUAUUGAUUAAUUUGUGAAUUGUAAUUGUUAACGUUGAAUUUAUCUUAGGAUUAAUAGUUGAAUAUGUUGGAAUAAUUAGUAUAGAUUGGUUCGAUUGGUUGUGGCUAUUGUUAAUAUUUGCAGGUUUGUGGAUUUGGGUAGUAUCUUUUUUAACUUUUGAAUUUUAUUUUACAAUUAUUAAUAUAAAAUUGUUUAGAUGCGCAAAAUGAAAACCAGAGCUGGUCGUCAAGUCGAAUCAAGUUCGUCUAGCAGCGAUGAUGAUGUUUCCUUAGGUGCCUCUCAAAAAGAGGCACCUACACCACCUGCGCCGUCAACCGAUGCUGCCUCUUCCAGCAAUGUUUCACAUCGCAGACGCGGCAUGCCUUCGUAGCGGAAUCAAUUUACCCGCCAGUUCGAGGCACAGUGGAAGGACGAUCUUUCAAUGUAAGUUUGUUAAUGUUUUAGUUUUUUUUAUAUAAAAAAAACAAAUUUAAAACAUAAUUUAUGAAGUAAUCACAAAUUAAUUUCAUUUCUUUUCAGGUUCACAAACAUUGAGGCCGCCCGAUUAAUAUCAUCGGCGUUUAAAGCGUCGAUGGAGAUUCCAUUGUUUCAAUGGAGUCAGAUAUCCAGACAUCCUGAAUGGAUGCCUCAAAUCAAUGCAUGGUUUCGUAGAUUUGAGGUUCGUGUUAAUAUAUAAUUUUCAGCUUAUUUGUAAUUAUAAAUUCAUGUUAUAAUUGUAAAUAAAUUAUUAACAUUUUAAAAAAUUAUUUUUUUAUAUACAGCAUCGAUUCUGCUGGGACGAUGAACAUGACAGUGUUGUGAGGAGGGUGUGGGAAAAUCACGCGGCAAUUAGGUAACAUCGAAAACAAUACGACUUUUUUUUACAUAAUUAUUUAUGUUUUGAAAUGUAAUUUUUUCGUGCGUGAAUUAGGUUGCGUGAUUUUUGGUAUGACGCCCAGAAAAAAGCAAAAAAAACAGCGAGGGAUAAGGGGUUACAAGGCUGGAACGAUGUUGCGGUUUGGAGGGAUUUCAAACCAAUAUACAUCCCGGAAGAUAUAUGGCCGCACUAUCUUCAGCACGUGACGUCUGAGCGGUUCACUCGACGCUCACAGUCCGGUGCCGGCAACCGGAAUCGGCAAAUUCAUGGCUCGGUUACAACGCACACCGGCGGCUCCGUUCCGUUUGCUGCACAUGCAAAACGGAUGGUAAGAUUAAUUUAAAUGAAAUAUAUCGUUCAAUUAAUUUGUUGUUAAUACAUUUUUUUCAUUAUAUAUAGGCUACGUCUCUUGGACGUGAGCCGAGCCCUAUGGAGCUGUUUGUGGAGACGCACGUGCGGAGUCAUGACCGCCAAAAGGGGACGCAACAGUUCGUUGACAACCGUGCUCAAUAGUUUGUGGUGUGUUUGUUUAACCAUUUUAUUUUGUAAGUUAUUAUUAUGUUUAUUGAAUUGAAUAUGUUUUUUUUUUUUUCAGGAGACCUAUAAUAAUCGGUUGAGGGAGAGAUACGGGGAUGAUCCUUCGACCCAUCCGGAAUUCGAUCCGGAUUUGUGGAUGGAGGCUGGAUCGUCAGGUGGACCCGAUAAAAAUCGGGUUUACGGGCUCUCCAACACUACCGCUGCCAAGUUGCGGUCGACCGGUACUGCUUCAACCGGUGGGAGCUCCCAAUCUGUAUCGAGCUCCCAAUCUAAGGAGUUUGUGGCCUUGCAGCAAAGGUGCGACCACCUAUCAGAGGCGUACACACAACUCAAAGAAGAGCAAAGAUUGGAACGAACAACGCAGAGCAGAGUCUGAACAACAAAGAGCGGCCUAUGAAGAGCUUCGUCAAAUGGUCAUGAACAUGACACAAGCGGAACAUGUGCGCCUAAUCCUUUUUGGCCGCCUAACCCCCACCCUCCUCCUCCUCCUCCUCCUCCUCCUCCUCCACCUUUAUAUUAAUUGUUUUUUUUUUAAACACAUUCAUUUUGUAAUGAAUAUUAUUUAACUUUGAGUUUUUGUUGCUUAAUAUAAUUUUAUUUGCAUAAUUGGUUUGUAUUACUAUUAAUUUAUAUUAUUUUUUCUAAUAAUUAAAAAAAAAAAUUACACAGGGAUUUACCGACGGAAUAAAUCCGUCGGCAUUGGACAGUGUCUGAGGUAUGCCAUCCCAUCACCGACAUACUCACCGACGGAAAUAAUCCGUCGGUAUAAAAAUACCGACGAAUUUACAGACGGAUUUAUUCGGUCGGUAUGAAAUAUCACCGACACUUUUGCCGACGGAGUUAGUCCGUCGGUAUUUACAUAACACCGACGGAAUGUAUUCCGUCGGUUAUUCCAAGCGGGAAACUUUUUUUUUGGCGCGCACAGGCCGUCGGUAAAACCGUCGGUAAAUGUGUUUUUUUUUAUUACCGAUGGAUAUAGCGACGGAAUGUGGAAUCACCGACAAAAGGUAUUCCGACAGGAGUAUUCCGUCGGUAAUAUAGUCGGUAAAUAAUUUACCGACGAACGUUCUGUCAAACACCGACGGAAAAUUUCCGUCGGUAAAACUGUGAAAUCUUGUAGUGGAAUCUCUGAAAUACCAGUUAGGUUUCUUAGUGACCAAAAUACUAGGUGGUGACUCCAAAGAACCAAAUCAAGCAAAAACGCAUAACGAGAAAAAUCGCCAUCGGAAGCCGCGCGGGUGACGUGCUUGUUUGAUCAAAAUUUAAUCAACAAUGCUUGUUUGAUCAUGAUAUUGUGUUGUUUUCCUUUUUCAACUUUUUAAAUCGAGGUUCCAAAUGUCAAUGGGAUUUUAUCUUUUUUUUUUUAGCCAAACUUUUCCCUUUAAUGAGAUCAUGCCUUUUCAAAAGUUCAUCUUGGUGGUUUUACACAUCACUUUCUUUUUCAAAGCGAAUCUUCCAUAACUACACCUGCACUUUACACUGAGAAUGAAUGGCCGGACUUUAAAGAAUCCAUAUUAGUUAUAGAGGAGGAGGAAUGAUAGGAAAAUAACAUUAGGGGAUUCACAAAAAUUAAUAACAUGAACAAGCUUGAAAACCUGCUAGAGAGGAGCUUGAAACCAUAGAUGUGGGUGAUGAAGAAAUCAAGAGAGAGUUGAAGAUACGGACUUUGAUCACCCUUAAAAAAAGAGAAGAGUUAUGUAGAUGUUUUUGCUUGGUCCUAUAAGGAUAUGCCUGGUUUGUAUAGGGUACCACUAGUAGAAGGAUGGAAGUUGGUUAAGCAAAGGUUGAGAAGGACUAAUCCGAAUAAAGGCAGAAAUUGAAAAACAGUGGAACGCCGAUUUUCUAGAAGUAGUCAAGUAUCUGCGAGUGUGUCCAACAUAGUGGUAGUAUCUAAAAAGGAAGAUAAAAUCAGAGUUUUUAUGGACUUUAGAGAUUUAAAUCGGACUAGCCCUAAAGACAAUUUUGUCUACCACACAUAGAUAUGUUUGACAAUGUAGCACGUAGCUCCACAUAUUCCUUUAUGGAUGGAUUUUUGGGCUACAAUCAGAUAAAAAUGACUUGAGGAUAAUGAGAAGAAACCUUUGUAACACCAUGAGGAACCUUUUACUAUAAAGUCAUGCCAUUUGGGUUAAAGAACAUUGGGGCCACCUACCAAAGGGCCAUGGUAACUUUAUUACACAACAUGAUGCAAAAAGAGGGUUAAAGUAAACGUGGAUGACAUGAUCUAGAGAGGGAGAGAAUCAUGUCCAAAUAUUGAAGGAAUUAUUUGAAAAAACUAAGGAGGUACAAAGUUGAGGCUUAACCAUGCAAGGUGUUUAUUCGGGGUGAAAUCUAGGAAGUUGGGAUUUAUGAUGAGUGACAAAUGGAUAGAAGUGGACCUUGAUUAAGUAAAGGCUAUUCAAUCUAUGCCAACUCCCAAUACUAAGAAGGAUGUAAGGAGGUUAUUGGGAAGGUUGAAUUACAUUGCUCGGUUUAUAUCCCAAUUAACCAUGACUUAUGACAUCAUCUUCAAUUGUUAAGGAAGAAGAAUCUUGGAAUUUGGAAUAAGAGUGUGAAGAAGCUUUCGCAAAAAUCAAGCAAUACCUACCGAAUCCACCCCUAUCUAUCAAGCUAAAUUGCAAAAUGGCAAGUUCUACUAGCUGAGUACGACAUAGUAUAAAUGACAAGGAAAGCCAUGAAUGUCAUCACCAAUCACCUAGCUGACCAUGCUGUGGAAGAUUUUGAGCCGUUAAAAUUUGAUUUUUCUGAUAAAGAUGUGCUUUCAGUUGAGGAAGGGAAAUCAGAUUGGUGGAUUAUGUACUUUGAUGGUGUUGUGGUAACGAAGUGGGGGCAGUGCUAAUCUCUCUUGAUAAGAAACAUUAUCCGGUUUCAGUUAAGUCGCAGUUUGGGUGCAAUAAUAACAUAGGAGUAUGAAGCUUGCAUUCUCAUUUUAGAGGUGGCAUUGGAGCAGAAUAUUAGAAAGAUAGAUAUGUAUGGAGACUCGAUUUUGAUUAUUACUAAGAGAAAGGAAAAUGGCAAACCAAGGAUGAGAAGUUAAGACCUUACUAAGAAUACAUGUCUAAAUUGGCUAGAGAAUUUAAGGAAAUAAAGUUCACCCAUCUAGAAAAGGAAAGAAACCAUUCUAACGCUUUGGUCACGCCAGCUUCUAUGGCUAGAAUAGACUUUGGGCACAAGGUACAACCGGUACACAUUGAUAUAAGAAAUAACUUAGCUCAUUGUUGCUCCGUUGAAAGAGAAAUAGAUGGAAACCCUUGGUACUAUGAUAUCAAGAAUUUCAUCCAAAACCAGACAUAUCCCAUGGGGGCAUCCAAAAUCAACAAGAAGACUUUGAGGAGAUUGACAAUGGAUUUUUAUCUUGGUGGGGAAACUUUGUAUAAGAAAUCAUAUGACGGAACUUUGUUGAGAUAUUUGGAUGACGUAGAGGCAAAAGGUGUUAAAGAAAUUUAUGGAAAGAGAUUUGAUAUGUCGAUAUGGUCCACUAGAAAAUAUUAUAACUAAUAAUGCGCAUAACUUCAAUAGCAAGAUGAUAAUAGAACUCUGCGCUAAAUGAAAAAUUAAGCAUUCCAAUUCCUCGCCAUAUAGGCCAAAGAUGAAUGGUCCAAAAAUGUCAAGAAGAUCAUUUAGAAGAUGGUAGUCACUUACAAGGAUUGGCAUGAGAUGUUGCCAUUUGCCCUUCACGCAUACCGCACCAUAAUCUGAACUUCAACAGGAGCCACCUCGUACACUUUGGUAUAUGGAAUGGAGGCGGUGAUGCCUUUAGAAGUGAAAACCCCCUUAUUAAAAAUAUUGGUAGACUUUGAGUUUAAAAGAGUUGGACUGGGUAAAAGUUAGAUAUGAAUAGUUGAAUCUGAUCAGUGAAAAGAGGAUAGCUGCAAUUUGUCAUCAUCACGGAUGGCCAAAUCAUAUGAUAAGAAGCUUCGACCUCGAGGAUUCCAUAAAGGAGAUCUUGUACUGAAGAAAAUAUAGCCUUUAUCAGGAGAAGAUCAGAGUAAAUGGGAAGCAAACAAUAAGGGCCCUUACAUGGUGAUUAGUACUUAAAAGUGCAUAUUUAUCAAGGUUUUGUAUCAUCAUUUUGCACUUAAAGUAUCAAUAACUCCUUAAUUAAAGCAUGUUUUAUAAUAACAAGUCUAAUACUAUAAAAUGCCCUAAUAUAUGGUAAAUGUUCAUCUUAAAUGCAGGCUUAUCACAUAAAUCAAAGGAUUGAUUGAUGAAUUCAACUACUGAAAUUUUGAAGAUAAAGAAGAGUGAAGCUUAGAAAAGAGAUAUUGGUGUAGUCCAAACUGGAACACUAUUCGGUAUUUGGGUCAUAUCUCGAGUUCUAGAUGUAAAAAUGAUCUCAAAUUUUUACAAAACCUUGGUGAGACAUAGGCCUACAACUUUCAUGUGAACAUAAAAAUCUAACAAGGCCGUUUUCAAGUCCAAAUCAAAGCAACAACGGAGAAGUCCGAAUCUGUCCUGUAGCCCGUACACUGUUCAGUGUUUGGCCCAUAUCUGGAGUUCUAGAAGUCCAAAUUACCUCUACUUUUUUUUCCUGGAAAGCUGUGUCAAUUUUCUACAACUUUCAUGUUUUCCAGUGGACCCAGUUCGGAUGGUAGCAUUUUUGUUUUAUUUAGAAAAGAAGAUAAGGAUUUUCACCAAGUCAAAAGUUGGCACCCACUCAACAAUUAGUCAUCAAAUCAAUAAUUCCGAAUUUUGGCCUAUAAAAGGAGGCAUUUGCCAUGUAUUUGGUGGCUUGGUUGUUCAGAUCAAGCUCAUGCUCUUUAUUUCUCUCUUUAUAUUUUUUUUUGUAAUUCUUAAGUUUUGUUUUCAUUAAUUUCUUGUUUAUGCUUUUCAUUUCCUUUCCUUUCCUUUCCUUAGUUAACUUGUAUCUUAUUUAUGUUCUUGUUUUGUUUAUUUAUGUUUCUCUUCUUCAUUAUGUUUAGCUAAGUUUAUUAUGUCAAGGUGAAAAGGUUACACUAAUGGUGUAAGAACAAGUAUGGUGUAAACUCAAUAUGGAUCUUAAUGUUUAAUAUUAACAUGUCUUAUCUUUUUAUCUUACUAAUUCUUAAUACCUUGCUUGUUAAAUGGUUAAUCUAGAUUUGUGUUGUAUAACAUUUGAUACAUCAAAUGCUUGGCACUCUCAUAGCCCAACAGUAUGGUAUUACCUACACCUGGGCUAUGAAAAUAACUUGAUUUGUUGUUAACAUCAGUUAAUAUCAUGAAUUCCUGACAAUAUUUAAAAGUUUGGUGUUAUGUAAUUAAGAUAAUUAAUAUGAUCAUGUUAAUAAUUUAUAAUGAGCUAUUAAUGAGAAAUCAUUCGAUUGGAACCUCCUUUGUGUGUGGUUUCCAGUUGAAUCAUAAGAGUUUAUACUAUACUUGUUUGAAAUACCAUUGGUGGAUUCUCUAACCUUGACAUUUGUUUUUAUCAUUGUUAAUCCUUACAUUAAUCUUUCAUCUCAAAGUUCUCAUUAAUUUCUUCAUCAUCUUCUUCUUCUUCUUUUAUUAUUAUUAUUAUUAUUAUUAUUACUACUACUACUACUACUACUAUUAUUAUUAUUUACAUUCUGUUUAUAUUAUAUAAUAUAUCUCUUUGAUCUUUUCAUAAACUUAGUAUAUAGGCUGGAAACCUGUGACCCGAUCUUUUAGAUCAUUCUCAGGUAUAACAACGCCACGUACUGAGUAUUAUUAUUAUUGUCAUUAUUAUUAUUAUUAUUAUUACUAUUACUAUUAUUAUUACUAUUACUAUUAUUGUUAUUAUUAUUGUUAUUAUUGUUAUUAUUGUUAUUAUUGUUGUUAUUAUUAUUGUUGUUGUUGUUGUUAUUGUUGUCUUGUUAUUUAUAAUUUAUACAAUUAACCUCUCUGUGGUUCGACCCCGGUCUUGCCGGGUUAUUUAUUACUUCGACACUCCUGCACUUAAGAGAAGACAUCAAUCUUUUGGUCGUGUCAAGUUUUUGGCGGCCAACUUUUGACUUGGUGAAAAUCCUUAUUUUCUUGUCUGAAUAAAACAAAAAUGCUACCAUCCGAACUGGGUCCUCUGGAAAACAUGAAAGUUGUAGGAAAUUGACUCAGAUUUCCAGGAAAAAAAAAAAACAUGGAGGUGAUUUGGACUUCUAGAACUCCAGAUAUGGGCCAAACACUGAACAGUGUUCAGGCUGCAGGACAGAUUCAGACUUCUCCGUUCUUGCUAUGAUUUGGACUUGAAAACGGCCUUGUUAGAUUUUUAUGUUCACAUGAAAGUUGUAGGCCUAUGUCUCACCAAAUUUGUGUAAACAUUUGAGGUCAUUUGGACAUCUAGAACUCGAGAUAUGACCCAAAUACCGAAUAGUGUUCCAGUUUGAACUGCACUAACAUCUCUUUUCUAAGUUUCACCCUCUCUUUAUCUUCACAAAUUUCAGUAGUUGAAUUCAUCAAUAAAUCCUUUGAUUUAUGUGAUAGGCCUGCAUUUAAGAUGAACAUUUACUAUAUAUUAGGGCAUUUUAUAGUAUUAGACUUGUUAUUAUAAAACAUGCUUUAGUUAAAGAGUUAUUGAUACUUUAAGUGCAAAAUGAUGAUAUAAAACCUUGAUAAAUAUGCACUUUUAAGUACUAAUCACCUAACCACACACAGAGUUUAGCUUUGGUUAAAGGGAAUCGCCAAAUGGGAUUUCAGGUUAACUAAGUUACACACCGACUUUGCUUUAGAUUAAAAGAGAUUGCCAGAUGAAAUCUCAGGUUAACCCAAUCAAAAGGGUAGGUUGCCCGUGAAAAUAGACCAGCGUGCGUAUGUGGGCAGGUCGCCAUUGAAAAUAGACUAGUUUUGAGUGUGUAUGAACAAGUCAUCUAUGAAAAUAGGCAAAAUUUUCUUUAAAAAGUGAAGUCCUUAAAUGAGUGGAUCACUCAGCAAUCAAAGAAGACUUUUUUUUUCCCUUUCUUCUUUACAAGCUUACUAUGCAAAACAUUAAGGAGUUUUGCUUCGUAAGCAUUGUAAAGAGGGGGCAUCUGUUGCUAUCCAAUUUUUGACCUAUGUUUUGAUAAAUUUUCAAAAAUAAAAAAAAUAAGGGUUUACAUGUGGCGAUAACAUAGAGCAUCAGGGCUAAUAUUAAGGGAGCAAUAUGUCAAGGAGAUAAUUACUGAAUCAUAUAUAAUUACUGCAAUAUAAAAUACCAUAGAUAUAUGAUUUGAUUCGUGCUUGUUAUGGAAAAUAAUUGGGAGAUUGAAGAAGCCCAGUUGUUUUCAAGAAGUAAUGAAUAAGCGUCUGCUUAUAUUUGCUUUUAUGUGCUUUGUGUGCUUUGCUUUGUGUUUUUGUACCUAGUUGAAAAUCUUGGCUCAAGAUGUCAACAUAAGGUCUUUUCAUAAUUAUUGAGUCAGCUUUUAAAAUAAUAUUGAGAUCCUGUAUUUUCUUCAACAAUUGUUAUCUUCUUUUGUUUUGUUUGGCUAUAAGAUACGCAUUUACACUAAAAACACCUUCUGCUUUCAGGAAUUCUGAAAGUGAAUCCUCCAUAAAUCCACAAACAUAUUGCAUUGAAAAUGAAUGGCCAAACUUUGAUAAAGAUGAGAUUGCAAUGGACGAAGAGGAAUGGAAUGAAGAUUAUAUGAAAGAGUUUCCUAGAUAGGUAGAACAGUCUGAGCAUGCUUGGAAACCUACAAAAGAAGAAUUAGAGGUGAUAAAUGUAGGCACCGAGCAAGAUAAAAGAGAGCUAAAGAUUGGAACUCUGAUUACUACAGAAGAAAGAUGCAGUUUAACCUCAUUACUACAAGAGUAUAUGGAUGUGUUUGCCUGGUCUUAUGCAGAUAUGCCUGGUUUAGACAUUGAUAUUGUAGUACACAGAGUGCCUUUGAUAGAAGGAUGUAAACCUGUCAAGCAGAAAUUGAGAAGAAUUCGCCCGGAUAUUCUACUCAAGGUCAAGGCAGAGAUAAAGAAGCAGUGGGAUGCUGGUUUUCUAGAAGUCAUUAAAUACCCUCAAUGGGUAUCGAACAUAGUGGUUGUACCAAAGAAGGACGACAAAAUCAGAGUAUGUGUAGACUUCAGGGAUCUAAACAAAGCUAGUCCAAAGGAUAAUUUUCCUUUGCCUCACAUAGAUGUCUUGGUAGACAAUGCUGCUAGAAGCUCAACUUAUUCCUUCAUGGAUGGAUUCUCCGGGUAUAACCAGAUUAAAAUGGCUGAAGAAGAUAAAGAGAAGACCACUUUUGUCACACCAUGGGGAACAUUUUGCUACAAAGUGAUGCCAUUCGGGUUAAAGAAUGCUGGAGCCACAUAUCAAAGGGCAAUGGUGACACUUUUUCAUGAUAUGAUACACAAAGAGAUUGAAGUGUAUGUGGAUGACAUGAUUGCCAAGUCUACGAAUGAAGAAGAUCACGUUCAGAUUCUAAGAAAAGUAUUUGAUAGACUAAGGAAGUAUCAUUGAAAUUGAAUCCUGCAAAUGCUCAUUUGGGGUGAAGUCUGGAAAGUUGCUAGGGUUUGUAAUAAGCAAUAAAGGAAUAGAGGUCGAUCCUGAUAAAGUGAAAGCAAUUCAAGCAAUGACAGCUCCUAAAACCGAAAAAGAAGUAUAUUGCACGAUUCAUAUCUCAGUUAACAGCAACAUGUGAGCCAAUUUUUCGAUUGCUUCGAAAAAAGAAUCUUGGUACUUGGGACAAAGAUUGUCAAUAAGUUUUUGAUAAAAUAAAGCAAUACUUACAGAAUACACCUUUAUUAGUGCCACCUGUGCCUGGAAGACCUUUGAUCUUGUAUUUGACAGUAACUGAGGAAGCAAUGGGUUGUGUGUUGGGACAACAUGAUGAGUCUGGAAGAAAGGAGCAAGCUAUCUAUUAUCUGAGUAAGAAGUUUACCGAUUGUGAAUCCAGAUAUACUAUGAUUGAGAAGCUAUGUUGUGCUCUUGUAUGGAGCACGAAGCGUCUUCGACAAUAUAUGUUGUAUUAUACCACUGGUUGAUCUCAAAAAUGGAUCCUCUUAAAUACAUCUUUGAGAAACCUUACUUGUCAAGUCGAAUAGCAAGGUGGCAAGUAAUGUUGGCCGAGUAUGACAUUGUAUACAAGACAAGAAAAUCCGUAAAAGGAAGUGUAAUUGCUGAUCAUUUGGCAGAUAAUGCUAUCAAAGAUUAUGAGCCUUUGAAAUUUGACUUCCCGGAUGAGGAUGUGUUGAUAGUAGAAGAAGACAAAGAGAAGAAUGAUUGGUGGAUUAUGUAUUUUGAUGGGGCAGUGAAUGUAUCUGGCAAUGGAGCAGGGGCUGUGAUAAUCUCACCUGACCAGAAGCAAUAUCCCAUCUCAAUCAAACUACAAUUUGAAUGUACCAACAAUACUGCUGAAUAUGAGGCUUGUAUCCUUGGGUUAGAAGCUGCUUUAGAGAUGAAAAUAAAGAAGCUUGAUGUCUAUGGGGAUUCAAUGUUAAUAAUCUGUCAAGUGAAAGGCGAAUGGCAGACCAAAGAAGAAAAAUUGAUCCAUAUCAACAAUAUCUCUCAAAACUAACUGAGGGCUUUGAUGAGAUAGAUUUACCCAUAUGGGAAGAGACAAAAACCAGUUUGCUGAUGCUUUGGCAACCUUAGCUUCUAUGGCCAAAAUUGAUUACGGAAUCAGGGUACAACCAAUCCCAUUGAGAUUAAAAAUUUUCCAGCUCAUUGUUGUUCACUUGAAGGAGAAAUAGAUGGGAACCCAUGGUUUUAUGACAUCAAGCGGUUUAUCCAAUAUCGAGAAUAUCCCUUGGGGGCAUCUAAAGCAGAUAUGAAGACCUUGAGAAGGUUAGCCAUGGAAUUUUACCUGGAUGGAGAAAUUCUAUAUAAAAGAUCAUUCAACAAAACUUUACUAAGAUGUCUAGAUGAAAUCGAAGCUAAGGUAGCAUUGCAAGAAAUUCAUGAAGGAAUUUGUUCAACUCAUGCAAGUGGGCACAUGAUGACUAGACAAAUGCAACGAUCUAGGUACUUCUGGAUGACCAUGGAGAAAGAUUACAUCGAUUAUGUCAGAAAAUGCCAUAAAUGUCAAGUGUAUAGUGAUAAGAUAAAUGCACCUCCAGCUCCUUUGUUUAAUAUGACAUCAUCAUGGCCAUUUGCAAUGUGAGGAAUAGAUAUGAUUGGUCCAAUCAACCCAAAGGCCAGCAAUAGGCAUCAAUUUAUCUUAGUAGCCAUUUAUUACUUCACAAAGUGGGUGGAGGCCAGCUCUUAUGCUCAUGUAACUCAAAAAGUGGUCAAGUGCUUCAUUGAGAAAGAUUUGAUAUGUCAGUACAGUUCACCUGAGAAGAUAGUGACCGACAACGCCUAAAAUUUGAAUGGAAAAAUAAUCAUAAAAUUAUGUGUGAAGUGGAAAAUUAAACAUUCAAACUCAUCUCCUUACAUACCAAAGAUGAAUGGUGCUGCCGAAGCUGCAAACAAGAAUAUCAAGAAGAUUAUCCAGAAGAUGAUAGUCACUUAUAAGGAUUGGCAUGAGAUGCUUCCUUUUGCUCUGCAUGCAUAUCGUACAGCAGUAAGGACAUCCAUUGGAGCUACACCUUACUCAUUAGUAUUUGGGAUAGAAGUAGUGAUGCCUUUGGAAGUAGAAAUUCCAUCUUUGAGGGUAAUAAUAGAAUCUAAACUAGAAGAAGCUGAAUGGGCUAAAGUGAGAUAUGAGCAGCUAAACAUGAUAAGUGAGAAAAGGUUGGCUGCAAUUUUCCAUCACCAGUUAUACCAAAGAAGGAUGGCCAAAGCAUAUGACCGGAAAGUCCGACCAAGAGAAUUCAAAGAAGGGGAUCUUGUACUAAGAAAAAUCUUACCAUUACCAAGUGAAGACCGAAGCAAGUGGGCACCAAACUAUGAAGGCCCAUAUGUAGUGAAGAAAGCAUUCUCCGGAGGAGCUCUGUUGUUAACUAGGAUGGAUGGAGAUGAUUUACCUAGGCCUGUGAACUCUGAUUCUGUGAAAAAGUAUUAUGUAUGAUGUGUUUCAUCCAAUCAAAUCAAUGAAGUUUUGGCCAGGAAAUUCUCUUUGCAUAUACCUCACCAAAAAGCCCAUGCAUGAUCUCAAUGGCUCAACAAUUUGAUCUUUCAAACUUUUUUACAGGAGAAUCCAUUCUUCUUAAAUGAGGUUUUAAAAGAACUGAUUUUGUUUGUGAUUUCAAUGAAAUAAAUCAAUGAUUUUGUUUGGAAUAAUGUUCAGAACAAUUCCCUUGAAAGAGAUGACCAAACAAGUCAAAAACAUGCAAUUGGAACAACUAUCACCCAAAUUAUGUCUUGGAUCCACAUUUUAUCAGCAUGAAUAAUGGUUGGUAGUACAUUAGUUUGUCAUGGACUCCAAAACAUGGUAUCUUACAAAUCCAAAGCAUUACGGGAUGUGGACAAAGUUUAUUGGUUUUAACUGAUCUUACUUGAAAUGAGGAAAGGCCAUCUUUGAUAUUCCUUUCACUUUCUUUAAAAUUAUCCUUUGCAGUCCCAAUUUGAGCCGAGUCUAUUUAAAGUUUUUUUCUUUCACAAGAACCUUAACUAAGAUCACACCCUACACUAGGGGGCAAAAAGAGAAAUAUGAUUAAGAAAUUGUCUUGAAGGCAUGUGAGCUUAUAAAGAAAGUCUGACAACAAAGAAUUCAAUAAAAUUCCAAACAAUUGAGAGAAUUCCUAACAAAUAUGGGAAUAACAAAAAAAAACAGAAGUUCCUCAUUUGGAAUAUUUAGCAUCAUUUUUGUUGUCAAGGUAGCAAAAAAAAUGCCAAGACAAGAUAAUAGUGAUCUAUAGUUUAUAAGCCCUUAAACACUUUUUUGAGCUUAUGGAAUACUCUUUCUUUUAUAGCCUUGAGCCAUAAAAUACAUUACGUGCCUUUGAAGUCCUUUCUAAUCAAGUAAGCAACCUGGAUCAAUAAACGGCGUUCUCAAAAUAUAAGAGACUUUUCCAUAAAGAGUCAUGGCGUAGCAAAUAAUUACUCGUUAUUAUUCAUGCUGUUAAAAAGAGUGUUUCUAAAAUAAAGGCAAAUUGUUUCUUUUCUCUCACCUUCAAGCAAUCGCUUGAACACUUUGAAAACCAAAGCAGAAGUCAUCUCAUCACUUACCUUCAUCUUAGAUUACUUUUACUAAGAGAUUUGACAUAAAGCCCAGAGUUGCCUGAACAUUGUUAUAAACAGACAUUGAGAGUUUCAGUUUUCGAGAACAAAACAGAUCUUUUGAAAAAUCAUUUUUGAAAAAAGGUUUUCUUUGUAAGAAAAAUGAAUAUAUGGCACACUACGGCACCAUUAGAAAAUCAGAGAUUCUAAUGACAAACAAGAGCAAAGGAGGAAAUGAAUGAGGCAGUUAAUUCUCCCAGGGGGUAGAGAAGCAGUUACCAGAUCCUUAAUGGCACAAAGAAAUUUGCUUCCCUAGUGGAAAAUACACAUGAUAAAACUGUGGACUUCUUCCAGCAUGAGGACUGAAAUAGUAUGAUUUGCAGUAUCUAUGAAAGGAGAUUGUUGACUCUCACAAUAUGAUCAGUUAGACAACAAGAUAACUGAUACAUCUUCAGUAAGAGAAAUGCAGAUGAAAUCCCAGGUGAAGCGGGAUAAUCCUCAUAUAUUGACCAUAUGAAUUGGUUAAAGAAUCUUCAAUAAUGGGAAUGUUGCCUAUAGAACAAUGUCGGGCCAGGGAGAAGCUAAUUCUUCAGUGAAGUUACCAAUAGAGAAAAGUGCAGUGACUGUUGGGAAACUCAAACAAAGCUUAUCUUAGAAAAUGAACAACAUGGGUCGGCUUGAGUAGAUUUGAAGUACGCGUAAUCAAAAGAGCUCACUAAAAAUCAAGAUCCUUAAACAAGAUGAACGGGGAUCUAUAUUUCAAAAACAGGUAAGAUGCACUGCAUAUCUUCUAACUUCAUGAGAAUUGCACAUUUGUUUUGCAGAUAUUUCACGAAACAAAAUUCCUAACGGGAUCCAACGAGAUUCAGAUGAAAUGAAGUUCUUCUAAAUCACAUCAAAUAUGACAAUGCCACAAAAGCAAAAUUCAUGAAUGUAGACAAGAAACAUGGAUUUUUAUUCAUGGAAAAAGGGUUUACAAGUACAAACGUUAAACACUGCGAGGACGAUUAGGGAUAUUUUCAUCUUGAUGAUUAAGCAUUACUCGAAAUUCCUCAAAUUGGUUAAUUAUGCGCUCCAUCCUUUCCUCGAACUCGAGGUGUCGUGUGUUAACAUAGUCCCUCCAAAAGUCAGCAAGUGCAUUGAGCUCUUGGUUUCUCCUCUCCAAUUCGUUUUUGUGACGUCUCUCAUCACAUAGUCUUUUCCUUAAAUUCUCAAUUUGAUUAUGGAGCUCAGGAAUUUGAGUAUUCAACUCAAGUUUUCUGGCAUGAAGACACUCCGCAACGUUCACCAAAGACGAAGUUGCUCUGAGACUGAGAGCAAGUGACUGAUUCACUACUUCAAUAUCGGUCCUGGCUGCCAGCAUCAUUUCAUCACGAGGAAGGGUCAUGUCUCUAGCCACGGCUAUAGCAAUAUCUUCGUUGUCCAUUACAGUAUCCGCUAUUGUAACUGGACGACCAUUCACUUCAAAGGUAGUACGCCAAACUACAGGCUCUACAGCAGGAACAAGGUCUGGAUUAGCAUUGGAAGAAGAGGAAGACAUGGUUAAAACUUCAAAAGUUAAGAACUUUGAAAUUAUUGAAAAUGGGAGAAGUUGAUGAUGUCUUUUGCCAAAUACUACGUGAUUUAUAAGGAAUUUGCUCCUACCAUCAUUUUGAAUAGAAGCUCAAAUCUUAGUAGUACAUAUAAGACUUUUUGAAGAAGCUUUCAUCAUUUCUGAGAUCGAUUUGCAAAUCAGAUCUCAGCCGUACAUAUAAGACUUCCUUAAGAAGCUUUCAUCAUCUUUGAGAUCGAUUUGCAAAUCAGAUCUCAGCCGUACAUAUAAGACUUUCUUGAGAAGCUUACAUCACCUUUGAGAUCAAUUUACAAAUCGGAUCUCCACCGUGCAAGUAUGACUUCCUUUAGAAGUUUUCAUUAACCCUGAAACCAAUGCUGAAAUCACUUUCAUGUAUUUCACAAAAUCAAUGCUGAAAUCACUUUCAUGUAUUUCACAAAAUCAAUGUUGAAAUCACUUUCAUGUAUUUCACAAACAGGUUGGUCACCUAGAAAAUAAGACCAAUGCUGAAAUCACUUUUAUGUAUUUCACAAAAAUAAUGUUGAAAUCACUUUCAUGCAUUUCACAAAUAGGUUGGUCACCUGGAAAAUAAGACCAAUGUUGAAAUCACUUUCAUGUAUUUCACAAGAACAAUGUUGAAAUCACUUUUAUGUAUUUCACAAACAGGUUGGUCACCUGGAAAAUAAGACCAUUGUUGAAAUCACUUUCAUGUAUUUCACAAAACCAUUGUUGAAAUCACUUUCAUGUAUUUCACAAACAGGUUGGUCACCUGGAAAAUAAGACCAAUGCUGAAAUUACUUUCACGUAUUUCACAAAAUUAAUGUUGAAAUCACUUUCAUGUAUUUCACAAACAGGCUGGUCACCUGGAAAAUAAGACCAAUGUUGAAAUCACUUUCAUGUAUUUCACAAAAUUAUUGCUGAAAUCACUUUCACGUAUUUCACAAACAGGUUGGUCACCUGAAAAAUAAGACCAAUGCUGAAAUCAUUUUCACGUAUUUCACAAAAUCAAUGUUGAAAUCACUUUCAUGUAUUUCACAAACAGGCUGGUCACCUGGAAAAUAAGACCAAUGUUGAAAUCACUUUCACGUAUUUCACAAAACCAUUGUUGAAAUCACUUUCAUGUAUUUCACAAAAUCAAUAUUGAAAACACUUUCAUGUUUUUCACUUGGGCAGGUCGCCUAGAAGAAUAGACCAACUGAAAAAUCUGUGUAUUUUUCAACACCUACAUCGUUUUUCUUUACAAAACUUACUAUGCAAAGUCAAAAGAAAAUGAAUUUUCCAAUGUCUUUGCACCGUAAGCAUUGUAAAGAGGGGGCAACUGUUGUAACCCAAUUUUUGAUUCACUAAGAUUUUCUUGAAUGUUAUUUUAUUUCUAUUAUUAUUCAUGAAAUAAAAAAAAUUUAAGAAAAAGUUUAAUAUUCAUUUUUCUCGAGUCAACCGCAUCUUUCCAUAAAAAAAACACCGAUUUCACAGGGUCAAUACAGGUCACACCAUGUCAAUCAGGGUAAAAAAAGAAUUUUCAUGACGUUUCGGGUCAAAACCGUCAUUUUUGGUCAAAACCAUCAUUUUUUAUCAAAAACCGAGUCCACCGGGUCAAUACGAGUCAAACCAUGUCGACCAAGGUAAAAAAUAAGUUUUCAUGACAUUUCGGGUCAAAACCGUCAUUUUUUAUCAAAACCGAGUCUACCGGGUCCAUACGGGUCAAACCAUAUCAAUCGGGGUGAAAAAUGAGUUUUCAUGACGUUUUGGGUCAAAACCAUCAUUUUUUUAUCAAAAUCGAGUCCCCCGGGUCAAUACGGGUCAAACCAUGUUGACCAGGGUAAAAAAUAAGUUUUCAUGACGUUUCGGGUCAAAACCAUCUUUUUGGUCAAACCCCUUAAAUGUUUUUUUUUUGUGUUCCAAUAUAAAUUUUUUUUUUUUUGCGGUUGGAACAGGUUUUUUCUAAGACUGAUUUAAGUUUUUUUGUUUUAUCUAUAUAAUUAUUUAUUAUUAUAUAUAAUAAAACAAAAUUAAUAAUACAUAAAUUUAUUAUAGUAGGUGGGUUAGUUGAUGCAGUGCAUUAUUUUCCUUCGAAAUAAAUUCAUUGUCCCCUGCUUAUUGGCUAUAAAUAGCCACGACAGAGGAAAAAAAAAAGAAAAAAGAAAGAAAGAAAGAAAAGAGAGUAUUACUAUUUGAAUUUUUUUUGUUUUUCUUCACGAGAGUAAAAUAUUGUUUUUUAUUAAAAACAAUUUGAAAAAUACCAAAAAUAUCCUAACCGUUCGAUCUAGUAGUGUUAAUUUUGGACCUUUGAUUUAAUAUGAUACAAUAGGGUUUACCACACUAGAUUAAAACUCAAAUCCAUCUUAGCCUUUGAAAUAAUCUGCCUUUUGUUCCUGUCGUGCUACGUCACCCGGUGUACCGAGCUUUCGGUGCACCGCGCCACAACAGAUCAGUGCUCCGCUCAUCCAGACCGUCCGAUCAACUUGCAGAUCAAGCCAAUCACAACCGAAUGAUCGGUUCAUCCGCGAUCCAACGGCUCACAACCUUCAGCUGCACCGGUGUCCCAUGCUCGUGUUCACACCGUAGCACAAUCUCAGAGCCUCUCUCUCCUCUCGACGGUGAUUCUCUCUCUCUCAUCCGAUCUCCCAUUUUCGGCCGUAUGAAGCUUUCAAACCACCACAGAAAGGUUGCUACCUUGCUAUAAAGCAAAACCCCGGCGGUUUUCAACGUUUUAUCCGCCUCAUCUAGCCGGAAAACGGCCGCGAUUUUGUCGACCACCCGAAGCUUUAAACCGACGAUUCUCCCUCGUCAGCCAUCAACAGCUGUCGAAACCACCUUCAUCAGAAUCCUCUUCAUUAGAUCUACUAGAAUCAACCAGUCGUUGGCUGGAAAUCUCGCCGUCUCCAACAGUAACCGCGCGUGAGCCACACGCGCCACCAGGGGUAUUUUCAUAAUUUUCCGAGAAAUCCAAGGGUAUUUCAGUCUUUUACCUAUACAGUGGCACUCAGGUAAUUUUUUGAAAUUCCUAACAGUUUUUAUUUUAUUUUGAUAUAUAAGUAUUUGUAAAUUCUCUUGCAUGUAAAAAAAAACAAAAAAAAACCAAAAAUAAAUAUAAAAGGAAUAACGACGCGGGUCCAUAAAACAUAUUAAAUUCUUCUUUAAUCCUUGCAAUUUUAUCAUAAAUAAUAAUAAUAAAAAAACAUCCAUAAAACAAAUACCAACACACAAAUAAAAAUUCAAUACUAAACAAAAAAAUUACAUCAACCAAUUUAAAAUUACAAAACAGCCCCUAAAACAUCCUAGGGAUUCUGGAUCAGUGCACGGGAAUAGUGGCGCGGGUCUUCCCACACGCCGUCGCGAAUAAGGCCGGAAAACGGGUGGAUCUGGCUCAGCUUCCUUUCUUUUUCCCUUCUCUGCUGGUGGUGACACCCACCGUCACCUGCAAACGAAGAAAAGAACACAGGCAGUCGAUUUUAUAUUUUUUGUUUUUGUUUUGCAGAUCUGCUUCUCUGGUUCGGUUUUUUUUUUCUGCAUCUCAGUGUCUUUUCGUUUCCCCUUGUUCUCCAUUUCAAACGACCGGCAGUGUGACCAUAGGGCUGCUGGCCUUUGGGUUUUGUCCGAUCUGCAACUGUUGGUGGCCGGUGAAUCUGUGGACGGUGUUGUUAUGGCUGACGGAAGAAAGCGGACCGAUUUGGGAUCUGUGGGUGCCGCUGCCGGGCUGCUAUCAGACGGUUGAAGGGGAGAAGGCUGGGUCGGCUGAGAGAGAUGCGAACUUGUGGGGGAGAUGGAGGCAGGUUCAGGAGCUGCUAUGGGUGAAGAAGAGUUAGUGUGGGUUUGUGAGGGAGAGGGGGUUGUGAGCCAGGAAGAUUUGGUGUGGUGAGGGGCUGAGAAUUUGUGUCUCUAGUAAGGAGGACCGGUUGAGAGGAGAAUGAGGUGACUGGUCUGUGGGGCUGAGACGAAGAAGGGGUUGCGGUGUGGCUGCUAGGUGAGGGAGAAGAAGCUUUGGUCGGGUCUGUCAGAGAAAAACAAGUCAAGCCAGGGGAGGGGGGCGGUCGGCUUGGUUUUGGGUAAAAAAAAUCAAACUCUGGGGGGCGGCUGUGUUUGGGAUUUCUUAGGGUUUUUUUGUGGUUUAGGGUUUUUUUUUUUUUUUUUGUAUUUUCCUGAUGUUUCAAAAUUGCCCCCAUUUUGUGUGAGUUGAAAACCAGUAUUUAUAGGCAAAAAUGUUGCUAGGUUUUCAAACUUGGUCCCUCAACUUCUUUCUUUUUGUAAAUUUGAUUUUUCUUGUAUUUUUUGAAAACGAGCAAUAUCAACGUCGACUCGAUGAGGAAAAUCAAUGAUUUAAAACAUAACGCGUGAAAAGUCGAACGCGUUUGAACGACCCUUAAAAAUUUUAAUUCUUUUUAGACGACGCUAAAAAUGCUAAAAACGACGCAAAUAUAUUAAAAAGGUAUUUUUUGGAUUUUCAAUGUUUUUCUCUAUUUUUGGAUUUUUCUGAAAAUUUAUCAAAACAUGGGUCAAAAAUUGGGUAGCAACAGAUGCCCCCUCUUUACAAUGCUUACAAAGGAAAACUCAUCAAUGUUUUGCAUAGUAAGCUUUGUAAAGAAAAACUUGUCUUCUUAUCUUCAUAACUUGCUCAAUAUCCACUCAUUUAAAGACCUUACUUUUUUCUUUUUCUAUUUCUUUCUGUCUCUCUCUCUCUCUCUUUUUCAUUAACUUGAGAUCCCAUAUGGCGACCUCCUUUACCAAAACCAAAGAAUGUUGUAGCUCGGUUAACCUGAAAUCCCAUAUGGAGAUUCCCUUUAACCAAAGCUACAUGAGAUCCCAUCUAGUAACCUCAUUUAAUUGGAACUAAAAAAUGUGUGUAGCUCGGUCAACCUGAAAUCCCAUCUGGCGAUUCCCUUUAACCAAAGCCUCAUGAGAUGAUCUGGAUGCCUGGAUAUCUGACUCCAUUGAAACAAUGGAAUCUCCAUCGACGAUUUAAACAUCGAUGAUAUUACUCGGGCGGCCUCAAUGUUUGUGAACCUAAAAAGAAAUGAAAUUAAUUAAAUAGUGACUUCAUAAAUUAUGUUUUAAAUUUGUUUUUUUUUAAAAAAACAAACUAAAACUUUAACAAACUUACAUUGAAAGAUCGUCCUUCCAUUGUGCCUCGUACUUGCGCUGUGAAGGCACGCCGCUUCUGCGAUGUGAAACAGCGCUGGAAGAGGCAGCAUCAGCUGAUGGCGCAAGUGGUGUAGGUGCCUCUUCUUGAGAGGCACCUAAGGAAAUAUCUUCCUCGCUGCUAGACGAACCUGAUGCGACCGGACGUGAAGCUCUAGUUUUCAUUCUGUGCAUCUAACCAAUUUUAAUAAUUAUAUAAUUAAAUUAAAAUGUUAAAAAAAAUUCGGCAGCACCUCCCCUAUACUUAGAUACUACCCAAAUCCACAAACCUGCAAAUAUUAACAAUAGCCACAACCAAUUGACCCAAUCUAUACUAAUUAUUCCAACAUAUUCAAUUACUAAUCCUAAGGUAAAUUCAACAUUAACAAUUACAAUUCAACAAAUUAUUCAAUAAUUAUGCCAAUACAACAAUAAAAUAUAUUCAAUAAAUUAAAAAAGAAUUAUAAACUAACAAUUAAAAUCAAUGGAAACAAUUAAACACAAAUUAUGCAAUAAUAGAGUAAAAUUACUAAGUAUUCCAACAUAUCCAAAUACUAAUUCUAAGGUAAAUUCAACAUUAACAAUUAUAAUUCAAAAACUUAUUCAAUAAUUAUGGCAAUACAACAAUAAAAUAUAUUCAAUAAAUUAAAAAAAAUUAUAAACUAACAAUUAAAAACAAUGAAAAUAAUUAAACACAAAUCAUGCAAUAAUAUAGUAAAAUUACUAAUUAUUCCAACAUAUGCAAUUACUAAUUCUAAGGUAAAUUCAACAUUAACAACAAAUAUUCAACAAAUUAACUAACAACAAUUAUGCCAAAACAACAAUAAAAAAUAUUCAAUAAAUUUAAAAAAAAACUAUAGACUUUAGGGAAGAAAUAUGCAUACCUUAAUAAUGUGUUGAAAAAAAAAAUUUAUCUACAUUACAAAAAAAUACAACAAAACAAAAAACAUAAAAAGCAUAAAAAUAACUAUAAAUAAAAUAAUAUAAAAUAGAAAAAAACACAUACCUUUUAAUGUGAUGAAGAUUCACAACCAACCUUGCUAGAGAUUCAACAAAGCUUGAAGGCUUGAAGAUUUGAGAGGAAAAAAAUCAAAAUUUUAAGUUAAACCUUAGAAACGGAGGAGAAGAAAAAAUGAACUGAAGGGGCGGCCGGAUGAACUUAUAGUGCAGUUUUACCGACGGAUUCACCGAUGGAAAUAUAAAAUUAUUAUUAUUUAAAUUAAAUCCGUCGGUAACACGCUAAAAAUCCGUCGGUAAUUUUUGGAUUUCGCACCGAAUUUUUUAAUUACCCUCCAUAUUAAAAUCCGAAUUUUUAAAUCCGUCGGUAUUCUGACAUGGUUAAAGGUGCAUUCAAUCCACACCCUUUGGAAUUCGCACAUUCCGUUGGUAUUUUUGUCGGUAAAAUUGCCCACCGACAACUUACCGACGGACCUAUUCCGUUGGUAUAAACGUCGGUGAUUGUGGCAUUUUGGUGUAAUUAUUUUCAAACUCUCUGUGAGAUGCCGACGGACGGUGGGCCGUCGGUAUGGACGUCGGUGAUUGUUCAAUGUACAAGAGAUGUUGUGUUUGUAUUUUCUAUUUACCUUCCUGUAAAAAAUUCAAUGAUAAAUUGUCCAUCGCACAAAACAAUAGCAACAGUUCUUAAACAAUAAAUAUAUAUUUCAUGCUACAAAAUAUAUCAUCCAUAGUGUAAAUUACAUGAAGAAAAGGGUUUUACACAGGGCCUCGUUUUGAUAGUUACUCAGAAUUAUCUUCUUCUUCGUCAUCAAUUGAAUAGUCAUCACCUUCAUCGCAAUCUUCAAUAUGGAUAUCAUCUUCUUCAUCGACAUUUGCUUGUCCGCUAGAGCUCAAAACAACGUUCAACUCCUCUACGUCAACAUCAACAUCAACAUCAACAAGACUAUCAUCGGAAACAUGAAAAUUUGAAUUUUCUUCCAAUUCAAUCGAAGGAGCAACUCGAUAUGGUUCAACCAACUCACUAACUUGAAAGACUUCAUCCUGCACACUUGUGUCUUCGUUCUCAUCCUGAACAACCUCGACAUGACCCCGUGAUUUCGUUUUUAAAAUGGACAACCAAUCAACUCUUGAUCGAUCCUUUCUAAAUGAAGGGGUGUAUGUGUAAUAAACUUGUUGGCAUUGCUUUGUGAAAACAAAGACAUCAUUUAUGUUGCGGAGUCUAGCUUUUGAGUUGAUUUCGACCGGACCAUGGUGCUUAUCAACUCUGAUUCCUCUGUCCGUCGUGUCAUACCAAUAGCAUUUGAAUAAAAACACUGUAUUCUGCUCGCUAUGAUAUUGUAGUUCGACGACCUCUUCUAAUCUACCAUAGUAGUCAACUUCUAACUCGCUACUUGUGGAUCCUUUAACACAAACACCGCAGUUGUAUGUCCUUCUUCCUUGCCCGUAUUCUUUAGUAUGGAAAACAUAUUCAUUGACAAAAUACCCGUUAUAGCACUUAACUUUUCUUUCAAGCCCGAGGCUUAGUGAAGACAAUGACUUAGACACACUUCUUCCCAUUUGAUAAACCUUGUAUACAUGUAAUGUACAUCAAUAAACAGUAAAUGAACGAGAAUCUCGUAAUGACAUGCAUACGUACAGUAAUUUUGCAAGUUAGAAUGAGUUUGUGAUAGUGCUUACAUGUGUUCUGAACCAUGUGGCAAAUUGUUCAUCUUGUAAUUGAAAGAUCUGGGAGUCGGUCAGCUGCGAGUUAUUGGAGAGCAAAUAUUGUCGAUGUUGCCUGCAAGUGAUAAUGAGUGUAUGAUUUCACAAUAUAUAAUUAGCAGUAUAUUACUGACAAAGUUUAAAUAGUAUUACACAUAUAUAAACUUACUGAAUAAAUGGUCUCAGCUCAUCACAAUUAAAUAGAACAUAAUUGUGUGCUUGUUUGAAUUCUAUUUUCGACAAAUAUCUUCCUCUUACGGCAUUUUUAGGUAUAGGUCGUCCAGUAUUGGAGAAUAUUGACAAUUUCUCACUGGAAGGCACUUCACCGCCAUCAUCAUGUUGUGGAACACGAUUGAUUCUUGUUCUCAAAUGAGGUUCAAAAUAGUAAGAGAUAAAUGUUGAGAUCUCUUCAACAAUAUAGGCCUCAAAUAUCGAAGCCUCUACAUGCGUCUUGUUCUUAACCUUUUUCUUGAGAUUAAACAAGUACCUGCAUUGAAUUACAAUUCAAGUUUUCCAAUUAAGAAAAGCAUAUAAAAUACUUUUAGAUAUGAAUUCCAUUGCAACUGUAAUAUCUAACCGUUCGAAUGGGUACAUCCAUCUAUACUGACAUGUAAUUCGGUAAUUCCACAAAGUUUUAACAAUUUACAAAUAAAUACAAUCUUACAAAAUCUAAAACAAACCAUAACUACAAGUAUAAAAUUAUACAUUCAUAUACUACAAGUUUGUUUGAGAAAUAACAAUAAAACAUGUACAUCUAUUAACAAAAAUACAUAUACUAAAAAAACAAUAAAAUUUACAUUUAAAUGUUAAAAUUUAAAAAGAUAUAAUUACUUACAAAAAUUGAUAAAAUCCAUCGGUAAAUCAGAACACGGAUGUUGUGAUCAAAAAACUUUAAGAAAUACAACUUGUUGUGCUGAGAUGAGGAAGAUUUUUGUUUGGGGGUGAGGGGGGGGCUAGUUAUUUUGCAGAUGGGGAGACUUAAGAUUAGGAAGAAGAACGAGAAAUGGGGGAGGAGCGUGUCGGCAGCGUGGCCAUAUAUUCACUUUUUUCGACGGCCUCAUCGAUGGAAUAACAUCGUCGGUGCAUAUGUCGGUUACUCCAUCGGUAAUUUUGACGGGAAAUAGACACAUCACCGCACGAACACGCUUUUCAAAUCCCUCGGUGAUUCCGUCGGUAUGUUUGACGGUGCACCCAUCACAUCACCCGUAUGGAUCUGGUAUUUCAAAUCCGUCGGUGAUUUCGUCAGUAUUAUUGACGGUGAAACGGUCCGAUCACACGUACAAGUCCCUAGUUUUGAAUCCGUCAGUGAUUCUGUCGGAAAAAUCACCCGCCAAAACCUCCGCGUCAGCUGCCCGCCUUUUUUUCAUUAAUUAUGAACUUUCUGUCUGUAAUUUCGACUGAAAAAUACCGACAGCAAUAUUGUGUCGGGGAGUCCGUUGGUGUUUAGCGAAUUUAUGGUAGUGAACUAAAAACUGCGUAUAGCUCGGUCAACCUGAAAUCCCAUCUGGCGAUUUCCUUUAACCAAAGCCACCUGAGAUCCCAUCUGGCGACCUCAUUAAACCACAACCAAAAAAUAUGCGUAGCUUGGUCAACCUGAAAUCCCAUCUAGCGAUUCCCUUUAACCAAAGCUACUUGAGAUCCCAUCUGGCGACCUCAUUCAACUGAAAUAAAAGAAUGUGUAAAACGCGGUUUCAUUGUAAUGGGUGACCAACCCAGGUGGAAAGAAUGUGAAAAACAGUCUCAUUAUGAUGGGUGACUACCCAGAUGGAAAGAAUAUGAAGUGCGGUCUCAUUGUAAUGGGUGACCUACCCAAGAAAAAGAAAAGAGUGGUCUCAUUGUAAUGGGUGACCUACCCAGAAAAAAAACAUGGAGAAUUGGUCGCAUUGUAAUGGGUGACCUACCCAAAAAAAUGUUGGUCUCAUUGUAAUGGGUGACCUACCCAAGUGAAAGAAUGGUCUCAUUGUAAUGGGUGACCUACCCAGAUAAAAAACAAGGAGAAUUGGUCGCGUUGUUCUGGGUGACCUACCCAGAAAAAUUUUGGCGAGGGCUCAAAGGCGCACUCAAAAGGAGGUAGGGUUAGAAAACGCACUACCCGAGAAGUGAGGGCUCAAAAGCACACUCAAAAGGAGGUAGGGUUAAAAAAUGCACUACUUGAGAAGUGAGGGCUCAAAGGCGCACUCAAAAUAAGGUAGGGUUAGAAAACGCACUACCCAAGAAGUGAGGGCUCAAAGGCGCUCUCAAAAUGAGGUAGGGUUAGAAAACACACUGCUUGAAUGGUGGUGGCUCAAAGGCACACUCAAAAGGAGGUAGGGUUAGAAAAUGCACUACCUGAGAAGUGAGGGCUCAAAGGCGCACUCAAAAGAAAAUAAGGGCUCAAACGGUGCACUUGAAAUGAGGUUGGGUUAGAAAACGCACUAUCCGAAUGGUGGUGGCUCAAAGGCGCACUCAAAAUGAGGUAGGGUUGGAAAACGCAGUACCCGAAUGGUGGUAGCUCAAAGACACACUCGAAAUAAGGUAGGGUUGGAAAACACACUACCUAAAAGGUGGUUGAUUAGUACUUAAAAGUGCAUGUUUAUUAAGGUUUUAUAUCAUCAUUUUGCACUUGAAGUAUCAAUAACUCCUUAACUAAAGCAUGUUUUAUAAUAACAAGUGUGAUACUAUAAAAUGCCUUAAUAUAUGGUAAAUAUUCAUCUUGAAUGCAGGCUUAUCACAUAAAUCAAAGGAUUGAUUGAUGAAUUCAACUACUGAAAUUUUGAAGAUAAAGAAGGGUGAAGCUUAGAAAAGAGAUGUUGGUGCAGUCCAAACUGGAACACUAUUUGGUAUUUGGGUCAUAUCUUGAGUUCUAGAUGUCCAAAUGAUCUCAAAGUUUUACACAGAUUUGGUGAGAUAUAAGCCUACAACUUUCAUGUGAACAGAAAAAUCUAAGAAGGCCUUUUUCAUGUCCAAAUUAUAGCAACAACGGAGAAGUCUGAAUCUGUCUUGCAGCCCAGACACUGUUCAGUGUUCAGCCCAUAUCUUGAGUUCUAAAAGUCCAAAUGACCUCAACUUUUUUUUCCUGGAAAGCUAAGAGAAUUUCCUAGAACUUUGAUGAUUUCAUAUGAUUCCAGUUCUGAUGUUAGCAAUGACGUUUUAUUCAGACAAGAAGAUAAGGAUUUUCACCAAGUCAAGAUGUGGCCACCCACUCAACAAUUAUUCAUCAAAUCAAUAGUUCCAAAUUUUGGCCUAUAAAAGGAGGCAUUUGCCAUGCAUUUAGGCAUCUUGGUUUCCAGAUCAAGAUCAUGCUCUUGCUUUCUCUCUUUGUAUUGCUUAUGUUUUGCUUUCAUUAAUAUCAAGUUUAUGCACUUCAUUUCCUUUCCUUUACUUAGUUAACUUUUUUCUCAUUUAUGUUCUUAUCUUGUUCAUUUAUGUUUCUUUCUUUCAUUAUGUUUACCUAUGUUAAUUAUGUCAAGGUGAAAAGGGUACACUAAUGGUGUAAGAAUAAGUAUAAUAUAAACUUAACAUGGACCUUAAUGUUGGAUACUAACAUGUUUUAUAUUUGUUAUCUUGUUCACUUUUAAUACUUUGCUUGUUAAAUGGUUAAUCUAGAUUUAUGUUGUAUAACACUUGGUACAACAAAUACUUGGCACUUUCAUAGCCCAUACUGUAUGGUAUAACCGACACCUGAGCUAUGAAAGGAACUUGAUUUGUUGUUAACAUAAGUUAUAAUCAUGAAUGCCUGACAAAAUUUACAAGUAUUAGCAUUAUUCGAAUAAGAUAACUAAUGUAAUCAUGUUAACAAUUUACAAUCCGAUUGGAACCUCCUUUGUGUGUGGUUUUCAAUUGAGUAAUAAAAAGAGUUUAUAUUAUACUUGUUUGAAGUACCAUUAGUAGAUCCUCUAACCUUGACAAUUAUUUUAUGCUUGUUUAAUCCUUACAUCAAUAUCACAUCCCAAAGCUCUCUUUAUCUUAUUAUUAUUGUUAUUGUUGUUGUUGUUGUUGUUGUUGUUGUUUAUAAUUUAUAUAGUUAACCUCCAUGUGGUUCGACCCUGGUCUUGCCGGGUUAUUUAUUACUUCGACACUAUUGCACUUGGAAGAAAACAUCAAUCUUUUGGGUCGUGUCAAGUUUUUGGCGCCGUUGCCGGGGAGGUAAAUUCUUGUAUAAAUUAUAAUAUUUAUUUUAUUUUGUCUUUUCAUUUUUCAUUUUAUCUAACUUUUGUUUCUUUUCCUUCUCUUUUAUUUCCUUCCUUAUAUUCUCUUCUUACACGUGCAUGAGAGUUUGGUCAUGUACAUUAAGUGGUAGACUUUGUAGGGUAUCCUCAGAAACAUUUUACCAGUGUUGGGAUAGGUAUCGAGACUUGCUUAAUACUUGCCCUCAUCAUGGUUUUGAAACAUGGAGAUUGGUUUCAUUUUUUUAUGAAGGUUUAACACCUAGAGAUAGGCAAAUGGUUGAAUUGAUGUGCAAUUGAACUUUCGAAGAUAAAGACCCUAAUGAAGAAAUGGAGUACCUAGACUUGCUAGCCGAAAAUGCUCAAAAUUGGGACACCACAUGUACUUAUAAGGCACCAAGUAAAACUCAACCUCAUACAUCUAGUGGAGGUAUGCACAACCUUAGGGAAGAUCAUGACCUCCAAGCCAAGUUUGCAUCUUUAGCUAGAAAAGUCGAAUCACUUGAAUUGAAAAAGAGUGGUCAAUUAAAAUCUUUCAAGACAUUGUGUGUCAAAUCUGUGAAACAAGAACACUCAACAAAUGAUUGUCCAACUUUGCCUUCUUUUAGGAAUGCCUCCAUGAACAAGCCCAUGCUUUAAACAGUUUCCAAAGGCCCAACAUAACCCAUACUCACAAACGUAUAACCCUGGUUGGAGAAAUCACCCAAAUUUCAGUUGGAAGAGUGAUAACAAUAAUGCAAACUUCACAGCCACCGUUUCAAGCAUACCAUAAUUUCCAAAAUUCUCAUGGAUAUGCACCUCCUUAUGCUCCACCUCCUAGAAGAAAUCUUGAGGAAACAUUGCAUGCAUUCAUUGAAAAGCAGGAGACAAUCAACACUCAACUUGCUCAAAGCAUGACUGAUUUUAAAGAUGCUCUUGCAAAAUUAACAUCUGCUCUCAGUUUUCAAGAAAAAGGUAAGUUUCCUUCUCAACCACAAUAAAAUCCAAAGGGGCAAUAUAAUGCAAAUGCAAGUAGUUCUGGAAGCCAACACAUGGAUCAAGUCAAAUCAGUCAUCACUCUUCGUAGUGGUAAGGUUAUUGAAAAACCCACUCUUGAACCUUGUGAGAAAGAUGAAGAGUCUAUCUUUGAGGGUAAGAAAAGGGUUGAACCUGAACAUUUCCUCAUGCCAUGACCAAACAAAGGAAAGUCAAUCACAAUUCUGAAAUCCUUUAAAUUUUCAAACAGGUAAGGAUCAAUAUACCUUUGUUGGAUGCUAUUAAACAUGUUCCUUCCUAUGCUAAAUUUUUGAAAGAUCUGUGCACUGUGAAGAGAAAACUGAAUGUGAAAAAGAAAGCCUUUUUAGCCGAACAAGUAAGUGCCAUUCUUCAUAACAAUAAUGCUUUGAAAUAUAAAGACCCUGGUUGUCUUACAAUUUCUUGCUUUAUUGGAGAACAAAAAAUUGAAAGAGACUUACUUGAUCUUGGAGCUAGUGUGAGUUUACUUCCAUAUUUAGUCUUUCAAAGUCUCAAUCUAGGUGAGUUAAAACCAACCUUUGUAACUCUUUUACUUGCUGAUAGAUCUGUAAAAGUGCCUAGAGGAAUAGUUGAGGAUGUGUUAGUACAAGCUGAUAAAUUCAUUUACCAUGUAGAUUUUGUUGUCUUGGAUACACAACCUGUUGAAGCAUGUAAUUCAAUUCCUGUCAUUUUAGGACGUCCAUUUCUUGCCACUUUUAAUGCAUUGAUUAAUUGUAAGAAUGGACUGAUGAAGCUAUCAUUUGGAAACAUGACAUUGGAGAUGAAUAUUUUCAACAUUUACAAGCAACCUGGAGAUGAUAAUGAUUUACAGGAAGUGGACUUUAUUGAAAAAUUAGUUCAUGAUCAAUUUCAAACCACUUCUAGUGAAACUGAGAUUGAUGAAUCUGAUGAUUUGCAAAUGGUCUAUUUUCAGGAAGAAUCAAAGGCAUGCAAUUGGAGACCACAAAUUGAAGAAUUGCCACCACGAUCAAUUGAGCCCAUACCUUCAAGUGUUCAACCACCAAAACCUGAUUUGAAGUCGUUACCAUUUAAUCUCAAAUACUCAUUUUUGGGAGAAAAUGAAACUUUUCCGGUAAUAAUCUCUUCCAAACUUAAUGCACAUCAAGAAGGUAAGUUAUUACAGACUUUGAAAAUGCACAAAAAUGCAUUAGGAUGGACCAUAGCUGACAUAAAAGGAAUUAGCCCUUUGAUUUGCACACACAGAAUUUAUUUGGAGGAAAAUGCUAAACCCUCUAGAGAAAUGCAACGAAGGCUUAAUCCUAAUAUGAAAGUAGUGAAAAAUGAAGUCAUUAAGCUUCUAGAUAAUGGAAUCAUUUAUCCUAUUUCUGACAGCAAAUGGGUAAGUCCUACCCAAGUUGUACCUAAAAAGUCUGGAGUCACUGUGAUAACAAAUGAGAAAAAUGAGUUAAUUCCAACGAUGAUUGUUACUGGUUGGCGCAUGUGCAUUGACUAUAGGAAACUUAAUUCAAUGACUAGAAGAUCAUUUCCCUUUACCUUUCAUGGAUCAAAUCCUAGAAAGAGUUGCAGGUCAUGAAUUCUAUUGUUUCCUAGAUGGCUAUUCAGGUUACAAUCAAAUUGAAAUUGCAUUGGAAGAUCAAGAGAAGACUACUUUCACAUGUCCAUUUGGUACUUUUGCAUAUCGAAGAAUGCCUUUUGGGUUAUGUAAUGCACCAGCCACGUUCAGUGUUCAGCCCAUAUCUUGAGUUCUAGAAGUCCAAAUGACCUCAAAUGUUUACACAAAUUCAGUAAGACAUAGGCCUAUAACUUGCAUUUGGACAUCAAGAUCUAAGAAGGCCGUUUUCAAGUCCAAAUUAUUCAACAACGGAGAAGUCUGAAUAUGUCCUGCAGCCCAGACACUUUUCAGUGUUCAGCCCAUAUCUUGAGUUCUAAAAGUCCAAAUGACCUCAAAUGUUUACACAAAUUCAGUAAGACAUAGGCCUAUAACUUGCAUUUGGACAUCAAGAUCUAAGAAGGCCGUUUUCAAGUCCAAAUUAUUCAACAACGGAGAAGUCUGAAUAUGUCCUGCAGCCCAGACACUGUUCAGUGUUCAGCCCAUAUCUGGAGUUCUAGAAGUCGAAAUGACCUUAUCUUUUUUUUCCUGGAAAGCUAAGAGAAUUUCCUAGGACUUUUAUUUGGACAUCUAGACCCAGUUCUGAUGCUAGCAUUUUUGUUUUAUUAAGACAAGAAGAUAAAGAUUUUCACCUAGUCAAAAGUUGGCCACCCACUCAACAAUUAGUCAUCAAAUCAAUAAUUCUGAAUUUUGUCAUAUAAAAGGAGUCAUUUGCCAUGUAUUUAGGGGCUUGGUUUUUCAGAUCAAGUUCUUGCUCUUUAUUUCUCUCUUUAUAUUUUUUUUGUAAUUCUUAAGUUUUGCUUUCAUUAAUAUCUUGUUUAUGCUUUUCAUUUCCUUUCCUUUCCUUAGUUAACUUGUAUCUUAUUUAUGUUCUUGUUUUAUUUAUUUAUGUUUCUCUUCUUCAUUAUGUUUGGCUAAGUUUAUUAUGUCAAGGUGAAAAGGUUACACUAAUGGUGUAAGAACAAGUAUGGUAUAAACUCAACAUGAACCUUAAUGUUUAAUAUUAACAUGUCUUAUCUUUUUAUCUUACUAAUUCUUAAUACCUUACUUGUUAAAUGGUUAAUCUAGAUUUGUGUUGUAUAAUACUUGGUACAACAAAUGCUUGGCACUCUCAUAGCCCAACCGUAUGGUAUUACCUACACCUAGGCUAUGAAAGGUACUUGAUUUGUUGUUAACAUCAAUUAACAUCAUGAAUUCUUGAUAAUAUUUAAAAGUUUGGUGUUAUGUAAAUGAGAUAAUUAAUAUGAUCAUGUUAAUAAUUUAUAAUGAGCUAUUAAUGACAAAUUGGCCAAUUGGAACCUCCUUUGUGUGUGGUUUCCGGUUGAAUAAUAAGAGUUUAUACUAUACUUGUUUGAAAUACCAUUGGUGGAUCCUCUAACCUUGAUAUUUAUUUUUAUCAUUGUUUAAUCCUUACAUUAAUCUUCCAGCUCAAAGUUCUCAUUAAUUUUUUCCUCCUCUUUUUAUUGUUAUUAAUAUUAUCACUAUUAAUAUUAUUAUUAUUAUUAUUAUUAUUAUUAUUAUUAUUAUUAUUUACAUUCUGUUUAUAUUAUAUAAUAUAUCUCUUUCAUCUUUUCAAAAACUCAGUAUAUAGGCUGGAAACCUGUGACCCGAUCUUUUAGAUCAUUCUCAGGUAUAACAACGCCACGUACUGAGUAUUAUUAUUAAUAUUAUUAUUAUUAUUGUUAUUAUUGUUGUUAUUGUUGUUGUUGUUGUUGUAUUAUUGUUAUUUAUAAUUUGUAUAAUUAACCUCUCUGUGGUUCGACCCCGGUCUUGCCGGGUUAUUUAUUACUUUGACACUCCUGCACUUGGGAGAAGACAUCAAUCUUUUGGUUGUGUCAAGUUUUUGGCGUCGUUGCCGGGGAGGUAAAUUCUUGUACAAAUUUUAGUAUUUAUUUUGUUUUUUUCUUUUCACUUUUCUUGUAUCUAACUUUGUUUCUUUUGUUUUGUUUCUUUUUCUUUUGUUUUCUUCUUCCUUUUAUUCUUUUUCUACACGUGCAUGAGUGUUUGGUCAUGCAUAUUAAGUGGUAGACUUUCUAGGGUAUCCUCAUCAUUUUCAGAAAAUAUGGCCGAAGAAGAUAACCAGUUACUUCAUAAUGAGAAUAAUGAGAAUAACCGUGUUAGGACACUUAGAGACCACAUGAAUCCCAUAAGAACAAGUGCACCCUCAUGCAUAGUUUUCCCUCCUGAUGCAUCUCAUUUUAAUUUUAAGCCAGGCAUUAUUCAACUUUUACCUUCUUUUCAUGGCUUAGAUCUAGAAAAUCCAUACUUGCAUUUGGAGAAUUUGAGAAGUUUGUAACACCUAUAAUGACUUAAAUUGUAGCAUGAAUACCAUUAGAUUAAAGCUUUUUCCUUUUUCAUUAAAAGAUAAAGCUAAAACAUGGCUACAAAAUUUAGGUCAGGAUCCAUUCGUGCUUGGGAUGAAAUGCAACAACAAUUUUUAAAGAAGUUUUUUCCAUCUCACAGAACAACUCUUUCAAAAGACAAAUCACCACUUUCACUCAAAAACCAGGAGAAACAUUUUACCAAUGUUGGGAUAGGUAUCGAGACUUGCUUAAUACUUGCCCUCAUCAUGGUUUUGAAACAUGGAGAUUGGUUUCACAAUUUUUAUGAAGGUUAACACCUAAGAUAGGCAAAUGGUUGAAUUGAUGUGCAAUGGAACUUUUGAAGAUAAAGACCAUAAUGAAGCAAUGGAGUACCUAGACUUGCUAGCUGAAAAUGCUCAAAAUUAGGACACUACAGGCACUUAUGAGGCACCAAGUAAAACUCAACCUCAUACAUCUAGUGGAGGUAUGUAUAACCUUAGGGAAGAUCAUGACCUCCAAGCCAAGUUUGCAUCUUUAGCUAGAAAAGUCGAGGCACUAGAAUUGAAAAAGAGUGGUCAAUUAAAAUAUGUUCAAGACAUUGUGUGUCAAAUCUGUGAAACAAAUGAACAUGCAACCAAUGAUUGUCCAACUUUGCCUUCUUUCAAGGAAUGCCUCCAUGAACAAGCCCAUGCUUUAAACAGUUUCCAAAGGCCCAAUCAUAACCCAUACUCGCAAACAUACAAUCCUGGUUGGAGAAAUCACCCAAAUUUCAGUUGGAAGAGUGACAACAAUAAUGCACAAACUUUACAGCCACCGUUUCAAGCACACCAUAAUUUCCAAAAUUCUCAUGGAUAUGCACCUCCUUAUGCUCCACCUCCUAGAAGAAAUCUGAGGAACGUUGCAUGCAUUCAUUGAAAAGCAAGAGACAAUCAACACUCAACUUGCUCAAAGCAUGACUUUUAAAGAUGCUCUUGCAAAAUUAACAUCUGCUCUCAGUUUCAAGAGAAAGGUAAGUUUCCAUCUCAACCACAGCAAAAUCCAAAGGGGCAAUACAAUGCAAAUGCAAGUAGUUCUGGAAGCCAACACAUGGAUCAAGUCAAAUCAGUCAUCACUCUUCGCAGUGGUAAGGUUAUUGAAAAACCCACUCUUGAACCUUGUGAGAAAGAUGAUGAGUCAAUCUCUGAGGGUAAGGAAGGGGUUGAACCUGAACAUUGUGAAGAAAAGACUGAUUCUCCGCCAGCACUUCCAUUUCCUCAUGCCAUGACCAAACAAAGGAAAGUCAAUCACAAUUAUGAAAUCCUUGAAAUUUUCAAACAGGUAAGGAUCAAUAUACCUUUGUUGGAUGCUAUUAAACAUGUUCCUUCCUAUGCUAAAUUUUUGAAAGAUUUGUGCACUGUGAAGAGAAAACUGAAUGUGAAAAAGAAAGCCUUUUUAGCCGAACAAGUAAGUGCCAUUCUUCAUAACAAUAAUGCUUUGAAAUAUAAAGACCCUGGUUGUCCUACAAUUUCUUGCUUUAUUGGAGAACAUAAAAUUGAAAGAGCCUUACUUGAUCUUAGAGCUAGUGUGAAUUUACUUCCAUAUUCGGUUUUUCAAAGUCUCAAUCUAGGUGAGUUAAAACCAACUUCUGUAACUCUUUUACUUGCUGAUAGAUCUGUAAAAGUGCCUAGAGGAAUAGUUGAGGAUGUGUUAGUACAAGGUGAUAAAUUCAUUUACCCUGUAGAUUUUAUUGUCUUGGAUACACAACCUGUUGAAGCAUGUAAUUCAAUUCCUGUAUUUUAGGACGUCCAUUUCUUGCACUUCUAAUGCAUUGAUUAAUUGUAGGAAUGGACUGAUGAAGCUAUCAUUUGGAAACAUGACAUUGGAGAUGAAUAUUUUCAACAUUUACAAGCAACCUGGAGAUGAUAAUGAUUUACAGGAAGUGGACUUUAUUGAAAAAUUAGUUCAUGAUCAAUUUCAAACCACUUCUAGUGAAACUGAGAUUGAUGAACCUGAUGAGUUGCAAAUGGUUAUUUUCAGGAAGAAAAGGCAUGUAAUUGGAGACCACAAAUUGAAGAAUUGCCACCACGAUCAAUUGAGUCAUACCUUCAAGUGUUCAACCACCAAAACUGAUUUGAAGCCGUUACCAUUUCAAUCUCAAAUACUCAUUUUUGGGAGAAAAUGAAACUUUUCCGGUAAUAAUCUCUUCCAAACUUAAUGCACAUCAAGAAGGUAAGUUAUUACAGACUCUGAAAAUGCACAAAAAUGCAUUAGGAUGGACCAUAGCUGACAUAAAAGGAAUUAGUCCUUUGAUUUGCACACACAGGAUUUAUUUGGAGGAAAAUGCUAAACCUCUAGAGAAAUGCAACGAAGCUUAAUCCUAAUAUGAAAGAAGUAGUGAAAAAUGAAGUCAUUAAGCUUCUAGAUAAUGGAAUCAUUUAUCCUAUUUCUGACAGCAAAUGGGUAAGUCCUACCCAAGUUGUACCCAAAAAGUCUGGAGUCACUGUGAUAACAAAUGAGAAAAAUGAGUUAAUUCCAACUAGGACUAUUACUGGUUGGCGCAUGUGCAUUGACUAUAGGAAACUUAAUUCAAUGACUAGAAAAGAUCAUUUCCCUUUACCUUUCAUGGAUCAAAUCCUAGAAAGAGUUGCAGGUCAUGAAUUUUAUUGUUUCCUAGAUGGCUAUUCAGGUUACAAUCAAAUUGAAAUUGCAUUGGAAGAUCAAGAGAAGACUACUUUCACAUGUCCAUUUGGUACUUUUGCAUAUCGAAGAUGCCUUUUGGUUAUGUAAUGCACCAGCCACGUUUCAAAGAUGCAUGCUUAGCAUAUUCAGUGAUAUGGUUGAACGUUUUCUUGAGAUUUUUAUGGAUGAUUUUUCUGUUUUUGGUGAUUCAUUUGAUGAUUGUUUAACUAACUUGGAAAAGGUUUUGAACAGGUGUGAAGAGAAGAAUCUUGUACUGAAUUGGGAAAAAUGUCACUUUAUGGUAACAAACGGCAUUGUACUUGGUCACAUUGUUUCAUCGAAAGGAAUUGAGGUUGACAAAUCUAAAAUCGAGUUAAUUGCCAACUUACCAACACCAAAAUCUGUUAAAGAUGUUAGAUCAUUCUUAGGACAUGCUGGUUUUUACAGAAGGUUCAUCAAAGAUUUUAGUGUAAUAUCUAAACCAUUGUGUAACCUUCUAACAAAGGAAAAUGUUUUUGAAUGGACUGAACAAUGUGAAAAAGCCUUUGUUAAACUUAAAGCUUGCUUACUUCUGCUCCUGUCAUUCAACCUCCUGAUUGGUCACUACCUUUUGAAAUAAUGUGUGACGCUAGUGAUUAUGCCGUGGGUGCUGUCUUGGGACAAAGAAAAGAUAAGAAACCUUAUGUGAUUUACUAUGCAAGUAAAACUUUAAAUAGUGCUCAAAUGAAUUACACUACCACUGAAAAAGAAUUACUUGCAGUAGUAUUUGCAUGUGACAAGUUCAGAUCUUAUCUUGUUGGCUCACCUGUUGUUGUUUUUAGUGAUCAUGCAGCAUUGAAAUAUCUUCUCUCUAAGAAAGAUUCUAAGGCUAGAUUGGUGCGGUGGAUUUUGUUACUUCAAGAAUUUGAUAUCACAAUCAAAGACAAGAAAGGCACCGAAAAUGUUGUCGCGGAUCAUUUGUCAAGAUUGACAACCGAUUCGAGAUCUGACAUCACACCAAUCGAUGACUACUUUCCUGAUGAAUCUUUAUUUUCUGUCUCUACGAUGCCUUGGUUUGCUAAUAUUGUUAAUUUUCUUGUUUCAGGACAAUUGCCAGCUCAUUGGAGUACCCAAGACAAAAGAAAGUUCUUGAACGAAGUGAAGAACUUUUAUUGGGAUGACCCUUAUUUAUUCAAAUAUUGUCCUGAUCAAAUAUUUCGAAGAUGCAUUCCUGACAAUGAGGUAAGUAGUGUCAUUAAAUUUUGUCAUUCUGAGGCAUGUGGGGGUCAUUUCUCAUCAAGAAAGACAACUGCAAAAAUCUUACAAAGUGGAUUUUACUGGCCCACCAUGUUCAAAGACUCACAUGCAUUCUGUAAGACUUGUGAAAAUUGUCAAAAGUUGGGAUCUAUUUCGAAACGUCACAUGAUGCCUUUAAAUCCUAUUCUUGUCAUUGAGAUCUUUGACUGUUGGGGUAUAGAUUUCAUGGGUCCAUUUCCUCCAUCAUUUGGUUUCUUGUACAUAUUGGUCGUAGUAGAUUAUGUUUCAAAAUGGAUAGAGGCAAUUCCAAGUCGAACCAAUGAUCACAAAACAGUGAUAAAGUUUUUGAAAGAAAACAUUUUAAGUCGAUUUGGAAUCCCUCGAGCCAUGAUAAGUGAUGGUGGAACACAUUUUUGCAAGUCAUUUGAGUCUUUAAUGAAGAAAUAUGGAAUCACACACAAAGUUGCCACCCCUUAUCACCCUCAGACGAGUGGACAAGUAGAACUUGCUAAUAAGUAGAUUAAACAGAUCUUAGAGAAAACAGUGAACCCUAAUCGGAAAGACUGGUCUUUAAGACUUAAUGAUGCACUUUGGGCUUAUCGAACUGCGUAUAAAACAUCAUUUGGUAUGUCACCUUAUAGACUAGUAUAUGGAAAACCUUGUCACUUGCCUGUGGAAAUUGAACAUAAAGCUUAUUGGGCUAAUAAAGCUUCCAAUUCGAACAUUGAUGAUGCUAGUCAGCUACGAAAAUUGCAAAUAAAUGAGCUUGAGGAAAUAAGAAAUGAUGCAUAUGACAAUUCAAGAAUUAAUAAAGCAAGACUCAAAGAGUUUCAUGACAAGAAAAUACUGAGAAAAACAUUCAAUGUUGGUCAAAAAGUCUUGCUUUAUAAUUCUCGACUCCAUUUAUUUCUUGGAAAACUAAGAUCAAGAUGGAGCGGUCCUUUUAUUGUGAAACAUGUGUAUCCAUAUGGGGCCUGUGAUAUAGAAAAUCCAAAGAAUGGAAAUGUUUUCAAGGUAAAUGGGCAUCGGUUGAAAGUUUAUUUUGACAAUUUUUCAGUUGAAAAUGACUAUUGAAUUGAGUGAUCCUGUAUAUAAAGAUUGAUUCUUUUUCUCACAUUGUUUUGUGUUUUGUUUUGGUGUAUCUUUUUUUUUGCUAGUUUCUCUCACCCCGGUCAAAUGGCGGAUAACGGUACUCCAUGACUCUUAAGUCGGUUCUUUUAGUUUCCCAUGAUAACUUAUAUCUGUGUAUAUAAUUGUGCAAUUCUCUGCUCUUUCUUCUUUCUUUGAAUCUCUCAUCCAAUUCUCAUUUGAAAAUGGACACCACUCUUGAAAAAUUGAAAAAUUAUUUUCCCGCUCUGCCUCAAAAUGCGAUUACAAAAAUUUACCGUGCUAGAUGUGCGAGAUUGAGGUUGUUAAUGAAUCAUGGAAUUCUUGAAGAUAUUCAUUGGCUAAUUGAAGCAAAGGUUCGGUUAUCAGGUGAGUCCUCCAAUUCUUUCAUUUCACACAUGCCUGGAACAAGUAAAAGCACUUUUGCAAAGAAACGUCGUGCAAAACGACUACAACUCUGUCACAAAUGUGCCAGAUGGACUUGUAAUGCGACAUGUCGUUCUUUAGGAAUGGUAUCUGUAAACCGUGAAGAUAAAAUACAAUUCAUUAAGGAUGGCCUGAGUAAGGGGUCUUUAGAUAAUCUUCUAUUGACUCUUGAGACGCACCCUAGUGGAGAUGUGCAUCGUGCAAUUUAUGAUUUAUGGCCCCAAUUCCAUAAAGAACAUGCUCGACUUAGUCUUGGGAAUCUGACUAAAAAAGACCCUGUUUGCCAGUUUUUAAGAAAACUGGAUGGGAAGCCUAUCCCCGACCCAGAUAGGGCGUUUAAGCUGUUCUUGGACGUAAAACCAAGGGAAGAUGUGAGCCACAAUCACAACUACCUAUACAUACAUGAUUUGUCAAGCCGUUUUUGGACAUAAAACUAAGGGAAGAUGUGAGCCAUAAUCACAACUACCUGUACAUACACAUGCCUUUUUCAAAUAAAUAAAGAGAGAGAGAGAGAGAAAGAGAGUGAGACUACGGUUGGCCUACAUAUAGGUGGUAUGAUUGCAUUUUCAAUUUCUCAUCUAUAAAUUCUUCUCUUCCUUCCCUUCAUUUCUACUCAACCCAUACUUUCAUCAAAUAUAGAAGUGUGUAGAAAUGGCAGGUUCCUCAAGUCAUAACAUAAACAAUAUUUGUGUUUUCGGUGGAUCAAGUCUUGGGAAAGAAAAAAAGUUUUUAGAAUCAGCAAAUCAUCUUGGUCAGGUAUUAGCUGAGCGAAAGAUUCAUUUAGUGUAUGGAGGAGGCAGCCUUGGGUUAAUAGGGGGAGUGUCAAUAGCUGCAUUUUUAGGAGGUACUCAAGUUUUGGGGGUAGUCCCCAAAGCUUUAGCAUAAGGGGACAUCAUUGGAAAAACAAUUGGAGAGGAAUUACAAGUCCCCAUAAUUUCUGAUCGACUGAAUGCCAUGUUUAACCAUGCUGAUUCCUUCAUUGCCUUACCAGGUGGUCUGGGCACAUUGGAAGAGAUCUUUCAUAUUUCCUCUUGGGCCCAACUGCACAUUCACCAUAAACCCAUAGGUUUGUUAAAUGUUAAUGGUUUUUAUGAUAAGUUGUUGUCUUUUCUUGUUCAUGCUAUGGAACAGGAAUUUCUAACAUCUUCAGCACGACAAAUCAUAAUCUCUACUGCUACUGCUGAACAAUUGAUUGACCAACUACAAUCUUUCAUCCCUGUAAUUAAUCCCUCCAUGAGUCGCAUAAAAUUGGUCAACUAAGAGAAAGCCGUAAAAAGCUUAGAUGUGGAUUUGAGCUUCGUUUGUAAAAACUUUGUGUCUUUUGGUUUUAUUAUUGUGUUUUGUUGUUUCUUAUAUUUGUUUAAGUGUGUUUCAGGUUUGUCAGUGUUCGUUAUUUCAGGUGAUGUCUUCUAUACUCUAUCUUUCUACCUUAAGACAUUGAGGACAAUGUUUCAUUUUGGUUGGGGGGAAAGGGUAGUAGUUGAUAAUUAAAAAAAAAAAACUAAAACGGUGGAGCAUAAGGAGGUGCAUAUCCAUGAGAAUUUUGGAAAUUAUGGUGUGCUUGAAACGGUGGCUGUGAAGUUUGUGUAUUAUUGUUAUUACUCUUCCAACUGAAAUUUGGGUGAUUUCUCCAACCAGGGUUAUACAUUUGUGAGUAUAGGUUAUGGUUGGGCCUUUGGAAACUGUUUAAAGCAUGGGCUUGUUCAUGGAGGCAUUCCUUAAAAGAAGGCAAAGUUGGACAAUCAUUUGUUGAGUGUUCCUUGGUUUCACAGAUUUGACACACAAUGUCUUGAACAGAUUUUAAUUGACCACUCUUUUUGAAUUCAAGUGCUUCGACUUUUCUAUCUAAAGAUGCAAACUUGGCUUGGAGGUCAUGAUCUUCCCUAAGGUUGUGCAUACCUCCACUAGAUGUAUGAGGCUGAGUUUUACUUGGUGCCUCAUAAGUAUCUGUGGUAUCCCAAUUUUGAGCAUUUUCGGCUAACAAGUCUAGGUACUCCAUUGCUUUAUUAGGGUCUUUAUCUUUAAAAGUUCCAUUGCACAUCAAUUCAACCAUUUGCUUAUCUCUAGGUGUUAAACCUUCAUAAAAAUGUGAAACCAAUCUCCAUGUUUCAAAACCAUGAUGAGGGCAAGUAUUAAGCAAAUCUCGAUACCUAUCCCAACAUUGGUAAAAUGUUUCUCCUGGCUUUUAAGUUAAAGUGAUGAUUUGUCUUUUGAAAGAGUUUGUUCUGUGAGACGGGAAAAACUUCUUUAAAAAUUUUUGUUGCAUUUCAUCCCAAGCACGAAUAGAUCCUGGUCUCAAAUUUUGUAGCCAUGUUUUAGCUUUAUCUUUUAAUGAAAAAGGAAAAAGCUUUAAUCUGAUAGUGUUCAUGCUACAAUUUGAGUCAUUAUAGGUAUUACAGACCUCCUCAAAUUCCCUUAAAUGCAAGUAUGGAUUUUCUAGGUCUAAACCAUGAUAAGAAGGUAAAAGUUGAAUAAUGCCUGGCUUAAAAUUAAAAUGAGAUGCAUCAGGAGGGAAAACUAUGCAUGAUGGUGCACUUGUUCUUGUGGGAUUCAUGUGGUCUCUAAGUGUUCUCAUACGAUUAUUCUCAUUAUUCUCAUUAUGAAGUGAUUGAUUAUCUUCUUCGGCCAUAUUUUCUGAAAAUGAUAAGGAUACCCUAUAAAGUUUACCACUUAAUGUACGUGACCAAACUCUUAUGCACGUGUAAGAAGAGAAUAAAAGGAAGAAAAUAAAAGAGAAGAAAAAGAAACAAAAGUUAGAUAAAAUGAAAAAUGAAAAGAGAAAAUAAAAUAAAUAUUAUAAUUUAUACAAGAAUUUACCUCCCUGGCAACGAUGCCAAAAACUUGACACGACCAAAAGAUUGAUGUCUUCUCCCAAGUGCAGGAGUGUCGAAGUAAUAAAUAACUCGGCAAGACCGGGGUCGAACCACGAAGAGGUUAAUUGUAUAAAUUAUAAAUAACAAUACAACAACAACAACAACAAUAAUAACAACAACAAUAACAAUAAUAGUAAUAAUAAUAUUAAUAGUAGUAAUAAUAAUAAUAAUACUUAGUAGUAAUACUAAUAAUAAUUAUAAUAGUAAUAAUAAUAGUAGUAAUAUUAAUAAUAAUAAUAGUAAUAAUAAAGAGAGCUUUGAGAUGUAAAAUUGAUGUAAGGAUUAAACAAUGAUAAAAACAAAUGUCAAGGUUAGAGGAUCCACUAAUGGUACUUCAAACAAGUAUAGUAUAAACUCUUAUUACUCAAUUGGAAACCACACAUAAAGGAGGAUCCAAUCAAAUUAUAAAUUGUUAACAUGAUUACAUUAGUUAUCUUAUUCGAAUAAAGCUAAUACUUGUAAAUGUUGGCAGGCAUUCAUGAUUAUAACUUAUGUUAACAACAAAUCAAGUUUCUUUCAUAGCUCAGGUGUCGGUUAUACCAUACAGUAUGGGCUAUGAAAGUGCCAAGUAUUUGUUGUACCAAGUGUUAUACAACAUAAAUCUAGAUUAACCAUUUAAUAAGCAAAGUACUAAAAGUGAACAAGAUAACAAAUAUAAAACAUGUUAGUAUCCAACGUUAAGGUCCAUGUUAAGUUUAUACUAUACUUAUUUUUACACUAUUAGAGUAUCAUUUUCACCUUGACAUAAUUAACUUAGCUAAACAUAAUGAAAGAAAGAAACAUAAAUGAACAAGAUAGGAACAUAAAUGAGAAAGAAGUUAACUAAGUAAAGGAAAGGAAAUGAAGUGUAUAAACUUGAUAUUAAUGAAAGCAAAACAUAAGAAAUACAAAGAGAGAAAGCAAGAGCAUGAUCUUGAUCUGGAAACCAAGAUGCCUCAAUACAUGGUAAGUGCCUCCUUUUAUAGGCUAAAAUUUGGAACUAUUGAUUUGUUGACUAAUUGAUGAGUGGGUGGCCACAUCUUGACUUGGUGACAAUCCUUAUCUUCUUGUCUGAACAAGACAUCAUUGCUAACAUCAUAAUUUUCCCAGAAUCCUCAGGAAUGUUCUAGGAAAUUGUCUCAGCUUUCCAACAACAAAAAAAGAUGAGGUCAUUUGGACUUCUAGAACUCAAGAUAUGGGCUGAACACUAAAUAGUGUCUGAGCUGCAAGACAGCUUCAGACUUCUUCGUUGUUUCUAUAAUUUGGACUUGAAAAAUGCCUUCUUAGAUCUUGGUGUCCAAAUGAAAGUUGUAGGCCUAUGUUUUACCUUUCCAUCCAUAUAAAAUGGACCUAAAUCCGAGAUCUAGAGCUCCAGAUAUGAUCCAAUUACCGAGCAAUGUUCCGGUUUGGAUUGCACCAGCAUCUCUUUUCUAGGUUUGGCCAUCUCUUUGUCCUUUCACUUUCAAUGCUUAAACUAAUCAAUCAAUCCUUUUAUUUAUGUGAUAGUCCUGCAUUUAAGAUGAGCAUUUACUAUAAAUUAAGGUAUCUUAUAGUAUUAAACUUGUUAUUAUAAAACAUGCUUUAGUUGAGUUAUUGAUACUUCAAGUGCAAAAUGAUGAUAUAAAACCUUGAUAAACAUGCACUUUUAAGUACUAAUCAGUCACCUUAUAGACUAGUUUAUGGAAAACCUUGUCACUUGCCUGUGGAAAUUGAAUAUAAAGCUUAUUGGGCUAUUAAAGCUUUCAAUUCAAACCUUGAUGAUGCUAGUCAGCUGCGAAAAUUACAAAUAAAUGAGCUUGAGGAAAUAAGAAAUGAUGCAUAUGACAAUUCAAGAAUUCAUAAAGCAAGAAUCAAAGACUUUCAUGACAAGAAAAUACUGAGAAAAACAUUCAAUGUUGGUCAAAAAGUCUUGCUUUAUAAUUCUCGACUCCAUUUAUUUCCUGGAAAACUAAGAUCAAGAUGGAGCGGUCCUUUCAUUGUGAAACAUGUGUAUCCAUAUGGGGCCUGUGAUAUUGAGAAUCCAAAGAAUGCAAUGUUUUCAAGGUAAAUGGGCAUCGUUUGAAAGUUUAUUUUGACAAUUUUUCAGUUGAAAAUGACUCUAUUGAAUUGAGUGAUCCUGUAUAUAAAGAUUGAUUCUUUUUCUCACAUUGUUUUGUGUUUUGUUUUGGUGUAUCUAUUGUUUUGCUAGUCUCUCUCUCACCCCGGUCAAAUGGCGGAUAACGGUACUCCGUGACAUAAGUCGGUUCUUUCAGUUUCCCAAAUAACUGAUAUCUGUAUAUAUUUGUACAAUUCUGUGCUCUUUCUCCCUUCUUUGAAUCUCGUCUCCAAUUCUCUUUUGAAAAUGGACACCACUCUUGAAAAGUUGAAAAGGUAUUUUCCGCUCUGCCUCCAAAUGCGAUUACAAAAUUUACCGUGCUAGGUGUGCAAGAUUGAGGUUGUUAAUGAAUCAUGGAAUUCCUGAAGAUAUUCGCUGGCUAAUUGAAGCAAAGGUCGAUUAUCAGGUGAGUCCUCAAAUUCUUUCAUUUCACACAUGCCUGGAACAGGUACAAGCACUUUUGCAAAGAAACGUCGUGCAAAACGACUGAAAGUCUGUCACAGAUGUGCCAGAUGGACUUGUAAUGCGACAUGUCGUUCUUUAGGAAUGGUAUCUGUAAACCGUGAAGAUAAGAUACAAUUCAUUAAGGAUGGCCUGAGUAAGGGGUCUUUAGAUAAUCUUUUGUUGACCCUUGAGACGCAUCCUAGUGGAGAUGUGCAUCGUGUAAUUCAUGAUUUAUGGCCACAAUUCCAUAAAGAACAUGAUCGACUUAGUCUUGGGAAUCUGACUAAAAAAGACCCUGUUUGCCAGUUUUUAAGAAAACUGGAUGGGAAGCCUAUCCCCGACCCAUAGAGGGCGUUUAAGCCGUUCUUGGACGUAAAACCAAGGGAAGAUGUGAGCCACAAUCACAACUACCUGUACAUACAUGAUUUGUCAAAAUAAAUAAAUAAAGGAAGAGAGAGUGUGAGACAACAGCUGGCCUACAUAUAGGUGGUAUGAUUGCAUUUUCAAAUUCUCAUCUAUAAAUUCUUCUUUUCCUUCCCUUCAUUUCUACUCAACCCAUACAUUCAUCAAAUAUAGAAGUGUGUAGAAAUGGCAGGUUCCUCAAGUCAUCACAUAAGAAAUAUUUGUGUUUUCGGUGGAUCCAGUCCUGGGAAAGAAAAAGAGUUUUUAGAAUCAGCAAAUCAUCUUGGUCGGGUACUAGCUGAGAGAAAGAUUCAUUUAGUGUAUGGGGGAGGUAGCCUUGGGUUAAUGGGAGGUGUGUCAAUGGCUGCAUUUUGGGAGGCAGUCAAGUUUUGGGGGUUGUCCCCAAAGCUUUAGCAAAUGGGGACAUCAUUGGAAAAACAAUUGGAGAGGAACUACAGGUCCCACAAUGUCUGAUCGACUAAACGCCAUGUUUAACCAUGUUGAUGCUUCAUUGCCUUACCAGGUGGUCUGGGCACAUUGGAAGAGAUCUUUCAUAUUUCCUCUUGGGCCCAACUGCACAUUCACCAUAAACCUAUAGGUUUGUUAAAUGUCAAUGGUUUUUAUGAUAAGUUACUGUCUUUCCUUGAUCAAGCUGUGGAACAGGAAUUUCUAACAUCUUCGGCACGACAAAUCAUAAUCUCUGCUGCUACUGCUGAACAAUUGAUUGACCAACUACAAUCUUUCAUCCCUGUCAUUGAUCCCUGCAUGAGUCGCCUAAAUUGGUCAACUAAGGAAAGCCGUAAAAAGCUUAGAUUAGAUUUGAGCCUUCAUUUGAAACCUUGUGUCUUUUGGUUUUAUUAAUAACAUAUUAUUUUGUUUUGUUACUUAUAUUUGUUUAAGCGUGUUUCAGGUUUGUCAUUGUUCGCUGUUUCAGGUGAUGUCUUCUAUACUCUAUCUUUCUACCUUAGGACAUUGAGGACAAUCUCUCGUUUUGGUUGGGGGGGGAGGGUAGUAGUUAAAAAAACAAAAAACCUAACUUACUAACUGUUUUUGCUAUUAUUAAAACCAUUUGACAAAAUUGUUGUUAGGAUGGCAGAGUAUGGAGUCGGUUUUAUUAACUCUUGAGAUGCAUCUUAGUAAGUAUCCUUAUUAGGAUGGCAGAGUAAGGAGGAAAUUUUAUUGACUCUAGAGACGCAUCUUAGUAAGUAUCAUUACCAAGGUCUAUCAUAAUACUUCUUGAAAUAUUCAGGUUUACAAACUCUCACAUUGUUAUCACUUGAUUCUGCUCAUAUACUCAUUUAACAAGUAUUCUUAAACCUUCAUUUUCACACACACACUUUAACAUAUGAUUGUGGGUUGCACAUUGGAUUAUUACAUUAAUUAUGUUCUUUUGUUGAAGGUAACAACUAAGGGAAAUGGAUAGUAUAUAAAUUGCAAGAAAAAAAAAUAAUACAAAAAAAAUUGAUAAUAUUGAUGAUAAUAAAAACGUAGAUAAGUUUGGUUUCGUAGCCUCCUUAACCUAAGCAAUUAAGCCUGAAAGGGUGUUUUAACACCUAAUACCCUAAAGUCAACUGACUUGGGAGCUAUUGGCCCAAAGCUUGUUACAUGGGUUAUGGAGAAAGGCUUAAGGGAAUCAAACAUUUCACUAUCUACGUAUCAGUAUCUGCAACUCGAGUUGCUAAGCUCGUAGGGUUGUCUCAACACCUAAUGCCCUAAGACCAACUGGUCUGGGAGUCAUUAGCCUAAAACUCGUUACAUGGGUUAAAGAUACAUUGUGUUUUAAGUUGUAUGUGUAUUCAAAAAAAAAAAAAAAUAAUAAUAAUAAUAAUAAUCCUAACCCAAGGAAGUUAACCUUAAACAUUCGAACAUAAUAUUGUUUUCUUCCAACAAAAGCCCCAUCGUCUAUGUUUUCAUACAUUGAGCACAUAAAAAGAAGGUUUAUUAAUAUCUUGUUUAAGAAGUAUGAAGCAGAAAUAUAAAUUUAAUGAGAGUUUGUUUAUCUGGAUAGAUUAAUGGAAGUUGAAUGAUGAAUGCCUUGCUUUAUGGAACUUGCAAAUUGUUUUUUCUAUUUUAACGCUUUGAUUAUUAGGGACUAGUAAUAAGCUGGUUGGGGGGUGAUUAAUACUUAAAAGUGCAUGUUUAUUAAGGUUUUAUAUCAUCAUUUUGCACUUGAAGUAUCAAUAACUCCUUAACUAAAGCAUGUUUUAUAAUAACAAGUGUGAUACUAUAAAAUGCCUUAAUAUAUGGUAAAUAUUCAUCUUGAAUGCAGGCUUAUCACAUAAAUCAAAGGAUUGAUUGAUGAAUUCAACUACUGAAAUUUUGAAGAUAAAGAAGGGUGAAGCUUAGAAAAGAGAUGUUGGUGCAGUCCAAACUGGAACACUAUUUGGUAUUUGGGUCAUAUCUUGAGUUCUAGAUGUCCAAAUGAUCUCAAAGUUUUACACAGAUUUGGUGAGAUAUAAGCCUACAACUUUCAUGUGAACAGAAAAAUCUAAGAAGGCCUUUUUCAUGUCCAAAUUAUAGCAACAAUUGGAGAAGUCUGAAUCUAUCUUGCAGCCCAGACACUGUUCAGUGUUCAGCCCAUAUCUUGAGUUCUAAAAGUCCAAAUGACCUCAACUUUUUUUUCCUGGAAAGCUAAGAGAAUUUCCUAGAACUUUGAUGAUUUCAUAUGGUUCCAGUUCUGAUGUUAGAAAUGACAUUUUAUUCAGACAAGAAGAUAAGGAUUUUCACUAAGUCAAGAUGUGGCCACCCACUCAACAAUUGUUCAUCAAAUCAAUAGUUCCAAAUUUUGGUCUAUAAAAGGAGGCAUUUGCCAUGCAUUUAGGCAUCUUGGUUUCCAGAUCAAGAUCAUGCUCUUGCUUUCUCUCUUUGUAUUGCUUAUGUUUUGCUUUCAUUAAUAUCAAGUUUAUGCACUUCAUUUCCUUUCCUUUACUUAGUUAACUUCUUUCUCAUUUAUGUUCUUAUCUUGUUCAUUUAUGUUUCUUUCUUUCAUUAUGUUUACCUAAGUUAAUUAUGUCAAGGUGAAAAGGGUACACUAAUGGUGUAAGAAUAAGUAUAAUAUAAACUUAACAUGGACCUUAAUGUUGGAUACUAACAUGUUUUAUAUUUGUUAUCUUGUUCACUUUUAAUACUUUGCUUGUUAAAUGGUUAAUCUAUAUUUAUGUUGUAUAACACUUGGUACAACAAAUACUUGGCACUUUCAUAGCCCAUACUAUAUGGUAUAAUCGACACCUGAGCUAUGAAAGGAACUUGAUUUGUUGUUAACAUAAGUUAUAAUCAUGAAUGCCUGACAAAAUUUACAAGUAUUAGCAUUAUUCAAAUAAGAUAACUAAUGUAAUCAUGUUAACAAUUUACAAUUCGAUUGGAACCUCCUUUGUGUGUGGUUUCCAGUUGAGUAAUAAAAAGAGUUUAUAUUAUACUUGUUUGAAGUACCAUUAGUGGAUCCUCUAACCUUGACAAUUAUUUUAUGCUUGUUUAAUCCUUACAUCAAUAUCACAUCCCAAAGCUCUCUUUAUCUUAUUAUUAUUGUUAUUGGUGUUGUUGUUGUUGUUGUUAUUGUUGUUCAUAAUUUAUAUAGUUAACCUCCUUGUGGUUUGACCCCGGUCUUGCCGGGUUAUUUAUUACUUCGACACUCUUGCACUUGGGAGAAGACAUCAAUCUUUUGGUCAUGUCAGUGGUGAUGAAACACCGAUCUAACAAUGUUGAAAAUAAUGCAUUAUGAUCAAUAUGCAUGUAUACUUACCUGAGAAAAAUAGGUCCCCAUUUCUUCAUGAUGUCUUUCUUUUCUCAAAAGUUGGAGUGUUAGCAAUGAACUUCGAUGGCUUUUUGGCUCUUGCUUACUCGAGUCAUCUAUUGUGAUCUUGACCUCUAGGAAGGACUUGUGAUCAUCAUACUUCUUUGUCCUCCACCCUUUAUCUCAAAGGUUGCCGAUUUUGCCCAGCAGUUUCUUAGAAAGGGAAUCGUGGAGCCAGCCUUACCAGAUAUAUAUAUUUUUUUUGCUCCCCAACUUGAUCAUGCCCCCAAGUGUUCAAUUCAGGUUUGGGGAUGAGGCUAUGUGAAGGAAGGUUUGACAAGGAGUUUUUUUCAUGCAAAAUUUUUGGAAUUCCAAAGCUAUUCCAGACACAGAAAUCAGUUUGACAUCGAUUCAAAGCAAACUCAUUAUGAAGAAAUUCAAGUGAUUCCUAUAGAGAGGUUAUUCGAAGUGAUGAAAACUUUUUGUUUUGCUUUUGGUGAAAAAUAUGAAGUGACAUUUGGCUGGUCGAAAUGGUUCAAUAUGAGACUUUCAAAGAACCAGUCUUGAAAGCAUUCAUUUUAUUUGCAUGAAUAAUGAUUUGGUUCACAUGAGAAAGCAUUGCCUACUGAUCCAGAUUGCUUGCCUUUGAUCAGAAAGGACUUAAUUAGGCACGUAAUGUAGGCUGGGGCUCUUGGUUAUGAAGAAAAUGAUAUUUGUAGGCUCAAAAGGUGUUUAAGGGAUUUCAAGACUAAGGAUCACCUGUGCUUGUUUCCUGACCUUUUAUCAUUUGAAUGUCUUUCCAAAACUAUCUAUUGUGCCCCCUAGUGUUGGGCUUGGACUUUUUCUCUUUGUUUUUGUUCUCUUCAUUUGGUUUUGAGCAUCAUCGUAUUGGUUUCUUUUUUUUUCUGCUCAAAAUCAUUGGAUCCUUUGGAUUUUUCUUCAUGCCCCCAAGCUUUGUUUGGGCACCUUUGAUGAUUAAGAAUUUUUGUUGAUGCCCCCUAGUGUUGCUCGGGCACUUUCAAUCAUUAAGGUUUUUUUUUUCUAUAUCAUCGCACUUGCCCCCAAUGUGGGGUGUAAUCCUAGCCAAGGUUAUUCAUCUCAAGAAAAGUAUUAGGCUCAAAAGGGGACUGCAAAUGAUAUAUUUUAGCCUCGUGAACGGAUUAUCAAAAAUGGCCUUUCCUCGUCUCAAACUUAUGCACUUAGGAUCGGUAAGCUUUGCUUUCAUGCGAGUAUGCAACGUAAUUUCUCAUUAUUCAUUCAAAUAAAACUCAACUUUUGGAGUCACAUCAUGAUGUGUGUUUGGUUUUUUUUUUUGUGUUUUGUGUUUUUUUUUUGUUUUGUUUUCUAGGUGUAUGGUUACCUUUCUAAGGAAUCACCUGAAUUUCUGGAACUCAUUUGUUUUUUGGACAAACAUCAAUAUGAUUUCUAUUUUUGUACUAAACUUUGAAUUCCUAAAAAUCCUGAUGUGCGAUCAUGCAUAAUUUUGGAUGAAAGGGGAAACAUACCCAAGGAUUCUUGGUGUAAUGGCUUCAUACUUAACAGUUACGCUCAAUAUGUUCUUUUUAUGAAACAACAAAAAAAUGAAGGUAUGUUAUGAAUACAGGAAAACACAUUAUCUUAUUAACAAGAAAGGCUCAUUUGACAGGGAAAGUUUUUUUUUUUUUAUGAAAUUUUGAGCCAAAUUACCAACUAGAACAGGUUGAAACAAAAAUCAAGAAGUUUUCUAGGCAUGAUCAAACUAAGGUUUUUCUUUUUUCAGAACAACAACAGGCUCCAUUCUGUACUGGCGGUGCAAUUCCCUUUUAGUCCGCCUUCCCACAAAAGAUUUUGUAGAAAUACAGGAUUGUGUUGAGGCUCUUGACUACGUUUGCCCUCAAUUUCUUCGAGCUGAGUCGUUGUUAGGUUUUGAACAAAGAUGAUAGGUCGAUUGAAAGGAAACUUUCCUAGAAUUAUGUUUCAGUAUUUGCUCGAGUAAGCUAGAGGCAAGUCAAACUUGUCUUCAGAAACUCCAACUCUUCUUAAAAAGGGACCUUUCAGCGAACACACUCUUCAUCUUUCGUGCUUUUUGCUCAAAGUCGGGUGUUGUAGACUCGUAGGGGACCUACUUUUCAUCCCGGUGCAUGCAUGGCAAAUGAAUGAACAUGUGAUCUAUAUGAUGAACUCGCCCUUCAAGGGGCGACAAUAUGGUCAUAACUCUUGUAUGAUGGAACAAGAAUUGUGAUUUUUGCCCAAACUCUACAAUGAAAAUUUUCGAAGUGACGGCCAAUGUGUCACCCACAAGUCUUGAGUUCAAGAUGCUUCAAGAAGGGUUUGCUCUAAUGCAAAUAACGAUAACACAUACAACCUAAGGACAAGUUCUAUUUAUUAUGUGAACAUGGGUAGGUUUUCUACCUGGUCUCAAGAGGGUCUCAUAUAUGCCCAGUGAUGUUCUUCAUAAAGACAGUAUGGGGGCGUUGCAAGGAAUAGUUAAGGCACGUAUACCCACCAUUACCAAGCAGGCACUCAGAUAUGAGUUGGGUGUUUCACGCAUCUGAACCCCGACCAAUAGUCUUAGGGCAGAUUGCUAGUUCCCCACCUAUCCUAAAAGCUUGUGUGUGCUUUCAAAAUUAAAACAAUGUGAUGCAUGAGACAAUUCUAUAAAAUGCAUGGAAAAAAAAUAUUAACAAAAAGAUAAAAAUGCAAAAACUUAAACACAUCAAAUACACAAAGCUUAGUCCAAUAAUGUCAGAAACAGUACCUUCCCUAGUGGAGUCGCCAUUCUGUCGCACGUCAGAAAAUCUGUGCGGCAUCGGCUUGGCCAUUUUUUCAUUGUGCAUUGUGCAUUGCUUUGCUUUGAUUCGUUGGAGUCGCCACCUAGUAAUUUAUUAAAGACUACUAGGAAACCGAAUGUACUGGUCUUGUCAGAGAUUCGCGGGUAAGGGACUAGUUGUGGUUAGGGAAGGUAUUAGCACCCCUAACGCACCCUACCUGAGGUAAGUUGCUUCGUGGCUUUGACAUGUUAAAGAAGUUUUAAAAUUUUGUUUUUUCAUCGGAUAUUAGAAAUACAACUUACGUAUAAGUUAAUAAUUCUGGACCGUGAGUCAAUCAAAAUAUUAAAUUCUUCUUUAAUCUUUGCAAUUUUAUCAUAAAUAAUAAAAAUAAUAAAAACAUCCAUAAAACAAAUACCAACACACACAUACACUUUCACUAUAUUUAUUUCUGUUCUUUUCUUUUUUUGGUUACAUCCACAUUUACAACAUAUAAAUAAAAAUUAAUACUAAACAAAAACAUUACAUCAACCAAUUUAAAAUUACAAAACAUCCCCUAAAACAUCCUAGGGAUUCUGGAACAAUGCACGGGAAUAGUGGUGCGCGUCUUCCCACGCGCCCCGGCCACUAGCGGCGUGUGGGUUCACGCGCCGCCGCGAACAAGGCCGGAAAACGGGUGGAUCUGGCUCAGCUUCCUUUCCUUUUCCCUUCUCUGCUGGUGGUGACACCCACCGUCACCUGCAAACGAAGAAAAGAACACAGGCAGUCGAUUUUAUAUUUUUUGUUUUUGUUUUGCAGAUCUGCUUCUCUGGUUUGGUUUUUUUUCUGCAGCCAGUGUCUUUUCGUAUCCCCUUGUUCUCCGUUUCAAAUGGCCGGCAGUGUCACCAUAGGGCUUGUCGCACCUCAAAAAAAAUCCCGCGCGGCGUUCGAUGGCGAUUUUUUCGUUUGUUGUUGCUUGAUUUGGUUCUUUGGAGUCGCCACCUAGUAUUUUGGUCACUAGGAACCCUAACUGGUCUUUCAGAGAUUCUAAGGCAAGGGACUGGUUGCGUAAAGGGAAGGUAUUAGCACCCCUAGUACGCCCUACCAAAGGUAAGCUGUUUGGUGUUUGGUUUUCUCUAUAAUUGCUAUGGUGUUGGUGUUUUCUAAUCCCAUCAAUUUUCCCAAGUUUGAUUCAAAUAAAAUUUGUUUAGAUAGAAAUCCAAGGAGAUUUCAUGUGUUUUGAAAGCUCAUUUUUCCCUUAGUAUUUCAAGAGUUUGCAACUCGUAAAUCGCAAGGAGGGACAAAAAAUUUAGAAAUCUAAGGAAAUUCAAAGCGCUUUAAAAGCCUCAUUUUGCCUUAGUAUUUCAUACUUUCACGGCUUGUAAACCGUGGAGUCAAAAAUUUGAAAUUUUGAAAUGUCCUCGAUUAUAAUCAAGGCUUCUUUCAAGGAUGUGUGCGGAUUUAUUACUCCCAAUAAUAUUUUGGAUAUUCGUCCUUUACGGAUUUCUUUAUCCAAACAUUAGCGGUGAAUAAUAGAUGAAUUCCCCCUACCCAAAAUAAGAUUUUUAUAGUUUUUAGAAUACUGGCCAAUACCCUUUGGAGUUUUACAAACAUGUUGUAAAAUCCAGAAAUGCAAGAAAAUAAUUUGUGUUUAAGAAAUCUAUGCGAAAACACAUUUUCAAAACUUCCAAUAUUUUUUUUUAUAUAAAAAGAACAUUCAAAACAUGUUAGAGUAUUGGACGUAUGCAUGAAAACAAAAACAUUUUUUUUAAUAAAUAUUUUUUUGUUGACGAAAACCGGGUAUUUUAAUACCGGAUUUGUAUCUUUGUAGUAUAAAAAUACAAACCGAUAUUAAUCAAAAUACGGUAAUAAAAUUGCAGAAAAAUCACAAAUUCUUUAAAAUAAUUUUUUAAGAAUUUUUAUUUUUUUAAUAAACAAUUUUUAGGUUUGGCCUCGUUUGGCCCAUAUGGCUGGGCUAGACCUAGCAGGCCUAACCGGGUCACUGGCCUGAGCCAGUGUCCUGGGUGGAAGCUCACGUGUGCAUGCUUAGUACCAUAUACAAAUGGUACUGUUUAAGUGAAUUAUAAUUCGCUAUGAACAGUCAAAAUGCAAAAGGAAACCACGCAUAGUAACAUGCAAAAGAAAACCACGCAUAGUAAUAUAUGGUACUGUUCAAGUGAAUUAUAAUUCACUUGAACAGUAACAUUUGCACUUCACUGUUCAACUGAAUUAUAAUUCACUUGCACAGUGAAAAUGCUAAAGGAAAUCACAUGCACAGAGAUGCAAAACGCUUACCUGGACGUGGAACCGAAAGGAACGAAGACGAUGUCGAACACUCACAGUGAUGCUGGUGGCGGUGGAGAGGAAGCCGACGAGGGCUCACGGUGGUGCUGACUGUGGUAGUGGCUGGUUUGGCAGUGGCGUUGCUGUGGCUCCUCUUCCUCUUCCUUACUGUUUUGGCGCUGCUUCUUCUCUUUAUUUCCUUUGCUCCCUCUGUCAACAAGGUUCUUCUCUUUCUUCAACAGCUUCGCGGAGAUGCUGGUGGUGGCAGCCUGGGAAGUGGCCUGGAUGGUGGCCAGCCCUUCUUCCUCUUCUUCUGUGCGUUUUUCUCUUCAGCUCUGUUCUCCUCUGUUUUCGUUUCUUCCUUCCGCUUUUCACAGGGCUGUUGUUGACUGAGAUGGCAAUGGCAGCUGGUGGUUGGCCUUCCUCUUCUCUGCUGCUUCUGCGUUAUUUCUUCUGUUUGUCUAGUCACCUUGCUUCUCUGCUUCUUCUUCCAAGCAGCGGUUCUAAGAGCAAGGUGGGCGGUGGCAGUAUUAUUUCAAAUGGUGGGAAUAGAGAGAAAGAGAGAGGUUAUAGUUCUUCUCUUCCCCUCUGUUUUCCUCCUCUCUUUUGUUCCCGGUGUUCUCCCUCUCUCGUCUCUCGUUCCAAAAAAGCCCCCCCUCCUGUUGCUGGUGUCAAGAGCAGUAUUUAUAGGCUAGAAGGGAGCGGGCUGUUGAUGCGCGUGGGGAGCAGGGGAGCGGCCAGUGUCUUCUGUCGGUGGCCCAACGGCGUGGGGCCUCGGUUGGUUGGUGGGCUAGAGGGACCGGCAAAAAUUAAAAAAAAACUUCUUUUUCCUUCUUCCCCGCUGCAUGUUCGGGGGGAAGAAGAAAGGGGAAUAGUGCCGUUCAAAACGGCAUCGUUCGGCCCUUCUCUCUCUUUGAGUUUUUUUUUAAAUGUAUGAAACGGCGCCGUUUUGGAGAAAACGCGUCGUUUCAUUUAAAUGUGGCACCAGAACGCGCCAAAUUUCAAAUCAGCCCUUAAUCAUCUUUUUUCCUUUCAAUUGCAUCCCUGCCAAUUUCUGUCCCCGUCCCUAUAGUUGGCCACGUUUUCCACCUUGGUCCUUGGCCUCUAAUUUAUGCAAUUUAGCCCUCAAUUGAUCAAAAAACUUCCAAUUUCUUCAAUUAGGCCCCUGGAUCAAUUCAAUACAGCCCCCCUAUUUACGCGCCUUUUCCAAAUUGGUCCCUGGUUUCGGAUUUUCUCAAUUAAGCCCCUAAUUGGCCAUUAAACUUCAAUAUUUAUGCAAUUAAGCCCCUGAUUUGACCCAAUAAAAUCCUAAAAAAUAUAUUUUGGCCCUAGAACUUAAAUUUCUUCUAAUUAAAGCCCAAAUUGACUUAAAAAUCAAUUUUCCUCGAAAUCAAAUCCUCUAUAAAUCCAAUUAAAAAUCCAAUUAAGUCUAUAAACAUCCAAAUUUGGGCUUUUCUCCUCAAAAUUUAAAUUUUCCUUCUAAAUAGGGCCCUCAUCCUUCAAGAAUAUACUGUCAAAAAUCCAAUCUUUGUAUUUUUAUACUCCUUGACCAAUUUUCUGACCAUCUUCUGAGUGCUUCUGCCUUCCGUUAUUUUUCUAACCUCCUUUGGCUAUUUAUUUUAUUUAUUUUUGUGGGGACUCGAAAAUGGGUUACAACAGGGCUGCUGGCCUUUGGGUUUUGUCUGAUCUGCAACUAUCGGUGGCCGGUGAAUCUGUGGACGGUGCUGCUAUGGCUGACAGAAGAAAGCGGACCAAUUUGGGAUCUGUGGGUGCCGCUGUCGGGCUGCUAUCGGGCGGUUGAAGGGGAGAAGGCCGGGUCGGCUGAGAGAGAUACGAACUCAUGGGGGAGAUGGAGGCAGGUUCAGGAGCUGCUAUGGGUGAAGAAGAGUUAGUGUGGGUUUGUGAGGGAGAGGGGGCUGUGAGCCGGGAAGAUUUGGUGCGGUGAGGGGCUGAGAAUUUGUGUAUCUGGUAAGGAGGACCGACUGAGAGGAGAAUGAGGUGACUGGUCUCUGGUAAUUUGUGUUCUUUUUUUGUAUUUUCCUGAUGUUUCAAAAUUGCCUCCAUUUUGUGUGAGUUGAAAACCAGUAUUUAUAGGCAAAAAUAUUGCUAGGUUUUCAAACUUGGUCCCUCAACUUCUUUCUUUUUGUAAAUUUGAUUUUUCUUGUAUUUUUUGAAAACGAGCAAUAUCAACGUCAACUCGAUGAGGAAAAUCAAUGAUUUAAAACAUAACACGUGAAAAGUCGAACGCGUUCGAACGACCCUUAAAAAUUUUAAUUCUUUUUAGACAACGCUAAAAAUGCUAAAAAUGACACAAAUAUAUUAAAAAGGUAUUUUUUUGGAUUUUCGAUGUUUUUCUUUAUUUUUGGAUUUUUCUGAAAAUUUAUCAAAACAUAGGUCAAAAAUUGGGUAGCAACAAGCAUCAUGCAAGUAAUUUCAAUAUUGAUUAAUAAGAAUAUCCUUGUUGAUUUAAAGGACUAUUUUCAUCAUUCAUAUCGAAAAUAAUUAUGUUUUGCACAUAAUAUUUAACAAAAAUGAUUGAAGGAAUGAUAUAUUAUUGAAUAUGAGCAAAUUUAAGGUUACAAUCUAUUAGUAUUCUUACAACGGAAGGAUUACCACUCAAACUUUACAAAGGGACGAACGACAUCCUUUGCGUUAGGAUGCUCCCACUCCACUACUGUCUCCCACAAUUCUUUUGGAUACACUAUGAUUUCUUUAAGAGAAGGGGAAGGAGAUGGCUGGCCAUUUUCAAGCAACGGAAGACAAAUUGGCAUCCUCUUCGGCUUCUAACAACGGAUUACAGUAAUUUCUUUAAGAGAAUUGCAAAUCAGUUUUGCACUGCAAAUGUGUAACAACCCUAAUUUUUUUAUUAGUUUAUUCGUUAAUCUCCCCCCUAUAAAGGGUAGAUGAAGCAAACUUUUUAUUUUUUUUUUACUCGCCGAAAUGUCUAACGAAAUUUCAGAAGGGUCCCCUCUAUACCGGGAGAUCCCAAGUUAUCGACAAUGUACCUGCACACAUUUUGAAUCACAUCACAUCCAUGUUUAGUACAAUCAACUGCAUAACUCAUUCUAGAUUAUGCUCAGGACCAUAUUCGUUCCCAAACUCCAUCUUACAUCACACAUAAGUUAAUAAUUAAAAGAGCCAAUUUCAGCAUGAAAUUUCAUAUAUAUAUAUAUAUAUAUAUAUAUAUAUAUAUAUAUAUAUAUAUAUACACAACACAGUUUAAUAUUCUAACAUAGUCUAGUACAUUCUAAUAUCCCAAGCAUAGGUUGAUACAUUUAAUAUUUCAGAAACAAAAUAUUACGAAUAGAAUAUUCCAUAUAGGUUACAUGUUUACUACAUGACAAAAUUAUACCACAAAUCCCUAAGUUCCUAACUUAUACAAAAAAGGAUCAAAGAACUUUAAAUCUAUUCCUGACGUGAAUGGGAGGGACCUGCAAAAAUAUAAAUUUUUCAUAUAAUUAAAAACAAAUGAUUAAAAUACAAGCAAUUUACAGAAUAAAAUUAAACAGCAUAUAUAUCUACUUAAAUCAUAUGAGAUUCUAAAUACAACCACAAACCUCUUUUAAUGGUUAUAUAAGAAUUCUUUAUUCUUCUUUCUUUCUUUUUUUUCUGUUGACUACUUCUCCCCCCCCCCUCCUCAUCAGAAAGACUAUUGCCGACUCCAAUGACCUCCAUUAGUGUCUUUAGUUGCCCGUCCAGGAACAACUAAUUAGUUUCAUGAAAAUAUGAGAUUCUAAACGUUUGUGUCAUUAACUAUUUUUAAAACUAAAAUAGUUAAUCAUUGUUUCAUAUUACCUUGGGUGAUUCUCAGGUAUGCCGAUGUCAAGAUUCUUGACAUCAUUAGCUUUCACCUCAGAAAGCUAAUCAAGUAUAUAAAUUUUGCCGAUAUCGACGUCACCCGCCGAUAUCAUUAACUAUUCUGAAACCGAAUAGUUAAUCAAGUUUGUAAAUUUUGCCGAUAUCGACAUCACGUGCCGAUAUCAUUAACUAUUCUGAAACUGAAUAGUUAAUCAAGUUUAUAAAUUUUGCCGAUAUCGACGUCACCCACCGAUAUCAUUAACUAUUCUGAAACCGAAUAGUUAAUCAAGUUUAUAUUUCUCCUCUCAUGUACCAGUAAUGCCGAUGUUAUCCAGCUUGGUUAACAUCAUUAGCCUCCCAUAUCAAGGACAAACAAAUCAAAUUCGAGAAACAAUCUUUACCAAAAUUCGUUGUUACGAUCUAUUUCCUCCAAAAGAACCCAUAAAUUAAAUCUAGUCCUCCGUUUCAUUUUAUUUCAUUUUUUUUCCUCGUCAAUAAGCAUCAAAUUUUUAUAGUUCAAAAGUUAGUUAAAAUGAUUAUUAACUAGAGGAGAUAUAGAUACCAAGUACCUACUUGUUGUGGACGCUCGACUUGCGUUCCCUUGUGGUUGAUGUACUCCUCCUGCGGUUCCUCCUGAAACCAAAAACACCCAUCAUUAUUCCAUAUUAGUCCACAUAUCACACGCAAUAGCAACAUUGGAAAUAAUAUUGAUUUCUCUUUUACCAAAUCUUUUCUUUCUCACUUACAUUUCCUCAUUAUUAUCCUUUAACUUUUCAGCUCAUUAGUAGUCCAAGUGGAUAUCAUAAAUUCAAUUUUGAUCACAGUUUAUUCUUUUUGAAGAUCAAGACACACUUUAUGAAGGGCAAGAAAACAAAUUCUACCCUUAAUAUGGCUAAAUUUUGCCAUUUCAUCAACUUGGCCGAAUCUGCCAAUAGGGGUGGCAGCUUGACCUCUCCUCAAUUUUUUAUUUGUAUCUGGAGUUCUAGAACUCCAAAUUAGGCGGGGUCAGAUUCGUUGGAAAGCUAACAUACAACUUCUAUGAGGGGACCCUCCCUGAAUUCUGUAGUUUUCAGGUGCAAAAUCCCCCCAGGAAACAGGGCAACGAACCUGCCCUGUUUUGUUAAUGGAGAAAGUAUCUCCAAUUCAUCUUAAAUCCCUGCUUCCUCAUCAGUCACAGCCAUGCCUUCCUUUUAUUCAUGGCAUUCCCGUCUCAUUUUAUGUCCUCUUAAGGUCACUUGUACCAAAUUAAUUAAUUAAGCACAUCAUAAGUUCUCAUUCCCUCUCUACAGUAUCCAGCAGAGAACGUGGCCAAGGGAACCAAGAGUUCCCUUCCUCUCUUUUAUGCACUCAUUUCUUCUUUUUCUUUAAGGCACUUAGAUUAUUCUAAUCCAUUUAACCUCACUCAUUUCUACAUUUUCCCAAUAUUUUAUGUUAAAGAACCCUAAUUCCCAAUUCAAGAAAGGCAUAAACUUCUAAUCAAAUUGAAGUUGAUUUCAUAGAAAUUGGAAUUGCAACUCCUUACUUGGAUGGAAAUCUAAACUUUACUUCACAAAUUUUAGAAGAAUCUUAGCCUUCUUCUCCUUGUAUGUAGUCAACCACUCUUCCCCCUCUUUUCUUCACCAAUUCUUCACUUUUCUUCUUGUUAAUUCUUCCACCCGAUUGUGUUCCUCCACUUAAUAAUUCCAAGGCUUAUUUGGGUUUACUAAUUUUAGGUGUUUACUCCAAGUUUUGAUGAAAGAAAAAUCUGAAAUUCUCCCCUCCUCCUUAUUCUUAUUAUCAUCCGGCCAUGGAUGAGAGAAGGGAUGGGUAUUUAUAGUCCCAUCUCUUCUUAAUUCCAUUUUGGCCCCAUCUUUCACCCCUUUUUUUAUUUCUUUAUUUUGUAUUUUUUUUUUUUUGCUUUAUUUUAUAUUAUAACAUUUUGAAUUAUUAUAAACCUCUCCCUCUUUAUAUACUUUAUUCUCGGGCUUCAUAAAAUGCUUUUCAAUUCUGGUAAACCAAACUAUUCCAAAGUUCUUAACUUUGGGAGAAUGAAUUCCGUGAUGGAAUUGGAGAUGCUGCUUUCUACAUCUGUGUUCCUAUUAUCUCCUCCAUUUUCUCACAAUCACUAACAAUAAUCACUUCCAGGUUUAUGAAGUUUGGCAGCAACACAAGUGGGAACAACUUCUUCAUACUGUUACAUCCACCACAAUAAAGCUUUUUAAGACCAGAAAACAUACCAUUAUAUGAUGGCAAUGGUGGUGGAGCAGAGCAGAACCAAGAAGAUGAAACCCUGCUCUCCAUGCUAUUGCAAUCCCAAAUGUUGAUUUCCUCCAGUUCAGUUGCAUUCUCUAAUGACAAAACAUCGCAUAAACUUCUUGCAUCGAUGCAUCCACAAACCAGUCCUUGAAUGCCAUUUAAGAACUUGACCUGAAAAUCUCUAUCUUUGUUGAUAAUCAAACUACCCAACCCAACUGUUUUACUUGGAAAAUCAUUAAAGUCUCCCCAAAAAUCUUUAUCCACCAUUCCUACAAAAAAUUUGUAUGCGCUUAAUGAUUGGAUCCCAUCCCGAGAUCUGAGAUACUCCAUGAAGUCAAAGAGACGUUUGAAAUGGCAUUCCAAAGUUUCCAAAUUUCUCAAGGAUCCUACUUCCUUGAGAAAUAGAGUGGAUAGAUUUGGACACAUUGGUGAAUGGCUGGAAGAAAUUUCUACGAUCUCGUUUUGCAUUAGUGAAACUCUCGUCAGAUUCUCAGUCCACUCCUCUGCAUCUGGCAACUUUUUUAAUUGUGCACCAGCUUUAACCAUGCCUGUAGAGUUCUCUAGCAGUAUUUGGAUGACCAUGUCCCUAAUCAAGUCAUGCAUCUUGACACAUCUACUAUCAUCUUCCAUGGAGGUAGCACCUUCCAAUAAGCAGACAUUUUCAAGCCUAUUAAGCAUCGUGUGGCCCUCACCAAAUGUAUCUCCCCUGCUCCUCUUUCCUUUAAUUAUUCCCUCAUCGAUCAAAUAACCUAUCAACUCCUCCCUUUCAAUCAUAUCAUCUUCAAGAAAUAAUGCACAGUACAAGAGACAUUGUUGAAGUGCUAAAUCACCUAACCGAUCAUAACUAAACCUCAAUAACUUGAAUACUUCUGUGUCCCUAAAUUCUAUUUCUUUCAAUUUAUUCAAUGUAUUCCUCCACUGAUGGAGGUCAUCCACUCCCCUCAAGCUUCUUGCCACUGUAAUAAUUCCCAAUAGCAAACCAGCACAUUCCCUAGCAAUAGCUUUAGCAAUUCCUUCCACUUCUGAAACUGUCAUGUCAUGUCCAAGAUUCUCCUUCAACAAAGUCCAAGCUUCUCCCUCAAAAAGUCGCUUCACUUGGAUUUUGUGAUUGCAAGCAAUUCCAUGACAAACUGUUUCUGAUCGAGUUGUCAAAAUCAGCUUGCAUCCUUUCAAUGAGACAGGAAUUCCCACUUCGUGUAGCUCAAAAUUAUUCCACAAAUCAUCUAAAAUGAGAAUCCAUUUUUGUUUCUUCCUUAGUUCUUCUGACAAUUUGGCAGGUCUGAGCUGAACAUCAUCUUCGCUUGAAAGGUCUCGAUGAAGAUGUUUAGCAAUAAGAUUCUGCAAUCUAUUAAUGCUGAAAUCUUGAGACAGAGUCACCCACCAAACAUGAUCACAAAUAUCUGGUCUUUGUAGAAGCUCAUUAUGGAUAUGUUGCAGUAUUGUUGUUUUACAAACUCCCCCCAUCCCAUAAAUGCCAAUGGUUGGGACUUCAUCAUCCAUUAACAAAGAACAUAUCACCUUCUUAUUCUCUUCAAAUGCUUGACCCACAUUUAUAGAGCUAGUAGGUAAUGGAACUCCUCUAGUCUUGUUGUUUUUCAGACUUUCAGAAGAUCUAGUAGGUAAUUGAUCUUCCAUUUCUGCCCUUCCCCUUGCAGUAACUCCUACUAUUGUUGUAAUUCCACAGUCAUUAACAUUGACUGCAGUUGCUGUGAUUUUUUGUCUUUUGUUGCCACCACACAGAGCUAGAAAGGCUGCUUCUUGAACUUCUUUAGCCACCCCACGACAAAUGGCAACACCACGCCUUUCUUCUCCUGCUAAAUGCCAUUUGAUCCUUGAAAUGGAGGUUUUAUUGGCAAAUGUAUGUGGACAAAACUUACACUUCAUGCUACCAUCAGUCGUAUAGUCAAUAUAAUUCCAAAAUGGAUCCUUUGAUCUAACCAUUUCAACCUAUAUAAAAAAAAGGUAGGUCAAAAUAAAGAAUAAAAAUUGAUGCAAGUUACACCAUAUCCAGAUGGAUGAGAAACUACUUCUUCAGUGUUGUUACCCUUAUUUUGCUAUUAAAAUUGAUAGUUAGUUUAUUGCACAAUCAUAGGAGGGAAAUAGACGAGGAUAAUUCAGUUAGACUUCUUACUUGUUGAGUAUUUAAACCCCUAUUUUGACUUUGCAGGGAAGUGCCAAGGCCAGUAUUUGAGGCAUUUGGCCUAGCUGUUUGAUUUUGCAAUCCUCGGACUUGGAGGUUAUCCAUCUGUGACCUAUAUACAAAUGAAGUGAACAUAUUAUAAAACCUUUCCAUAAUUGGUAGUGUCUCUUAAGCAGUAAAAGUUAAUGGUGUUAAAACACAACAGCUAGAAGUUCUCUUGUUGCACAUUGUCUAUAUUAGGAAUUACAGCAGCUUGAUCGACUUGUCCUUGAUUAGAAAAAUAUUGACUCCUGAGUCCAAAAUCAUUUGCAAACAAUAUGUUUAGCUUGUUGGGUUCAUGUUCAAGCUAUGAUGUUUCUUUCCUGAUUGAAAAACUAAUUUUUUUUUUUUAUAUAUAGAAAAUACUAAACAUGAAAAAUUGGAUACCGGGGAGCAGUAAAAGGAGGUCCAGGUUGAAUGAAGCCACCAUGUUCUGAAGUGGUUGCGUUCGGUGUCAUAUAGCCAUGUCCCGGCUGUGGUUGAUGAGUAUUGGAGUACUGAUGCCUGAAUAAUAUUCAAAUAGUUAAACUUAGUCCAGUUAGUAUCGCAGGCACUUGAUUGCUCAUAAUUGGUAACUGAUAAUUAGUCCCUUGUUGGUCCCUAAAUUAGCAACAUUUGUUAGUAAUUUCUUUAUACAUAUACGCAUAAUUCUUUGCUAUUAAUCCACUAAGCAUUUGAUAUCAUUUUAGCUUACCUCAAAGGCAUUGAUGGUCCAGGUAGCAUGGGAUUGGCACAUCGAGGAUCAGAUAAAUUAGGAUGAGGCAGAUACCUAUAUUCAAAUAUAAUGAAUUCAUUUAGUGUAAUAAAUUGGCAUCACUGAUAAGAAUAUUAGGCAGAUAAGUAGAACAACAAGAAGAAGAAGUUAAAUAAUGAUGAAUAUUAUGUACAGGAAGAAUUUAAAUAAUGAUUAUUCUCAAUUAGUUGAUUUUCUAGUUUCAUUAUGUGAUGCAAAUCACGAGACAGGGGAAACAUGGGGAAGGCAAGGACUCUUGAAAGCUGAUUAAAGCUUAUUAGCUGUAGUUAUUAUUUCCUAUUUAGCUGAUAGUUUCCUAGUCAGAUUAGUAUUAGAUUUCAAUUACAUAUUAGAUCGUAACUCCUUAGCUGUAGGGUAUUUAAGAGGAGAACAGAACAAAAUAUGGGACAUUAUUUGUAUUCUUGGCAAUUGCUUUCUUUAAAUACAAAUUGAAGUGAUUCCUCUACAUAGAGAUCAUGUAUUAAAUUAUUUAUUGUUCUUACUGGGAGCAACGAGAGGUUGUACCGGAGGGCAUUUACAUUAAUAUGUGCACAAAAAAAAAGAGAGAUAGGGAGAUAGAGAGAUAGAGAAAGAGAGAUAGAGAGCUCAAAAGAAGUUAAAUAAUGAUGAAUACCUUGAUGGAGGUUGAGGCCAAUUUGGUUCAUUUUGGUUGAUCCGUGAUGAUAAGGAGCUUUGGUUGUCUGGAACCUCCGGUGGCAGCCUGCUUCCAUGGACAGUGACAUUAUUAGGAUAAACGGAAGAAUAACUAAAUUGCAAGCAAUCAUCUUCUGAUAAAAUAUGCUUAAGAAUGACGUACGAGAGAAGCUCAAGGUCGGGAAAUAGUGAUCCUCGUCAAUUUUGGUCAAGUUUAUUGUUUUCAUGAUUAAAAAAGUGUAUAUGUAUUCGAGAUUAAUACCAUUGAUUCAUUGGAGGUUGAGGUCCAGGCACUUGAUUGCUCAUUGGUAACUGAUAAUUAGUCAAUUGUUGGUCCCUAAAUUAGCAACACUUGUUAGUAAUUUCUUUAUACAUAUGCAUAAUUAUUUGCUAUUAAUCCACUAAGUAUUUGAUAUCAUUUUAGCUUACCUCACAGGAUUGGCACAUUGAGGAUCAAAUAAAUUAGGAUUAGGCUGAUACCUAUAUUCAAACAUAAUGAAUUCACUGAUAAGUACAACAACAAGAGGAAGAAGAACAAGAAGUUAAAUAAUGAUUGAAAAACUUUUUUUUUUUCAGAAAAUACUAAACAUGAAAAAUUGGAUACCAGGGAGAAGGAGAAGAAGGUCCAGAUUGAUUGAAUUCACCAUGUUGUGAUGUGGUUGCGUUCGGUGUCAUAUAACCAUGUCCCGUCUGAGGCUGAUGAAUAAUGGAAUAAUGAUGCCUAAUUCAAUGGACAUUCAGGAAAUGAAGUUGGAAAUUGGAGUAAGCAUGAGUACUCACCAUGGUUUCAGGAAAUGAAGUUGGAAACUGAGUUGUUUGUUGAAUACUAUCGUUGAUCACAUUGUUAUGCCCACCUUGAUCAUUGCAUAAUAUGGAGCCUUGGUUGACUGGAACCUCCGAUGCCGGCCUGCUUCCAUGGAAUAAUACAUAGGAUAAACUGAAGAAUAACUAAAUUGCAAGCAAUCAUCUACUGAUAAAAUAUGCUUAAGAAUGACGUACGAGAGAAGUAGUGAUUCAGGAUCGAACUCUGUCAAGUCAUCCAUAGAAGAUGGGAGGAACCUUUCCAUCUGACCACAAGUAAAAGAUGAUUAGUACAUACUGAGGUGAAAAAAGAACAGAAAGCACAUAGCAAAUUAUAUAUAUAUAUAUGAGUGGAUUACUGGAUACACACGUUACGUAAGUCAGAAUAAAAGAAAAACAAAUAAAUGGUGAAAAGCAUAUUUUAAUGGCAGUCCCAUUAAUUGGAAAAGAAAAGAGUGAAUCUAAGAAAAGAACAUAUAUUUUUUUUAAUAUUAAUAUAUCAAAAUAUAUUAAUUUAAUUAUUUUUUUUCAAAAUAAACAGACUUUCAAAUGCCCUCAAACAUAAUUCUGAGUACGAAAACAAAUUAUGUUUUCAUUGCGGGCAUAAGAAUCUUGACAGUACUGUUGCCGUUUUUUAGUUUAAAUUGGUGUUUUAGUGUUUUUUUUAUUGUUUUGAUGUGUUGAUGUCAAAAAUAAAAAAUAAAUUUUAAAAAAUAUCAGUCUCAAGUCAAUGGUUUUAAAACUAUGAUAAUAAUUAUUUUUAUUUUUAAGUUGACUCGGUCAAUGAUCGACCUGACCUGUGACCUAGGUCUUCCCCGUAUCAACCUCGAGUCAGAUUUUAAAACUAUGAUAAUAAUUAUUUUUAUCUUUGCAUUGACUCAAGUCAAUGGUCAACCCGAUCCAUAGCCCGGGCUUUACUCCAAAUCAAUCCCUUAAUCGGGUUUUAAAAUUAUAAUAAUAUUCAUUUUUAGUUUUGUAUUGACUCGAGUCAAUGGUCAACUUGAUCCAUGACCCAGGCUUUACUCCAAAUCAAUCCCUUAAUCGGGUUUAAAAAUUAUAAUAAUAUUUAUUUUUAUCAUUAUGCUAACCUGAAUCAACUCAGAUUAACUUUUGUGCAAAGAAUUAAAUGAGCUUAUCCUACCUCUUUUAAUGGGACAGAGAAUUCUUAACUAGAAUAGCAUCAGAUAGGACAUAAAUUAAUUUUUGUAUUGUCUAAAGAUACAUCAAACAAUUCAUAAAAAAAUUAUCAUGUAUAUAUACAGAAUCCAUCAUUGUACUAUAUAUCAAAUACUACCUAAAUAUUGUUGUUAAUGAUUUAGCCAUUUUAUCCUUCCAGAAUUAGAACAACAUUAUUUUAAAACAUUGAACAAUUGAGGAAGUCCUACAAACAGUUUAAAAAUCAAACUCAAAUUCUUUUAAUGAGACAAGAUCCUAAAACUCUAGAAUUGAAAAAAGGAGAAUGAAUUGAGGAAGUCCUACAAACAGUUUAAAAAUCAAACUCAAAUUCUUUUAAUGAGACAAGAUCCUAAAACUCUAGAAUUGAAAAAAGGAGAAUGAAUUGAGGAAGUCCUACAAACAGUUUAAAAAUCAAACUCAAAUUCUUUUAAUGAGACAAGAUCCUAAAACUCUAGAAUUGAAAAAAGGAGAAUGAAUUGAGGAAGUCCUACAAACAGUUUAAAAAUCAAACUCAAAUUCUUUUAAUGAGACAAGAUCCUAAAACUCUAGAAUUGAAAAAAGGAGAAUGAAUUGAGGAAGUCCUACAAACAGUUUAAAAAUCAAACUCAAAUUCUUUUAAUGAGACAAGAUCCUUAAACUCUAGAAUUGAAAAAAGGAGAAUGAAUGUAGAAGAGUUGAUAGGGUGAACAACCCUUUUUCAACUCCUAACUAUACAUAAUUUGGGGGAUCAAAACGAAUGAAAAAUUAAUUCCCUUGAUUUUAACCCUUAGUUACUUAUCAUAAAACAUAAACAAAAAAUUUGAUAUUUUGCCUUUGGCCCUAGUUUCAAAACAAGAGUUUCCCUAGUGCUAUAAAAUUCUUUGGCUAUGCAAUUGAUCUCGAACUAGGUGUGCAGCGAGUGCAGCCUAGUGCACACUCUUUCCUCCUUAAUAUUGAGAUAAGACUUGUCAUUCACUCUCAGCGCUACUAAUCAAGGUGUAACAUUGCCUAAACACCUUGAGUGUAGGUUAUUCCUCCAGCAUUCUGAAGAAUUUAUCGAAUGCUGAUUGAAUAGUCCAUCCAUUGGAGUGAAGCUGAGCCAGACUCUGAUUGUAAUAUCUAAGCAUGUCCUUCACAAAACGUUGUAUAAUAAACGAGUAUUCAAACUCAUUCAUGCAUAUGGAGAUGUAAUUAAAAACUUACCCCCAUUGCAUUUAUUGGUGACCCUUGAGCCACGGACACCAAGUUCUUGCAACACAACCAGGUAAUCUUCUAGUUAUUAGAGAUUGGUCUCAUUUACUUUGCCAAGAGUAAUUGUGCUCAUGACAUUUGUAGAGGUCUAGGCACUCUUUCUUUCCCUUUGGGAUUUGAAACCUCUUAGGGACUCCUAUCUUCCCUGAUGGGGUCACCGAAUCGGAAAUAUUAUUUACGCAUACGAAUGAUCAUAGACGAUGGAGGAUAGCCCAGACAAUUGAGAGAUCGGGCUUUAACUUAUAUUUUGGGUUUAAUUUAUAUGAACUUUUAGAUGAGUUAUAUUAAUUUGUCUUUAUUUGUUGGGCUUGAUUUAAUUAUUGUUAAGUAUUUUAUUUAGUGGGCUAUAAGCCCAAUUGCUUAUUGUAGUUAGGGUUUUAGUAUAAAUACCCUACUUUUCUAAAUGUUAAGGGACUUUUGAUGAUUAAUGAAAAUUUACAAGUUUUGCAUAUUUCCAAUCCCCUCUCUUCCUCUUCUUUAGCUUCUUUCUUUCUCCAAAGCUUCUUUCUUUUCUUGCUUUAAUUCUUUUUAUUUGUUGUCCUGUGUCAAAUUUAGUAUCAGAGCACGACUUUUAAUUCUUCUUCUUCUUCUUUUCCAUAUGUAAAAAACAUCAAUAUCCAUUUCUUUCUCUUCUCUUCUCUCCUCAAUUCCUUCUUUUCUCCUCCAUGCUCAUGUAUGUAUUCUUCUCCUUUCUUCUUUUUUCUUCUCAUCUUUUUUAAUUAAUAUACUUAAUGAAAUUUUUUCUCUCUUCUUAGCUUCACUUGCAACCACAUUAAGGUAAGCUUCUAUUUUUUUUUUCAUGUUUUGUUUCACUAUAUUUGUUUUUUUAUUUUAUUUUUAAUUGUUUUUGUUCUUAAUAAUUGUAUGGAUAUUGUUGUGGGAUGUUUUUUUUCAUAUGAUUUUCUUCUUAUUUUUUCCAAGCGUUUUGAAUAUUAUAGAGUGUUGAUUUAUAUUAAUUUAAUUAUUUUAUAGUUUUGUAAAAUGGUUUUUUUUAUAAAAAAAAUUUAAAUAAUUACCGACGGAAUUGCAUAGGUAUGUUCUAAGGGAAAUAUUGACGGAAUGAAGCGGAUAAUUUUUUUUUUGCAUACCUUUUCCGUUAGUAAAUCCAUCGACAAUAAUAUUUUUUAUUAUCAACGGACUUACUGAUGGACAAAAAAGUAUCGACAAAAGAUUCACCGACGGAGCAUUUUCAUCGGUGAUUUUGUUGGUAAAUUAAUUACCAAAGGAAUGAUAGUAUAAAUACCAACAGAAAAUUCCAUCGGUAAAUCUAAAGAUAGUGUGGAUUUGUGCAAAUUUCAUGUCUAAAGAGCUUUAACUUGAUGAGGUGUAGAAGACAUACUUUUCCUAUUAAAUAUUCUAACAUGAAUUUCACUUCAUCGUGCAACAAUGACCGUUCUCAGUUAGAUUGUCAUCGAAGAUGACACUUCAUAAAAACCUAAAAUUAAAAGUGAUUUCUCAAAUAAUUCCUUACAGCCAUGAAAUAUUCAUACAUUCUCAUAGCAUUUCAAGUUCCCAUUCCAAAGGACCAUUAGCAUUUAUACUUUCUCAACAAACCUUCCAUUCAACAGAAAACAAAUACUUAAAAACUAAAUCAAAAUCGAAUUGUCAUGGCGCCAUCUUCAUUAAUUUGAAAUUACCUCAAAAUAUAUAUAUAAAAAAAAUUAAUUAAAUUUAGUACCUGUGUUUGCUUGAUCUUAAUGAGAAGUUCCUUUUGCAUGUUAAGAGCUUGUUCUAGAAUCUUCGUGACUUCUAAAGCUUGUUCUAGAAUCUUCGUGACUUCUAAAACUUGUCCUCCAAUCUUCUCUCCAGCGCUCGAAACCCUACCGAAGUAUGCCCCCAUGAAAUCUUCGAACGCUACAAUCGACGGAUCCGUCGCUGAAGCAUCAUCCCCGCCACUCCCCGCCACACUUCCCCCUCUCAACGAACGUGCUUCUAAUCGCGCCGCCGCCGAUUCUAGCCUAGCCAUUAGCCUCUCCUCCAUUAGCCUAAAGAUUCAAACAAUAGUUAAAUAUAAAAAACAAAAAUUAACACCAACAAGAUGAAGUACAAAUAAUUUACCUGGAUUCAAGAUGUUCUUCAAGUGCUGGUUUGCUUAAGCAGUAAUCAGAGAAAAAAAAAAGAGAGAGAAAUCACAGAUCAGAGAAGAAUAUAUGGUUUAGAAAAAUAAUAAAUUUGCAGUAUACAUAAAUCUAGUUCGUAUUGAUCAUGGGAUGUGGAAAGGAAAAUAGGGAAUUCUAUUGUGAGAUGAGAUGUGAUGUGGAAGAGAAUAACGUAUUGUUUGACAGGAAGCAACCCACCGCUUCCCUACCAAACAUUAUAUUAUAAGAUAUAGAAAGUUAAGUGUGGACCCACCCCAAUGUUUUGUUUUUUUUAUUAACAUGUAUGUCCGGGUUAGCUUGCACGUACCUCGACUAACUCCACGAGCCCUGAAGUUAACGAUCAUUUAAGCUUCCAGUAACUAUCAUAUUAGCCGUAAUGCUCGAACCUGAGACUAUAAAAAAAGUAAAUUUUUUAAUCUGAGGCUAUUAUCAUUAGAUCACAUACUAGAUAAUUAACCCACCCAAUGUUCAAACUUUGAAGGAACUGCCAUGAAAAUGUAAACAGAUGAAUAUGAGAAAGAACAACAUAGCAUACUCCUGCAUGUGUGAAGUUGUUUAUGAUAUUAUUUUUUAUUUAAAAAUAUAUUAAAAUAUUAUUUUAAUUUUUUUUAAUAUCAACAUAUUCAAAUAAUUAAAAAAAAUUAAAAAAAAUUAAAAAAUUAAAAAAAAAAUUACUGCGACUGUAAAGACAAACCAGCUGUGACAAUGCUAAUAAGUGUGAGAUUGAUAGCAAAGACGAAAGCAUACCAAUGCAACAACCACAUUCUCAAAUAUUCAGAUUUUAAAAACCACAUCGAAAUAUAGUUUUAAAGUUGUGUCAAAUGCAGAAUGCUUUAAUUAAUACGAGGAAACUCUUGUUAAUAAUAUAGUUAUAUACAGGCACCGCUAUAAAUAAUUUGGUAUUACAGUAAUAAUUAUUUUUUAAAGUAUUUUUUAUUUAAAAAUAUAUUAAAAUAAUAUUUUUUUUAUAUUUUAAAAUUUAUUUUUGAUAUUAACAUAUUAAAACAAUAUAAAAAUAUCUAAAAAAUUAACUGGUUCAAAGUGAAAUUACCCGACUGCUGUGCCUUGACUUGUCUGUUUAAUUUCUAUUAUUGUUUUUCACAUUUUAGCAUUUUAUUCCAAUGAUAGAAUGCACUUUCAUAGACUCAUCAAAACCACAGGAACGCAAUCAAGCUUUAGCUUCAAACAACCAGAGGGAGAUUCAGUGCAGUGGAAAACUUCAACAUCUACUAUGAAGCUUGAUUUGCUAUCCAAUCUUCACAUCAGUUUUCCAUUGAUACAAAGAUACUGUAUGUGUUUUUGUUGCCAGAAAGUUGUUCGAUCAAUAACUUUUUAUCUUUUUCCAAGUUUUUGUUGUGUGAUUUGUUUUUCCUUUCAUCUCAAACUCAUGAACUAAAAGUUAAACAAAAUAAAAAUUAAAAAAUAUAAGAUGCAAAAAAUUAUAAGGUAAACAAUAAACUAAAUUUUAGAAUAUGUCUCUUAGCUAUUCGUAAGCUUCCUAUUCCUUUUUAGUUUUUCUUGAAGUUAUUCUAUUUGAUGUCAUGAGUGUUCCAUUGAGAAAUAAAAAAGAAGACAAAUUGCCAUCCUCUUCACCUUCUUACAAUGCAUUACAGUAAUAUCUCUAAGAGAAUUGUAAAUCAAUUUUUCCACUGCAAAUACUUUUCAGUUCCGGUAAAUCAAACAAUUUCAGAAUUUUCCAAGAUAAACAGAUUUUUAAAUACACUCAAACAUAAUUUUAAAUAUAAAAACAAAUUAUGUUGUUUUGAUUGCGGCAUAACAGUGUUGGCAGUACCGUUGUUGUUUGGACUUUGAGCAGCAGUAGAUAUCUCCAGCGUACUGUUACCUGCCGGCUAGUGGAACCACUGCUGGGUUAGAAAAGGUAUGUUGCCGUUCUUAAGUUUACUAGAGAGAGGGCAGAAAGCCUUAAGAAAAUAAUUUCACAUUCUGUGUGGUAGAAACCUGAUUCCACCCAAAAAAAAAAAAAUUAACACGGUAAUUGAAGCAAAUUAAAAGAAUAAAAGAAAAUAUAAAAUGAUUUAAUAGAGAACAAAAAUUAAUUUUCAAUGCAGAUUAAAAUAGAGCAAAGUGACUAAUGAAAAAGGUACUUAAAUCCUACAAGCAGCAGAUAGAUAGUCGGAAUCCCUUGCGCACACAUUUGAUAUAUAGAUAAUUAAAUCAACAUUAAACCAAAUUAAUAAAACCCUUUUGAAAAAUCAUUCACUACUUUAAAAUAAUUAACCCUAUUAAGAAAAUCCAAUGACGACAAUGUGUUUAAGGAGCAAUAUUAAAGCAAAGAAAUUAAAUCAAUACAGGUAAAUAAAUGAUCCAAAGAUUAAUCCAUUCAAUAGAAAAAAACAUGACUGAAUCCAUAAACUGCAUAAAUUCGGAGAAGAAUACUUCUCAACAACAAAUUGAGAAUGAUAAAACAAAAGAGUUAGAAUAAUUAGAAAUCUGAACAAUUUAGUUACCCAUCACUGUAUUAGUCAUUCCUUUCCUCAUCUGUGCUCUUUUUUUUCCCCUCUCUCUAGUGCAAUUCCCUCACGUCUUCUUUAUGCCAAAUAGCCCUCUUUACAGAGGAGGCAACCCCCUUUCUCAAAAGCAGGCAGCCCUCCUUUUUCAUCAGAGACUAACUUGUAGCCCUUUACAAUACCUUUCCAACGCAUCAAGAAUCACAGCAAUCCAAUAUGUGAGUGAAAAGUUAUGAUUAAAAUACUUUAAGUGUAUCUAGGCUGUUUCUAAGAAAAAGAACAGUACUUUAAGUUUAUCCAGGCUGCUGUUUAAAAAGUCAAGAAAAUAAAGUUUUAGAUUAAAAUAAAAUAAAAUAAAAACUUUAAGGAAAAAAAAAAAGCACGCCUAUGAAGCUUGAUAGUAUAUCAAAUUAAAUAGAAGCUCGAUUAAAAAAUGCCCUUUAAUUUCUAUUAUUUCUAUUCACAUUUUAGCAUUUUAUUCCAAUGACAGAGCAUUUGGAAUGCACUUUCAUAGACUCAUCAAAACCCCAGGAACGCCAGAUCGGGAGCUUCAGUGCAGUAGAAAACUUUAACAUCUACUAUGAAGCUUGAUUUGCUAUCCAAUCCACACAUCAGUUUUCCAUUGAUACAAAGAUACUGUAUUUUUAACCAUCUAAUAAUAAGAGUUUGUGAUCAAGGGGUUUGCUCCCCAUAUGGUUUUAGGUUCGAGCCCUAUGGUUGUCAAUAUUGAUGGUCAUUAACUUUAAGAUCUGUGAGAACUGAAGGCUUACUUGAUUAUUAACUUCAAAAUCCGUGAGAAUUAGUUAAGGUGCGUUCAAGUUGGUCCGGAUACCCCCAAUUAAUAAAAAAAAAAAUGCUGUGUUUUUGUUGCCGGAAAAUUAUCCACCAAUAACUUUUUAUCUUUUUCCAAGUUUUCUAGGUGACUUUUUUCUUUCAUCUCAAAAUCAUGGAUUAAAAGUGAAUAAAAUAAAAAUUUGAAUCAAAACUAAAUAUAAAAAAAUAAAACAUGCAAAAAAUAUAGGGAGAUUUUAAAAAUCACGCCUAUUCUACUUUCUAGUUUAAAAUAUUCAAAACAAGGCUCCAUUAUCAUAUAUUCAUAGAGACAUACCAAUGUAGCUUUUGAUGUUAACCGGUUUGGGUAUGUCCAUAUGCUUUUAAAUAUUUUUUAAAAUUUAUAUUUGUUUUAAAAAAAUAUUAAAUUAAUAAUUUUUUAGUUAUUUUUAAUGAUUUUGAUGUAUUGAUAUUAAAAAAAAUCUAAAAAUAUAUUUUUAAAAAAUACUUUAUAUAACAGUAUCAAACACAUGAUAACCUUGUCCAAAAGCUUUCCUCAUUAUAAAUAUAAAAUAAAGUUCAAGUGAUGUAGGGUCCAAUCUUAAAUGGUUCAAACAUUAUUGUUAGAACGUGAGAGUGUCCCAGCAUUAGUAGUGUAGCACGUGCCAUGUCUUAAGCUUAUGUGAUCCAAAAACAAGGCAAUUGGUGUUUGAUGAAAUUAGCUGUCACUAAAAUAAAAUAAAAUAAAAUCCUCUGUGAACUAAUUAAUUACUCAAUUAAUUCCUAAAUUAGUUUUUUUAUUGUUUUUCACAAAAUUUAUAAAAAUAAAAAUAUUUUAUUAGAUAUUUUAGAUACUCCACUAUUAUAAUAUUUUAUUUAAAUUUAGAUUUUUAUUUCAAAAUUGAAUUUUGUUUAAUAUAACAAAUAUUACGAUGUUUUAUUUUAUCUGAUAAAUUUUGAAGUAUUAUUUGAUUUUAUUAAUUUAAAAAAAUAAUAUUUUAAAAGAGUACGAAAUGUUGUAUAAAAAUUUUAUGUAUUUAUUUUCUGAUAAACGUGUUCCAAGAAUUAGCAGGGAUACGAUGUUUUUACAAUAACGCAAAACACAACAAACAUUGAUGCGAUGCUGAAUCCUUGAAGUGCGUCUAACAAAAUCUCAAUAUCCGGAAUGCCUCUUCUUCCAUGGCAUCUUGCCUAACUCUUGAUUGUCUCAGGUCCUCCAAGGCAUUCCUCCACUCCUUGGUUAACUAUCUCAUGGAGGUUAACAAACAGAGGAUCUGUAAGUUUCAGAGAACGACAUCAAUUUAAUUACGCGAAGUUCAAUCUUUUUUCCUCUACAAAUUAAAUCAUGUACGUAAACCUGUUACCUACAUUUUGUAAUAUUUCUGGAUCUGCUCUUUGAUUCAUCAAGGACAGAGUUUUUUAACAUCCAAGCUCUUGUAAUCUCACAAACGCUUGAGACCCAAACCUUUAUUUGUCAAGGCUCCAUACACUUUCUCGACAAGAACCGGAGGAGGAGGCUGUGGGGUAUUCGAUGGUUGAAAAUGGAACGUGAAUUAUGCUGGAGAGCAUGCAGGUGGCGAUGUGUUUGGAGCUUAGCCUGUGUUCUCCAAAUCCUUACUAAAUUAUUAGAAAGUAACAUUAUAACAUUUUUAAAUCUGUUUAAAUUUUUUGGUUUAAGAUAAUUUUUUAAUAUUAUAAGUCAUUUAUUAUGUUUAUUCAAAUUAAUUAUUUUUAUUAAAAUAAUAUCAUUUCAUUAUUUUAAUUAAUCUGGUUAGAUAUAAACUAGGUUUGAUUGAAUCGAUCAAAUUUUACUAAAUCAAUAUCUUAUAUGGUUUAAUUAUAAACUCAAUCCAAGUUAAAUUUUAGAUUUUGUGUUUUUUAAAACAAAUCGUACGGGGUUUAACAAUUAUAUAUGCUCUUAUCUUUAACUUUACUUUGAAGUGUAUAAACUUUCACACUCGUGUGUGUGUGUGUGUGAAGCUUUGUGGUGGCUAAAGAAUACAUUUUGGAAAGUUGAAUCAAUAAUAUUGCCUGUGCUUGUCAAGGAAUUUAACAUCCCAAAUUUAAUGAACGAAUAUAACAUCCCAAAUUUUACCACUAAUAUUGCCUGUGCUUGUCAAGGAAAAAGAUUGACUGUAGAGAAAAAUUUAAUGAACGUCAUCCUCGUGGAUGCUAUAAUCUGUAAUUAGUGGCAAGGCUUUAAUAAUCACAGCAGCAGAAGAUGAUAUAUUGUACAAAUAGAUUGAAGAAACAGGAGGCCUACGCAUUUAAUUUGGGUGGAGAUUCAGUAAUCAAAAUAUCUUUUUAUUUUUAAUAUUAAUAUAUAAGAAAAUAUUAAUUUAAUAUUUUUUUUCAAAAUAAACAGAUUUUCAAAUGCAAUCAAACAUAAUUCUGAGUACAAAAACAAAUUACGUUUUGAUUGCGAGCAUAACAAUCUUGGCAGUAAGUACCAUGAUCCUUUCCAAUUGAGUUAAUUUUAGGAUUGUUUUUGGCAGCCACGUACAUGCUUUAGAGUUCUUUUUAUUAAAUCAAUAUUAAAGUAAAAAAAUUAAAUCAAUACAGAUAAAUAAAUGAACUAAAUAUAAUCAAACAAUUAAUCCAUUUAACAGAAAAAACAUUCAUGAAUCCAUAAAACUACAUUAAUCCCUUUUCUUUUCUUGUUUUUUUUUUCUCUGGUGGAAUUCCCACACGUCUUCUUUAUAGGCAGCCCCACUUUUAAACCCUCUUUUUCAUCACGUCCCCAUGGUCCCCGUGUCCCACACGUUUUCAUCAAAAACCUAAAUUUUAGGACUUCUUUGGCAGCCAUCUAAAAAUAUAUAAAAAUAAUAUUUUUAUUUUUAAAAAAUUAUUUUUAACAUUAAUAUAUUAAAAUAAUCUAAAAAUAUAAAAAAAUAUUUAAAAAAAAUCAAAAAUUUUAAAAACACAAGCAUUCCCAAACAAUGUAACGCGUCAAGAAUCACAACAAUCUGACAUGUGAGUGGAAAGUUGUGAUUAAAAAACAUUACUACUUUUUCGUUUGUUUGCUGGAAAGUAGAUUUCUUUUGGAAAGUGAAUUCCGGGGAAAGUGAAUUCCGGGGAACUAUUUUUCGAUGUUUGGUAGUGUAAUGGAAAAUGAGUUGGAAAACAUUUUCCAGUGUUUGGUUAUGUCAUGGAAUAUGAGCUGGAAAAUAACUUAUUAAUAUUUUAUUUUUUUCAAGUUUAUUAAAAUAAUAAGGAACAAAUCUUACAAAUUAAAACGUUGAAUGAAAAUGAAAUUGAAAAAAAAUAUAAUUUCAUAAAUUAUCUCAAAUAAAAUAAAAAAUAAUCAAAAUAAUAGAGAUCAAAUCUAAAAAAAAAAAAGAUGAAGAAAUUAAAAUAAUAAUAAUUAACAUUUCAUAAAUUAUUUCAAAUAAAAUAAGUAACAAUAAAAAAAUUGAAGACCAAAUUUGAUAGAUACAAAAUUUCAAUAAAAAAAUGAUAAGGAAAAAGCAAAUAGCAAUUAUAAAAAUAAGGACCAAAGUUAAUAUAAAAAUAAAAUUUUAAGAGAUGAAAUUAAAAAAUAAAUAUUCAAAACAAAAAAUAUAUAUAUAGCAAUCAAAAGUUUGAGGAUCAAAUUUGAUAUAAUCAGCAAAUAAUUAUAUUUUUAAAUUUUUUACAACUUCCGGAAAGUAUUUUCCCCUCAAAUUUUUCAAGAAAACACUUUCCUGAAAACCAAGGCAAACUUUUCUUUUACUGGAAAGUGUUUUCCAUUGACCAACUUUCCUACUGGCAAACAAACACAAGAAAGUUUGGAAAGUGAUUUCCCGGAAACCACUUUCCGGAAAACAAACACAACUAAAGGGAAAACACUUUCCUGAAAACCAAGUCAAAUUUUUCUUUGACUGAAAUUGACUGGAAAGUGUUUUCCGUUGACCGGAAUGUAUUUUCCGUUGACUAGAAAGUGUUUUCCGUUGACUAGAAAGUGGUUUCCGUUGACCAACUUUCCUAAUGACAAACAAACACAGGAAAGUUUGGAAAAUAGUUUCCCAUAAACUGCUUUCCGGGAAACAAACAUAGCCUUAGAGUGAUUUUGACAGCAUAGAGGAAAUGUCAUUAUUGUUAUUUUUAAAAUAUUUUUUUUAUUUAUAAAUAUAUUAAAAUGAAAGUUGUUAAUUUCGUUUCGUUUUAUUUGUAAUGAUUUCAUACCAUUUCAAAAAAUGAAAUAAAACAAAAUAAUUUUCAUCUCAUUUCAAAUCUCGGUCCCUUCCAAAUUUUUUGGCUAAAUUCCGUUCAGAAUGUUCCGGUUUCAUUAAACAUGUUCUGUUCCGGUCUUAAAAAGUCAUUGAAUCAAUUAAUUAAUUAAAUCAUCAAAGUAUAAAAAGCUAUUUUUCAUUGCUAUUUUCAUUAACUAUGAUAUUAAUUUUUUAAAAUUUAAUUUAUCACUAAUAUAUAUGGUUUAUAUUCAUGUUUUUUUUUUUCAAGUUUAUACUUUGUAGGAAUUUAAGCAAAAAAAUAGAUGUUUUAGAUCUCAUUAGCCUUGAUAACAUUGACCUAGCUUUAUAUUUAAAAUAUUAGUGUUAAAUUAUUUUAAUUUAAUAAUAUUUUGAUGUUUUAUUGAAGUUGAAUUGUUUUAAGUUAAAAAAUUAUUUAAUCUUAACUAUUUAAAAAUAUUUUAAAUUUUAAAAUUAUAUUUCAUCACGUCUCCAUGAUCCCCGUUGUGUCAAAAACAAAUUGCCUAAAUUUUAGGCUUUAGCAGUUCCUUUUUUUGAAAUCCUCAUUAGUGAAAUUUUAGACUUGUCUGUUUAAUUUCUAUUAUUUUUAUUUCAUUUUGGCAUUUUAGCAUUUCAUACUCAUCAAACCACUGGAACGCAAUCAAGCUUUAGCUUCAAACAACCAGAGGGAGAUUUUAUAGGGAUAAAAUUUUAAAAAUCACGCCUAUGCUACUUUCUAGUUUUAGUAUUAAAAUUAGUAUUUAAAAAAUGUGUUUAUAAAUAUGGCAGUUUCAGGUGUAGAAACCAAAACUGCCAUAUUCAUACUCUCUUAGACAUUUUAAAAAUGCGUGUAGAAGAAUACUUUCAUUGAUGAUUUAUAAUAUUAGGUUACUUUAAUGAUAAAUCAAUACAGUAUUUUUUUUCAUUUUUUGGAUUUUCAUUUUGGAGAAAUUCAAUAGGAUGAAAAUAUAAUAUUAAUCAAACUUCAAAUUAUAAUUGUUUAUCUAUCGAGUUAAAAAAAAUAUGACAAUUCAGUAGUCUUUAAUGAAAUAAAAAAAAUGAAAAAUGUUAUUUAUGUAAUUAUAAGCAUACCAUAUUAUAUUACUUUACAAAGGGACGAAGGACAUCCUUUGCAUUAGGAUGCUCCCACUCCACUACUGUCUCCCACCAUUCUUCUGGAUAUACAAAGAUUUCUUUAAGAGAAGGGGGAGGAGAUGGCUGGCCAUUUUCAAGCAACGGAAGACAAAUUGGCAUCCUCUUCAGCUUCUCACAACGCACUACACUAAUAUGUUCUAGAGAAUUGCAAAUCAGUUUUGCACUGCAAAUGCAUUUCAGUUCUGGUAAUUCAUACAAUUCCAGAGUUAUUAACUUUGGGAGAAUGACUUCCGUGAUGCAAUUGGAGGUGCUUCUUUCUUCAUCUGUUGUUCCUAUUAUCUCCUCCAUUUUCCUACAGCACCUCACAUCAAUCUUUUCCAGGUUUACGAGGUUUGGCAGCAACACAAGCGGGAACAACUUCUUUAUACUUUUACACUUGUAACAAUAAAACUCUUUAAGACCAGAAAACAUACCAUUAUAUGGUGGCAAUCGUGGUGGAGCAGAGCAGAACCAAGAAGAUGAAACCAGCUCCAUGUUAUGGCAUUCCCGAAUGUUGAUGCGCUCCAGUUCAGUUGCAUUCUCUAAUGACAAAACAUCACAUAAACUUCUUGCAUCGAUGCAUUCACAAAUCAGUCCUUGAAUGCCAUUUAAGAACUUGACCUGAAAAUCUCUAUCUCCGUUGAUACUCAAAUUACCCAACCCUACUGUUUUACUUGGAAACAUUUCAAUGCAUUGCUCGAAAUAUCUACGCACCUCUCCUACUAAAAUCUUGCAUGUGCUUAAUGAUAGGAUCCCAUCCCGAGAUCUGAGAUACUCCAUUAAGUCAGGGAGACCUUCGAAACGGCAUUCCAAAGUUUCCAAAUUUCUCAAGGAUCCUACUUCCUUUCCUUUAACUGUCAUCGCAUCAUCUUCGCGGCAAUAAAUCUUCUAGUACAAAGACUUGCAGGUGAGAGAGUUUUGGUAAUAUCCCACUAGGAAACUCCUUUUCACCACAUCCAUUCAUUCUAAGAUACAUCAGGUUGGUUAGGCAUUCCAUUCCUUGCGGCAUCGUUUCAAGUCGAGUACGAGAGAGAUCCAACCUCUUCAGUGCCCUGAGCUUCUUUAAUGAUGGAACAUAUCUUAAGUUGUCACACUUACGAAGCAAUAACGCAGUGAGACUCACCAAAUCAGAGACAGAGUCUGGCAAGUUUUCAAUACCUGUCGAAGACAGAUCGAGGACCUUGAGCCCAUGCAAUUGCUUGAAAAAUGAAUCCGCAACAAAUCUCAACCCUUUAUUAUCACAUAGAAAUAGAGUUGAUAGAUAGCGACACCUUGGUGAAUAGCUGGAAGGAAUUUCUUCGAUCUCGUUUCUCAUUAGCGAAACCAUCGUCAAAUUCUCCGUCCACUGCUCUGCAUCUGGCAACUCUUUUAAUUGCGCACCUGCUUUAACCAUGACUUGAUAUUCGUCUUGCAGUAUAUGGAUGGCCAUGUCCCUAAUCAAGUCAUGCAUCUUGACACGUCUAAUAUCAUUAUAACCCAUUUGAGCACUUUCCAAUAGGCAGACAUAUUCAAGUCUAUUAAGCAUUGUGUGGCCCUCGUCAAAUGCAUCUCCCCUGCUCCUCUUUACUUUAAUUAUCCCCUCUAAGAUCAAAUAACCUAUCAACUCCUCCCUUUCAAUCUUAUCAUCUUCAGGAAAUAAUGCACAGUACAACAGACAUUGUUGUAGUGUUACAUCACGUAACCGAUUAUAACUAACCCUUAACACUUGGAAUACCUUCUUAUCCCUAAAUUCUGAUUCGCUCAAUUUCUUCAAUGUAUUUCUCCACUCAUGUAGGUCAUCCACUCCCCUCAAGCUUCCUGCCACUGUAAUAAUUCCCAAUGGCAAACCAGCACAUUCCUUUGCAACAGCUUUCGCAAUUCGUUCCACUUCUGUGAAAGCACAUGCCACGUCCAAGUUUCUCCAUGAACAAAGUCCAAGCUUCUCCCUCAAAAGUGGCUUACCUUGAUUUUGCGGUGGCAAGCCAUCUAUGACAAACUUUCUGAUCGAGUUGUCAUAAUCAGCUUGCAUCCUUCCAACUUCUCAGGAAUUCCCACUUCAUGUAGCUCAAAAUUAUUCCACAAAUCAUCUAGAAUGAGAAUCCAUUUUUGUUUCUUCAUUAGUUCUUCUGACAAUUUGGCAGCUCUAUGCAGAUCAUCAUCUUCGCUUGAAAGGUCUAGACGAAGACGUUUAGCAAUAAUAUUCUGCAAUCUAUUAAUGCUGAAAUCUUGAGACACAGUCACCCACCAAACAUGAUCACAAAUAUCUGGUCUUUGUAGAAGCUCAUUAUGGAUAUGUUGCAGUAUUGUUGUUUUACCAACUCCCCCCAUCCCAUAAAUGCCAAUGGUUGGGACUUCAUCAUCCAUUAACAAAGACCAUAUCACCUUCUUAUUCUCUUCAAAUGCUCGACCCACUGGCUUUAUAGAGCUAGCAGGUAAUGGAACUCCUCUAGUCUCACUUGUGUUGUAUUUAAGGCUUAUAGAAGAUCUAGCUCCAGCGUCAGGCCGCACUGAUCUUCCACUAUUCUCCAUAUCCUCCUCCACUGGUUCUGUCCUCACUCUAACCAUGUUCUGCACAUCAUUCAUAAUGACAUCAUUGUUUACUGAUGGAGCAAAUAGGUGACACAAAGGAUCUGUUGGUUGGGAUGAAUCUCCUCGAGGCUCAUCAGCUUGAUUAAUUGAUGGCCUCUCACAAGAGCUACCUCUCUCCAGAUGCUGCACUUGUUCUGUUCUCGGUAUAGUUUCAGAUCCAUCAUGCAGACGCUCCACAUCCUCAUCUUCCUGCAUUAAAUACGUAGAGAUUUCAUUCAGCUGAACCCAAGUGCCAUCAACAAAUUGAUCCACUAAAUCUGUUCCUCUAUUCUCAUAAGCAUCAACUCUGAGUCUCCAAGGAGAGACACUUCUGUCAACAUGCUGAAACGAUCCUUCACCAGUGUAUUCCAUGCCUUGAACUCCCGCUUGCAUCCUUCCAGCAUUGUCUUGUUCUUGUGGACAGGUGGAAAUGGCAUAAUCAUUAACAUUGCUUGAACUUGCUAUGCUUUUAUGUCUUUUGUUGCCACCACGCAUAGCUAGAAAGGCUGCUCCUUGAACUUCUUUAGGCACCUCACCACAAAUGCCAACACCAUGCCCUCUCUCUCCUGAUAAAUGCCAUUUUAUCCUCGAAAUGGAAGUACCAUUGGCAAAUAAAUGCCCACAAAACUUACACUUCAUGCUUCCAUCAUUCAUAUCUUCAACUUCUUUCCAAAACGGAUCAUCUGAUCUACCCAUUUUGUCCUACAGAUGAAAAGGGUCAAAAUAUUGAAUAAAAAUUAAUGGAAGUACAUUAAUUGGAAAAGGAAGGUUGAAACUAAAAUAAUAGGUUACAAACAGCGAAGAAACUAAUAAGAAAAAACAAUGAAUUCAAGGUUAACUUGGGGUCAAUUUGGUAUGAACUGCAUAAGGCGUGGAUUGCUACAACUGAGAAAGAUCAAAUUAUUUAUUUUUGGAAACUGUUGAUGAUCCUAUCUCCAAAGUUUCUCAUUGAAAUUUCUACAACUUGUGUUUUCCUUGAAAGAUUCAAACCAGAGGUACAUGUGAAAAACAAAAUGAAGAAGAUGGAUUAUAAAUAAUUUACCUGGAUUCAAGUUGUUCUUCAAGUGCUGGUUCGCUGAAGUAGUAUUCAGGAAGAAAAACAAGAACAGAGAAGAAUAUACGGUUUAAAAAUAAGAAGGAAGUUGCAAGAUGUUGAGCUCCAGAUGAUUCGAUUCAAUCAGAAAAGGAAGCACUGAUCAUCAGAAAGUUUAAGAAAUUUGAUGAGGGAAAUCGGGAAAUCAAUGGUAUAAUGAGAUGAGAUUUGGAAGAGAGCGUUACAGUAGCUAAGAUUAUUGUAUUGUUUGAGAAGAAGGAAGUUGCUAGGAAGGAAGCCACAAACUUUACCUACCAGAGAUUAUAUUAUAAGAUAUGGCAAGUGGCUGUACACCUCAAAUUUGUUUUUCUUUUGUCUAGCGCUGCAUAUAAUUAAAAACUUCAACAAAAGAAUCAGAAGCUAAUUGCUGUCUGAGUUAACGUGUGGACCCACCCCAUUGUUGAAACUUUGGAAAAAGCUGGCCUGAAAAUGUAAGAGCCUGAAGCUUAGCUUCAAGAGCUGUAAAGCAUUGACCGUCAUUAUCUGAUCCACUCCAACUUCCAUUCCCUAAAAAUUUCACACCUUAGCACAAACAAAAGGCCGUUUUAUAGAUAACUUAAGAAAUUUUGCCCACGCUUAGUUUCGAGGUGUCAGCAACGUUCUUCUGAGCAUAAAUUCUUCUUUAAAACAAAAGGCGUAUAUGGUUAUUGUAAGGCAUAAUCCCGCAAAGUGUUCCAGUUUUUUUGCCUCUAUGACAUGGAUAUGACAUCUCAUUAGUGAAAAAGCUAAAUGCUGUUUAUUGCACGCUGCUAGUUGGGAUAUACAGAACUCAGUUCAACCCAGCAAGUCGCUGCAUCAGACUUAAAACUCCAUAGCAGUCAGCACAAUCUAUGAAGAUAAAAUUGAAAAAAAACAAUCAAUGUAAACACAUGAAAAUGAGAAAGAAUAGCAUAUUUCCGCUUUUGAAAAAUCAUUCAUCACUUUUAAACACGCAAAUGAUUAUCCCUAUUAAGAAAAUUCAACGACAACAAUAUACUCAAGAGCAGGGGCGGAACUAGGGGAGAUAGGCAGGCGCCCGGCCCCUGCAAAAUAUUUUGAAGGUUUGUAUUUUUAAUGUUUAAAUAUAAUAUAAUAUAUUUUUAAUUUAAAUAGAUAAGAUUUUUAAUAAUAAAUUAUAUUUUAAGUUUUGGCCUUCCUGUUAUAUCAUUUCAGCUCCGCACCUGUCCGAGAGCAAUAUUACAGUAAGGAAAUUAAAUUAAUACAGAUAAAUAUAUGAUCCAAAAAUAAUUAAAGAAUCAAUCCAUUUAAUCGAAAAAAACAUGACUGAAUCCAUAAACUACAUGCCCUUCUUUUUCUAAAGGAGGCAGCCCCACUUUUUCAUCACGUCGCCAUGGUCCCCGUGUCCCACAUGUUUUUAAGUGCGUUCAGGCUGGUUCAAAGGGAAUUUCACGACUUGUUUGCGAGAGCUUCAACUCUACAUUGAAAUGUUUUUUCUUAAUCUGUGAGAGCUUCAUAAUAAGCUUAUUAAAAUAAAUUAUUAUAAUGAAAUUAAAAACAAAAAUGCUUAAAAAAAAACAGAGAGACGCCGUGUUUUCUCUAUUGCUACAAGGUAAAAGUCUAAGCAUAUUUAUUUUUUUUAUUUUUUUAUUUUUUAAUAAUAUUACUGUUAUAUCUACCGCCUAGAAAUCAAGAACGCUAGUUUCAUUUAAAAGAUUCUGAAGUUCAUAUUUAGAUAAAUUAGCAGAAAGGACGGAAACACAACAAAUCAUACCCAGAGAAUCAAAAGCCAGAAACAAGCUACCUCAAUUCCUGCUCCACCUGGCUAAGAAAUGCAGCAUGCCCACUUGGAAUUACACAUCAUCCAAAUUCCAUGGCAAAUAAUUGGUUGGAAUUGUUUCCUGUGGAGUCAUUUCAAAAUUUGAAAAUAAAAACAGAAAAUAGAUCCAGCAAAUGAUUCCAAAUAUCUUAUAAAAUAACAAUGAAAUAUGUUUUUUUAUUUACUGUAAGGAAAGAUAUUAAUGGAAAAAAUAAAAAAAAAAUCAAUUUAAAAAAUUAUAAUAAGUCAAAAUCUAGAUUUAAAAUCUAACUAGUAUCAGAUUCCUAGUUGAAUUGAAUAAUUGAGAGCGAAACGUGUCAAGACUGACAAGAGUUCAGAAUAGACUCGUGAACGUGUCCUCUAAACCCUCCUGUCCCUCUUCCGAUCCUUGCUAAACCCCUUGUUCUGGUCGUAAUCAUCCAUUAGCGUAAACCUAUGCUUCUCUUGACUUUGAUCCCAAUAAACCAACCCAUAGAGUUGGUGGUAAUGUAAUUUAUAUAACUUUUUAAAUUAUUUUUAUUUAAAAAAUAUCAAAUUAAUUUUAAUGUGUUGGUAUUAAAAAAAAUUAAAAAACAUUAUAUUAAUAUAUUUUUAUUUAAAAAAUAUUUUUUAAAAAACCGUAUGUAGAAUUACUAAACACCCUUAAGCCAGUGGACAAAGACAAAAACGACAAAAUACAAAGGAAAAGGGAUAAAAGCAUAUAUUUGGAGAUGAUAAAAGGGCAUGAGAUCAAAGAGGAUAAGAUUUCCAGUGAUGGGACUGGAUGGUGAUGAAGGAUUUUUUGGACAAGAGCAUAGUAAUUAAUCCUUUACUAAAAUUUUUUAUUAUUUUAAUAUAUUUUUUAAUAAAAAUUAUUUUUAAAAAAUUAUUUCAAUGAUAAUUUUCUUUAUUGAUUAGUGAAUCUGGUUAGACUUAAGCCCUACGAGGAUCAAAUGUUGCGAGGCGAGCAACUCCAUUUUAUUUUCCAGUUCAGGAUAGUUUUCUGAAAUAAUAAUAAUAAAAAAAAGAGCUAUAACAUAAAAAUCAUCUGAGCAAAAAGCCAAGAAAAGUGGCCCAUGCUGCGUAAGGUUUAAGAAAGAAAAUAGUUUUGAUUGUUGACCGAGAAGAGGAGCACACGCUUAUGCUUUUUUAUGAACAGAGAGGUGGCUGCCCCAAUAUAUUCGGCCUGCCAACUCUUAUUUGUAUGGUCGUCUGUUUCUCCAUGUCUCAAUAUUUUUUUAUAAAAAAACCACCACUUCUCCAUAUUAUAUUAUAAGAUAUGAAAAGUUAACGUGUGAAACUUCGAAAAAGCUGUCAAGAAAAUGUAAACACAUGAAAAAUAUUUUUUAAAAAAAACCCAAAAAUCAUCUGAGCAAAAAGCCAAGAAAAGUGGCCCACGCUGCGUGAGUUUUUUAUUCAAGAACCUAGCUAGAGCUUAGCUUCAAGAGCGGCGAGGACUAAGCUAGGAAUGAUGCCUCUCACUCCUCCCCCGUCAAUGCUAAGGGUUGUUGCAAAGUAAAUAGGAAACUUCAUCCAUAGACCAAUCUUUUCUGAUCCAUAGACAAUGGAUCUGUUGGUUGAGAUGAGUCUCCAUCACAACCCAACAACAUUAGCUUAUCUGCUAUCCCCUUUAUGAGAAGAAGAUUUCGAAUCAGUCCAUUCAUUCCCAUCUGUAGGCAUCUUUCUCAAACAUCAAGGAGAAUUACUUCUGGAUUCUGAGUUGCCACUAAAAAACAAAAAACCCUUAAUGAACUAGUUCGUCUCCCAGUACUUAAAUUAGUUUCCUCAUUGUUUUUCACAAAUUUUUAAGAAAAAAAGAAAAACUAAUAUACUUGAGGUAUUAUAACAAACCUGUAAAUUACAUUAAUCUUAUAAAAAAACAUAAUAAAAAUAAAUAAAUUACAAAGUUGAAUUUUAAAUCAGCCCACUAAUAAAAAAAACAAAAAAAAAACAAAACACAUUGGAUUACUUAUUAUAAUUUACAAUGAAAUAGGUGUGAAUAAAUAGUACUUCUCCCAAGCCUCUUAGCUUUUCUUUUAAUGAAAAUUAAUAACCGUAUAAUAUCUUCCUUGUGGAUGCUCUAUCGUUGCUAAAUUAAAACAUCUUUCUUUUUUAUGUGAAACUUUUUUAAAAUAAAAAUAUUUUAAAAAAACAUUGUUAUUUUAAUUUUAUUUUUAAAAUAAAUACCAUCGUUUUAGUUUUUAUAAAUAAAUAAUAUGAUGUCGUUUUUUUUUACUCAGGUUAAUCAGUUAAUAUGUGAGUCAACCAGUACGUUUCUUAGCUAUUUAUUAGCAAUCUAAAUAUUUUUUUAUUUUUAAUAUUAAUAUAUCAAAAAAUAUUAAUUUAAUAUUUUUUUAAAUAAACAGAUUUUUAAAUGCACUCAAACAUAAUUAAGAGUACAAAAACAAAUUAUGUUUUGAUUGCGAACAGAAAAAUCUUGACAGUACCGUUGUUGUUUGGACUUUGAGAAAGAUAAAACAAAAGAGUUGGAAUAAUUGGAAAUCUGAACAAUUUGGGUACCCUUCACUGUAUUAGCCAUUCCUUUCCUUGCCUGCUCUCCUUUUUUUUUUUUUUUUUUUUUCUCUGGCGCAAUUGCCAACAAAUACCCUUUUUCAUUAUGUCUCCAUGAUACCCUUGCGUCAAAAACCUAAAUUUUAGGACUUUUUAGGCAGCCACGUCCAUGCUUUAGGAGUUUUUUUUUCGAAAUCCUUAUUAGUGGCUAGCCUUUUAAGAUACCUUUCCAACACGUCAAGAAUAACAGCAAAAUAUGAUACGUGAGUGGAAAGUUAUGAUUAAAAUAUUUAACUGCAUCCAAGCUAUUUCCAAAAAAAUAAAAUAUUAUUACUUUUAGUGUAUCCAAGCUAUUUAAGAAUAUAUCAAAGUAAAUAGAAUUUCAAUUCAAAAAUACACAUUAAUUUCUAUUAUUUGUAUUCACAUUUUAGCAUUUUAUUUCAAUAAUAGAGUAUUUAAGGGUGCUUAGAAGUUUAAUAUCAAUUAUUUUUCAAAAUAUUUUUUUUAUGAAUAUAUCAAAAUAAUAUUUCAUUAUUAUUUUUUUAAAAAUAUUUUUAAUAUCAACACAAUAAAAUAAUUUAAAAACACAAAAGAGUUAAAAAGAGACAUCUACCUUGUUUUAUCUGUUGGUACAUGGUAAGAGUCUAAGCAUAUUUAUUUAUUUAUUUAUUUUUAUUUUAAUAAUAGUCCUGUUAUUUCUACCGUCAAGAAAUCAAGAACGAUUCAAAAGAUUCUGGAGUCCAUGUUUAGAUAAAUUAGCAGAAAGGACAAAAAUCCUAUAAACUAAAAUCCUCAAUUCUUGCUCCACCUGGCUAAGAAAUGCAGCAUGCCCCCUUGGAAUUACACAUCAUCCAAAUUCUAGGGCAAAUAAUUGGUUGGAAUUGUUUUUUGAGAGUCAUCUCAAAAUUGAAAAAUAAAAUCAGAAAAUAGAUUUUCAACACAAUCAUGCUUUUUAUUUAUUAUAAAUAUAAAAUAAAGUUGAAGUGAAGUUGGGUCCAAUCCUUAAAUGGUCCAAACAUUAUUGUAAGAAUGCGACAGUCCAAUCUGAAAGGUUUUGGAUGCAAAACACAGGCUGCAACGCAGAUGGAGCAAGAAAUUCCACCCCAAGAAAAAUCCAAAUAUAAGUUAUUCCAACUUUCUUUCUAUCCCAAGAAAUCGAGAAUACUAGUUUCAUUCAUCAAAAUUAUAAAUCCUAUAUUUAGAUAACAAAAAUCCUAGUGCAAAAUACCUAUAAACUAUAUUAUAAGAUAUAAAAAACUAACGUGUGGAGUCUGUGGACCGACCCAAUGUUCAAACUUUGAAGAAGCUGCCAAGAAAAUAUAAACACAUGAUUAGAGAAAGAAUAGCAUAUGGUCGUCUGUUUCUCCAUGUCUCAAUAUUUUGUUAUAAAAAAACCACCACUUCUCCAUAUUAUAUUAUAAGAUAUGAAAAGUUAACGUGUGCACCCACCCCAAUGUUGAAACUUCGAAGAAGCUGCCAAGAAAAUGUAAACACAUGAAAAAUAUUUUUUAGAAAAAACCCAAAAAUCAUCUGAGCAAAAAGCCAAGAAAAGUGGCCCACGCUGCGUAAGUUUUUUAUUCAAGAACCUAGCUAGAGCUUAGCUUCAAGAGCGGCAAGGACUAAGCUAGGAAUGAUGCCUCUCACUCCUCCCCCGUCAAUGCUAAGGGUUGUUGCAAAGUAAAUAGGAAACUUCAUCCAUAGACAAAUCUUUUCUGAUCGGGUUGUAGGAAUCACUGAAUCAGCUUGCAUCCCUUAACUUGGACAGGAACUCCCAGCUUCUGUAUGCCAAAAGUCUCGCUCAUACCAUCUAAAAGCAGAACCCAUUUGAUAAUAGAUAUUGGAGAAAAAUUAGAGUACACAAAUAGAAUGUAAAAUUUAGAAAACUGUUUUGAAUUAUGCUGGAGAGCAUGCCGGCGGCGAUGAGUUUGGAGCUUAGCCUGGUGUUCUCCGACGGUUUCAACUCAUGCAUUCAAUUCCAAGCAAUAGCUGUGAUUUCGUAAUCUGUAUUUUGAGCGACUUUUUGGAGAGGGAGGGGCAGCGCGGGAACGAAAAGGUAGCAGUCUCAAGCCUCGCCAAUAGCCCAAGAGUAAAAAUAACAUGCUCCUAGCCCAAGCCCACCAACAUCACCCCCAACAGAUUGGUAAAAUGCUCACAAGUCACAACCAUUUUGAAAAAAAAAAAAUAAAAAAUCAUAUAUAUAUUUUUUUGCUUUAGGAUCAUUUGAUGUCAAAAAUAAAAAAAAUAUUAAAAAACUUAAAAGCUAGGUAUUAUCAAAAUGUGAAAGGGGCAAAAGCUAGCUUGGAAAUUCUGAGAUUAUCUUAGAAAUUGCUAUUAAAUAUUAUGGCAGAAGGUAUACUUCGACGCCACCAUUGAAGUAACACUGAUCUAAAAACAUUAUAUGCCACACCGCAAACUAAUAACAAUGGUAUACUAGAAAGUGAAAAUAAAUCGAUAUUAAUCAUGAAAUAAAUCGUUAGCAGAAACCAAAAAUAAAUGAAUAAAUUGUUCAUACUACUCCAUCUUAUUGAUGGGAAUGAAUUCUGACCUGCAGGACUCCUGCUAAAAUUAGCUGAUAAAUUAUCAUGAAAAAACUUAAUAAAGUCAGAAAAAAAAAAGAUCAUGAAAUGCUUCUUAAAUUAAAUAAAAUGGAGAAGAAAACCCAAGUAAUAAAUGUUCAAUUCACUUUCAAGUUAAAAAUAAAGAAUGAAAGCAUUUCUAUUCAAUAAUACUUCUUGCUCACAAAUAAGCUGGCAACAAUUAUAUGAGAAUCAAAUCUCUCCAAUUACAUGGUCGUAUAACUUCAAGAUUCCUAGGUCAACUCUAUUCAACUGUGCAGGUGGACAACAAAUUUACAAUCCAAGAAAAAAAAUUAGAAAGCAUCCCUCAAACAGGUUGGAAAAGAUACUAGAGGCAAAAGAUUAUAAGCAAUAGUAGCAGAGAAUAUAAAAAGCAUUAUUGUAGCAGAAAAAUGUGAUAUAAUUACCAGAAAAGCUCAUCCUAACUUCCCUGGCUAGUGCUUACGAUGGCAGUUUCAGGUUUAGAAACCAAAACUCAUCCAACAAAAAAAUGUAUGUUCAGUUCAUACUCUCUCAGAGGCAUUUAAUAUAGAAUCUUAUCCUUCCUCAUUUGAUCUUCUCAAUGCUGUGGUGGAAGAAUACUUCUGACAUGUUUACGAUGUUUGUUGUGAUUUGAAUUGACCAGAAUUCAAGAAUGUUCGAAGAGAUGAAUUCAUUGGCGAUGAAAUACCUUACUUUUAUUGAUUUAAUUUUCUAUUUCCUGUAUUCUGCUAUGGAAAUGAAUUAAUCUUCAUUGUGAAAAUGUUCCUAAAUUCUUACAUUUUUAUUAACAAUAAGAGAUGAAGAGGAGGCGAAGGUAUAAUGCAACCAACAAAUGAUACAGAAUAAGCUCAGACCAAGAGAACAAUCGACGCAAUUGUCCCUUCCACUUUUUGUCUCUCUUCCUUGAACUCAUAACUUAAGCAUCCAUCCCUUUUACUCAGACAAAACCACCGGUCACUAGUAAAAAACUUCAUUUUGAUAUAUAUAUUUUUAAAAUUGAUAGAAAAAACCACUUUAUAUUGUUCAUAAAGACGGAAAAAACUUAAAAAUACAAAUUAAAAAAUCUUGAGGAAUUCAUUAACCAAUCCUUUUAGUUUUUUUUAUGUUUUCUAUAAAGUCAGAAAAAAGUUAAAAAUACAGAUUAAAAAAUCCUGAAGAAUAUAGAAAAAUAGGAUGAAUUUUUUGUACGAGGAAAAUAGAUAGAGGUAUGGAAUUUUAUUCUAAAUAUAUCCUUAUAAAAAUUUCAAAAUUCCAAGUCAUGUAAUUCGAUUAUCAUUCAUUUUUUAAAUUGUAUUCUCUCUUUUGUUUUUCUUGUAUAUAGAUUUUAAAAGAAUAAUUUAUUGCUAGUUAAUGAUAUAAGAUGAUUUGUACUAAUGAAUAGAUCUAUUACUUUAUUUGGUUACUUCAAUGAUAAAUCAAUAUCAAUAUAGUGUUUGUUUUUGUAUUUUUUGGAUUUUUAUCUUGGAGAAACUCAAUAGGAUGAAAAUAUAGUAUUAAUCAAACUUCAAAUUAUAAUUAUUUAUCUAUCGAGUUAAAAAAAAUAUAUGACAAUUCAAUAGUCUUAAAAAGAUAAUGAAAUAAAUAAAUAAAUGAAAAAUGUUAUUUAUGUAAUUCUAAGAACACAAUAUAAAAAAGAAAUAUUUCAUAUUAAUAAACGCUCUUUCUAUGAAUUCAUGUUAGGCUUCGAUUUUUCUUUGAAAUAUGGAAUUGGCAAUACAAUUUCAAACCGACCCAAAUCCAACCAUUGAGCAUCUUUAAUCCAAAAGCAUCAUGCAAGUAAUUUUAAUAUUAAUUAAUAAAAAUAUCCUUGUUGAUUUAAAGGACUAUUUUCAUCAUUCAUAAAAAAAAAAAUUAAAAAGAAAAAUAUUCAAUUUUUUUGAAAAACGUGUGCUUUAACAAUGUUUUUAAAUAUUAAAUAUGUGAUUAAUUAAGAGCAGGUGAUUGCUUUUGUUUUUAGUUGUUUUUCAAAAAAAGAUAAAUAGAUUUUUUUAAUGUUUUUUUAUAAUUUAAAUAUAUUGAUAUUAAAGAUAAAAUAAAUAAAUUUAAAUAAAUAAAAAACAAUUAUUGAACAUGAAGCGAAUCUGAUUACGUAACAAUUACUAAUAGGGAAAAAAUUAGGAGACAAAUUAAAGGUUUUCAAUCGUUGCCGUUACCAAUUUGUUGCUGAUUAGAGGCACACGGAGUCAAAGACUCCAUCCUUGCUUUUAAUGAACAAAACCUAGUGCUAGUUUUGGUGGCUGGUGUUUUUCCGUGCUGGAUUAAUUUUUUAAAAAUAUUAAACCAGUAAAUUAAUAUACUUGAGUUAUUAUAAUAAACCUGUAAAUUACAUUAAUUUUAUAAAAAAAUAUAAUAAAAAUAAAUAAAUUACAAAGUUGCCCACAAAUGAAAUAAACAAAAAAAAAACACAUUGAGUUACUUAUUAUAAUUUACAAUGAAAUAAGUGUGAAUAAAUAGUAGUUCUCUCAAGUUUCUUAGCUAUUCUUUUAAUGAAAAUUAAUAACCGUAUAAUAACUUCUUGUGGAUGCUCUGCUAAAUUAAAACAUUUUUUAUUUAUUUACAACUAUGUGAAAAAAUUUUAAAAUAAAAAAUUUUAAAAGAUAAUAUUUUAAAAAACAUUAUUAUUUUAGUUUUUUUUUUUUAAAAAUACCAUCGUUUUAAUUUUUAUAAAUAAAUAAUAUGAUGUGGUUUUGUUUUUUACCCAGGUUAAUCAUUUAAUAUGUGAGUCAACCAAUGCGUCUCUUAGCUAUUCGUUAGUAAUUAAAAAAUAUAUAUAUUUUUUAAUAUUAAUAUAUCAAAAAAUAUUAAAUAAAUAUUUUUUUUAAAUAAAUAGAUUUUUAAAUGUACUCAAACAUAAUUCUAAGUACAAAAAUAAAUUAUAUUUUGAUUGCAAGCAUAACAAUCUUGGCUGUGCCGUUGUUGUUUGGACUUUGAGAAUGAUAAAACAAAAGAGUUGGAAUAAUUGGAAAUCUGAACAAUUUGGGUACCCUUCACUGUAUUAGCCAUUCCUUUCCUUGCCUGCUCUCCUUCUUUUCUUUUCUUUUUUCUUUUUUUUUUCUCUUAAUUUUCAAGAGAGCCUUAACCAUUCCUUCAUGCAAGUGUACGCUUUGCCAAACAAUCCUUUAGGAAAAUGGGUCGCCCUCCCUCCGACGACUUGCCAUAACAGAGAUUAAUUAUUUUAUUAAAAUAAUAUCAUUUUGUUUUUUUAGUAAUCCAAUUAGAUAUGAACUAGGUUAGUUUAAUUGAUCGAUUAAAUUCCACCCAAUCAAUAUCUUAUUUAGUUUAAUUACAAAUCCAGUCCAAGUUAAAUUUAAAAUUUAAAAUUUAAAAUUUUUAAAAUAAACACGGUUUAACAAUUAUUUUCUUAUCUUUAACUAAACUUUAAAGUAUGUAAACUUUCACACUCGGUGUGUGUAUAUUAUUCAACCAAAUAAUUGCUUGUGUCAUAUAUGUGUAGAGCUUUCUAGUAUUAAAAAUCUUAGAUUAUCAAAUAAUUAAACUUUUUAUCCAAACCAAUAAAUUUUAUGUGUCUAUUUUAAAUUUUGGUUUUAAAAAGAAAAUCAAAAUAAUAAAUCAAACAAUACCUGUAAAUCUUUUAUAUUACAGAUUAGCUAUAACCAGUGCACCCAUUUAUCAUUCUUAAGGUCAAUAUUUGGAAAUAAAUAAAUAAAUAAAUAAAAACUACGUACCAAUAUUUAAUUUAAGUAACCUCAAAGACUGCUAAUUUAGCUUUUUGAUAUUAAAAGGGCGUAUGUUGUUACUCUCUGCCUAGUGAUGAGACAAAUAUCAGGUCUUCUAUCUACACAAUAGUUAGAUGUGGAAAGGGUUAGAGGGAAUUUUUUUUUUUAAAAAAAGAAGAAGAAGCAAAACACCUUGAAUUACGUACUAUUUUUAUAUAGUGAUUCUCCAAGUCUCUUAGCUUUUCUUGUAAUGAAAAUUAAUAACCUUAUAAUAUCUUCCUUGUGGAUGCUUUAUCGUUGCUAAAUUAAAAUAUCUUUUUUCAUUUACAACUAUGUGAAACUUUUUAUUUAAAAAUAAAAAUAUCAAAAAAGAUAAUGUUUUUAAAAAAUAUUAAUUGUUAUUUUAGUUUUUUUAAAAUAAAUACCAUCAUUUUAGUUUUUAUAAAUAAAUAAUAUGAUGUGGUUUUGUUUUUUACUUUGGAAUACGUCUCUUAACUAUCUGUAAGCUUCCUAUUCGUUUUUAGUAAUUAAAAUAUAUAUAUAUUUUUUUUAAUAUUAAUAUAUCAAAAAAUAUUUUUUUAAUAUUUUUUUAAAACAAAAAGAUUUUUAAAUGCACUCAAAUAUAAUUCUGAGUACAAAAACAAAUAUAUAUUUUGAUUGCGGGCAUAGCAAUCUUGGCAGUGAUAAAACAAAAGAGUUAGAAUAAAUGGAAAUCUGAACAAUUUGGCUACCCAUCACUGUAUUAAUCAGCCAUUCCUUUCCUUGCAUGUUCUCCUUUUUCUUUCUUUCUAUCUUUUUUUUUUUUUUUUCUUUGGAGGCAGCCCUCCUUUUUCAUCACGUCUCCAUGAUCCCACACGUUUUCAUCAAAAACCUAAAUUAUAGGACUUCUUAGGCAGCCACGUACAUGCUUUAAGAGUUCUUUUUUCAAAAUCCUCAUUAGAGGCUAAAUUAAAACAAAUUAAAAUAAUUGUGAUUAAAAUAAUUAAAAUAAUUUAAAAAUAUAAAAAAUUAUUUAAAAAAAAUUAAAAUAUUUAAAAACACAACAUUAUGAAACAAGAUAUCAUGUCAAGAAUCACAACAAUCCAACAUAUGAGUGGAAAGCUAUGAUUAAAAUAAUAGAGUGCAUCUUCACUUUUAAAAUGAUUUUGACGAUGAUUUAUAAUAGUGAAUAGAUCUAUUAUUUUAUUAGGAUACUUUAAUGAUAAAUCAAUAUAGUUUUUUUUUUUUUGGAUUUUCAUCUUGGAGAAACUCAAUAGGAUGAAAAUAUAAUAUUAAUCAAACUUCAAAUUAUAAUUAUUUAUCUAUCGAAUAAGAAUAUCCUUGUUGAUUUAAAGGACUAUUUUCAUAUAAAAAAUAAUUAUGUUUUGCACCUGAUUUUUAACAAAAAUGAUUGAAAAAAUGAUAUAUUAUUGAAUAUGAGCAAAUUUAAGAUUACAAAAAUGAUUAGUAUUUUUACAGAUGCAUAGAAUUGAUAAAUGAUGCAACAAAGAAGGAUACGUAUUAUUACAUUUAACGGAGUAAUUAACCAUUCUACAUAUUAAUUAUUUCAAGAAAAAAAGGUCCUUUGGACAAUACCUUGGAAAUUCAAUUCAAAAAUUCCCUUUAAUUUCUAUUUUUUUUUAAUCAUUUUAGCAUUUUAUCCCAAUGAUAGAACAUUUAGAAUGCGCAUGGAACGCCAUCAAGCUUUAGCUUCAAACAACCAGAGGGAGCUUCAGUGCAGUAGAAAACUUCAACAUCUACUGUGAAGCUUGAUUUGCUAUCCAAUCUGCACACCAGUUUUUAUCCCACUGCAGUAGAACUUUUUAUCUUUUUCCAAGUUUUUUUUUGGGUGACUUUUUUUCUUUCAUCUCAAAUUAACUUGUGAAUAAAAAUAAAUAAAUAAAAUAUAAAAUACAAUUUUAAACCAAAAUAAAAAAUAUAAGAUGCAAAAAAUUAUAGAGAUCGAAAUUUUAAAAAUCACGCCUAUGUUUUUUUUCUAGUUUUAGUAUUAAAUUUGUUCGUAUAAGUUUUAUUUAUUUUUAAUCAAUUAAAUUGAACAAAAUCUUGUCAAGUCAAACAUAAACUCUUUAUUGAAUCGUCUUUUCUUUUUGGAUAAUAAGAGCUUCAUAGAAAGCUUAUUAAAAUAAAUUAUUAAAUGAAAUUAAAAAUAAAAAUGCUUUUAAAAAAAAAACAAAACAAAACAGAGAGACAUCUACGUGUUUUCUCUAUUGGUACAUGAUAAAAGUCUGAAAAGAUUUAUUAUUAUUAUUAUUAUUUUAAUUUUAAUAAUAGUACUGUUAUUUCUACCGCCAAGAAAUCAAGAAAGCUAGCUAAUUUUAAUACAAUGCUGGAGUUCUUAACUUCGGGAGAAUGAAUUCCGUGAUGGAAUUGGAGGUGCUGCUUUCUAUUAUGCACUGAUCAUGAGAUGUGGAAGAGAAUGUUACAGUUGCUAUCUCUUUUACAUAAUAUUAUUUAUUAGUAAGGUCGCCUCAAUAAUAAUUAAUUAACGUAUUGUUUGAUAUAUUAUAAGAUAUAUAAAGUUAACGUGUGGACCCGCCCCAAUGUUGAAACUUGGAAGAAGCUACCAAGAAAAUGUAAACAAAUGAAAUUUUCUAAAAAGAAUAGCAUAAUUAAAAAUAUAUUUUUUAUUUAAAAAUAUAUUAAAAUUAUUUUUUUUAUCAACACAUCAAAAUAAUUUUAAAAUAUUAAAAAAUUAUUUUUUAAAAAAUCAAAUUAAAAAAAAAACACAUUAUGACUGUAAAGAUAAACCAGUCAAUAUUCUCAAGGUAGCAAUUACUAAUUGGGAUAAAAAGAAAUUAAAAGACAAAUUAAAGGUUUUGAGUCAACGCCAUUACCAAUAUUCGCUUGCAGGGUGUAUGGUAGUUCCUAUGCUUCUGCCUUUGAGCGUGUAUAUUAGAGCAGAGUGAUUUUAUUUAACCAUGAAAAUUUUGUGAGACAAAUUAUAGUGAAUGUUUUUCUAUUUUACCAAUAUACCCAAGGUGUUUAUAACAGAGUGAUGCUACAUGCUGAGGUGGAUAUUAGCAACAGAGGAAAGCAUACAAAAGUAACAAAAAAAAAACAUCAAAUGAAAGAAAAAAAACAACCUUUAGAAACACGCGUCUUUGGAUUAACCAAUUCUUUUAGUUUAUUUUUUAUGUUGUUCAUAAAGACAGAAAAAACUUUAAAAUACAAAUUAAAAAAUCUUGAGGAAUUGAUUAACCAAUCCUGUUAGUUUUUUUUCUUUUCUAUGAAGACAGAAAAAACUUAAAAACACAGAUUAAAAUAAAGAUUUAAUAGAGAAUGAAAUUUAAUUUUAAAUGCAAAUUAAAAUAAAGCAGAGUGACUAAUGGAGAAAGUACUACUGGAAUUCUACAAAGAGUACAGCGUCGGGAAUCCUUGCACACGUUUGGUAUUUUAAUUAUUCUUAUUUCGUUUAAUAACUCAAUUGGAAGUUCAAUUCCCAGAAUUUCUGCUUUUGAAAAAUCAUUCAUCACUUUUAAAUAACGCAAAUGAUUAUUAAGAAAAUUCAACGACAACAAUAUACUCAAUAGCAAUAUUACAGUAAAGAAAUCAAAUCAAUACAGAUAAAUAAAUGAUCCAAAUAUAAUCAAAGAAUUAGUCCAUUUAAUAGAAAAAACAUUACUGAAUCCAUAAACUACAUAAUUCCCUUUUCUUUUUUCUUUUUUCUUCUUCUUCUCUGGUGCAUUUCCCACACGAAAUACUCAUUUCAAAUUAGGCACCCCCUUUUUCUAAAGGAGGCCCCCAAUUUUCAACCUCGUUUUCCAUCACGUCUCCAUGAUCCCCGUUGUGUCACAAACAAAUUUUCUAAAUUUUAGGCUUUAGGAGUUCCUUUUUUGAAAUCCUCAUUAGAUGCUAAUAUCUAGCCCUUCAAGAUACCUUUCCAACGCAUCAAGAAUCACAGCAAUCUUAUAUGUGAGUGGAAAGUUAUGAUUAAAAUACUAAAGUGUGUGGAGGCUGUUUCCAAAAAAAAAAAGAACAUUACUACUACUUUAAGUGUAUCUUUUGAUGUUUCCGGUUUAUAUUGAUAUAUUAUUCAUGUGAAUAAUAUAAGAAAAUUGCACUUAAAAAAUAAUGAACAAUUUUUUUUUUUAGUAUGUUAAUUUUUUCAAUAUUUUUUUUUAAAAAACACUAGUUUAGAGUGAAUUAAAUUCACUCGCAUUGUAACAUCAAUUUUAUACCUGAUAAUAUUUUAUCUAAUUUUAUUACAUGCUCAAAAAAUUAUGAAAACUGUAGUUCUUGUCGGAUGUAUUUCGUACAUAAUGGAAUUGUAGAUAGUUUCAUAGAAUAAUAAAAAAUAUUUUAUAUAAAGUAUGAUUUAUUUCAUGAUUUAAUAGCAAUAGUUAAAUCUACAAUAUUUAAAUUAAAAAUCAUCAAUAUUAAUAUAUAUUUUUUAAAAUUAUUUUAUAACCUCAAUUUCAAAAGCAUUCUUAACCAAACACAUUAAAUUACUUUUUUUUCAACUUCAAUUUCAAUCAUAUUUUUAACCAAACACCUAUUUUUUCAAACAAAUCUCAACUAAAAAUAUUUUUUUUCAAAUCACAACCAUAAUAUGUAUCGCAAUACUAAACACACUACAGGUAAUAAACUAGCCCAACAAAUCAUACCUAGGGAAGCAAAAGCCAGAAACAAGCUACCUCGAUUCUUGCUCCACCGGGGUAAGAAAUGCAGCAUGCCCACUUGGAAUUAUAGAGCGUCCAAAUUCCAUGGCAAAUAAUUGGUUGGAAUUGUUUUCUGAGGGGUCAUUUCAAAAUCUGAAAAUAAAAACAGAAAAUAGAUCCAGCAAAUGAUUCCAAAUAUCUUCUAAAAACAACGAUGAAAUAUGUUUUUUUAUUUACCGUAAGGAAAGAUAUUAAUGAAAUUUUUUUAUAAAAAAAAUCAAUUUAAAAAAUAUAUAACAAGUCAAAAUCUAUACUUAAAAUCUUUCUCGUAUUAAAUUCUUAAUUCAAUCAAAUAAAAUAUUAAUUUAAUAAAACAUAGUUAAGUUUUUGAUAGUUGAAUAUUUAGUAUAACGGUGACGUACUACUUAUUAUUUCUAUUUUAGCAUUUUAGCAUUUCAUACUCAUCAAAACCAUUGGAACACAAUCAAGCUUUAUCUUCAAACAACCAGGGAGAUUUUAUAGGGAUAAAAUUUUAAAAAUCACGUCUAUGCUACUUUCUAGUUUUAAUAUUAAAUUUAAUAUUUAAAAAAUGUGUUUAUGAAUAUGGCAGUUUCAGGUUUAGAAACCAAAACUGCCAUAUUCAUACUCUUUUAGACAUUUUAAAAAUAUGUAUAGAAGAAUACUUUCACUGAUGAGUUAUAAUAUUAGGUUACUUUAAUGAUAAAUCAAUAUAGUAUUUUUUUUUUUUUUUUUGGAUUUUCAUCUUGGAGAAAUUCAAUAGGAUGAAAAUAUAAUAUUAAUCAAACUUUAAAUUAUAAUUGUUUAUCUAUCGAGUUAAAAAAAAUAUGACAAUUCAGUAGUCUUUAAUGAAAAAGAAAAAAAAGAGGUUAUUUAUGUAAUUGUAAGCACGCUAUAUUAUAUUACUUUACAAAGGGACCAAGGACACCCUUUGCAUUAGGAUGCUCCCACUGCACUAUUGUCUCCCACUGCACUAUGGCUGGCCAUUUUCAAGCAACGAAAGACAAAUUGGCAUCCUCUUCAGCUUCUCACAACCCAUUACAGUAAUAUCUUCAAUAGAAUUGCAAAUCAGUUUUGCACUGCAAAUGCUUUUCAGUUCUGGUAAGUCUACCAAUUCCAGAGUUAUUAACUUUGGGAGAAUGACUUCCGUGAUGGUAUUGGAGGUGCUGCUUUCUUCAUCUGUUGUUCCUAUUAUCUCCUCCAUUUUCUCACAAUCUUCAACUUCAAUCCUUUCCAGGUUUACGAGGUUUGGCAGCAACACAAGCGGGAACAGCUUCUUCAUACUUUUACAGGUAUAACAAGAAAACUCUUUAAGACCAGAAAACGUACCGUUACAUGAUGGCAAUCGUGGUGGAGCAGAGCAGAACCAAGAAGAUGAAACCAAGCUCUCCAUGCUAUUGCAAUCCCCAAUGUUGAUGUGCUCCAGUUCAGUUGCAUUCUCUAAUGACAAAACAUCACAUAAACUUCUUGCAUCGAUGCAUUGACAAAUCAGUCCUUGAAUGCCAUUUAAGAACUUGACCUGAAAAUCUCUAUCUCCGUUGAUACUCAAAUUACCCAACCCAACUGUUUUACUUGGAUAAUCUUCAAUGCAUUCCUCUAAAAAUCUACCCACCUCUCCUACUAAAAUCUUGCAUGUGCUUAAUGAUAGGAUCCCAUCCCGAGAUCUGAGAUACUCCACGAAGUCAGAAAAACCUUCGAAAUGGCACUCCAAAGUUUCCAAAUUUCUCAAGGAUACUACUUCCUCUACUUUAACUGUUAUCGGAGCAUCAUCUUGCGGCAUAAAAUCUUCUAGUACAAAGACUUGCAGGUGAGAGAGUUUUGGUAAUAUCCCACUAGGAAACUCCUUUUCACCACAUCCAUUCAUUCUAAGAUACAUCAGGUUGGUUAGGCAUUCCAUUCCUUGCGGCAUCGUUUCAAGUCGAGUACCAGAGAGAUCCAACCUCUUCAGUGCCCUGAGCUUCUUUAAUGAUGGAACAUAUCUUAACUUGUCACACUCACGCGGAGCAAUAACGCAGUGAGACUCACCAAAUCAGAGACAGAGUCUGGCAAGUUUUCAAUACCUGUCCAAGACAGAUCGAGGACCUUGAGCCCAUGCAAUUGCUUGAAAAAUGAAUCCGCAACAAAUCCCAAGAACCGAUUUUCACAUAGCAAUAGAGUUGAUAGAUAGGGACACCUAGGUGAAUGGCUGGAAGGAAUUUCUUCGAUCUUGUUUGCAUUAGUGAAACUCUCGUCAGAUUCUCCGUCCACUCCUCUGCAUCUGGCAACUUUUAAUUGGCACCUGCUUUAACCAUGCCUUGAGAGUUCUCUGCAGUAUUGGAUGGCCAUGUCCCUAAUCAAGUCAUGCAUCUUGACACGUCUAUAUCAUACUCUAACUCUUUUAGCACUUUCCAAUAGGCAGACAUUUUCAAGUCUAUUAAGCAUCGUGUGGCCCUCAUCAAAUGCAUCUCCCCUGCUCCUCUUUCCUUUAAUUAUUCCCUCAUCGAUCAAAUAACCUAUCAACUCCUCCCUUUCAAUCAUCAUCUUCAGGAAAUAAUGCACAGUACAAGAGACAUUGUUGUAGUGCUAAAUCACCUAACCGAUCAUAACUAAACCUCAAUAACUUGAAUACUUCAUUGUCCCUAAAUUCUGAUUCUCUCAAUUUGUUCAAUGUAUUUCUCCACUCAUGUAGGUCAUCCACUCCCCUCAAGCUUCCUGCCACUGUAAUAAUUCCCAAUGGCAAACCAGCACAUUCCUUGCAACAGCUUUCGCAAUUCCUUCCACUUCUGGUGAAAGUGCUACAUCACGUGAAGUUUCUCCAUGAACAAAGUCCAAGCUUCUCCAUUAGAAAGUGGCUUCACUUUGAUUUUGUGCUGGCAAGCCAUCGAUGACAAACCGUUUCUGAUCGAGUUGUCAUAAUCAGCUUGCAUCCUUCCAACUUUCAGGAAUUCCCACUUUGUGUAGCUCAAAAUUGUUCCACAAAUCAUCUAAAAUGAGAAUCCAUUUUUGUUUCUUCCUUAGUUCUUCUGACAAUUUGGCAGCUCUAUGCAGAUCAUCAUCUUCGCUUGAAAGGUCUAGAUGAAGACGUUUAGCAAUAAGAUUCUGCAAUCUAUUAAUGCUGAAAUCUUGAGACACAGUCACCCACCAAACAUGAUCACAAAUAUCUGGUCUUUGUAGAAGCUCAUUAUGGAUAUGUUGCAGUAUUGUGUUUUACCAACUCCCCCCAUCCCAUAAAUGCCAAUGGUUGAGACUUCCAUCCAUUAACAAAGACCAUAUCACCUUCGUAUUCUCUUCGAAUGCUUGACCCACUGGCUUUGUAGAGCUAGUAGGUAAUGGAACUCCUCUAGUCUUGUUGUAUUUCAGACUUUCAGAAGAUCUAGCUCCAGCACUAACCUGCACUGAUCUUCGACUAUUCUCCACAUCCUCCUCCACUGGUUCUGUCCUCACUCUAACCCGAUUAAUUCUCUCUUCCCCGGCACCUUGUUCCAGCACCCCCUGAACUCCCACUUGUAUCCUUCCAGCAGCCCCUGCCAAAUUGCCAAGUACUGCAUUGUUUUGUUCCAACGAUCGAUCCACUGGUUCUGUCCUCGGUCUGCUCUCGAGUGCCCCUUCAGAAACUCCAUCUUCUUGUGCUCUCAUUCUGGUCAUGCUUACUACGUCGUUUCCUGCUAUUGCAUGUGAAGUAAUCCUCUCUUCCCCUACUCCGGGUUCUACAACCUGAACUUCUCUUGUACCCUUCCAAUUCCUCCUCCCAUAUUUUCAAUCUCAAUGUUUUGUUCUUGUGGACAAGUUGAAAUUCUAGAAUCAUUAACAUUGAUUGAACUUUCUGUGCUUUUAAGUCUUUUGUUGCCACGACACAUAGCUUUCCAGGCUGCUUCUUGAACUUCUUUAGCCACCCCACGACAAAUGGAAACACCAUGCCCUUCUUCUCUUGAUAAAUGCCAUUUGAUCCUUGAAAUGGAAGUUAGUGGCAUAUGUAUGUGGACAAAACUUACACUUCAUGCUACCAUCAGCCCUUUCUUCAACAUAAUUCCGAAAUGAAUCAUUUGAUCCACCCAUUUCAACCUAUAGAAAAAAAGGGGUGGGGUCAAAAUAUAGAAUAAAAAUCAGUCAAAAUAAAGAAUAAAAAUCCUAUCCGGAUGGAUGAAAAACUACUUCUUUAGUGUUGUUACCCUUAUUUUGCUAUUAAAAUUGAUAGUUAGUUUAUUGCACAAUCAUAGGAGGUAAAAAGACGACGAUAAUUUAAUUAGACUUCUUACUUGUUGAGUAUUUAAACCCCUAUUUUGACUUUGCAGGGAAGUGUCAAGGCCGGGAUUUGAGGCAUUUGGCAUAGCAGUUUGAUUUUGCAAUCCUCGGACUUGGAGGUUAUCCAUCUGUGACCUAUAUAUAUACAAAUGAAUUGAUCAUAUUAUAAAACCUUUCCAUAAUUGGUAGUCUCUCUUAAACAGUAAAAGUUAAUGGUGUUAAAACACAACAGAUAGAAGUCAGUCAGUACCCAGGCACGAAGUUCUCUUGCUGGACAUUGUCUAUGUUAGGAAUUACAGCAGCUGGAUCGACUUGUCCUUGAUUAGAAAAAUAUUGACUCCUGAAUCCAAAAUCAUUUGCAAACAAUAUGUUUAGCUUAUUGGGUUCAUGUUCAAGCUAUGAUGUUUCCUUCCUGGUUGAAAAACUAUUUUUUAUAUAUAUAUAGAAAAUACUAAACGUGAAAAAUUGGAUACCGGGGAGCAGGAAAAGAAGGUCCAGGUUGAAUGAAGCCACCAUGUUCUGAAGUGGUUGCGUUCGGUGUCAUAUAGGCAUGUCCCGGCUGAGGUUGAUGAAUAUUGGAGUACUGAUGCCUGAAUAAUAUUCAAAUAGUUAAACUUAGAACUGUUAUUCUAACUUGGUUGAUUUUCUAGUUCCAUUAUGUGCACAAGACAAAAACAAAAAAUAGAGAUAGAGAGCUCAGAAAGACUCGAAAGAUCCUCGUCAAUUCUGGUCAAGUUUAUUGUUUUCAUGAUUAAAUAAGUGUAUAUUCAAAGUUAAUACCAUUGAUUCAAUGGAGGUUGAGGUCCAGGUAGCAUCGCAGGCACUUGAUUCCUCAUUGGUAACUGAUAAUUAGUCCAUUGUUGGUCCCUAAAUUAGCAACAUUUGUUAGUAAUUUCUUUAUACAUAUACGCGUAAUUCUUUACUAUUACUCCACUAAGCAUUUGAUAUCAUUUUAGCUUACCUCAAAGGCAUUGACGGUCCAGGUAGCAUGGGAUUGGCACAUCGAGGAUCAGAUAAAUUAGGAUGAGGCAGAUACCUAUAUUCAAAUAUAAUGAAUUCAUUUAGUGUAAUAAAUUGGCAUCACUGAUAAGAAAAUUAGGCAGAUAAGUAGAACAACAACAAGAAGUUAAAUAAUUAUGAAUAUUAUGUACAAGAAGAAUUUAAAUAAUGAUUAUUCUCACUUAGUUGAUUUUCUAGUUUCAUUAUGUGAUGCAAAUCAGGAGACAGGGGAAACAGGGGACUCUUGAAAGCUGAUUAUUAACUGUAGUUAUUAUUUUUCAAGUUUAUUGUUUUCAUGAUUAAAAAAGUGUGUAUUCAAAGUUAAUACCAUUGAUUUAUUGGAGGUUGAGGUCCAGGUAACAUCGCAGGCACUUGAUUGCUCAUUGGUAACGGAUAAUUAGUCCAUUGUUGGUCCCUAAAUUAGCAACAUUUGUUAGUGAUUUCUUUAUACAUAUGCAUAAUUGUUAGCUAUUAAUCCACUAAGCAUUUGAUAUCAUUUUAGCUUACCUCAAAGGCAUUGAUGGUCCAGGUAGCAUGGGAUUGACACAUUGAGCAUCAAAUAAAUUAGGAUUAAGCUGAUACGGUGAUACCUAUAUUCAAACAUAAUGAAUUCACUGAUAAGUACAACAACAAGAGGAAGAAAAGAAGAAGUUAAAUAAUGAUUGAAAAACUUUUUUUUUUAACAGAAAAUACUAAAAAUGAAAAAUUGGAUACCGGGGAGCAGGAAAAAGAAGGUCCAGGUUGAUUGAAACCACCAUGUUCUGAAGUGGUUGCGUUCGGUGUCAAAUAGCCAUUUCCCGGCUGAGGUUGAUGAAUAAAGGAAUUAUGAUGCCUUGAUGGAGUUUGAGGCCAAUUUUAUAUAAAACUUAACGAUAAAAAAAUAUCAUAAAAAAAGUCUAAAUCUCCCAAUUGUUGUCUGUUUGUUUAACAAUAAACAUUUUGAAGAUGCUCGAGAUAAAUUGAUACACGAAAACAUAAAACUUUUUGAUCCAAUGGGUGAUACAAACACUUGCUAAUUCAAUGGACAUUGUAGCAAAUUGGAGUAGGCAUGAGCACUCACCAUGGUUUGACGAAAUGAAGGUGGAAACAGAGUUGUUUGUUGAAGACUAUCGUUGAUCACAUUGUUAUCCACCACCAUGUUCUGUCCAUCUUGAUCAUUGCAUAAUAUGGAGCUUUGGUUGCCUGAAACCUCCGGUGGCGACCUGCUUAAUUUGUUAUUAGGAACAUUAUUCUUUUUGGGGAAUAAUAAGAAAAACUGUAGAAUAACUAAAUUGCAAGUAAUCAUCUUCUGAUAAAAUAUGCUUAAGAAUGACGUACGAGAGAAACUCAGAAAUAUUGAAUGAAUCUUCUGGUGAUUGAAAAUCGAACUGAUUCGAUGUCAAGUUGACAUCAUCCUCAUUACAAGACGGUGGGACUCCUUCCAUCUGAGGUUUAAAAAAGAACAGAAAGCACAGAUUAGAUAAGAAUAUAUAUAUAUAGAUUAGAUAAGAAUAUAUAUAUAUAUAUAUAUAGACACACACACAUGACUUAUUUAUUUGUUAAAGAAAUUCGGAUGAAAAAUAGGAAAUAUAAAUGUUGCUGUUAAUUAUUUAAUUCUUUGUUUUAAUGCUAAAUUAUUUGUCACUUGUUGUGAACAAGUUUAAUGAAAGGUAAUUAAUACUGAUCAAGUUAAUUCAUGAAUCAGUAAAAAACAACUUCAUUGAAUCAUUAUGUCAGAAAAAUAUUGGAUAAAAAUAAUUAAUGGCAGUCCCACAGGGCAUGGAUUACAAAAUCCCAUAUAUAAGGAGUUAAAAACAGCAAAGAAUCUUCAAAAGACAAAAACACUGAAUUCAAGGUUUAGGGUUAAUUUAAUCAGUAUGAACACCACAGGGCAUGGAUUACAAAAUCUGAGAAAAAGAUCGAUUUAUUUAUCAUGGAUUACUUUAAAGAUUCAGACAAGAUGAAGUACAAAUAAUUUACCUGGAUUCAAGAUAUUCUUCAAGUGCUCGCUUGUUUGCUUAAGCAGUGAUCAGCCAAAAGAAAAGGAAGAGAAAUCACAGAUCAGAGAAGAAUAAAUGGCUUGGAAAAAUAAUAAAGUUGCAGCAUACAUAAAUCUAGUUCGCACUGAUCAUGAGAUGGGGAAAGGAAAAUAGGGAAUUCUACAAUGAGAUGAGAUGUGACGUGGAAGAGAAUGUUACAGCAGCAAGGUCGCCUCAAUAAUAAUAAUUAAUUAACGUAUUGUUUGAUAGGAAGGAAAUUGCCAGGAAGCAACCCAAACAUAUUACAUUAUCAGUUAUAGAAAAAUAACGUGUGGACCCGCCCCAUGUUCACACUUCGAAGAAGCUGCCAAGAAAAUGUAAACACAUGAAAAUGAGAAUGAAUAGCAUAUUUGUGCAUUGAGUGAAGUUUUUUUUUUAAUUAUUUUUUAUUUAAAAAUAUAUUUAAAUUUUUUAUAAAAAUUUUUUAUAUUGCCACAUAAAAACAAUUCAAAAAUAUUAAUUACAAACAGUCACUUGAUAUAAUUUUACAGACUUUUAAUUAGCCUCACUCAUUUGAGCCAUGUCAUGGAUUAAUGGUUCACAGCAACUCUUCAUUCUGUGAUCUUUCCUGCCCUACCUAGAACAACCACCGCCCCGACAUAAAUAAUAAUAAUUUCACAGUUGAAUCAUGUUUUUUUUAAAAACUUAAUAUUUUUUUAUUUUAAAUUAAUUUUUUAAAUAUUUUUAGAUUGUUUUAACAUUUUAAUGUUAAAAAUAAAUUUUAAAAAAUAAUAAAAAUAUUAUUUUAUUAUAUUUUUUAAUAAAAAAAUAAUUUAAAAAACAAUUAUUAUCUCAAUAUCAAACAUUAUCUUAUUAUAUGAUACUAUACUUGAACUUUUCCACACCAAUGGAAAUUUGUUUUUCCCAACACCCUUCUACACAUUUAUAUUUUUAGCCCUCAGACCUAUAAAGUAUGAUUUGCUAGCCAAUCUGCACACUAGUUUCCCAUUAAUACAAAGAUGAUCGUGUUUUUUUGGUGCCAAAAUUGUCGGCCAAUAAUUUUCCAUUUUUAUCCGAGUUUUUAAUGAUUUUUUUUUAUCUCAAAUUUAUAAAUUAAAAAAUUAAUAAAAUAAAAUUUUAAAUCAAAAUUAAAAAUCAAAAUUAAAAUGCAAAAUGCAAAAACUUAGGGAACAGAAUUUUGAAAAACACGCCAGGCUACUUUUUGAUUUCAGUAUCAUAUUUGGUGUUCACAGUUUCAAUUAUUUAUAAUGAAUUAAAUUGAAUACAAUUUUAUCACAUCAAAUGCCAACUUAAAUUAAUCUUCCUUUUUUUUUUACCUUGAGAACUUUAUAAUUAAUUAAAAUAAAUUAUCAACCUCAAAUUUCCAUGAAUAUAAAAUUAAAAAUAAAAUAAUCAGCUCAAAUAAUAAUUAAUUAACGUAUUGCCUGAUAGCAAGGAAGUUGUCAGGAAGCAACCUACCGCUCACCUACCAAACAUGAGAGUGUUUGGAGAUUAUUUUGGUUUUUUUUUUUUAUGGUCAUAUAAAAAAUAUUUCUUUUAAAUUUUAAAAAAUAUAAUGUAUAUUUUAAAAAAUUAUUUUUUUAAUAAAAAAAUUAUCACAUCUCCAUACCAAACACACAUAUUAUAUUAUAAGAUAUAAAAGUUAACAUGUGGACCCCACCAAUGUUGAAACUUCGAAGAAGCUGCCAAGAAAAUGUAAACACAUGAAAUUUUCAAAAAAGAAUAGUAUAUUUAUGCAUGCUGUAAAUGUUUUUUAAAAAUAUUUUUUAUUUAGAAAUAUAUUAAAAUAAUAUUUUUAAAUUUUUUACUUUUUAUAUCAUAAUAUCAAAAUAAUUAAAAAAUAUUAAAAAUAUAUUUUUAAAAAAUACAUUAGGAUUGUAAAGAUAAACCAGUUCUAACAUUUAAAUUGUUUUAAAAGUAUUUUUAAAAUGUAAAAAUAAACAGUAUUUAAGGUGUAUUUGGUAGUUUUUAUCCUUCUGCCUUUGAGUGUGUCUAUCAGAGCAGAGUGAUUUUACUUAACCAUGAAAUUUUUGUGAGAUAAAUUAUAAUGAAUUUUUUUCUAUUUUACUAAUAUACCCAAGGUGUUUAUAACUAGAUGCUACUUGCUGAGGUGGAUAUUAGCAACAGAGGAAAGCAUACAAAAGUAACAAAAAAAAAAAUGGAUAGCAAAGACGAAAGCAUAUGAAGCUAACAAAAUCAACCCCACCAUUUCUCAAAUAUUCAGAUUUUAAAAAACACAUGGAAAUAAUAAUUUAAGAAGAAACAUGUUUUCAAGCUGUGUCAAAUGCAGAAUGCUUUAAUUAAUACGAGGAAAAUCUUGUUGAUAAUAUAGUUCGGUAUAGCGCACUGCCAGUUUAAAAUUACAAUCAUUAUUGAUUUUUAAAGUAUUUUUUAUUUAAAAAUAUAUAAUAAUUUCAGAAUCAUGUUUUUUUAAAAACUUAAUACUUUUUAUUUUAAAUUAAUUUUUUAAAUAUUUUUAGAUUAUUUUGACAUUUUAAUGUUAAAAAUAAAUUUUAAAAAAUAAAAAAUUAUUAUUUUAAUAUAUUUUAAAUAAAAAAAAUAAUUAAAAAAAAAUAUUAUCACACCAUCAAACCUUAUCUUAUUCUAUGAUAGUAUACCUGAACUUUUCCACACAAAUGGAAUUUUUUUUUUUCCAACACUCUUCUACAGAUUUUAUAUUCCUAGCCCUCGACCUAUAAAGUAUGAUUUGCUUCCAAUCUGCACACUAGUUUUCCAUUAAUACAAAGAUGAUCGUGUUUUUUUGUUGCUAAAAUUGCCGGCCAAUAAUUUAAGAGGUGCGUUUAUUUAAGAGGUACAUCAGUCAAUGAGUUUGGAGUACAAAUUUAUAUUUUCCAUUUCUAUAAAGUAUGAUUUGCUAUCCAAUCUGCACACCAGUUUUUCAUUAACACAAAGAUGAUAGUGUUUUUUUUUUUUUUCUGCCAAAAAUUAUCAACCAAUAAUUUUCCAUCAUUUUCCGAGUUUUUUCAGUGACUUUUUGUCAGUUAAAAAUAUAAAGAUUUUUGCGGUGAUUUUAGCCCAACUUUGGGGUAUCGAGUCUCCACUGAGAAAUUAAAAGAAUAGAAAAAAAUAUUACAUGGAGACAAAUUAAGAGAAUAGAAGAAAAUAUUAAAUGAUUUAAUAGAGAAAAAAAUUUAAUUUUAAAUGCAAAUUAAAAUAAAGCAAGGUGACUAAUGGAGAAAGUAGUGGAAUUCUACAAAGAGUAGAACGUCGAAAAUCCUUGCACACAUUUGAUAUUUUAAUUAUUCUUAUUUCGUUUAAUAACUCAAUUGAAAAUUCAAUUCCCAGAAUAUCCGCUUUCGAAAAAUCAUUCAUCACUUUUAAAUACGCAAAUGAUUAUUAAGAAAAUUCAACGACAACAAUAUACUCAAGAGCAAUAUUACAGUAAAGAAAUCAAAUCAAUACAGAUAAAUAUAUGAUCCAAAUAUAAUAAAGAAUUAAUCCAUUUAAUUGAAAAAAAACAUGACUGAAUCCAUAAACUACGUCGCCGUGGUCCCACAUGUUUUUAAAUACAUGCAGGCUGGUUCAAAGUGAAUUUCACGACUUUGGGCCUUGACUUGUCUGUGAGAGCUUCAACUCUACAUUGAAAUGUUUUUUCUUAAACUGUGAGAGCCUCAUAAUAAGCUUAUUGAAAUAAAUUAUUAUAAUGAAAUUAAAAACAAAAAUGCUUAAAAAAAAACAGAGAGACGCCGUGUUUUCUCUGUUGCUACAAGGUAAAAGUCUGAGCAUAUUUAUUUUUUUAUUUUUAUUUUUAUUUUAAUAAUAUUACUGUUAUAUCUACCGCCUAGAAAUCAAGAACGCUAGUUUCAUUUAAAAGAUUCUAAAGUUCAUAUUUAGAUAAAUUAGCAGAAAGGACGAAAACACAACAAAUCAUACCCAGAGAAGAAAUGCAGCGUGCCCACUUGGAAUUACACAUCAUCCAAAUUCCAGGGCAAAUAAUUGGUUGGAAUUGUUUUUUGAGGAGUCAUCUCAAAUUUGAAAAUAAAAACAGAAAAUAGAUCCAGCAAAUGAUUCCAAAUAUCUUCUAAAAAGAACAAUGAAAUAUGUUUUUUAUUUACUGUAAGGAAAUAUAUUAAUGGAAAAAAUAAAAAAAAUCAAUUUAAAAAAUAUAUAAUAAGUCAAAAUCUAGACUUAAAAUCUAACUCGUAUCAGGUUCCUAGUUGAAUUGAAUAAUUGAAUAAAAAGGUGGGAAAGGGAGACAUCGAAAGGUGUCAAAUAGAAAAAAAAGAAGAAAAAAAGAUGGUGGCUGGUUCAAAGGACGAGCUUAAUCUCAUGAAUCAUUUUUUAACCUUUAUGGUAAGACUUGACACGUGUGCUCUAAACCCUCCUGUCCCUCUUCCAUUAGCGUAAACCUAUGCUUCUCUGGACUUAAUUUGAUCCCAAUAAACCAAUCCAUGGAGUUGGUGCUAAUGUAAUUGAUAUAACUUUUUAAAUUAUUUUUAUUUAAAAAAAUAUCAAACUAAUUUUAAUGUGUUGGUAUUAAAAAAAUUUAAAAAUAUUCUAAAAAUAUAUUUUUAUUUGAAAAAUAUUUUUUUAAAAAACCGUAUGUAGAAUUAUUAAACACCCUUAAGCCAGUGGACAAAGACACAAACGACAAAAUACAAAGGAAAAGGGAUAAAAGCAUAUAUUUGGAGAUGAUAAAAGGGCAUGAGAUCAAAGAGGAUAAGUUUUCCAGUGAUGGGAUUGGAUGGUGAUGAAGGAUUGUGUGGAUAAGAGCAUAGUAAUUAAUCCUUUACUAAAAAGUUCUUCAAUGACCUAAUUCUGUGGCCCAACAAAAUUAUCAUUAUCCAAUAAACUAUUUGAUUAAUUCAGUGUUGCUUAAUCCCAGUUUGCUAUUGCGUUUUAAAUGGGUAUUGGUUAAAAUCAGAACCCAUUUAUGUUUCUCCAUUAUUUCUUUUUUCAAUUCGACCACUCUAUGCAGCUCCUCAUUUUCAUUAGAAAUAUUCAGACCAAUACGUCUUUCAUUUCCACCAUGUUCUGCACAUCACACAUAAUGACAUCUUUGUUUAGCGAUGGAGCACAGAGUUGAUCAUAAUAAAUAUCUUCCAUGGUCAAGACACAAUGAAUCUCCAUCACAACCCAACAUCAUUAGCUUAUCUGCUAUCCCUUUCAAGAGAAGAAGAUUUCGAAUCAGUCCAUUCAUUCCCAUCUGUAGGCAUCUUUCUCAAACAUUAAGAAAAAAAAUGAAAAAUAAAUAAAAAAGGAAAUUUUUUUAUCUUAAGCUAUAUAUCCAACACUCACUUGAAAGAUAUUGAUAACCAUGCAAGCAGUUUACAUGUCAGUAUUUGACAAGGGGUGGGAGAUAUUGGAAACAAAUUAGAGUACACAAAUAGAAUGUACUUGGUGAAUUGCCCGCGCGGUGCCGGGGUCAACAUGAACUGAGAAAAACCUAAAAGCACUGAGAUCGAACUGAGCAACCAUGUGCAGUAAGCUAUUUGGCUGCCAGAACAAUUCAAAAAGGGCCUCCGAUUAAACAUCCCGAGGGCAAAUGUAAACACAUGAAAUUUUCAAAAAAGAAUAGUAUAUAUAUUUAUGCAUGCUGUAAAUUUUUUAAAAUAUAUUUUUUAUUUAGAAAUAUAUUAAAAUAAUAUUUUUAAAUUUUUUAUUUUUUAUAUCAUAAUAUCAAAAUAAUUAAAAAAUAUUUUUAAAAAACACGUUGUGAAUAAGUUCUAUCAUUUAAAUUUUUUUAAAAGUAUUUUUAAAAUAUAAACAUAAUUUAAAGUAUGUUUGGUAGUUCUUGUGCUUCUGCCUUUGAGUGUGUAUAUUAGAGCAGAGUGAUUUUACUUAACCACGAAAUUUUUGGGAGACAAAUUAUAGUGAAUAUUUUUCUAUUUUACCAAUAUACCCAUGGUGUUUAUAACAGAGUGAUGCUACAUGCUGAGGUGGAUAUUAGCAACAGAGUAAAGCGUACAAAAGUAACCAAAAAAAAAUAUUGUGUUUUUUAAAAUCUGAAUAUUUGAGAAUUGGUGGGGUUGAUUUUGUUAGCUUGAUAUGCUUUCCUCUUUCCUCUUUGCUUUUCAUUUUUUUUUGUUACUUUUGUAUAAAUUAGUGAAUUUUAUCUUAGUCCAUUAGAAAUUUGCCUUUCCAAUUUUUUUUAAAAACAAAGAAAAGUAAAAUUCAAGACUUAUGUCUGUUUGACAACACCAGUCUAAUGGACUCGUGUUGUUGAAAUAACUUAAUAUUCUAAUAAAGUUUGUUACUGAAUAUAUAUUCUCCAAAUCCUUACUAAAUUAUUAGAAAGUAACAUUAUAAUAUUUUUAGGUCUGCUUAAUUUAUUUGGUUUAAAAUAAUUUUUUAAUAUAGUAUCAGAUAUUUAAUAACUUAUGAGUUAUUUGUUAAGUUAAUUUAAAUUAAUUAUUUUUAUUAAAAUAAUAUUAUUUCAUUAUUUUUUAUUAAUCUAGUCAAAUAUGAACUAGAUUGGUUUUAUUAAAUUUAUCAAAUUUCAUCAAAUUAAUAUUUUAUUUGAUACAAUUACAAAUUCAAUUUUUUUAAGGUCAAUAUUUAGAAAUAAAUGAAUAAAUAAAUAAAAGCUACAUACCAAUAUUUAAUUUAAGUAACCUCAAAGACUACUAAUUUAGCUUUUGAUAUUAAAAGGGUGUAUGUCUUUAUUCUCUGUCUAGUUGAUGAGGCAAAUAUCAGGCUAAUAGCUUUUUAAGUGAGUUUAGAUAAUAACUAAUAAUAUAUCCCUAGUGAUUCCCCUAAUGAUUAUAAAAUAUUGCGUGGGAAAUGCAGGUGAAGAAUUAGAAACAAGGAAAAAUGUCGACACAAUGAAAAUUAAUUGUUAUAUAAUUGUACAUGGCAUACACUUUAAAGCUCUGAACUUCAGUAAAUGAUUUAAUAGAGAAUAAAAUUUAAUUUUAAAUGCAAAUUAAAAUAAAGCAGAGUGACUCAUGGAGAAAUUAAGCACAACUGGAAUUCUACAAACAGUAGAGCGUCGGGAAUCCUUGCACACCUUUGGUAAUUUAAUUAUUCUUAUUUCGUUUAAUAACUCAAAUAUAAUAAAGAAUGAAUCCAUUUAAUAGAGAAAACAUGACUGAAUCCAUAAACCACAUAAAUCCCUUUUUGUUAUCUGGUGCAAUUCCCACGCGUCUUCUUUAUUCCAAAUGCCCCUCUUUUCAAAUUAGGCAUCUUCAAUCUCCUUUUUCAUCACGUCUCCAUGAUCCCCGUUGUGUCACAAACAAAUUGCCUAAAGUUUAGGAUUUUUUUUUGGCAGCCACAUACAUGCUUUAGGAGUUCCUUUUUUGAAAUCCUCAUCAUAGAGUAAUUUGUAGCCCUUCAAGAUACCUUUCCAACGCGUCAAGAAUCACAGCAAUCCGAUAUGUGAGUGGAAAGUUAUGAUUAAAAUACUUUAGUUCAAAGUGAAAUUUCACGACUGCUGGCCUUGACUUGUCUGUUUAAUUUCUAUUAUUUUUAUUCACAUUUUAGCAUUUUAUUCCAAUGAUAGAACGCACUUUCAUAGACUCAUCAAAACCCCACGAACGUCAUCAAGCUUUAGCUUCAAACAACCAGAUCGGGAGAUUUAGUGCAGUGGAGAACUUCAACAUCUACUAUGAAGCUUGAUUUGCUAUCCAAUCCACACACAAGUUUUCCAUUGAUACAAAGAUACUGUAUUUUUUAUACAAAGAUACUGUAUUUUUAACCGUCUAGUAAAUAAUUUAAUGGUAAAAAUUUAAGAUCAAGAGAUUUACUAUCUACUGUGGUCUCAAGUUCGAGUCAUGUGAUUGUCAAUAUUAAUGGUUACUGGAAGCUUACUUGCUCAUUAAUUUUAAAAUUUGUAAAAAUUAGUUAAUGUGCGUGUAAGUUGAUCUAGAUACCCCCAAUUAAUAAAUAAAUAAAAAUGGUGUAUUUUUGUUGCCGGAAAAUUGUCCACCAAUAACUUUUUAUCUUUUUCCAAGUUUUCUAGGUGACUUUUUUCUUUCAUCUCAAAAUCAUGGAUCAAAAGUGAAUAAAAUAAAAUUUUGAAUCAACACUAAAAAUAAAAAAAUAAAAAAUGCAAAAAGUCUAGUGAUCAAGAUUUUUAAAAUCACGCCUAUGCUACUUUCUAGUUUUAAAUAUUCAAAACAAGGCUCAUUAUCAUAUAUUCAUAGAGACAUACCAAUGUAGCUUUUGAUGUUUACCGGUUUGGGUAUGUCCAUAUACUUUUAAAUAUUUUUUAAAAUUUAUAUUUGUUUAUAAAAAAUAUUAAAUUAAUAAUUUUUUAGUUGUUUUUAAUGAUUUUGAUGUAUUGAUAUUAAAAAUAAAAUCUAAAAAAAUUAUUUUUAAAAAAUAUUCUAUAUAACAGUAUCAAACACAUGAUAACCUGGUCCAAAAGCUUUCGACCGAGCAUAAAAUGGUUUUCAACCCAAUCAUACUUUUUCCUCAUUAUAAAUAUAAAAUAAAGUUCAACUAUUCAAGUUAAGUAGGGUCCAAUCAAGGUUGUUAAAAUCACGAUUUUAACAUGAAACAGAAAGUCUUUCACAAAUUCGGAUCGUAAAAUCAUAAAAAAAUCGUAAGGAAUUUUAAAAUAUAUUAAAAAAAAUUCAUAUUUCAAAAUAAUAAUAAAAUAUUAAUUAAAUUUUAAAAAAAAUAAAAAGAACAGGAGAAUUGCAAUGCCAAAAGAUGUCGUCGAAAGGGAUUGGAGAACAUUUUAUUGUUAUUUUUUUAGGUUUUAAAUGAUAACAAUCAGUAUUAUGGAAAUUCCAUCCUGUCACAGUAAUUGAUAACAAGCAGCACUAUUUUGUGGCCCACACUUUUGCCAUUUGUCCAGGAGACUUCAAGCCUUCAAGGCCGAAGCAGAGAAGCGAAGACUGUGCCAUUUGUCCAGGAGACUUCAAGCCUUCAAGGCCGAAGCAGAGAAGCGAAGACCGAAGAUGAAGAAUUGAAGACCAAAGACAGGUGGACAUGGGGCGGGGGACUUUCAGUGCAGGUUUUAGAAAUUAUAUUGAAAUCGUAAAAUCGGUCCUGAUAUCGCGAUUUUGCAUGAUAUCAUCUAAUUUUUGCGAUUUUACCUGAUUUCAACCCGAUUUUACUCAUUUUCAAUUUUUUCAACCGAUUCAACCCGUAAUGCAUGUUUUGACUCGUAAAAUCAUACGAUUUUACAAGUCAAAACGCGAUUUUGACAACCUUAAGUCCAAUCUUAAAUGGUUCAAACAUUAUUGUUAGAACGUGACAGUGUCCCAGCAUUAGUAGUGUAGCACGUGCCAUGUCUUAAGCUUAUGUGAUCCGAAAACAAGGCAAUUGAUAAAAAACUGAUGUAUAUUACUCUUUCACACAGGAUGCUUAGAAUAAUACAAUGAAUUGAUCAAAUGAGACUAAGGCUUAAAUAGCCAGAACAAGAAACAACAGAAACAGCUAAAAAUAAGUUCACGUCUUCAACACCCUGAAGAUGUGGAUCCUUGCUUAAAAAUAGGUAAAACUAAAACAGAAUAUCAAAUGCUAACAACACUGUCCUAAUAGCUAGGACACUUAUUAAAAUUAUUAAGACUAAGUCUAACAAUUGCUCCCCUAAACUGAACAUGCUUGAAGCAGUUUAGUUUAUUUCUUCAGCUGAAUUCACCCCAAGUGCAGCUCUGAAUUUCUCGAACAGUUCCAGCCUUAGAGGCUUGGUCAUAAUAUCAGCCAGCUGCUCAUUUGUACCACAAUGCUCUAUGUCAAUUACUUCAUCCUUUGUAAGAUUCCUCAGAAAAUGGAAUCUUACGUCAAUAUGCUUACUCCUACCAUGAAGAACUGGAUUCUUGGCAAGUUUUAUUGUAGAAGAAUUAUCACACAGAACUUUGACACACUUCCUUUCAGUACCUCCAAUUUGUUUAAGUAUCUGUUGCAACCAAAUACAUUGACAUGCACAAGACGCAGCUGCCACAAACUCUGCUUCUGUAGUUGAGAGUGUCACCACCGGCUGUUUCUUUGAUGACCAAGCCACUGCUCCUCCACUUAGCAUGAAAACAUAUCUAGAAGUGCUUUUUCGAUCAUCCAAGUCCCCUGCAUAGUCACUAUCUGUAUAAGCUAGCAUCUCAUCUUACAUCCCUUUCUGUAGAAUACACCAAGAUCAGUAGUGGCUCUAAUAUAUCUGAGAAUUCUUUUGGCUGCCAUCAUGUGAGAUUCCAUAGGAUUGGCCAUGAAACGGCUUAUCAGACACACACUAUAAGCCAAGUCAGGCCUUAUGACUGUUAUAUACAUUAAACUCCCCACUAUUUGUUUGAACAAGGUUGCAUCUGCCUUCUUGCCAUCUUCUUGUUUUGUCAGUCUAUUGCUUCCUGGAACCAUGGGAUUCUUAACACCAUUACAAUUUUCCAGCCCAAAUCUUUUCAAGAUUUCUUCUGCAUACUUUUUCUGACCAAUAUGAAUGCCUUUGGAACUUUGCCGAAUUUCAACUCCCAGAAAAUACUUCAUUUCACCGAGAUCAGUCAUUUCGAAUUCCUUUUUCAUUGACUCUUUGAACUUGCUCACCAUAAUUGAAUCAUUGCUAGUAAAAAUGAGAUCAUCGACAUAUAAACUUACAAUUAGAAUUCUGUUCUUCUCUUCCUUCUUUAUGAACAAUGUGUGUUCAUAGCUACUUCUCUCAAAUCCCUCCUUAGCAAAAUAACCUUCAAUUCUGUUAAACCAUGCUCUUGGUGCCUGUUUUAAGCCAUAAAGUGCUUUCUUCAAUUUAUAAACUUUCUUCUCUUCCCCGUUAAUCUCAUAGCCUGGAGGUUGUGCAAUGUAUACAUCUUCAUUCAACUCGCCAUAAAGAAAAGCACUUUUGACAUCAAGUUGAAAAAGUGUCCAUCCAUUCCUUGCUGCCAAAGCUAUCACUGUGCGAAUUGUGUCCCACCUAGCAACUGGGGCAAAAACUUCAUUGUAGUCUACCCCCUUCUCUUGUGCAUAUCCUUUUGCCACAAGCCGAGCCUUGCAUUUGUCCACCUCUCCAUUUUCAUUUAACUUGGUUUUAUAAACCCACUUUACUCCAAUUAUUUUUGCUUGCUUUGGUGCAUCAACAAGCUCCCAGGUCUCAUUCUUUAAGAUUGCACCAAUCUCCAUAUCCAUUGCAUCCCUCCAUUGUUUCAUUUUUGCAGCUUCUUCAUAAUAAAUAGGAUCAGCAGAAACCAUAAACAAUGAAAAACUUUGUACCUCUUCUUCUGCUUCAAAGUUUCCCCUCUUAUGUAGUCUUGAAGAUAGGCUGGAGCUCGAGUGACUCUUCUCUCGGGCAGAGCAGGUGCUGCAGCAUUACUGGGGAUGCUACCGUGAGAUAUUGCAGCAUCAUUGGAUUGACUGGAUUCUCCUUCUUCUAGUGAUUCUUCAGUUUCAUUUUCUUCAUCACUGGAGGCAUAUAUGUCUGCAUCAACUUCUCCCCAAUCAAGCAUAUCAUUCUUGUCUUCUUCUGUUCUUCUCCAAUCCCAGCUUUGCUCUUCUUCGAACACAACAUCUUUACUAACUAUCACUUUUUUUGUUAUGGGAUCAACCAUCUUGUAUCCUUUGGACUCUUCACUAUACCCCAGCAUCACACACUUUUGACUCCUGGCAUCCAAUUUCAGCUUCUGUGGAUUUGAUACAUGCACAUUUCCUAUGCAUCCGAACACUCGGAAAUAAUCAACAUUAGGCUUGACUCCACUCCAGCAUUCUUCUGGUGUUUUAUUCUUUACAGCAGAGGUUGGGCUUCGGUUGAGGAUAUGGCAUGUCCAUUUCACAGCAUCUGGCCAAAAACGAGCAGGCAUCUGUUUCUCUUCUAGCAGACAUCGUACCAUGUUUAGAAUGGUACGAUUUUUGCGCUCCGCAACUCCGUUUUGUUGAGGAGUGUAAGUUGUUGUCAACUGUCUUUUAAUGCCUUCAAUUCUGCAAAAUUCUGUGAAUUCUUUGGAGGUGAACUCCCCUCCUCUAUCUGUUCUUAACCCAGCAAUAGAUAGACCAGAUUCUUUUUCCACAGCAUUUUUAAAACUUUUGAAUGUCAUGAAAGUUUCACUUUUCUCAUGCAGGAAAUACACCCAAAGUUUUCUACUCAUGUCAUCAAUGAAGGUCAACACAUACCUUUUGUUGCCAUGUGAUUCCGGAGUGAUAGGUCCGCAAAGGUCUGAGUGUAUGAGCUGCAGCUGCUGUGUUGCUCUCCAAUUGCUUUUCUUUGGAAUAAUUUCUCGGUGCUGUUUUCCUUUCAUGCAGCUUGUACACACAGAGGUUGGCACUUGAAACUUUGGAAGUCCUUGGACAAGUUCCUUUUGUUGCAGUAAAUUCAGACUUGUGAAGCUUAGGUGGCCAUAUCUUUUAUGCCAUAAAUCACCGAGAUGAUUGCUGCUCACAUUUAAACAAGUAGAUGAUGCAUGCAGCACAAUAUUUGCCAAUACUACGAACAUCCUAUUUGAUGUCAUCUGUGUAUGCAUAAUUAAACCCCUUCUAGGAUGAUAAACUCUACACUCUCCAUUUUGCAUCAAAAUAGCCAAAUUUUUCUCUUGCAACUGGCCAAUGCUCAACAGAUUAUUUUUUAAUUCAGGAACAUAGUAAACUUCUGAUAUUACUUGAGUUAUACCUUCUAUUUCAAGUCUGAUGUUGCCCUUCCCUUCCACUGGCAUUCUGAGGUUGUUUCCAAGUUUCACCGAGUGACUGAAUUCUUCAUCUAGUUCCACAAACCAUUGUUUGUUUCCUGUCAUAUGGUUAGAGCAACCAGAAUCAAGAAACCAUACGACCUCUCUCUUCGAAUUGUGAAGUUCAACGUAAGACAUCAAAAGGAGUUCUUCUUCUUCAUCCAACUCAGCGUAAUUAGCCCUUUUUUCCCAAUCAGGACACUCAUAUUGAAAGUGUCCCAAUUUAUGGCAUUUGAAACAUUCAACCAGAGCCUUGUUGGAUGUUUGUCUGCCUCGUCCUCUACCUCGUCCUCCUCUAUACAUGCUUCUGCCUCUUCCUCUGGUUGAUCUCUCAUCAUAUGCGACUUUCAACACCUGUUCCUCUAUUUGUUGUCCUUGCAUCCUUUGUUCAUGGACAAGCAGGCUUCCAUGUAAUUCAUCAAUACUCAGGACACUUAGAUCAUUUGACUCCUCUAUUGAACAAACAACAUAGUUAAAUUUUGGAGUCAAUGAUCUAAGUAUCUUACCCACCACUGUGCUUUGUUCCAUCGCCUCACCAUUUGUUUUCAUUUUGUUAACCAAGGCUAGAGUUCGACCCAAGAAGCUGUCAAUUUUCUCUCCUUCUUUCAUGGCUAGUAACUCGAAUUCCUUCCUCAAAGCUUGAAGUUGUGCUCUUCUAACCUUUGUGGACCCUUGAUAUUUCUGCUUCAUUGAGUCCCAAAUAGCUUUUGAUGUUCUCUUGUCGAGAAUUGUCUCCAAAAAUCUCCCUUGUCAAUUGCUUGAAACAAGAAAUUUUUAACUUUCAAGUCUUUGAGUUUGAUCUCCUCUACACUCUUCCUCUGUGCCUCACUUGCUGCUGCAUUUCCAACAGCCAGUGUUGGAAUCCCUUCGUCCACAAGAUUCCACAUCUCCUUGCUCCUAAGGAAAUUCUCCAUUGUCAUUGCCCAGAAAUCGUAAUGGCCAUCAAAUCUCGGAAUGGAAGGCUGCACGAAUUUGUCUGCGGUUGACAUCUCGAUUUUCUCCUCCUUUUUUUUUUUUUUUCUCACACACUCUGUGUUGAUUUUCACUCUCACCCUUUUGUUUUGUCUCACACACUGUGUUUGAUUUUCACUCUCACACACUUUCACUCACACUCGUGUUUGCUCUUACUGUCACACACUCUAUACUUGCUCACACCCCCACACAAUCAGGUCCCCUUUUAGGCUCUGAUACCAAAUGAUAAAAAACUGAUGUAUAUUACUCUUUCACACAGGAUGCUUAGAAUAAUACAAUGAAUUGAUCAAAUGAGACUAAGGCUUAAAUAGCCAGAACAAGAAACAACAGAAACAGCUAAAAAUAAGUUCACGUCUUCAACACCCUGAAGAUGUGGAUCCUUGCUUAAGAAUAGGUAAAACUAAAACAGAAUAUCAAAUGCUAACAACACUGUCCUAAUAGCUAGGACACUUAUUAAAAUUAUUAAGACUAAGUCUAACAGCAAUUGGUGUUUGAUGGAAUUAGCUGUCACUAAAAAUAAAAUAAAUAAAAUCCUCUGUGAACUAAUUAAUUCCUAAAUUAUUUUUUUUAUUGUUUUUCACAAAAUUUAUAAAAAUAAAAAUAUUUUAUUAGAUAUUUUAGAUACUCCACUAUUAUAAUAUUUUAUUUAAGUUUAGAUUUUUAUUUCAAAAUUGAAUUUUAUUUAAGUUUAGAUUUUUAUUUCAAAAUUGAAUUUUAUUUAAUAUAACAAAUAUUACGAUGUUUUAUUUUAUCUGAAAUUUUUUGAAAUGUUAUUUGAUUUUAUUAAUUUAACUCUUGAUUGUCUCAGGUCCUCCAAGGCAUUCCUCCACUCCUUGGUUAACUAUCUCAUGGAGGUUAACUCCCUCCACCUCUCUUACGGAUAAAGUAAAGAAGCCAUUUACACUUCAUAAGAAACCGUAAUAUAACAAACAGAGGAUCUGUAAGUUUCAGAGAACGACAUCAAUUUAAUUAUGCGAAGUUCAAUCUUUUUUCCUCUACAAAUUAAAUCAUGUACGUAAACCUGUUACCUACAUUUUGUAAUAUUUCUGGAUCUGCUCUUUGAUUCAUCAAGGACAGAGUUGAUUGCAGCUUCGUCAUAGAAAAGUUCGUCUUCUUCAUCUUCUUGGUUGGCGAGGAAAUAUAAGUGGACUCUUCUCCAGUUUAAGGAUUCCAACCUAGCACAUGAAUGAUAAAGGACAGAGUCAUCAUUUAAAUAAUAAAGGGACGAAGGACAUCCUUAGCAUUAGGAUGCUCCCAUUCCACCACUGACUCUCACCAUUCUUUUGGAUGUACUCCAUCACUCUAAGAGAAGGGGGAUGAGAUAGCUGGCCAUUUUCAAGCAACGGAAGAUGAAUUGCCAGCCUUUUCAGCAUCUGACAAUUUGAUAUCCCAAUUUGUUGGAGAGAAUCGCAGAUCAAACUCUUUAAAAAUAGAAAUAUACCAUGAUAAGAUGGAGAUGAUGGUGGAGCGGAGCGGAGCAGAGCCAAGAAGACGAAACCAAGCUCUCCAUGUUAUAGCGCUUCCAAAUGUUGGUACUGGCAUUUUAUUGAAAUGAAACUUAGAAUCAACUGUUUUGAAAGCCAUUUGAUAGCUAAGAACUCAGAAUCCAUGAGAUUAAGUAUUUGGCAAAGCCUUCCCCGUGAUUGGAGCAAUCUCACUAAUUUAUCGACGGAAUGGCUAGAAUUGUCUUCCUCUUAACUAAUCUUUAGCAAACCAAGCUUCAAACAAUAAGAGGGAGCUUCAGUUCAGUAGGAAACUUCAACAUCUAUUAUAAAAAUCGUGUUUGGUUACGCUGUGUAAAUUAUGUAUUUAUAAAUUUUAAUUUUUUUUUAUUAAAAAUUAUUAUUAUUAUAUUUUCAGAUUAUUUUGACGUGUUAUAUCAAUAAAAAAUUAAAAAAUAUUAUUUUGAUGUAUUUCUAAAUAAAAAAUACUUUGAACAAUAAUCACUACCACAAUCUCAAACAAACUCUUGUGAUUUGCUAUCCAUUAAUACAAAGAUCGUGUUUUUUUGUUGUUGAAAAAUUAUCAACCAGCAACUUUUUAUCUUUUUCCAAGCUUUUUGGUGAUUUUUAGGUAGCAGCGUGAAGCCUCGCCAAAAGCCCAAGAUUAAAAAUAACCAUGCUCCUAGCCCAAGCCCACCAACAUCACCCCCAGCAGAUUGGAAAAAUGCUCAUAAGUCAUAACCAUUCCGGAAAAAACACACCUAGGCUAGUAUGGUAUACUAGAAAGUGGAAAUAAAUCGAUAUUAAUCAUCAAAUAAAUCGUUAGCAGAAACCAAAAAUAAAUAAAUAAAUUGUUCAUGCUACUCCAUCUUAUUGAUGGGAAUGACUUUUGACCAACAUACAUACGACUUUGCUAAAAUUAUCUGACAAAUUAUUAGGCUUAUAAAAACACUUAAUAAAAUCAGAAAAAAAAAAUCAUUUUUAUUCAAUAAAAUAAAAAAGAAAACUCAGGUAAUAAAUAUUCAAUUCACUUUCCAGCCGCCAAUAAAAAAUAAAAGUAUUUUUAUUCAAUAAUACUUCUUGGUAACAAAUAAGCUGCCAAGAAUUAUAUGAGAAUCAAAUCUCUCCGAUCACAUGGUCGUUUAAAAUGCUCAACACUCAGAAAACAAAUUUACAGAAUAAUAAGUCUAGUAAACUUCUUGAUAUAUAUAUAUAUUAUUCAACCAAAUAAUUGCUUGUGACAUAUACAUGGAGAGCUUCCUAGUAUUAAAAAUUUAAGAUUAUCAAAUAAUUAAACUUUUUAUUCAAACCAAUAAAUUUUAUGUGUCCAUGCUACUCCAUCUUAUUGAUGGGAGUGACUUUUGACCAGCAUACAUACGACUCUGCUAAAAUUAUCUGACAAAUUAUCAGGCUUAUAAAAAAACUUAAUAAAAUCAGAAAAAAAAAUCAUUUUUAUUCAAUAAAAUGGAAAAGAAAACUCAGGUAAUAAAUGUUCAAUUCACUUUCCAGCCGACAAUAAAAAAUGAAAGUAUUUUUAUUCAAUAAUACUUCUUGGCUCAUAAAUAAACUGCCAAUAAUUAUAUGAGAAUCAAAUCUCUUCGAUCACAUAGUCGUUUAAAAUACUCAACACUCAAAAAGUAAAUUUACAGAAUAAUAAAUCUAGUAAACUUUUUGAUUUAUAUAUAUAUUAUUCAACCAAAUAAUUGCUUGUGACAUAUAUGUGGCGAGCUUUCUAGUAUUAAAAGUUUAAGAUUAUCAAAUAAGUAAAAUUUUUAUCUAAACCAAUAAAUUUUAUGUGUCUAUUUUAAAAUUUGGUUUUAGAAAGAAAAUCAAAAUGAAAUAUCAAACAUUACCUAUAAAUCUUUAUAUUACAGAUUAACUAUAUCACCCAUUUAUCAUUCUUAAGGUCAAUAUUUAGGAAUAAAUAAAUAAAAGCUACGUAUCAAUAUUUAAUUUAAAUAACCUCAAAGAUUACUAAUUUAGCUUUUGAUAUUAAAAGGGCGUAUGUCGUUACUCUCUGCCUAGUUGAUAAGGCAAAUAUCAGGUCUUCUAUCUCCACCACUCCCUGCUAACUCUUUGCCUCAUAUCUUACGUUAUAUCUAUUAAGUUUGCUUAAUUAAGAUGGAAUAUUUAUGACUUUUAUAUGUAUUAAAUCAAUUUAAUUGUUUUGACUUAUCAUGAUCAACAUGAAGUCAUCAUAUUAUAAAACCAAAAAUCAAUGGUGUAUCUAAUUAUCAAAAAGGUAUAAAUAUUGCUAUGAAGUUAACGUGUGGACCACCCCAAUUAUGAAGCUCGGAAGAUGCCUAGAAAAUGUAAACACGUGAAUAUUGAAAACAAUAACAUACUUUCCUUUUUAAAUUUUUUAUUUUAUUUUAAAUAAUAAUUUUUUAUUUUGAAAAAAAAUUUAAUAAAAAAAUUAAUAAUUUAAAAAGUAAAAAAAAAUCAAUUUUGUUGAAAAACGUGUGCUUUAACAAUGACAUAUUAAAUAUGUGAUUAAUUAAGAGCAUGUGAUUGCUUUUGUUUUUAGUUGUUUUUUCAAAAAAGAUAUAUAGAUAUUUUUAAUGUUUUUUUAUAAUUUUAAUGUAUUAAUAUUAAAAAUAAAAUAAAUAAAUAAAUAAAUCAUGUAGUCUAUUUCCAAAACAAUCUAAUAUUGGAGGUUGAAAUUAAAAAAAAAAAAAUUAAAAAAAUAUAUAUUCGAUCAGUGAAUAAAUCUAUCAAACCAGUGAAUCAGGUAACUUGAGCUAACACAUCAAACUAAUUAACAAGGUUAUGGACUCCAGUAGGAUUAUUUUUUUUUAAUUUUUUUAUUUAACAAUAUGAUAAUAAAAAUGGAUAAUUAUGAAACUAAAUUUUAAACCAACUCAAAUAUGAAAUAGAAAAAAAAAAUUAAAAAAAUUGAUAACCAAAAAAAGAAAAGGGAAAGAAAAAAGAAGAAGCAAAACAAUAUAGAUUAUUAUUGUAAUUCAUAAUGAAAUGGGUGUGAGUGAAUAUUGGUUCUCCCACACCUUUUAGCUUUUUUUUUAAUUAAUAAACAAAAAAAUACUUCAUUAAACCAAUAAACUAGUAUAAAUCACGUUAACUUUAUAAAAAGAUAGAAUAAAAAUAAAUAAAUUAUAAAGUUGAAUUUUAAACCACCCAAUAUGAAAUAAACAAAAACAAAUUUUAAAAAAUAAUAAUAAAAAAAAAAACACAUUAGAUUACUUAUAAUAAUUUAUAAUGAAAUAGGUGUGAAUACGUCUCUUAACUAUUCGUGAGCUUCUUAUUCAUUCUUAGUUUUUCUUGAAGUUAUUCUAUUGAGGAAAAAGAGAAGAAGAAACCCUACCUUUUUUUCCCUCUUCAUAAUGCAUGGAUUUAAGUUGGGUGGAGAUUCAGUAAUCAAAAUAUUUUUUUAUUUUUAAUAUUAAUAUAUAAAAAAUAUUAAAAAUAUUAAUUUAAUAUUUUUUGCAAAAUAAACAGAUUUUUAAAUACAAUCAAACAUAAUUCUGAGUACAAAAACAAAUUACGUUUUGAUUACGAGCAUAACAAUCUUGGCAGUAAGUACCAUGAUCCUUUCCAAUUAAGUUAAUUUUAGGAUUUUUUUUUGGCAACCACAUACAUGUUUUAGGAGUUCUUUUAAUUUAUUAAAUCAAUAUUAAAGUAAAAAAAUUAAAUCAAUAUAGAUAAAUAAAUGAACUAAAUGUAAUCAAACAAUUAAUCCAUUUAAUAGAAAAAACCUUACUGAAUCCAUAAACUACAUUAAUCCCUUUUCUUUUCUUGUUUUUUUUUUUUUCUCUGGUGGAAUUCCCACUAGUCUUCUUUAUGGGCAGCCCCACUUUUAAACCCUCUUUUUCAUCACGUCCCCAUGGUCCCCGUGUCCCACACGUUUUCAUCAAAAACCUAAAUUUUAGGACUUCUUUGGCAGCCAUCUAACAAUAUAUAAAAAUAAUAUUUUUAUUUUUAAAAAAUUAUUUUUAACAUCAAUAUAUUAAAAUAAUCUAAAAAUAUAAAAACAUUAUUUAAAAAAAUCAAAAUUUUUAAAAACACAAGCAUUCCCAAAGAAGGUAACGCGUCAAGAAUCAUAGCAAUCAGACAUGUGAGUGGAAAGUUGUGAUUAAAAAACAUUACUAUUUUUAGAGUGAUUUUGACAGCAUAGCAGGAAACGUCAUUAUUGUUAUUUUUAAAAAAAAAAUUUAUUUAUAAAUAUAUUAAAAUGAAAGUUGUCAAUUUCGUUUCGUUUUAUUUGUAAUGAUUUCAUACCAAUUCAAAAAAUAAAAUAAAACAAAAUAAUUUUCAUCUUAUUUCAAAUCUCAGUCCCUUCCAAAUGUUUCAGCUAAAUUCCAUUCAGAAUGUUCCGGUUUCAUUCUACAUGUUCUGUUCUGGUCUUAAAAAGCCAUUGUAUCAAAUUGAACCUGGUUCAAUUAAUUAAUUAAACCAUCAAAGUAUAAAAAGCUCUUUUUCAUUACUAUUUUCAUUAACUAUGAUAUUAAUUUUUUAAAAUUUGAUUUAUCACUAAUAUAUAUGAUUUAUUUUCAUGUACUUUGUAGGAGUUUAAGCAAAAAAAUAGAUGUUUUAGAUCUCAUUAGCCUUAAUAACAUUGACCUAGCUUUAUAUUUAAAAUAUUAGUGUUAAAAUAUUUUAAUUUCAUAAUAUUUUGAUAUUUUAUUAAAGUUGAAUUGUUUUAAGUUAAAAAUUAUUUAAUUUAAACUAUUUAAAAAUAUUUUAAAUUUUAAAAUUAUAUUUCAUCACGUCUCUAUGAUCCCCGUUGUGUCAAAAACAAAUUGCCUAAAUUUUAGGCUUUAGCAGUUCCUUUUUUAAAAUCCUCAUUAGUGAAAUUUCACGACUCAUUAUUUCUAUUAUUUUUAUUCCAUUUAAGCAUUUCAUACUCAUCAAAACCACUGGAACACAAUCAAGCUUUAGCUUCAAACAACCAGAGGGAGAUUUUAUAGGGAUAAAAUUUUAAAAAUCACGCUUAUGCUACUUUCUAGUUUUAGUAUUAAAUUUAGUAUUUAAAAAAUAUGUUUAUGAAUAUGGCAGUUUCAGGUUUAGAAACCAAAACUGCCAUAUUCAUUCUCUUAGACAUUUUAAAAAUGUGUGUAGAAGAAUACUUUCAAUGUUGAUUUAUAAUAUUAGGUUACUUUAAUGAUAAAUCAAUAUAGUAUUUUUUUUUUUUUUUGGAUUUUCAUCUUGGAGAAAUUCAAUAGGAUGAAAAUAUAAUAUUAAUCAAACUUCAAAUUAUAAUUGUUUAUCUAUCGAGUUAAAAAAAAUAUGACAAUUCAAUAGUCUUUAAAGAAAUAAAAAAAAUGAAAAAUGUUAUUUAUGUAAUUGUAAGCAUACUAUAUUAUAUUACUUUACAAAGGGACGAAGAACAUCCUUUGCAUUAGGAUGCUCCCACUCCACUACUGUCUCCCACCAUUCUUCUGGACGUGCUUGGAUAUUUUGAAGAGAAGGGGGAGGAGAUGGCUGGCCAUUUUCAAGCAAUGGAAGACAAAUUGGCAACCUCUUCAGCUCCUCACAAUAUAUUACAUUAAUAUCUUCAAGAGAAUUGCAAAUCAGUUUUGCACUACAAAUGCUUUUCAAUUUUGGUAAAUCAAACAAUUCCAGAAUUCUUAACUUUGGGAGAAUGACUUCCGUGAUGGAAUUGGAGGUGCUGCUUUCUUCAUCUGCUGUUCCUAUUAUCUCCUCCAUUUUCUCACAAUCAUGAACAAUCCUUUCCAGGUUUACGAGGUUUGGUAGCAACACAAGCGGGAACAGCUUCUUCAUACUUUCACAAUGAUAACAAAAAAACUCUUUAAGACCAGAAAACGUACCGUUACAUGAUGGCAAUCGUGGUGGAGCAGAGCAGAACCAAGAAGAUGAAACCAAGCUCUCCAUGUUAUAGCAUUCCCGAAUGCUGAUGCGCUCCAGUUCAGUUGCAUUCUCUAAUGACAAAACAUCACAUAAACUUCUUGCAUCGAUGCAUUCACAAAUCAGUCCUUGAAUGCCAUUUAAGAACUUGACCUGAAAAUCUCUAUCUCCGUUGAUACUCAAAUUACCCAACCCAACUGUUUUACUUGGAAAAUAUUCAAUGCAUUGCUCUAAAUAUCUACCCACCUCUCCUACUAAAAUCUUGCAUGUGCUUAAUGAUUGGAUCCCAUCCCGAGAUCUGAGAUACUCCACAAAGUCAGAAAAACCUUUGAAAUGGCACUUCAAAGUUUCCAAAUUUCUCAAGGAUCCUACUUCCUUUCCUUUAACUGAUAUCGGAGCACUCGUAAACUUUUGUAGUACAAAGACUUGCAGGUGAGAGAGUUUUGGUAAUAUCCCACUAGGAAACUCCUUUUCACCACAUCCAUUCAUUAUAAGAUACCUCAGGUUGUUUAGGCAUUCCAUUCCUUGCGGCAUCUUUUCAAGCGCAGUACAAGAGAGGGCCAACCUCUUCAGUUCCCUUAGCUUCUUUAAUGAUGGAACACGUCUUAAUUUCUUACAAUAAUUGAGCAAUAAUGCUGUAAGACUCACCAAAUCAGAGACAGAGUCUGGCAAGUUUUCAAUACCUGUGCAAGACAGAUCGAGGACCUUGAGCCUAUGCAAUUGCUUGAAAAAUGAAUCCGCAACAAAUCUCAACCCUUUAUUAUCACAUAGAAAUAGAGUUGAUAGAUAGGGACACCUUGGUGAAUAGCUGGAAGGAAUUUCUUCUAUCUCGUUUCUCAUUAGUGAAACCAUCGUCAGAUUCUCCGUCCACUCCUCUGCAUCUGGCAACUCUUUUAAUUGCGCACCUGCUUUAACCAUGACUUCAUAUUUGUCUUGCAGUAUUUUGAUGGCCAUGUCCCUAAUCAAGUCAUGCAUCUUGACACAUAUAGUAUCAUGGUACUCCAUUUUAGCAUUUUCCAAUAGGCAGACAUUUACAAGUCUAUUAAGCAUCGUGUGGCCCUCAUCAAAUGCAUCUCCCCUGCUCCUCUUUCCUUUAAUUAUUCCCUCAUCGAUCAAAUAACCUAUCAACUCCUGCCUUGCAAUCAUAUCAUCUUCAGCAAAUAAUGCACAGUACAAGAGACAUCGUUGUAGUGCAAAAUCACCUAACUGAUUAUAACUAAACCUCAAUAACCUGAAUACUUUCUUAUCUAUGUCCCUAAAUUCUGAUUCUCUCAAUUUGUUCAAUGUAUUUCUCCACUCAUGUGGGUCAUCCACUCCCCUCAAGCUUCCUGCCACUGCAAUAAUUCCCAAUGGCAAACCAGCACAUUCCCCAGCAAUAUCUUUGGCAAUUCCUUCCACUUCUGGUAAAAGUGCUAUGUCACGUCCAAGUUUUUCCAUGAACAAAGUCCAAGCUUCUCCCUCCGAAAGUAGCUUCACUUUGAUUUUGUGGUGGCAAGCCAUCCGAAGACAAACCGUUUCUGAUCUAGUUGUCAUAAUCAGCUUGCAUCCUUUCAACAGCACAGGAAUUCCCACUUCAUCAAGCUCAAAAUUGUGCCACAAAUCAUCUAAAAUGAGAAUCCAUUUUUGUUUCGUCCUUAAUUCUUCUGACAAUUUGACAGCUCUAUGCACAUCAUCAUCUUCGUUUGCAAGGUUUAGAUCAAGACAUUUAGCAAUAAGAUUCUGCAAUCUAUUAAUGCUGAAAUCUUGAGAUACAAUCACCCACCAAACAUGAUUACAAAUAUCUUUUCUUUGUAGAAGCUCAUUAUGGACAUGUUUUAGUAUUGUUGUUUUACCAACUCCUUCCCAUUCCAUAAAUGCCAAUGGUUGAGACUUCAUCAUCCAUUAACAAAGACCAUAUCACCUUCUUAUUCUCUUCAAAUGCUCGACCCACUGGCUUUAUAGAGCUAGUAGGUAAUGGAACUCCUCUAGUCUCACUUGUGUUGUAUUUAAGGCUUAUAGAAGAUCUAGCUCCAGCGUCAGGCCGCACUGAUCUUCCACUAUUCUCCAUAUCCUCCUCCACUGGUUCUGUCCUCACUCUAACCAUGUUCUGCACAUCAUACAUAACGACAUCAUUGUUUACUGAUGGAGCAAAUAGUUGGUCAUAAUAUCUUCCAUGAUCAAGACACAAUGGAUCUGUUGGUUGGGAUGAAUCUCCUCGAGGCUCAUCAGCUUGAUUAAUUGAUGGCCUCUCACAAGAGCUACCUCUCUCCAGAUGCUGCACUUGUUCUGUUCUCGCUACAGUUUCAAAUCCAUCAUGCAUUAAAUAUUGAUCCACUACAUCCUCAUCUUCCUGCAUUAAAUAGGUAGAGAUUUCAUUCAGCUGCUGCUCCUUUGAAAGGGCAGAGUGUAUCUGAACCCAAGUACCAUCAGCAAAUUGAUCCACUAAAUCUGUUCCUGGUGUUGCUUCUCCUCUAUUCUCAUGAGCAUCAACUCUGAGUCUCCAAGGAGAGAGACUUCUGUCAACAUGCUGAAACGAUCCUUCACCAGUGUAUUCCAUGCCACUUGCCGCUUCUAAACGCCAAUGAAUUCUCUCAGGCCCAACACCUUGUGCCAAAUUAAUAAGUACUGCAUUGUCUUGUUCUUGUGGACAGGUGGAAAUGUCAACAUUGCUUGAACUUGCUAUGCUUUUAUGUCUUUUGUUGCCAACAUGCAUAGCUAGAAAGGCUGCUUCUUGAACUUCUUGAGGCACCUGACCACAAAUGCCAACACCACGCCCUCUCUCUCCUGAUAAAUGCCAUUUGAUCCUCGAAAUGGAAGUACCAUUGGCAAAUAAAUGACCACAAAACUUACACUUCAUGCUUCCAUCAUUCAUAUCUUCAACUUCCUUCCAAAACGGAUCAUCUGAUCUAACCAUUUUGUCCUAUAGAUAAAAAGGGUCAAAAUAUUGAAUAAAAAUUAAUGGAAGUACAUUAAUUGGAAAAGGAAGGUUGAAACUAAAAUAAUAAGUUACAAACAGCAAAGAAACUAAGAAGAAAAAACAAUGAAUUCAAGGUUAACUUGGGGUCAAUUUAUUAUGAACUCCUUAAGGCAUGGAUUGUUACAACUGAGAAAGAUCAAAUUAUUUAUUUUUGGAAACUGUUGAUGAUCCUAACUCCAAAGUUUCUCAUUAGAAUUUCUACAACUUGUGUUUUCCUUGAAAGAUUCAAACCAGAGUUACAUGUGAAAAACAAAAUGAAGAAGAUGGAUUAUAAAUAAUUUACCUGGAUUCAAGUUGUCUUCAAGUGCUGGUUUGCUUAAGUAGUAUUCAGGAAAAAAACAAGAACAGAGAAGAAUAUAUGGUUAAAAAUAACAAGGAAGUUGCAAGAUGUUUAGCUCCGGAUGAUUCGAUUCAAUCGGAAAAGGAAGCACUGAUCAUCAGAAAGGUUUAAGAAAUUUGAUGAGGGAAAUUGGGAAAUCAAUGGUAUAAUGAGAUGAGAUUUGGAAGAGAAUGUUACAGUAGCAAAGAUUAUUGUAUUGUUUGAGAAGAAGGAAGUUGCUAGAAAGAAAGCCACAAACUUUAUCUAAUUUGCUUUUCUUUUGUCUAGCGCUGCAUAUAAUAAAAAUCUUCAACAUAAGAAUUAGAAGCUAAUUGCUGACUGAGUUAACGUGUGGCCCACCCCAUUGUUGAAACUUUGAAAAAGCUAUGCCUCUCACUUCAUUAUCUGAUCCACUCCAACUUCCAUUCCCUACAGAUUCAAUAUUUUUUUAAGGUCAGUAUUUAAAAAUAAAUGAACAAAUAAAUAAAAGCUACGCACCAAUAUUUAAUUUAAGUAACCUCAAAGACUACUAAUUUAUAUUUUUAUAUUUUGAUAUUAAAAGGGUCUCUAUCUCCACUCGCUGGCAACUCUUCUUUAAAACAAAAGGCGGAUGACAUGGAUAUGGCUUAGAAAUUAUAGAGAAUCUGUGAGUUCCAGUUUUGUAUAUAUCUUGGUGUGCUUCUCAUUAGUGAAAAAGGCUAAAUGCUGUUUAUUGCUUUUCUUUUGUCUAGCGCUGCAUAUAAUUAAAAACUUCAACAAAAGAAUCAGAAGCUAAUUGCUGGCUGAGUCAACGUGUCGACCCACCCCAUUGUUGAAACUUAGCUUCAAGAGCUGUAAGUACUAUGCUAUGAAUGAUGCCUCUCAUCAAUUUUAUCUAAAUGUUGUUUAUUGCAUUAGUGAAAAAGCUAAAUGCUGUUUAUUGCACGCUGCUAAUUGAGAAAUACAGAACUCAGUUCAACCCAGCAAGUUGCUGCAUCAGAGUUAAAACUCCAUAGCAGUCAGCACAAUCUAUGAAGAUAAAAUUGAAAACAAAACAAUCAAUGACUAAAAUUAAAAAAAUGCAUCUAAGGCUUAGAAAAAACUGAGAUAAAACACUAUUUUUCUCUCUUGAUACAUGGUAGAAGCCUGAGCAUAUUUAUUUAUUUUUAAUUUUAAUUUUAAUAAUAUUUGUGUUCUUUCUACCCCGAGAAAUCAAGAACGCUAAUUUCAUUAAACAAGAUUCUAAAGCCCGUAUUUAGAUAAAUUAGAAGAAAGGACUCCAACCCUAGCGCAAAAGACCUAUAAACUAGCCUAACAAAUCAUACCCAGAGAAGCAAUAUGUUUAUUGACAUAAAUAAUUCUAAAUUUAAUAAGUCUAUUUAAUAAAAAAAAAAAUUUGAGCUAGCUUGUUUCUGGCUUUUGCUUCUCUGGGUAUGAUUUGUUAGGCUAGUUUAUACUUUAUAGGUCUUUUGCGCUAGGGUACGUGGUUAAAAUCAAGGUUGUCAAUUUCGUUCCGUUUUGUUCUACUCGGAAAGGCCGAAACAUUCCAUACCAAUUCAAAAAACAGAACAAAACGGAACAAAUUUCACAUCAUUUUAAAUCUCGAUCCAUUCCGGAUUUUUUGGCUAAAUUCCACCCGAAACGUUCCGGUUUCAUUCCACAUGUUCCGUUCCGCUCUUGAAAAGUCAUUGAAUGAAAUUGAACCUUACUCAAUUUUAUUAAUUAAACCACCCAAUUAUAAAAAGCUCUUUUUCAUUAUUAUUUUCAAUAGCAAUGAUAUUAAUAAUAAUAUUGAAAUUUAUUAUUACUAUUUUCAUUAACAAUGAUAUUAAUUUUUUAAAAUUAGAUUUAUCACUAAUAUAUAUGGUUUAUAUUCAUGUUUUUUUUUUUUUUUAUGUUUAUACUUUGUAGGAAUUUGAGUAAAACAAUGGAUGUUUUAGAUUCCAUUAGCUACUUGAUAACAUUGACCUAACUUUACAUUUAAAAUAUUUUUGUUAAAACAUUUUACUUUCAUAAUAUUUUGAUAUUUUGUUUAAGUUGAAUUACUUUAAGUUAAAGAUCUAUUUAAUCUUGACUAUUUAGAAAUAUUUUAAAUUUUAAAAUUAUAUUUGUUUGGCAUUGUAUUUGUAUUGCAUAAUUUAUAAUUAAUUUAUCUUGAAUUUGAAUUAUGUUUGUUGAAUAUAUAUAUAUAUAUAUAUAUGAACAGUACAACCCCGAAACGGCACGCCGAAACACUCUGAAACUGAAACAUUUCAUUCCAAUUGAAAAAACAAGAUACCUACCGAAACAGAAUUGACAACCUUGGUUAAAAUAACUAAACACAUUGACUUUUAGCUACCCAACUAGCUUUUGUGAGAUUUAUUUAUUUUUUUAAAAAAAUAUAAAAUAUAAAAUAUAAAAUUUUUUUAUUUAAAAUUAAUAUUUUUUUUAUAUUUUCAGAUCAUUUUAAUGUACUGAUAUCAAAAAUAAUUUUUAAAAAUUCAAAAAAUAUUUUUUUAAUAUUUUUUCAAAUAAAAAAUACUUUAAAAAACAAUCAUAACUACACUUCCAAACAACUCUUUUUAACCCAAAAGGUCAAGUACAUGUCCCAAAUGCCAACAACCGAGCAUAGAAAGGUUUCAAACCCAUGGUGCCUUUUCCUUAUUAUAAAUAUAGAAUAAAAAUUAAGUCAAGGAGGUCUAGUCUUAAAUGCUCCAAACAUUAUCCAUGUCUCAAGCUUAUGUAUGAUCCAAGAAUUCAUAUUUAUUACAAAAUUAUAAUUUUAUAUGAGUUUUUAUCUUUAUGAUCCAAGAAGUUUAUAUUGUAAAUUCAAGAGUUUUAAGUUAGUAGUCAAUUUUAUAAUUCAUAAAAAUAUUUGAUCCCUGAAUUAGUUUUCUAAUUGUGUUCUUAAUCCCUGAAUUAAUUAGUUUUCUAAUUGUUUUGCAUAAAUUCUUAAGAAUAAAAAUAUUUUAACAAUAGUUUUAGUGCUAAAAAUGCUACUCUAUUCGACUUUUAAUUCAAAUUGUAUUUAUAUAGUUAAAUGUUUUUCUCUUUAAUAAAUCCAUUAUUGGAUAUGAAAUUUAUAACUUAUUUUAUAAUUCAAAAUGGAGAUUUGGUUUGUGUUUUAAGUUUUUUAUUUUUGUAAAACUGAUUGAAAAAAUAAAAAUUUACAUCAAGCCAUGUUGGCUUAACUCGAAUAGGCAAGAUCAAAGACACAAGUGAAUAAUAAAUUUUAAUAUUCAUAGUUGAUGACUGGUGGAGCAAAAUCCAACUCGGAGCUAUAGCGUUGCACUGCAUUCUUUUAAAAUUUGAUAUUGUUUUUGCUAAAAUUAAUUUUUUUAUAUAUUUUUAAAUAAUUUGAUGUUUUAAUAUCAAAAAUAAUUUUAAAAAAAUAAAAAAAAUAUUAUUUUAAUAUAUUUUUAAACAAAAAUUAUUUUAAACUAUAACUGUUAUUAUAUUACCAAAGACACCCUCAUCCCGUUACUUUGUAUAGACCUCGUAAUUUCCAAGAGAACCUUAGCCAUUCCUUUAUGCAUGUGCACGCUUUGCCAAACAAUCCUUUAGGACUAAUUUCGACUCUUCGUUGGCGAUAGCAGUGAUGGGAAUGAUGACACUUCUCUCCAUCCUUGACCAUUUCAAUUCCGAGAAACUCCCCCACCAUCCCAUAAAAAAGUAGUCCUCUUUCUUUGAAGAAUUUUCCUAAUUAGUCCUUAUAUUUUAGAUAUGGUCUUCAACAUAUUACUCUUAAAUUGCCCUUAAGACAUUUUCUAAUCUAUCCUUUUAAUAAGUAUCUUUCUUUAAGCUAAUAAAGAUAAAAUUAUUAAUUACUUUAAAAAACUCAAUCCUACCUAAUUUAUUAAAAUUAAUAAUAAUUAAAAUUUGUUUUUAUGUUAAUUUUUUCUCAUGGUUUUCUGUAAAGAAGAAACUGUAUCUAACUAUUAACAUUUUAUUUAAUAAUUAAUUAAAUUUCAAAUCUUUUGUUUUAUUAAUUUUGACUUAAACUAAUAAAAUCAACCCAUGACACUAUCAAUUUUAUUAUUAAUUAAUUUUUCCUAAAUAAUAUUAUUUUAAUUUUAAAAAAAUUAAUUCAAAAUUCUUGAAAGGAAACUAUAUUGAAUUGAUUUAUAUCAACUUGGAUUAAUUCAAACUCAAACUCAUAAUGUCAGUCAUUAUUUUUAUAAAUUUAAUCCAUGUAAAUAAAGUUUAAUAAAUCUAGAGACACUAUUGAGUAAUUUGGGACCAAAGUCUAGGACUUCGAUAAUACUUAAAUAAUAGUAAUGUUCCUACAAUAACAAUGACGUUACAUAACUUAAAGAAUUGUUUUUUUUUUUGGGAUGUACAAAGCACAAAUAAUAAUAAUUCUGGAUGCAAAACACAGGCUGCAACGCAGAUGGAGCAAGAAAUUUCGCCCCAAGAAAAAUCCAAAUCAAUGAGAGGCGAAGAGUUCUUGGUGUUUCUGCCAUUAUCAAUUUUAUUUUUAUUUUUUACUCUCUUCAUGUGAGUAUAUAAACUAUCUUAACAUUUACAAUUCAAGCCAAAAUUGAUAAUGGCAGAAACACCAAGAACUCUCUUCGCCUCUCAUUGAAGACCAGGUUCCUCCUCGCCGCCCACUCCUUUGGGAUUCGCGCCGCCAGCCGUUCCGACCACACCGUAAACCGCAGCGUAUUGAACAUCUUCGACCCCAAGGCCGCUGCUUCCGCCAAACCAAUCAAUGGGGUCUCCUCUUUCGACAACACUAUUGACCCUACCCGCAACCUGUGGUUCCGCUCUACGCCCCCACAUCCACCGCCACUACCGAUGCUCUGCCUGUGAUCAUAUUCUUUCAUGGUGGGGGCUUCGCAUUCAUGGCGGCUAACUCAAAAUCUUUUGACGUACUCUGCCGGCGACUUGCCCGUGAAAUUAAUGCAGUUGUUAUCUCUAUAAACUAUCGGCUUGCUCCUGAGUACAAGUACCCAUGCCAGUACGAAGAUGGCUUUGAUGCAUUGAAUUACAUCGAUGAAAUGACCUUUGAGAAUUUCCCAGCAAAUUUGGAUCUUGGAAGGUGUUUUAUUGCCGGUGAUAGUGCAGGAGGUAACGUGGCUCAUCAUGUCGUGCUCAAAGCUUGUGAACACACAUUUUCUAACAUAAAGAUCAAGGGACUCAUAGCAAUGCAGCCAUUUUUCGGAGGGGAAGAAAGAACAGAAUCAGAAAUCAAGCUUGUUGGGGUUCCUUUAAUAUCAGUGGAAGGUACAGACUGGAUGUGGAAGGCGUUUCUGCCUGAGGGAUCGGACCGAAACCACUCGGUGGUUAAUGUUUUCGGACCAAAUGCGGUGGAUAUUUCAGGCGUGAAGUUCCCUGCGACGUUACUCUUUGUCGGAGGGUUCGAUCCCUUGCAAGAUUGGCAGAAGAGGUACCAUGAGGGGCUGAAGAAAUCUGGGAAAGAAGUACAUUUGGUAGAGUAUCCAAAUGCUUUUCAUGGGUUUUAUUGCCUGCCUGAAUCGCCUGAAUGUUCUUUGUUGAUCGGUGAGGUGAAGAGUUUUGUGCAAAAGCAGUCAUCUCUUACAUAGGGUGAGGAGACGACGAUCUCUAUUUUAUUAUUAUAUCUUAUUUUAUUCACAUUCAAUAAUUAAAUCGUAUUUAAAUUGCAAUGAUUUUAUUUACUAUUGAAGAUAGAUUAUUAUAUGUGUAUUGAAUUGUUCAAUUAUUUGAUGUAUUAGAUUUAACAUUAAAAAAAAUAUUUUGCUUUCUAUUACCAAUCACACUAAAAUAAUGCUGCGUCCUUUGAGCCAUUUGGUGAGGAAUGGUGAUGGUGGUUUUUUUUUUUUUUUAUACUAAUUCAUAAGUUGUGGGGUUGGCAUGUUAAAUUUUUAUUUUUAAUUGAAUAAUAUUAUUUUAAAGAAAAAACUUACACAACAUUCUUUUAAAUAAAUAAAAACUCUUUGGACUUCAUACUAGUAGAUUUCACAAUAGUUUACUUGGAUUAAUCGAGUCAUAAAUUAAUCUGUUAAGUUUUUUGAGUGCUAAUUGAUUUGUUAAGUUAUUUAAAUUAAAUUAAAUUAAUUUUUUAUUUAGAUAAAAAGCAAACUCAGUUUGAAUCAGAUUUCAAAUCAGUAACUGGGUUGAUCCUUCUAAAUAAUGUAUAAUGAAAUGUGCAUGACAACUGGGUUGAUGGUUGAUAGUUUGACACAGUUCAUUUUUCAUUGUAUGUGGGAGAAAGCAAUGAAGAAGAGAAGAGGAAAAGAUGCCAAGAAAUAAAACGAAGACUUAUUGGAUGUUUGGUCUUAUUAGCAUAGCCAGUUGGAAGUGUACUGUUUCAUGGGGCUUAUUUUCACCUAUCAAAACUUUGGGUUUGUUUGGAAUUAUAGUAAUUAUAGUAGUUUAAAGUGUUUUUUUAGAAAUACAUCAAAAUGAUAUAUUUUUUAUUUUUUUAAAUUGUUUUUUAAAUCAACACAUCAAAACAAUUUAAAAUAUAAAAAAAUAAUUUUUAACAAAAAUAAAAUUAAAAUUUAAAAAAUACGAUUUCAACCACGUUUUCAAAAACUAUUUUUCUCUCUUGAUUUCUACCCCAAGAAAUCAAGAACGCUGAUUUCAUUAAACCAGAUUCCAAAGGCCAUAUUUAGAUAAAUUAGAAGAAAGGCCUAUAAACUAGCCUAACAGAUCAUACCCAGAGAAGCAAAAGCCAGAAACAAUCUAGCUCAAUUUUUUUUAUUAAAUAGACUUGUUAACAUUUUUUUAUUUAUUAGCAUAAAUAAUUUUAAAUUUAUUUAAUUAAAUAUAUAUAAGACAAGUUUAAAAAAACUAAACACACUGAUUUUUGGCUACCAAACUAGGUUUUGAUAUUAGAGCGUGUUUGAAAAUGUAGUAAUAAUUAUUUUUAAAAAUACUUUUCAUUCCAAGACACAUUAAUUUAAUAUUUUAUUAUGUUUUAAAAAUUAUUUUUGAUAUCAAUACAUCAAAAUAAUAAAAAAAACAUCUUCAUUUAAAACAAAAAAAAAAUAAUUUUAAAUUUUUUAAAAAAUACUUUCCAAAACAUAAAUGACUAACACACCUUAAGUGGCUUGACCCAUAACCUAGUCGCAAAUGCCAUCAUUUGAGCAUAAAAAGGUUUCAAUCCCAUGGUGCCUUUUCCUUAUUAUAAAUAUAAAAUAAAAUAAAAUUUAAGUCAAGGAGGUCCAGUCUUAAAUGCUCCAAACAUUAUCCAUGUCUCAAGCUUAUGUGAUCCAAGAAUUCAUAUUUAUUAUAAAAUUAUAAUUUUAUAUGAGUUUUUAUCUUAUGAUUCAAGAAGUUUAUAUUGUAUAUUCAAGAAUUUUAAGUUUAUAGUCAAUUUUAUAAUUCAUAAAAAUAUUUGAUCCCUGAAUUAGUUUUCUAAUUGUUUUGCAUAAAUUCUUAGAAAAAAAAAAUAUUUUAACAAUAGUUUUCGUGCUAAAAAUGCUAUUCUAUUCGACUUUUAAUUCAAAUUGUAUUUAUAUAGUUAAUUUUUUUUCUCUUUAAUAAAUCCAUUAUUGGAUUUGAAAUUUAUAACUUAUUUUAUAAUUCAAAUUAGAGAUUUGGUUUAUUUAUUAAGUUUUUUUAUUUUUGUAAGAUUGAUUGAAAAACAAUAGAUCGGGUCACGUCGGUUUAACUCGAAUCAGCAAAAUAAAAGACAUAAGUGAAUAAUAAAUUUCAAUAUUCAAAGUUCAAGACCGGUGGAGCAAAAUCCAACUCUGACCUAGACUUGUUUGGGAUUGUGGUAGUGGUUGCGGUUCAAAGUGUUUUUCGCUUAGAAAUGCAUCAAAAUAAUAUUUUUUUUAAUUUUUUAAAAAUUAUCUUUGAUAUCAGCAUAUCAAAACAAUCUAAAAUUAUAUAAAAAAUAAUAAAAAUAAAAUAAAAUUUUAAAAAAAUAUAAUUUACACGGAGUUACCGCACACUUGUCCAAUCAACACACAUCCAAUCUCGUUACUUUUUAUACACCUCUUAAUUUUCAAUAGAGCCUUAACCAUUCCUUUAUGCAAGUGCACGCAUUGCCAAACAAUCCUUUAGGAAAAUGAGUUGCCCUCCGACGACUUUCCAUAACUGGCCAGGAUUAAUUUGGACUCUUCGCUGGCGAUAACAGCGAUGGGAAUGAAGACACUUCUCUGCAUCCUUGACCAUUUCAAUUCCGAGAACUCCCCCACCAUCCCAUAAAAAAGUAGUCCUUCUUCUUUGAAGACUUUUCCCAAUUAGUCCUUAUAUUGUUUUUAGGUUUUUUUAAUAUAUUAAUAUAAAAAUAUAAAAAAUAUAUUAUUUUAAUUAAAUAAAAACAUUAAAAAUAUAUAUUUUGCUUUCCAUUACCAAUCACACUAAAAUAAUGUUGUGUCCUUUGAGCCAUUUGGUGAGGAAUGGUGAUGGUGGUUUUUUGUUUUUUUUGUUUAUCCUAUUUGUCUGUCUAAAGAUAAGUUGCCAUGGUGAUGGGUUGCCAUGUUAAAUUUCUAUUUUUAAUUGAAUAAUGUUGUUUGAAAGAAAAACUUAGAUAAAAAAUAAAUAAAAAAUCCUUCGAGUUGGUAUUAUAUUUUAUAAUAAUUUAUUUUUUAAAGUGUUUUUUAUUUGAAAAUAUAUCAAAAUAAUAUAUUUUUUAUUUUUUAAAAAUUAUUUUUGACAUUUACACGUCAAAAUAAUCUAAAAAUAUCAAAAAACAAUUAAUUUAAAAUAAAAAAUUAAAUCUUUUUAAAAAUACUUUUAAAACCCAAAAACAAAUAUAUCUUAACAAAUCACUAAUUAAUUUGUUAAAUUACUUGAGUACCGAUUAAUCUAUCGGAUUAUUUAAAUUUGAACGGAUCAAUCUUUUACUUGGAUGAAAAGCAAACUCGGUUUGAAUCACAUUUCAAAUCAGUAACGUCACCAGGUGACCCAGCUAGCUGGUUUUUGCUGGCUGUGUUUUUGUACAUGUCUAGGGGCAGGGAAAUGUAUAAUGAAAUGUCCAUUUUUCAUUGUAUGUGGGAGAGAAGCAAUGAAGAAGAGAAAGAGGACAAGAUGCCAAGAAAUAAAACGAAGACUUAUUGGAUGUUUGGGGGCAUAUCAAAAUUUCAGGCCUAUUUGGAUUUAUAUUACUAUAGUUUGAAGUAUUUUUUAUUUAAAAAUGUAUUAAAAUGAUAUUGUAUUAUUUUUUAAAAAUUAUUUUUUAGAUCAAAAUAUUAAAACCAUCUGAAAACAUUAAAAAAAAAUUAGCAAAAAAAAUUGAAAUUUGAGGGAACGCUAUUUCAACCGCGUUCCCAAACGCUUUCUUCAUGUUUUUUCAAUCAUAAAGUUACUAUAAAAACACAUGUGUGUUUGGUAUUAUCGUAUAAGAUAUUUUUCGUUUAAAAAUAUAUUAUUUUUUUUAACAUCAACGUAUCAAAAUCAUUGAAAAAUAUGAAAAACCCAUCAAUUUAAUGUUAUUUCGAAUCAAACACAUUUUUAAAACAUACUUAAAUGCAUUUUCAAACCCAAAAAUAAAUGAUAUCUUUAUAAUUAUAGUUCAGAAAACAAUCUCCUACAUCUAAGCACAAAAAGGUUUCGAAGUUAAAAAUAAUCUUAUAGAAGCAUGUGUAUCGUCUUAACUCUAGAUGUAGGGAUCAAGAUUUUAUAAAUCACGUCUAUGCUACUCUCUAGUUUUAAAUAUUCAAAACAAGGCUCCAUUAUCAUAUAUUCAUAGAGACAUACCAAUGUAGCUUUUGAUGUUUACCGGUUUGGGUAUGUCCAUAUGCUUUUAAAUAUAUUUUAAAAUUUAUAUUUUUCUUAAAAAAAUAUUAAAUUAAUAAUUUUUUAGUUGUUUUUAAUAAUUUUGAUGUUUUGAUAUUAAAAACAAAAUCUAAAAAACUUAUUUUUAAAAAAUUCUCUAUAUAACAGUAUCAAACACAUGAUAACCUGGUCCAAAAGCUUUCCACCGAGCAUAAAAUGGUUUUCAACCCAAUCAUACUUUUUCCUCAUUAUAAAUAUAAAAUAAAGUUCAUGUGAAGUAGGGUCCAAUCUUAAAUGGUUCAAACAUUUUUUUUUUUUUAUUAACGUGGGUGUCCGGGCCAGCUUGCACGCACCUCGACUAAUCCCACGGGCCCUAAAGUUAACGACCAUAUAAGCCUCCAGUUGCCAUCAUAUGAGCAAUCUAAGGAUUGAACCUGAGAUCAUAGAGGAAGCAAAGCUUUUGGUCCCAAGCUUUUACCGUUGGGCCACCACCUAGAUAGUUAAUGGUUCAAACAUUAUUGUUAGAACGUGACAGUGUCCCAGCAUUAGUAGUGUAGCACGUGCCAUCUCUUAAGCUUAUGUGAUCCGAAAACAAGGCAAUUGGUGUUUGAUGAAAUUAGUUGUCACUAAAAAUAAAAUAAAAUAAAAUCCUCUUUGAACUAAUUAAUUACUCAAUUAAUUCCUAAAUUAGUUUUUUAUUGUUUCUCACAAAAUUUAUAAGAAUAAAAAUAUUUUAUUAGAUGUUUUAGAUACUCUACUAUUAUAAUAUUUUAUUUAAGUUUAGAUUUUUAUUUCAAAAUUGAAUUUUAUUUAAUAUAACAAAUAUUACAUGUUUUAUUUUAUCUGAUAAAUUUUGAAGUAUUAUUGGAUUUUAUUAAUUUUUUAAAAAUAAUAUUUUAAAAGAGUACGAAAUGUUGGAUACGAUGUUUUUACAAUAACGCAAAACACAACAAACAUUGAUGCUAUGCUGAAUCCUUGAAACCGUAAUAUACACUUCAUAAGAAACUGUAAUAUAACAAACAGAGGAUCUGUAAGUUUCAGAGAACGACAUCAAUUUAAUUACGCGAAGUUCAAUCCUUUUUCCUCUACAAAUUAAAUCAUGUACGUAAACCUGUUACCUACAUUUUGUAAUAUUUCUGGAUCUGCUCUUUGAUUCAUCAAGGACAGAGUUGAUUGCAGCUUCGUCAUAGAAAAGUUCGUCUUCUUCAUCUUCUUGGUUGGCGAGGAAAUAUAAGUGGAAGUAUUUGAUAGCUAAGAACUCAGAAUCCAUGAGAUGAAGUAUUUGGCAAAGCCUUCCCCGUGAUUGGAGCAAUCUCACUAAGUUAUCGACGUAAUGGCUAGAAUUGUCUUCCUCUUAACUAAUCUUUAGCAAAUUAUCUUAAUAUGGUUUUACCAAAAAGAAAAUAAUAAAUUUCAGGAACGUCAUCCUCGUGGAUGCUAUAAUCUGUAAUUAUUGGCAAGGCUUUAAUAUAUUGUACAAAUAGAUUGAAGAAACAGGAGGCCUACGCAUUUAAUUUGGACUUCCUCGUGGAUGCUAUUCCUUCAAAUAUGGACUAAAAUUGUUUUAUAUCACAGAAAGCCUUAAUUAGAAAAUAACUUCAUAUUCUGGCGGUAGAAACCCCACGAACGCAAUCAAGUAUUUGCUUCAAACAAUAAGAGGGAGCUUCAGUGCAGCAGGAAACUUCAACAUCUAUUAUUAAAAUUGUGUUUGGUAAACGCUAGGUAAAUUAUGUGUUUAUAAAUUUUAAUUUUUUUUAUAAAAAAUUAUUAUUAUUAUUAUGUUUUCAGAUCAUUUUGAUGUGUUAUAUCAAUAAAAAAAAUAAAAAAAUAUUAAAAAAAUUAUUUUGAUGUAUUAUUAAAUAAAAAACACUAGUUUAUCUUUUGAUGUUUUUCGGUUUAUAAAAUGAACAGUGAACAGUUUACAUUGAUAUACUAUUCUUGUGAGCAAGAGAAUUGUACUGUUCACUUAAAAAAUAAUGAACAGUGCAAUUCACUUGUACUAUUCACGGAUGAAUUGCACUGCGAGUACUUUUUUUUUUUAGUGUUAAUUUUUUCAAUAUAUUUUUCUAAAAAAACACUAGUUUAGAGUGAAUUAAAUUCACUUGCAAUGUGAUGUGAAUAAUAUUUGUUUUCCCUGAAAAAGUAGUCUAGAUUGAAUUAAAUUCACCCGCAUUGUAAUAUCAAUUUUAUACCCGAUAAUAUUUUAUUUAAUUUGAUUAUAUGCUCAAAACAUUAUAGAAAUUGUAGUUCUUGUCGGAUGUAUUUUGUACAUAAUGGAAUUGUAGAUGGUUUCAUGGAAUAAUAAAAAAUAUUUUAUAUAAAGUAUGAUUUAUUUCAUGAUGUAAUAGCAAUAGUUAAAUCUACAAUAUUUAAAUUAAAAAUCAUCAAUAUUAAUAUAUAUUUUUUAAAAUUAUUUUAUAACCUCAAUUUCAAAAGCAUUCUUACCCAAACAUAUUAAAUUACUUUUUUUUUCAACUUCAAUUUCAACUAUAUUUUUAACCAAACACCUAUUUUUUCAAACCAAUCUCAACUAAAAAUAUUUUUUAUAAAAAUAAUUUUUUUCAAAUCACAACCACAACAUCUAUCGCAAUACUAAACACACUGAAAGACCUAUAUACCAGCCCAACAAAUCAUACCCAGGGAAGCAAAAGCCAGAAACAAGCUACCUCGAUUCUUGCUCCACCUGGGUAAGAAAUGCAGCAUGCCCACUUGGAAUUAUACAGCGUCCAAAUUCCAUGGCAAAUAAUUGGUUGGAAUUGUUUUCUGAGGGGUCAUUUCAAAAUCUGAAAAUAAAAACAGAAAAUAGAUCCAGCAAAUGAUUCCAAAUAUCUUCUAAAAAAACGAUGAAAUAUGUUUUUUUAUUUACCGUAAGGAAAGAUAUUAACGAAAUUUUUUUUAAAAAAAAUCAAUUUAAAAAAUAUAUAACAAGUCAAAAUCUAUACUUAAAAUCUUUCUCGUUUUAAAUUUAUAAUUGAAUCAAAUAAAAUAUUAAUUUAAUAAAACAUAGUUAAGUUUUUGAUAGUUGAAUAUUUAGUAUAACGGUGACGUACUAAACUAUUAAAUCUUAACAUAAAAAGGAAUUUUUAUUAUAUACCCACGAAUCGGUACAAAAUCUAUAGGUUUUUAUAAAAUGAAUUCCUGAACCUAGUCGAAGAACUGUGGCAAAAACAGUUUCAGGAUUCCAACCUAACACAUGAAUGGGGUGGUUAUAUUUUGUGUUGUACACUUGAGAUUAUUUUUUCUCGGUAUCAUUUUUACAAAAAACUAUUAUUAUUAUAUGAAAUCAACAAAAAUUCACUCACCAAUCAUUCAUGGAAAAUUCAACUUUUUUAUAUAUAAAAAGGAUUUUUAUCAAAGAGGUUGAAUUUUUAAGUUGGUGGUGGAUUGACUUCUAAUAAUUCCAGGGUAAAUAAUAAUUCCAGCAUUAGAUUGAUUAAUUAAUUACACUUUAUUAGUUAUUUUUUAGAUCUUAUUAGCUUUGAUAACAUUGAACUAGUUUUAUAUUUAAAAUAUUAGUGUUAAAAUAUUUUAAUUUUAUAAUAUUUUGAUAUUUUAUUGAAAUUGAAUUGUUUUAAGUUAAAAAAUUAUUUAAUCUUAACUAUUUAAAAAUAUUUUAAAUUUUAAAAUUAUAUUUCAUCACGUCUCCAUGAUCCCCGUUGUGUCAAAAACAAAUUGCCUAGAUUUUAGGCUUUAGCAGUUCCUUUUUUGAAAUCCUUAUUAGUAAUAUUUCACGACUCAUUAUUUCUAUUAUUUUUAUUCCAUUUUAGCAUUUCAUACUCAUCAAAACCACUAGAACACAAUCAAGCUCUAUCUUCAAACAACCAGGGAGAUUUUAUAGGGAUAAAAUUUUAAAAAUCACGCCUAUACUACUUUCUAGUUUUAGUAUUAAAUUUAGUAUUUAAAAAAUAUGUUUAUGAAUAUGGCAGUUUCAGGUUUAGAAACCAAAACUGCCAUAUUCAUACUCUCUUAGACAUUUUAAAAAUGUGUGUAGAAGAAUAUUUUCACUGAUGAUUUAUAAUAUUAGGUUACUUUAAUGAUAAAUCAAUAUAGUAUUUUUUUUAUUUUUUGGAUUUUCAUCUUGGAGAAAUUCAAUAGGAUGAAAAUAUAAUAUUAAUCAAACUUCAAAUUAUAAUUGUUUAUCUAUCGAGUUAAAAAAAUAUAUGACAAUUCAGUAGUCUUUAAUGAAAUAAAAAAAAUGAAAAAUGUUAUUUAUGUAAUUGUAAGCAUACUAUAUUAUAUUACUUUACAAAGGAACGAAGGACAUCCUUUGCGUUAGGAUGCUAGGAUUUCUUUAAGAGAAGGGGGAGGAGAUGGCUGGCCAUUUUCAAGCAACGGAAGACAAAUUGGCAUCCUCUUCAGCUUCUCACAAAACUCUACAUAAAUAUCUUCAAGAGAAUUGCAAAUCAGUUUUGCACUGCAAAUGCUUUUCAGUUCUGGUAAUUUAUACAAUCGCAGAGUUGUUAACUUUGGGAGAAUGACUUCCGUGAUGGAAUUGGAGGUGCUGCUUUCUUCAUCUGUUGUUCCUAUUAUCUCCUCCAUUUUCUCACAAUCAUUAACUUCAAUCCUUUCCAGGUUUACGAGGUUUGGCAGCAACACAAGUGGGAACAGCUUCUUCAUAUUGUUACAUCCAUAACAAAAAAACCUUUUAAGACUAGAAAAGAUACCAUUAUAUGGUGGCAAUGGUGGUGGAGCAGAGCAGAACCAAGAAGAUGAAACCAAGCUCUCCAUGUUAUUGCAAUACCGAAUGCUGAUGCGCUCCAGUUCAGUUGCAUUCUCUAAUGACAAAACAUCACAUAAACUUCUUGCAUCGAUAAAUUGACAAAUCAGUCCUUGAAUGCAAUUUAAGAACUUGACCUGAAAAUCUCUAUCUCCGUUGAUACUCAAAUUACCCAACCCAACUGUUUUACUUGGAAAAUCUUCAAGGUAUUGCUGUAAAUAUCUACCCACCUCUCCUACUAAAAUCUUGCAUGUGCUUAAUGAUAGGAUCCCAUCCCGAGAUCUGAGAUACUCCACGAAGUCAGAAAAACCUUCGAAAUGGCAUUCCAAAGUUUCCAAAUUUCUCAAGGAUCCUACUUCCUUUCCUUUAACUGUUAUAGGAGCAUCAUCUUGCAUCAUAAACUUUUCUAGUACAAAGACUUGCAGGUGGGAGAGUUUUGGUAAUAUACCACUAGGAAACUCCUUUUCACCACAUUCAUUCAUUAUAAGAUACCUCAGGUUGGUUAGGCAUUCCAUUCCUUGCGGUAUCUUUUCAAGUGCAGUAUGAGAGAGUCUUAAUUUCUCACAAUUAUUGAGCAAUAAUGUUGUGAGGCUCACCAAAUCAGAGACAGAGUCUGGCAAUUGCUUGAAAAAUGAAUCCGCAAUAAAUCCCAACAACCGAUUUUCACAUAGCAAUAGAGUUGAUAGAUAGGGACACCUAGGUGAAUGGUUGGAAGGAAUUUCUUCGAUCAUGUUUUCCAUUAGUGAAACUCUCGUCAGAUUCUCCGUCCACUCCUCUGCAUCUGGCAACUCUUUUAAUUGUGCACCUGCUUUGACCAUGCCUUGAGAGUUCUCUAGCAGUAUUCGGAUGGCCAUGUCCCUAAUCAAGUCAUGCAUCUUGACACGUCUAAUAUCAUCAUACUUUAUUUUAGCACUUUCCAAUAGGCAGACAUUUUCAAGUCGAUUAAGCAUCGUGUGGCCCUCAUCAAAUGCAUCUCCCCUGCUCCUCUUUCCUUUAAUUAUUCCCUCAUCGAUCAAAUAACCUAUCAACUCCUCCCUUUCAAUCUCAUCAUCUUCAGGAAAUAAUGCACAGUACAAGAGACAUUGUUGUAGUGCUAAAUCACCUAACCGAUCAUAACUAAACCUCAAUAACUUGAAUACUUAAUUGUCCCUAAAUUCUGAUUCUCUCAAUUUGUUCAAUGCAUUUCUCCACUCAUAUAGGUCAUCCACUCCCCUCAAGCUUCCUGCCACUGUAAUAAUUCCUAAUGGCAAACCAGCACAUUCCCUUGCAACAGCUUUCGCAAUUCCUUCCACUUCUGGUGAAAGUGCUACAUCACGUUGAAGCUUCUCCAUAAACAAAGUCCAAGCUUCUCCAUUAGAAAGUGGCUUCACUUUGAUUUUGUGUUGGCAAGCCAUCCGAUGACAAACCGUUUCUGAUCGAGUUGUCAUAAUCAGCUUGCAUCCUUCCAACUUUUCAGGAAUUCCCACUUUGUGUAGCUCAAAAUUGUUCCACAAAUCAUCUAAAAUGAGAAUCCAUUUUUGUUUCUUCCUUAGUUCUUCUGACAAUUUGGCAGCUCUAUGCAGUUCAUCAUUUUUUCUUGAAAGAUCUAGAUCAAGAUGUUCAGCAAUAAGAUUCUGCAAUCUAUUAAUGCUGAAAUCUUGAGACACAGUCACCCACCAAACAUUAUCACAAAUAUCUGGUCUUUGUAGAAGCUCAUUAUGGAUAUGUUGCAGUAUUGUGGAUUUACCAACUCCCCCCAUCCCAUAAAUGCCAAUGGUUGAGACAUCCCCAUCCAUUAACAAAUACCAUAUCAUCUCCGUAUUCUCUUCGAAUGCUUGACCCACUGGCUUUGUAGAGCUAGUAGGUAAUGGAACUCCUCUAGUCUUGUUGUAUUUCAGACUUUCAGAAGAUCUAGCUCCAGCACCAACUGAUCUUCGACUAUUCUCCACAUCCUCCUCCACUGGUUCUGUC